CUUGCGCCAAUGCUACACAGACCGACGUUCUACCGCAUCUACAAGAGCAAGUCGACGGAAGGUUUCCAGUCGGUUCCCUACGUGGUAGCGCUGUUCAGCGCCAUGCUGUGGAUCUUCUACGCACUGAUCAAGUCCAACGAGACCUUCCUCAUCACCAUCAACGCCGCCGGCUGCGUUAUCGAGACCAUCUACAUCGUCAUGUACUUCGUCUACGCGCCCAAGAAAGCCAAGCUGUUCACGGCCAAGAUCAUGGCCCUCCUCAAUGGCGGCGUCUUUGGGGUCAUCCUCCUGCUCACCCUUCUCCUCUUCAAGGGUAGUAAGCGCGUUGUGCUGCUUGGCUGGAUCUGCGUCGGCUUCUCCGUCAGUGUCUUCGUCGCGCCACUAAGCAUCAUGGUGAGCACACGCGUAUAAAACUGUCAUGAACCCAAUCACCGUAGCAUCUAUAGUGUUCAUCCAUGCAUGUGACGUUACUAAUGGACCGCUCGCUUGUGUGUUGGUGGCUACGUGCAGAGGCGCGUGAUCCAGACGAAGAGCGUAGAGUACAUGCCCUUCUCCCUCUCCCUCUCGCUCACCCUCAGCGCCGUCGUCUGGUUCCUCUACGGCCUCCUCAUCAAGGACAAAUACGUCGCGGUAAUUCACUGGUCUUUCUUCAUCAGCAGUUUUUUGACGAUGCAUCUUACUCAUAAACUACAUGCGAUGUCGUCUGUAUGCAGCUACCAAACGUCCUUGGGUUCAUCUUCGGCGUGGUCCAGAUGGUGCUCUACGUGUUCUACAUGAACAAGACGCCGGUGGCGGCUGCCGUGGGCAAGGAUGCCGGCAAGCUUCCCUCAGCUGCAGACGAGCACGUCCUCGUCAACAUUGCCAAGCUCAACCCCGCCCUCCCGGAGAGGACCUCCGGGAUGCACCCAGUCACCCAGAUGGCGGCCGUUCCUGCCAGGAGCUGCGCUGCUGAAGCAAUCGCGCCGGCGAUGCUGCCCAACAGGGACGUGGUCGACGUCUUCGUCAGCCGACACAGCCCCGCUGUCCACGUGGUCUAGCUUCUCCAUCAUCGCAAGCAAGCAUGAAUCGAGUCGAGUCCGAACGCAUAAUUAAGCACCCAAUCUAUUGGAUAUAUAAAUACGCGCGCCCCAACAUGUGCGCCAUAUAGCCGUUUAUUCCAACCCUUAGCUUUGUUUAAUUCUCAAAUAUGCAUUUGAAGUAAUGUACUUUCAUGCAACCAGGAAUUUCAUUUUCCCCUCCAAAAUAACCAUAAGAAUUUUCUAUAGCACGUUAAUGUACAAAGUUAGUAAUAUAUAUAUAUAUAUACUAUAUUUAAAGCACCAGUUUCAACGGUCGUCAUGCGUCAAAAUUUUCCAAAUAACCCCUUGCAUUUUAUCAAAAUCAACCCAUAAUCUCUUCCUCUCCUGUUGUGCCUGACUGCCCGACUUCCUCGUGCAGAUAGGCGUUUCCCUUAACCGCUCUCGCGCUUGACUACCCGACUUCCUCGACGCCUCCGCCCCGCAUCCUCCAAAAGCCUCCUCCUCUACUUUGUCUUCCCCACUAGAUCCAACCCCCGUGCAUCGCAUUCUCUCCCGAACCUCAUCGCUCAUCCAACGCGCUGGCUUGAGAUCGAGGUCGUCAAGGCCCUGCCACGCCAUGCAUCGACAACGCCGCCGACCUAGGCGCCUCGGCCUCUGCCUCGAUCGAGGCCGUCGGUCUCACCACGUCGUGCAUCAGCCGCGCCGCCGACCUAAGGGCCUAGGACUCGGUCUCUCCCUCCGACUUUGACAGGUCCUCGUCGUGACGACGAUGAGGGGGCAGCGACUGUACGACUCCCUCAAGGCCCUCUCCGAUGUGUCCGGCCCAUUGAAUCCAUUCCUCCUCUGUCUCGCCAUGGUAAGCAUCUCGCUCCGGACCACGACGGCACGACCAACCGCACCUCGCGUUGUCCACCGCCCAACCUUCCCUAGGUUCGAAGGAUUGUACCUUCUCAAUAGCUCAAUUUGGUUGGCGCAUGUGUUCCUCUGUCUAAUUUGGUUCCGUGGGCGUUCAUUCGAUGCAAGUUAAGGGGUGGGCAUCUGUUAUUUCAGCUCAGUUAAUUGGGGACUGGUUGUAGGUGGACAUGUUGGUGCUCUUUGAAACCCCACCAGAUUUUGCCCUAUUCAAGGCGCUCGACAAGGGGAAGCUCGAAAAGUUUGAGGUGAGUGACUGUCGCUGCAUUUUCUAAAGUCUGGUAUUGAUUGGGUUCCUUAAAUUUGCUCGACAAGGUUUCUAUGGAUCCAGUGCCUGACAGAGUUCAUCCCCAAUUCACUGGUCGAUUUGAACCAAAAGAAUUUCACUGGUAGCUGUAUGAGGAUUGUAUCACCAUUCUCUAGCUCGUCAAUGAAUGGGUUUUGGAGGAUCUCAGUCUCAGUUGUCAAGGUGCUAGACACACAUAACGCCACUUUGGUUCAAGUCACGAGCUUGGAUGGAUAACUGUAGGGAGCUGUGCUUAAGGAAAUGUGCAUGCAAUGCUUAUGCUUACACACUGCCGAGAGACACCAAAUCCGUACAAAUUUGUGGUAGAUAAAUUGUUCUUGUAUCGACUUUUUCCUGCUUGCAUUGUUAUUAUUGCCUUGAAAAGCAUGAAAGCUAAAUCUGGUGACAGAAAAUAUCCCAAUGGCAGAGAUAACUCAGUGGCAGUAGCGUCCAAUGUCACCAUGCAGGAUGUUUGUUUUAAAGGUGGUACUUUAUUGAAGCUUUAUAAUAGAUUGUGCCCUUUUUCUGAAUGUAAUAUUGUAGAACAUCUUAUGUGAAAUGUAUGGAUGAUGGUUGCAAAUCCUGAUAUUGAAUAGAACUUCCUUUUUCGAAUUAUCAUAUACAAAUUAAUGGAUAUAUCUGCUUAUGUUUUCCUCCCAAACACGCUUCAGCAGUGGUAAUUAUCAUGCAAUCUGCAUAUUUAUAUAGGAUAAAAGGUCUAUUUACACUUAUUAGUUCUUAACACAUGUACAUCUAUGGAAUAUGUUUAUGAGCUCCUGGUCCUCGUUUUGGUACUGCUGCUGCCUAGGUAUAUGGCGCAUGGCAGGACCACCCACCGUGCCUUAGCUACCAGGAAAAUGACAGGAUAAGUGUUCCUACACUGUCACUUGCUAUGGAGAUAGAGAGAUACAUUUUUGUUUGUAUGGUUUCUUGGCAGAUUAAGAAGCAGUUGGCGGCGGACACAAUCACAGUUGUGGAUACCUCUAGAGAUAGCCGCCAUGUCUGGUGAGUAACAAGACCCCAACCCCAACCACUUGAUAUUCUUUUUCUAAUUUUCUAGGAUGCAAAGAAACAAAUGUGCUACAUGCUCAAACUCACAUGGACAUGGUGAAUGUGUCUGUAUUCAUUCAGUAGUCGGUAUCAAAGAAAACAAGGCCAUUUUUAGAUGUAUCAAUGUGUGGUAUAUAAUUCGCAACUUGUUUGUUUAGAAAUGUUCCUAUGCGAAGCAUUGUUGGUGAUUGAUGUGGAGAUGAUAGCGGUUUUUGCUUAAAUAUUUGAGAAAUAUUUGUUUUUUGGCAUUGUAGUGCUACUACCACAAAAAAUUUAGUGAUUUGCCAUCUUGCUUUAUCUUCCGUUUGUGUGCUAAAAAUAUUUACAUGGAUUGAAGUGUGUAUUUCUAUUCCAUAAGUGUGAGGUUUUUUUGGCAACACAUUUUAUCAUGAAGUCUAUGAGCAGCACCAGCUCAAUGACGAGGCUUGGCAUGCACCGCGACAUCUUCUGCAGCGCUUGUUAACUCAGGGAGAACAAGGCACUGUCGUUGAGCCCUCAAUCUUCCUUCUGAUCAGUGCAAUGCAAACUGUGGCAUGAGAUUAGUUCCAAGAUUUGACAAGUUGGUUCUCGCAUUUGCAGGAUGACAAGGGAGUGUCGAUGGCCGGCUUCCUCAGUACAUGAUGCAGGGGCUAAGAUCUCUAUUGGGUGCCAUACUCUCUCCAGAUGUUUUUAAAUGAAUUUGCAGUUAUUUUUUUGGUUCCAUGUUGUUGUUGCCUUCAAAAGUCCCAUCACCUUCGCUCCAAAAUGUCAUGUGUUAGGUUUUGAUAUAAGUUUAGGUUGCUUUGCCGAUUCAUGGAUUAAAAUGCCCUCAAGAACAUUUAUGCUGAUUCCUUGAUAUAACACCACUGGAUGAUAUUGUGGGCAUCAACAUGCUCUCCUAAUUUUGGGUUCAUUGUAACAAUUGCGGUCAAUUUGCAUGCUCUUCCAAAUUUUAGGAAGUCAUCUAGGGUGCUUCAUAUGAUGCUUGAGAGUCUAUGCAUCCUCUCCCAAUUUUUGCGUAUAUGUUGAGUUCUGAUCAACGUCGUACAUCAUGAAACAUGCCUACCCAAACACAGACCUGCUACUUUUUGCUCUCAAAUUAGCUAUAUUUAUUUUCGUUCCUGCUUAGAUCUGGCGAGAAGAUAGAUCCGAAGCACCAUUUACAUGUAAACAGGAGUUCCCUCAUGAUUGAGCAACCGUCCUGCGGAGUAAAUGGUUGCCCAUUUUUUCUGCUGCCCACAAUUAGGCAGCUCGAUUGUGGUUGCUAGAGUUGUAAAUAUCAUAUGCUUACUGAUAUGAUAAGAUAAGAAUGUGCACUUUCACAAGGCACUCCAUAUCAAGUUGUUCCUGGCUUCUCUGUCCGUUGGUAUGUUUCAGAAUCUACUAGCAAAUAUGUUCACUCAUUGUAUGUUGUUCGAUAAAAUGUCCACAUCAUCAAUGACUUUACAAUCAUCAUUAUAAACCGUCGCAACACACGGGCAACUGACUAGUAUAUAUAUGUGUGUGUGUGUGUGUGUUAGAUUCUAUGGUGCAUAGGAUCGAUUCCUAAGCCCCUAGAAUACCAAUCCGUAACUACAAUACCUCGAUUAUGAGUAGAUUUAUUAUACUGAGGGGUAUAGGUAUACAUACUUUCAUUGUUGUUCAUAGCCGCAGCCAUCGCAGCGGUGUCUUGCAGUGAAGACACACCACCUUCUCCUCCUCCUCGAUCUCCCUGCGUGUGACGAGGAGACUGGUUCCCGUUUUUGAUCGACGGUGGAUCAGCUCCUCCAGUGGCACAUUCAGGGGGAGGCUCAGAUCCUGUUCCCGAUGGGGAUCUGAGACAUAGUCGUAGCUCUUCCAGUCACUCCAAUAAGUGCCUAGGAGAUUGGUUCCUCACAGAGUGUCGAUUAGGGUUUUGUGGUUGAGUGAUUAGCGUUGGCUAAACCUGUCAGCCUCCUUGAUCUAUUUAUAUGACGUCGUGUGACCGGGGGCUGCAACCAACGGUUAGGAUAGCCCUCCCACGAUCAGGGCAGCGGUUAGACAGUUAAGAUUAACCCUACCCCAGUUACUGUUAACCGGCUAGUGUAGAGGACACAUCCUAACAAUAUGUACACAAGCACAUCCCUCUGGAUACAUCAUAACAAAGCUGAAUUAGGAGUAAAAACACUGGACAAGAGUACCCAUCACGAGAUUAUGGAGUACUUAUACAUCAAUGUUGGAGAAGCUAAGUCAUGCACGAGCUCUUUGGCUUGGAUUCUAACGAUAAAUGGACGGAGAGCUCAAACAAGAUAAAAAUAACUUCCUUAAGAUUGGAUACCUGUCAAAGCUCUUGCAAUAAACCACAAUUGGACAAUGAGGUUAAAAUAAAGUCCCUCAUGUCACCUUUGAAGGGUUCAAAGGUGAGGAGUGGAGUUUUGAGGGAAAGGCCAAUACCGAAGAUAACAAACAAGAAGCAAAGAUAUUUGGAUAGGUGACAUGCUAAGUUUUCGAUCCUUAGAAAGCUAAGUCAUACACAAGCCCCUUGGCUCCGAUUCUAAAGGUAGAUGGACCGAGAGCUCAAACAACAUAAAAAAUAACUUCCUUAAUAAUACAAAAGAUAAAGCCAAUCAAACCUCCAUGUCAGACACAAAGUCCUUCAUGUGAAAACCUCAAUUUCAAGUUGCCCUAACUGAAUAAAAACUAUAUUACAGGAGUAUUUUUGGGUAACGACAUCAUGAUAAGGUUUAAGGGCAGUUAGGGAUUUACAAACUUUCUGGCACAACUAUAGUUAAUAGCUACAUCCUCACCCAAACCCUUAUUAUCGUGGCUUGUUCCCUUCGACCAUUGUGACUUCUUGGAUUAACAUUGUUGAUGAUAUCUUCAGCCCUAGUGAGCACCAACUUUCCUGAGUCAGCAGAAUACUAGCUAGGCCUUUACGGGUCUUCUGCAUUAUUUAAAGUGCAUCUAGCCUAUUGUGGGUUUUGGUGGAUUUAAUGACAAAAAUAUUAAAGGACUAAUCAAUUUGCUAAGUGUUGAACAGAAAAGUUGAGUAUAAUGGAUAUACUUGACUAUGAUAAUGAGAAGCAAUAAAAGGUUCAACAUAAGGCAAUAUUGGGGGAUAUUCCAUAAGACAUCAGAUGGAUAUGAAAAUGUGGAAUAUCAUAAGCACUGUAAAGAAAUAGAGGACAUUGAUCAGAAGAAAGAUAUUCAAUGUACACUCAAGAUGGUGUGACUGAAGGAAGGCUUGAUAAGGUGAAGAUAACAAGGAAAAUGACUUUGAGGGACUAAGCGAAGCAGAAGGCCAAGAGGACCGAGGUACUAAGGCUAAGUUGAAGAAGUAAGUACUUGCAUUUAGUCGAGGGACUAAUCAAGCUCAAGAGAAGUCAUGCAAUGUUGAGUGAUCUUUAUUGGAAGAAGAUAUGAAGAAGAGUAUGGACAUUGCACUAGUACACAGAAGCUCUAUAGUGGCGGUUCUAAACCUAUUUACACUGGCGUUUUUCAGUUCCGCCAGUGCUAGGGGCCAGUGGAAAUCAGCAUUUCCACUGGCGGUUAUUUUGGAACCGCCAGUGGAAAUUCUAUUUUCACUGGCGGUUUUCUUAAGGAAACCGCCAGUGAUAAUAGAAUUUCCACUGGCGGUUUGCUUUAUAAAACCGCCAGUAGAAAUGCACUUUUCACUGGCGGUUUUCUUUAUUUAGCCGCCAGUGGAAGUUUUCCCGCCUUUUUUCAAAAUUUCAAACAAUACUGAAUUAUAUAUAUAUUUAUUUACACACACACAAACAUAUAUAUAUAGAUCUAUAUUGAUAUUGAAAGCAACAUGGAAUUAAAUUCUAUCAUACAUUUAUAUACAUCAAAGUAUUCUGUUUACAACCAUAUAUGCUUCAUGCAUUCUAUACAUCAAAAGUGAGGAAAAUGUGGCUAAAUUUGAGGAAAAUGAACAAAAAUGUGGCAAGAGGAACAUAAAACCAAACUUUCCUCGCCAUACUCUUCUCUCUAACACAUGGUGAAGGCCUAGUUCCAAAAUUGAGCAAAGAUGAACAAUAAUUGGCAAUUAAAACAUAAUUAAACCAACCUUUCAUAGCAACUAAUAAAGACAAUCUUAAUUACCAAACCUAUCUUCUUCUCUCUCCACACAACACAUGAACCAUUCAUUAAACAACUUAAUAUGUCAUGGAUAAACUGAUUUGAGAACUAAACAUGAAAAAGGAGAGAGGAUAGACAAAAUCUAACCAUAUUAAACAACUUUAUUUGAGGGAAUAGAGAAAAUAACCUAGCUAUACACUUUCUCUCAAAUGGUGAAACCCUAGAUCCAAAAUGUGGCUAAAAUUGAGCAAAAAUGAAUAAAAAUUGACAUUAGCAACAUAAACCAACCUUUCUUAGCAAUCUUCUUCCAAAAAAUGAAGAUCAAAACCUCUCCCCAUGUAUUUUGUGAAAUCUGGACCUCCAAAAUCGCCUCCAAUGGAAGUUGGCUGCGAGCAUACAGUUCACUGUCGGGGGAAGAAGAGGGGUAUUUAUAACAGACAGUUCACUGGCGGUUGGCUUUAAAAACUGCCAGUGGAAACCUAUUUCCACUGGCGGUUAUCUUAACACAACCGCCAGUGGAAAUAGGAUGUUUCCACUGGCGGUUAUGUUAAGAUAACCGCCAGUGGAAAUCAAUUUUCACUGGCGGUUGGUGUUACACAACCGCCAGUGGAAACAUCCUAUUUCCACUGGCGGUUGUGUUAAGAUAACCGCCAGUGGAAAUAGGUUUCCACUGGCGGUUUCUUAAGCCGGGCCCACCUGUUUCUUUCACUGACGUUUGAUAAUGGAAACCGCCAGUGAAAAGUUGAACGUGCCGCAGGCUUUGAGCUCUUUUCUACUAGUGUUGAUUAGGUUGGUUUUCAAUGUGAUGUGACUUGGAGACAAAUUGAUAAACUGAGGAUAAGGCAAGAAAAGGGUUUUGAAUGACCUAGCAGGGUGAAGGUCAGAGCAUAAGGCUUUUGGGACCGAAGGACCAAGGCUAAGGUGAAGAAGAGAGUACUUGCAGGAGGUCAAAUAUUUGCUCAAAUUAUAAAGAGUUAUGUUGAGUUGGAGAUCACAACAUUAGAAGACAUGAUUUGAAACCAUCAACUUAACUCAUAUGUGAUGGGAUGGUUCAAAUCAUAAGGCUCAAUAUUAUGCUAGCUCAAGAGAAAAAAUUUGGUCACAAGUUCAAAUAGAUGGUAUCAAAGAUAGAACAUGGAAGGGCUCACUCAUUGUGCAGAUUUUGAUCAAAAGGCCAAAAGUGGAAAAUCAAGAAGGAAUUGGACUGUGGGUCAUUCCAGUGUUUAUGAAAGGUUCUUGAUGAUCACAACAAUGUAUUGGAACUCAUUGUAGUGGAAGGAUUACUAAGGUCUAGAGCUUGAGGUUCCACAUGUCAAGAGAAGCACAAGUUCGACGAAAUGAUACAAAAUGAGUUGGAGGAUUGGGUGAAGCAAAUGUGAUGACUUAGAAUGUUUGGAAACACUCAGAAACAUUUGUCUUAGUUAUGAAAGUGUUGGCCAUUAUUUCAUGAUCUUGUCCUCAACUAUCCUAAGGAUGAGAGAAACUUCAUGACAAAUAAUGAGUUCCACAAGUUGUAUUUAGAUAUUUGGAUGUAGGUGACAAAAUAUGGCAGAAACAUGCAACAAGGGACUUGCCAACCUCAUGAGCCAAGGGGGCUAGGUUCUUGCUAUUUGGACACCUUGAUGCCCCCCUUUGGUCUUACAGAUGUAAAACAAAGGAAUGCAACACAAUUUGUACAUGGUUGACAUGAUCAUAAGCUAGAAGACGACACAUUAGCAAUCUAUGGGCUUGGAAUCCAAGGAUGGUGAAGAAAACACAAAUUUGAUCAAACGUUGGAGAUCUCCAACUAUCAACCGUUCUUCAACCGACUUGGUUAGCUCUAUUCACCAUGCGAUGCAAGAUGGAGUGUAUGGGAGGGUUGGCUAGCCUCCUCCCUGGCUAGCCGACCACAUGAAGUGUCUCCCAACCUGCCACCUCACCUCCUUCAACCAACUUACCCACCUAAACAACCUUAUAUGACUAUAAAUACCCCCAGCCUUGGGAAGGCUAUAAAUACCAUAGAGAGUCCCCUCUUUUAUUUUAGUAGUUUAGGUUAGUUCCUCUUGUAUGAUCAACAAUCAAGUGGAAUCCAGUUAUCUUGUGUGUCAUUGUGAGUUUUAUCUCUACUUUACUUUGUUAUCACACUAAAGUAUACUUUGUUCUACCUUUACUAGUCUAAGAGCACUUUAAUUCAAACCUUAGGAUUGAGUUAGUCUUUGUUUAUCAAGUUUUGUCUGGCUUGCUGGUGUUAUAAGCCACUACUAGUAUUUGUUGCUAGGCUGGCUAGUUCUUAACCUCGGAUAUAGAUAGAGCUUUAGUGAUGAUUAUUACGUGACAUCAUAUCCAUGCAAUUAUGGUUGGUAGCCCCUCUUGGUGACAAUGGGAGUGUGGCCUAUGUAUCCUGACCUCAUCGUUUGAUAGGCCUGUACGUGAUAGCUUCCUACCUUAGAUGUUUCACCCCUCUUUUAUAGAAACCCUUUGGUGAGCAGAAUUUUGCUCUACGCAAGUUCUUUCUUGAAGUUGAUAAGAAAUUGGUUAACAGUGAAUAAUCCUUCGUAGAGUAGUAAAAGUAAUAGUUUGGUUCUUUACUCCUUGGUAACCUCCUAGACAACUUUACCUUACUAUGGAACAUAGGGUCCAUAUUAGUUUCCUCCACAUACACCAAACUUUUAUUGUAUUUACCUCCGUCUAAUCACUAGUGCGUACACUUACCAAGGUUUACAUUUCAAUUCAAGUUUGAGUUUGGUUAAUUAAUCUCUAGCCUGCCGCUCCCCUUUGGAAAAUGUGAUACCUAGAAUACUCCUAGUGAAGGGCUAAAAUCGGUCUCUAUGUGCUUGUGGAGUAAAAUACAAUUGGCAUAAGAACCACCAACAACUCCCAACAAAGAGUUGUGGCCAUUAUAGCUCUUCAUCACAAUCAUCUCACAAAUGCCUUAUGGCACGAGGUAACACAAAUGAUUCAUCUAUGAUAGUGAUGAUGAAAGACCCCCUUUAGAUGAAUUUGCACAUGCCGUUAUUUUUUUUGAGGAGGUAUGCACUAAACAAAAAACGUAAUUAAAAUUGCUUAAGUCAAAAUUGGUUAGCUAACAAAAUAAUUACAAAAAAAUCUAGAAAAUUUUGAAUCCUUUGUAAAGUUGAAUGUUAAAGCUAAGAACUAAAAUUGAGCAAUUAGAAUCAAAUGCACCACCCUCAACUACCGAUGAGAGCUUUAUUAAAAAGAAUGAAAAACUUAAGGCUAAGUUAGCUAAUUCUAAAAAUUCUAUUGAUAACUUGCUAAGAAGAAUGAAAUUCUUAUCAUACAUAACAAUGAGCUAACUACAAAGCUAUAAAGCAUCGGUCCACACCAGAAGCACCUAAAAUUGAAACUACUAAAAUUAUCAAAAAGGAUGAUUGUACUUCAUACUUGGAUUUAAUUGAUAUUAACCACAACCCCUGCAAACAAGUCUUGGUUGAGAGUAUUAUUGUGGAAACAUGCUUAGAUGAAAUUGCAAGGGAAAUGAGGAACUAAGGCAAGAAGUGGCUUGCCUUGGUAUGGCAUUGUACAAUAAGAAAUGUAAAGUCAUACAAACCCAACCUCAUCAGGAUAACACCACUACGGGAGUGAAGCCAGAUGAGGGAGAAAAUGUGGUUAGUUGGUUAUGCCACAAGGAAGUACACAAGUCUUACCAAUGCAAGGCGAAGACCAUGGGAGAUAAGAAAAAGAAAACAAGCAAGCUCUCCAACACAUAUACAUGUUAAUAAGAUUGCUACAACGCCAUAUACUAGGCAAAUCACAUGGUAGGAUUGCUCGGUUUAAUUCAUACCCUUGGAGAAAAACCUACAUGGCUUAAAAUGUUAAACAAACAACAACACAUAGCUUAGUCAAAUUUCUGAAUAACUGAUACCCAUGCUUAUCUUUCAAUUCUGUUCCAAUUGCUUUUCAAUUAGUAUCUUACAAUUUAGUACCAUGAAUUUUCAAUUGGUAUCGUUUUGAAUUAUAUAUGCCAAAAGCUGAAAUAAUUGAUAAUUUUCCCCUAAGUAUCACCAUAGGUAAUGUCUUUGUGACAUUAUCCUUUCAAGUGGUAUUCUGACCUUAAAAGUCAAAGUGUUUGUGUCCUGCAAAUAUUCAAAACUCGCAUGCAAACUUUUAGGGGUUAUUCUAUAGUUUGAUUUCUUUGAGACUAACAUUGUUUCCAAGCCUAUCAUGUGCCUAGUAGUCUCAUUGACGGAAAAUGGAAUCCCUAGAGAAUGCCAAUGCACUGUCACUGCAAAUCAGUAUCAUAGUUAAUCUUUCAAUCUAUUAUUUUUCUAUUGAUAUCAUUUACAUGACUUCUCCAUUUGUAUAGACUAAAAUAACUUGAUUUCUUUUACCCCGUAUGUUGCAAUUUAUGCAUAUAUUUUAAUUUCUUUUGAUAUCUCUAGAAUUUCCUUUAUCAUCUAAAUAUGCAUAGAAAAAGGGGGAGUCUAGUUUAUGCAACAAAAUGUCAAAAUUUCCCGGGGGUCUUAUGUUGUUAAAAUUAAUGUUUACCAAAGAGGGAGAGUUUUUUGACAGGGGGAGUAUAUCGUUUUUUGCAUUGGGGAAGAUUACGUCACCAAAUGAGGAGAACUUUCUCUAAGGGAGAAAAUCUUUUUUAAAGGCCACAUAUUUUUUACCCUUUGUACAUGAUUUAAAAUAUCUUCCUUUUUGGUGUUUGAUUCUAAAGGGGGAGAAAUUCAAGGACAAAAGCAAACCAAAGUAUAUCAAAUACAAAAGGCAUUUUUUAAUUUUUUUAAAAAAUGUUUUCAAGUGAUUCUAUGUUGGGUUUUUAUCAAAAAAUAGGAAGGAUGUAGAUUAUAGAGUUAGAGGAGGCUUAAGUCCAUAAUUCCAUGUUAUGGGGAUAGUUUUGCAUAAGCAAGAAUGUUUAACAAAGGGUUAUAAUUGACAUGUAUUUCACUUUGGUAUCACAUAAAUCUUGCAUAUACACAUGCAUCCUAGCAAAUAGACUACAUAUUUUCAUUCGGUAUUUAAAAUAUUUGCUUGUUUUGGUUGUGUUGGCAUGUAAUACCCUAAAUUUGGGGGUAUAAAAUUUCUUCUCUAAUACCUACCAAAUUCAGGUGUUACUCCUUUUCUCACCUCUAUAGUUUUUUCUUUUCUAUUCUCUUUAAUAGGAUUUUGGGUUAAUUAUGGGAGAGAUGUAUUAUUUUCUUUGGAAUAUUAAAAUCUAGGGGAGAUAUGAAUGUUUGCAUCAUGCUGAGCUUAAACUUUAUUUUUGGUUGAUGCACAUGUUUGAAAUAUUUGAAUUUGAAUGGUGGAUUGAUUUGAUUUUAAUUCCAUAGAGAAAAUAAAAAGAAAAGGAAUUAGAAAUUCAGAAGAAAAAGGAAAAACCAAUUCAGCCCAAAGCAGCCCAGCUCGGCCUAGCGAGCCGCGCGCGUGCCCGCUCCCUCCCUGACAGGUGGACCUUGCAAUUCGGUGCUGACUCAUGCACGCGUGUCUCCGCUCCCCCUCUCCCUCUGCUCAAUGGGGCCGACCUGUCGGUGCCAAUUCCCCUCGCGCGCGCACCCCGUUAUCUUUCUGUCCCGCGGGCCCUAUCCGUCAGCGUCAUUGCUCGUUCCCCUCGCGCUGCGCCCAUGUCUCUGCGUUGUAGGCCAGCCCUAUCAGCUCUACCUUUCCCGCAAACUGCCAUUGACCCACAUGUGCACGCACACCGAGAAGACCGGCCACAUAGCUGCCCACUCACCCCAACUCCUUUUGAGCCCCACCCGCACCCGCUCUGUCCCCCUGCCUCAUUUCCCCCACGCUCACCCUCUCUCACGCUCUAUCGCCGCCGCUAGAGCCCGCCGGUGACCCGCACCCGAUGUACUGGCCGUCCAGGACGCCAGGAACCGCGCCAAGCCUUCCCAAGUGCAGUCCCGAGGUGAGGAACUCGCUUCUGUGCUUGGUUUCUCUUGAUUCCGCCCUACCGUGGUUAAUUCGCCCUUGCCGGAGCUCGGCCAUGCUAGUUCGCCAUGCACACGCGGUGUCUGGCCAAUUUAGCCUCGUCCUAAACCUCGGUUGUGGUCCAUAGCGUUCCCCUUCCCUCACCAGAGCUAGCCCAAGCCUUAGCACGCCCAAUUCCCUGUCCUCGCGGCCGAGAUUCCUCGCUGGAAUCACCCCGAUCCGCCUCGAGCACCCCCUCCACCGUUCUCUCGCCUCCGGUCCCGUUCUGGCGGCUGGAGUUCUACCAGUGAGUUCGCUGGACCCUCCCCAUCAGUUCCAGCCAACCCCGGCGACCCCAGACCCCCUAGAGGCCGCUCCUGCCCCGUCUCUGGUGACUUCACCAUCGCGGGCGAAGCAGCACCGACCGCCACGCUGGUUAGCCCCUGGGCGCCAAAUCCUAACCGCUCAAUCCUAACCCAACGGUUCGGAUCUCCGGAUACCGCUUAAGGCACGUGCCCUGCCUCUAGGUCCCAUCUAUUGGUCGCCUGUGCCCCCUAGCGCUGGGCUUGACUGGUCAACCCAUCUCCCCUUCCCAAUCGUUGACCCCCCUGGCCCACCUGUUAGCGCUCACCCGCGCGCCCCCGCGCGCGCUCGCGCUCAAAUCUAAUCCUAGUCAUUGACCUGUGAUCGGGCGACCGAGAUCACCCGAUACCCGUUCAUUUGGAGAACUUGUUAAAAGAACCCUCGAUUUUCAGAAAAUAAACAACAUUCCUGUGUUCUUGCGCUCAGGCCCCUGAUUUCUUGCAGAGAAGCCCCUGGACUUUAUUUUAAUCACAGAAAUAGGUCUAAUUUAGUAUUUUGAAUUCCAAAACUUUUUUAUUUCAUAUCUUUUGCAUAUGAACUCAAAAUUGGGUGGUUCAAAUUGCAAAAUGUUCAUAAAAUUAUUCUCUAUUUGUUUAAAUAGGUCCACUGUUUGCAUAUCUGAAUUUUAUGACUAGACAAUAGGUUCAUUUGAAGUGAUGGAUUAUUUAUUAAAAAGAAAAUAAAAAAGGAAAAUACUAAUGAGUAGUUAAGGGGUUAAUUUGUGAAAUUAAUCUCAGGCAAUAUAUGACCCCACCCCUGGAAUAACUUUAGUAGCUCAUUAAGAUAACUAUAGUUAAGUUAUGUGAUCCACUGAGAUAGGCAGUACUUAGAGAACCACAAACCACUACGUGUAUUAGUCUACCCUAGAACCUAGAUCUCACUUUUGUGUUUAUACUUUUCUAUUAAACUUAUGUUCAUUUGGUUGCACAUGUUUGGUUUAUUGUUCCUUUAUCAUUUCCCAAAUGUGUUGAAUGAAUGAUUGCUUUGCGUAGACAACGAGCAGUCUGAGGUUUCCGAGUGUGUUGCAGGAGACUUCCCUGAGCAGCAACCUGGUGAAGGCAAGUGUUCUCUGACCCAUUAUGUCCUAUUUACUUUAUAAUUCGUUUUCCCGCAUUACAUAAUUAAAACCUAAGGAUUGACUAGCUUUGUACCUUCUCCUUUAUUACCUUUUGGGUUAUUAUGGUUAGCUUCAUGCUAUUGCUUUACUUUAAUCAAUGAACAUGAUGAGAUCAUUUAUGAUACAAUGAUGUUAUCUUGAUUAUGAUGAUGAACUUGUGAUACUUUAGGGGACUCAGGUUAUUUCCUGAGUACCUCUCUGUAAGGACCUGUUCGUUGAGAGACCAACCGGGAUAAAAGUACAACCAUGAGGGUGGAAUGGGACGCCCUUAGCUGAUUAAUUAGAUGAACUUCGGGGUGUAGUUGGCUUUGCCAUAGGGCCAUCAAUGGGGGCUGGGGCAUAGUGCUUACUCUGCUAAGGGUGGGUGCCGAGGUUCAUUCGAUUUGGUUUUGUUAGUCACCCACCUUAGGGAGGAGUACUGUGUUUGUACGACUGGUGAAACCUAACGAGUAACUGCACACCAGGGGAAUCUUUGUAAAGGCUACAUAGUGAAUCCCUAGCAAUUCACCUCGGUAGUGAAGAUCAGGUUUGUACAACCUAGGCUAGGAGGGAUCACGACUCGUGGGUAAAGUGUGCAACCUCUACAGAGUGUUAGAACUGGUAUAUCAGUUGUGCUUACGGUUAAGAGCAGCCUUGGGAUCCUCUUUGAUUAGAGUAACUUUGGAUACUUUUAUGAUUAUGGUAACUGGUGAUGAUUAUAACAGUGGUUUCUGGUAUUCCCUCUUGAAGGUAGUACUUUUGAGUAAUAACUUGGAUUUAUUACUAAAACUUGGCUUUUCUACUAGUACUAAAUACCCGACCAACUAAAAGCAACUGCUUUAAGCUUAAUCCCACAUACAGCUAGUCCACUUUAACCAAACGGGACAUUUGCUGAGUACGUUGAUGUGUACUCACCCUGGCUUUAAAAACCACCCAACCCCAGGUUGUCCCCACUGUAAUCAGUGCUCAGGUGAAGAUAAAGGCAACAUGGAGGACUUUCAAGAGUUUCGGGACUUCGAUGAGUUCUAGUCGUGAUUAGUGGCAAACCCCCAGUCAGCUGCUUGUGAAGGCCUUAUCUUUCAACGUUUCGUAAUUCGCACUUUGAUUAUGAUAUUGACUAUGUUAAGUUAAUGACUCUGUGGAUGUUUUGGACAUCUUGAUGUAAUAAAGUACUAUUUUCGCUAUUAUUUUGAGCAAUUUGUGAUGAUGUCUGUGGGAGAUAGAUAUCCCCCGGGUCCACUAAAAGAGUAAAGGACCUCACGAAAGGCCCAAGGGCCUAAUAAAUCGUAAGGUCAUUCUUUCGUUGGCCUGGGGAGAAACAACCGGCAAUGCAGAACGACAUGAGGCUGGAUUGGUGCAAACCCGGACGGCCCACAGCGUCGAGCGAAUGGCUGCAACAGAGAUCCGACUUUCCCGCGCUGGAGUCUCCAUGCAACGAAGCCAUGCGAGGAUAAGUCGGCGAGGGUUACGUAGGGAUAAUCUCAAGAGGUUCACUAUCUUUUAGCUACUUGUUGUUAUCUUACCCACGUGUACUGCCCCACGGUCGAGUAUAUAAGGCCUAGGGGGCACCCCUUCAGAACGAUCGACCCUAUCCUACUUAGCCACCCACGUAAACUCUCUGUGCCUUCAACCCAGAGACCCUCUUGUAACCACAGCCGAAUUCUCAUCAGGACAUAGGGUGUUACGCAUCUCUAAGCGGCCCGAACCUGUAAAUCUUGUUCACUGUCUCUCGUGCGAUCGGCACGAACCAUUUUGCUACAGUCGUUGACACCGUCCUACUCCUAGAAAACACCUUGAGGGGCAACCCCGGGUGUGCGGUCGGACCCAAAACACCGACAGUUGGCGCGCCAGGUAGGGGGUGUGUCAACGAUCCAAGCUAGCUCAAUGGCCGUCACCUUCCACAGCAAAAUCGCCGUGCGUCCCGGAUCUGUAUUCUGCUUCGGGACAAUCUCGUCCGUAGCAGAUGAAGAAGGAAUUCUACACCGCCUCGCAGAUCUGCCGGAACAGAAGUCUCCUCCAACAAACUCCGAAAAUACUGGAAAGACGCUACUUCCGGCUCUUCGGAAAAAGAUCGUCUCCGGGGAAGCUGGAGCUAGAAGCUCGCUGACCCGGAAGAGUCCACUGUCUACUUCCCCGACGAAAGAAUGGACACGGGUCGUGAGAAAGAAGGAGACCAGGGAGAGGCAAAUCGUUCUUCCCGUUCCUCCGACCUCAAAGGAGAACGGAAAGAAAGUCGCCGCGGCAGCAAUGCCGUUCUACCCCGACGUCCUCUUCAUCGGGAGAGCAGAGUCGCUCGCCGUCUCCGACGAUGAACCGACCGUGCCUGGAGAAGAACCGCCUCAGCGAGAAUCCCGCCGACGAAGGAACCGACGCAGGAACGUUCGACGACAUCACACGGCCGGAGAGCGGGAUCCGGAGCAACCUGUCUCGCGAGACGAGGUCUCGGAGAUAGGAGAAACUCCGGAAGAACGCGUCUUCAGGGAACGAAGGAACUCUCGACGACGUGAUCGCCGUCGGACUCAGGAGCAAGCCGAGCAAGAUGCAAGGCAACGACGCGAGAAUCCGCUCUUCGGGCGCAACUUGAACCCCGACUUCGCUCGAGCUAUGAACACGCCGAGCGAAGUCGGAGGCGUUCUAGCUCGGAUAGCUGACGGACUUCCUCGGACUCCCGACACCGAGGGAUACCAACGCCUGUUUACUCAGGCGGCCAACCAUCUUCUACCGCUCGCUCACCCGCCGAACGAUUUGCGGCACACCAUCAACAGUCGCCGAGACGCGCGAAGCUCCAUCAAUGCUUCGCGCGAACGGCGGCAUGAGAAUGAAAUUCGCCGUCGGGAGGAGUAUGACCGAGAUCAUGGCUUCCCGACUCAAAGCCAGGCUACCAGGACUGAGUCGGCAACAGCUUCAACUGGCGGUACCACCCGGGGACGGUCGAGGAACCGCCACCACCACUCCCCUCCCCGGGACAGACGACAUCCCCGACGACAGGAGGACACGUGCGGAGUAUCUGCACUUACUCCGCGCCUUAGGGCCAUCCAAUGGCCUCCCAAUUUCAAGGUAUCCAAUGUCGACAAAUAUGAACCUAAGCAGGAUCCAGGGGGUUGGUUAGCCGUCUACACCACUGCCGCUCGAGCUGUCGGAGCAUCUGAAGACGUCAUGACCGCAUAUCUGCCCAUUGUCCUUGGGCAAGAUGCGCUGCAGUGGCUGCGACAUCUACCCCGACACUGCAUCGACGACUGGAGAGACUUCAGUCGACGUUUCAUCGCCAACUUCCAGUCCCUCUUCGACAAGCCGGCGCAACCAUGGGACCUCAAAUCCAUCAAGCGCCGGGGGGAUGAGACUCUCCGGUCAUACCUUAAAAGGUUCCAGACCAUGAGAAACCGCAUCCCCGAGGUCACGGAGGCGGCCGUGAUCGAGGACUUCUACAGAGGAUCCAAUGACUCGGUUUUCGUCCGAGCCAUACUACAAAAGGCGCCGACUACCUCCGAGGAGCUGUUCCGGGAAGCCGACCUCUACAUCACCGCCGACGAGCGAGCCCAGGAUCUCAUCGGAGGAGCAAAGCCUGCACCGGCAGCGCCACGACGUGACGCGAACCAGCCGUCCGACAAACGCUGGGAGAAGAGGCCUCGAGAAGAAGUACACGCCGCCGGACCACCCGCCUCUCGCGCCCAAGGAGGACCUCGUGGAGGCGAGCGCACGCUGGACGACAUCCUCGACGCCCAGUGCCCGUACCACAAGGACAUGCGCCACACCCUUCAAAACUGCCGGGACUUCAAGCACUCCGUCGGGCACGGCCGACCCUUCCAACCUCUACCGCCUCCUCCGCCGAGGGGAGGACCAGAUGAACCACGACAGCCCCAUCGGCAGGAGGAGGGGGGAGGAGGAGCUUUCCCGCGCGUUGACAGGGAGGUCAACGUCAUCUUCGGCGGACAUGGGUCGCAGGAGAACAAAAGACAACAAAAGCUCAACGACCGCCAGAUACUGGUGGCGACCACCGGUCCUCCCGCCCCGUACCGGUGGUCGGAGCACCCGAUCACUUUCACUUGGGAGGAUCAGUGGCUCAACUUCGACCAUCCAGGCAAAUACCCGCUCCUCGUCGAUCCGGUGAUCCGAGAGAGCCGGGUAAAGAAGGUGCUAGUGGACGGGGGGAGCAGCAUCAACGUCACCUUCCCCCGUACACUCCAAGGCUUGGGAGUUCACCUCAAAGAGCUCCACGAGUCGGACACUCCUUUCUUCGGCAUCGUGCCGACGGAAGGGGAAUACCCGUUGGGCCACAUCUACAUGCCGGUCACCUUCGGAACUCCGAAGAACUACAGAACCGAGUUCCUGAGGUUCGAGGUGGCGAACUUCGACUGCGGGUACAACGCCAUCAUCGGGAGGCCGGGACUGGCCAAAUUCAUGGCCAUUCCGCACUAUACAUACAUGAUACUGAAGAUGCCGGGACCACGAGGAAUCAUAACUGUGCGUGCCGACUUCCAAGGUGCCGCAGAGUGUUUCCGAGUGGCCAUUCAGGCAGCCCUCACCACCAAGCCGUCGGCGGUUCCUUCUACAUCGGCGAACUCUAAGCCUGAGGAAGGCCUCACGGUACCGGCGAAUGAAACUCAGGCCGUGACCUCUAUGCGGCCGACUGAAGAAACCAAAAGAAUCAACCUGGGGUUCGCUGACGAGCGCAAGACGGCUGUCAUCAGCUCCAGUUUGAACAACAAAUAGGAAAGCGCGCUCGUCCAGUUUCUGCAAGAUAACCGGGAUGUAUUCGCGUGGCAACCUGCGGAUAUGCCGGGAGUCCCAAGAGAACUGGCCGAGCACAAAUUGAAGGUCUAUCCUCAAGCGAGGCCGAUUCGGCAAAAGUUGCGUCGUUUCACGCCCGACAAGAGAGAGGCCAUUCGUGCCGAGUUAGCUCGUUUGGUCGCGGCUGGAUUUAUUAGAGAAGUAUUACAUCCCGAGUGGUUAGCCAACCCUGUUCUUGUACUCAAAAAGAAUAAAGUGGAUUGGCGCAUGUGCGUCGACUACACUGAUCUCAACAAACACUGUCCGAAGGAUCCCUUCGGGCUCCCGAGGAUAGAUCAAGUAGUGGAUUCCACCGCUGGAUGUUCUGCGCUGUCUUUCUUAGAUUGCUAUUCCGGGUAUCAUCAGAUCAGUUUGGCAAAAGAAGACGAGGAAAAAACGGCGUUCAUCACCCCGUUUGGUGCUUUCUGUUAUACCUCCAUGCCGUUCGGCCUCAAAAACGCUGGAGCAACUUAUCAGAGAGCCAUUCAAACAUGCCUAGCCGAUCACUGGGGCAAGCGUGUGGAAGCUUACGUUGAUGAUGUGGUGAUCAAAACAGAGAAUUCGGAAAACUUCAUCGAAGAUUUACAGCUGGUUUUCAACAGCCUGAGGAGAUAUAGAUGGAAGCUCAAUCCUGAAAAAUGUGUUUUCGGGGUACCAGCAGGAAAGCUGCUCGGAUUUAUUGUCAGCCACCGGGGAAUUGAGGCUAAUCCAGAAAAAAUUGAAGCUAUCAUGAAGAUGGAAGCUCCUCGGUCACAAAAGAAGGUUCAGCGACUCACUGGAUGUAUGGCAGCUCUAAGCAGAUUUAUAUCCAGACUGGGAGAGAAAGGUUUACCAUUUUACAAACUACUCAAGAAGGUGGACAAGUUUCAGUGGACUUCAGAGGCACAAGAAGCUUUAGAUGCACUGAAGAAAUUUUUGACAACACCACCAGUAUUGAAACCGCCCCGGCGAGUUACGCCGACUCAACCGGCUGAAGAUUUGCUGUUGUAUAUCUCUUGCACGACUCACGUGGUAAGCACUGCGUUGGUAGUCGAGCGAGUGGAAGAAGGGCAUGCCUACCCGGUACAACAUCCUGUUUACUUCAUCAGUGAAGUUCUAGGUCCCUCGAAGAAAAAAUAUCCUCAGGUUCAGAAGCUAUUAUAUGCAGUACUUCUAACUGCCCGCAAGCUGCGUCACUACUUUGACGACCACAAAGUCAUAGUAGUUACUGGUUUUCCAAUAGGAGAUAUUCUUCACAACAAGGAAGCCAUUGGCCGAAUAGCCAAGUGGGCUUGCGAGUUGGGAUCCCACGAUAUCGAGUUCCGACCUCGCACUGCCAUCAAAACUCAGGCACUGGUUGAUUUCGUAUCAGAGUGGACAGAACAGCAAGUUCCAGACAAUCCAGAGACAACAGAAGUAUGGCGAAUGUAUUUUGAUGGCUCGCUGAAGCUGCAGGGAGCAGGAGCAGGGAUUCUCUUCACUGCACCGGGAGGCGAACACCUCAAGUAUGCUCUCCAGUUGCUAUUCCCAGCCUCAAACAAUGCAGCCGAGUAUGAGGCCUUGAUACACGGAUUAAACAUCGCCAUAUCACUGGGCGUCAAGAGAUUAAUGGUAUAUGGAGAUUCUCUGGUAGUCAUCAGCCAGAUAAACAAAGAAUGGGAUUGUUCAAGUGAUUCAAUGGGAAAAUAUUGCACUGCCGUCCGAAAGCUGGAAGAUAAAUUCGAGGGUCUGGAAUUUCACCAUGUAGAAAGAGAUCGGAACACGGCAGCCGAUAUACUAUCCAAACUCGGAUCCGGUCGAACUCAGGUCCCACCCGGAGUCUUCGUGCAAGAAAUCCUGCAGCCGAGUAUCUCGAUGAAUCAAGCAGAAGAGUGCAACGUCAUGGAUCAACCCGGGUCAGACUCUGAUGAUUGGAGACAGCCGAUUACUAAGUAUAUAAAGAAUGAGGAAGAACCAGAUGACAAGAACUCGGCAGAGCGUAUUGCCAGACAAUCGGCUCACUAUACCCUCAUUGGGGAGGUAUUAUACAGGAGGGGCGCGUCAGGCGUCCUCAUGAAAUGCAUUCUCCCGUCCACCGGGAAGCAACUUCUGGAGGAAAUCCAUGCAGGGCAGUGUGGAGUACACGCAGCAUCCAGAACACUAGUCGGGAAGGUUUUCAGGUCAGGAUUCUAUUGGCCGACGGCGAAGAACGAUGCAGUCGAGUUAGUUCAGAGAUGCGAAGCUUGCCAAUACCUGUCAAAGCAACAGCACAUGCCAGCGCAGCAGCUGCAGACCAUACCAGUAACUUAGCCUUUCGCAUGCUGGGGACUGGAUAUGAUUGGACCUUUCAAGAAAGCUCAAGGAGGAUAUACCCAUGUGUUGGUGGCAAUUGACAAAUUCACUAAAUGGAUAGAGUUUCAGCCUAUUGCUUCUUUAACCUCUGCUAAAGCCGUGGAAUUCAUACAAAGCAUAAUAUUUAGAUUCGGGAUACCAAACAGUAUCAUCACUGACUUGGGAUCCAACUUCACCAGUUCAGAAUUCUUUGACUUCUGCGAGCAAAAGAGCAUUCAGAUCAAGUAUGCAUCCGUAGCACAUCCAAGAGCCAACGGGCAGGUUGAGCGAGCCAAUGGAAUGAUAUUAGAGGCACUCAGGAAAAGGGUCUUCGAUAAGAAUGAAAAAUUCGCUGGAAAAUGGAUAAGGGAGCUGCCUUAUGUUGUUUGGAGCCUGAGAACCCAACCCAGCCGAGCCCUACAUGGAAAUACUCCUUUUUUUCAUGGUCUAUGGGUCGGAGGCAGUGCUACCUGCUGAUCUCAAGUUUGGGGCGCCAAGAUUGAUCUUCGAAAGCAUAGCAGAAGCCGAGGCCACCAGGCUGGAGGAUAUUGAUAUACUUGAGGAAGAACGACUGAAUGCAGUGAUCCAAUCAGCACGGUACCAGCAAACUCUAAGGCGUUAUCAUGACAAGGCUGUACGACAACGUUUCUUUUCGAUAGGAGACCUCGUCCUCCGCCGAACUCUAACGGGGGAGGGGCAGCACAAGUUAUCACCCUUAUGGGAAGGGCCUUUCAUAGUAGCAGAGGUUACUCGGCCCGGAUCGUAUUGCCUCACCCAGAUGGAUGGCACAGAAGUUGGUAACUCUUGGAACAUAGAGCACCUCAGAAAGUUUUACCCCUAGCUGUAUUUCAAGACAGCCGGGGCGACCAUGUACUCUGUAAAGUGGAAAUAUGUCAUCAAUAAAGAUAGAUCUCAAAGAUACUCGGUUCGUUUAUGAUCGACUUGCAUUCUUACUUAACUCGGGGUGACCACUAUGCCCUACAAACGGAGCAAUCGACUUAAGUCGGCGACGACUUAAGGCGGUGCAAGAUGCUCACGCUUACUUAACUCGGGGUGACCACUAUGCCCUGCAAACGGAGCAAUCGGCUUAAGUUGGCAACAACUUGAGGCGGUGUAACAUGCUCACGCUUACUUAACUCGGGGUGACCACUAUACCCUACUAACGGAGCUAUCGGCUAAAGUCGGAGAUAGCUUAAGCCGACGCAGCAUACUCGCACCUAUAUAAUGCAAGGGAUGAUUUCCAUAUUCCAUAAACAAAUUUCAUAAUCAUCAUGUGGCAUUACCACAAAUCUACGAACCAACAAAUUCUGAUACAAUAAGGGAGUAAUCAUAUCAUUCGAAUGAUAAGCUGAUGUCUUCUAACGAAUACUUGAUCAUGCUAACCACGCGCUCAGAGCAUGCAAAAUGUUUCUCUAUUUUCCAAUGUCUUUCUCAGGAACGACCGACGAAGAAGGGCGAUUCGAGGAAUCGGGGGUAGCAUUCACAUCAGCUUUUAUAUCUUCAGGAACUACCACUCCGGGUCUUCUCAUCAAGAUUCGCCCCGCUCGAAUAGCCUUGUCCAUGGCUUUAUCGCGCUGGGCUUUGAGAGUAGCAGCAGUCUCUUCGGCGGUUUUAGCGGCCAGCUGAGCAGUUUCUAACUCCUGGGCAAUGGUUUUCUUGGAAGCUCGGAGUUCCUUGAUGGUGGCAUCCUUCGCUGAUAUCAAUUGCUUAAGGCGGGUCACUUCGUCCACAGAUUCUUGUAGCCUACAACGCUGAUUGUCCAGUUCCUCCAUUGUAAAGCGGUGGCUCCUCUCCAAGAUGGUUAGCGAGUUGCUAGAAUCUCGAUACAAUCUGUCCAGAUUGUCGCGAGAAGCGGCAAGGAUGCGUUUUUCUUCCUACAAGCAAAAACCAACUCAUUCAGAAUCCAAGCAUGUAAUAAGGCGAAGCAUGGUUUCGUAAGUUACCUUUUCGGAGUCAAGCCGAGCAUGAAGAGAAGAACUCAGAGCGUUGGCAUCAUCCAAAGCAGCAGAAACCUGAUUCAGUUCAGUCUGGCUCUGAAGAUACUUAUCCUCGAAGUCAGCACACCGUUGAGCCAUUUCAGCUUGAUCUCGAGAAUGUUUUUCCUCAAGAACUGCGAUCUGCCGAGUCAUUCCUAUCAAGAGAUAAUCAAAUGAAGUGAGGUCAGAAGGUAAAACAAUCCACGAGCAAGGGUAAGGAAGAAGAAGAAAGGGCACUAACCAGCAUUAGUUGCCUCCAACUCGGAUACACGACGAUGAAGCAACACUGGAUUCCAACGCUCGAGAGAUGAAGCCACUUCUGGGGUGGAAGCACCCUGUGAUUUCAGUUGACUGGCCAAUCCAUUCACCAAAGCCUGAUGAGAAGAACAGAUGAGCAUAAUGACAGCAAUUCAUGCAACAUAAAGAUCAAACUAAAGCACAGCACAGCACCUGGAGGUUGGAAAAGAACGAAGGGAUCCCCAAGUCAGGAGAAAUCAGCUGAUAAUCAGGUGCCAGACCACCACCCGAAGCAGCUUGCAGCAGACCAGCAGGAACGAGCUCAGUACAUUCAGCGGAGCCUAACGCCAGACCAGUGGGGAUGCUGCCCUCUAAAGCGACCCCCUGAUCUGGAGUUUGAGACACCACCAUGCCGCCAGAGUGUGGAGGUGAACCCGCGUGAACGUCCAUAGAAGCGCAGGAAGGAGACCCUGCUCGGGCACCCUCGGGGGCUGGGUCACAGUCGGCGCUGCCCACCUGAGCCGGAUCAUCCCCGGCAACACCCUCGGGGGCUGGGCAGUGGCCUACACUCUUCGCCCGAGCUAAGUCACUCCCGACGACAUCCUCGGGGGCUGGGCAUAUAUCAGCGCCAUUCUUGGGACCCAGGCUCUCUGCCGUGACCACCUCUAAGGUUGACGGGCCUUCAGCUACUUCCAUGGGAUCAGAACGAUCCAGGUCAGCAUCCCGACCCUCGAGAUCAUGCUCUAAGGUCGACGAGGCACGGGAUGACCUCAACCCAGCAUCUGGCACGGCUGCACAAGUUUCUGUCGCAUCAGCAUCUGCAGGCUCCGAUAGCAAGUCUUCUGGGACCAUAUCCUCUAGAGUUUUAUCAAAGUCGGCCAUGGACAGCUCUUGCAAGCCAAUAAGGGCAGACAAAGCAGGAGAAGGGACUCCACUACUUCCACCGCUAGCAAUGAAUUGCUGACUGUUUUUCCGAGUUAAAGGAAUUUCAUCUUCUUCCUCUUCAUCCUCUACAGCGGCAACACAAGCAGCACUCCCACUGGGAUCACCAACAGUUUGGGCACACCCAUUGGGAUCAACGACAGUUUGGGCACACCCAUUGGGAUCAACGACAGUUUGGGCACACACAUUGGGAUCAACGACAGUUUGGGCACACCCAUUGGGAUCAGUAUCAGUAAGACCGAUAACAGGCACUUCUUCAGCAGCAGGAGCUAAAAUGCCGGCGUCCUCAUCAAAACUGGAUACUCGCCGGAGGCGUCUUUUCUUUUUCUUUUGCUCAUCAGCAGAAGGCUCGGGACGACUAGCUCGGCUAGGGCGCCUCGGACGAGUGCUGACAGUUUUUGAGACAUCCAAAGUCGUAUCAACCUCUGGAAGGGGCACCACUGCCAAGGUACCAAUAGGAGCAGCAUCGGACGAAUCCUCAGCUAAUAGAUCAAGCAUAUCAUUUAUGUCAGCAUCACUGGGAUUCAGAGGCACUUCAAAAUAAACCUGCCGUUCAUCAUCAGGAAUCGCCCCGAGCGAAGCAACCAAAGAAUUGACUUCCUCAGCAGAGGGUCGCACUCUAAGGCCCAAAUUGCUGUCAGUCACAGGCGGAUUUGACACAAAAGGGUGAAAUCUUUGGGAGGAGGCAGGUUCCAAGCCGAGUAUGCCACUGGAGCACCAACAUUCGAAACUUUACCUCUGAGGAUCAUUUCAAGUCGGCUUACCAAAUCAACAGAAGGAAUUCUCCUAUUGGUAACUCGGGUUGAGUCGGCCAGCCCUCGGUAAAGAUAUGCCGGAUAGGCCCUGUCUUUCAGCGGCUGAAUGUUUUUGAAAACGAAAUCUGUAACCACAGCUUCGGCAGUCAGACCUCUCUCUUUCAGUAAUCCGACUUCAGUAAGCAACACGCUUGCCUCGGCCACUUCUUGAUCCGUGGGAGACUCAGUCCAACUCAGAGUACGAACGUCUGGCUGUCUUCCUGAGCGGGGAGGGAGAGAAUUUCCAUAAUUAUCAAUUAUAAACCACUCCAGACGCCAACCUUUAAUGCUGUCCUUGAGGGGUAUCUCGAGAUACUCGGUCUUCCGUCCACGGCGCAUUUCCAAACUAGCACCUCCAACCAGCUGAUGUUGCCCCCCGGCCAUCCCAGGGCGACAAUGGUACAGAUACUUCCACAAACCAAAAUGCGGCAGCACACCGAGGUAGGCUUCGCAUAGGUGGACGAAGAUGGAGAUUUGGAGAAUAGAAUUAGGGUUCAAAUGGGUCAAGUUGAUAUGAUAAAAGUCAAGAAGGCCACGGAAAAAAGGAGAGAUUGGAAGGCCGAGGCCGCAGAGAAGGAAAGGAGCGUAAACUACUGAUUCGUGGGUAUCUUCGGUUGGGACAGUAGUCCCGUGGCAAACUCGCCAAGAACAGAGUUCCCGCGGAGGGAGAACCCCGAUGGAGACAAGACGGAGAAGCUCAUCUUCGGAAAUUACAGACAUGUGGUUACCUGCGAAAGGUAACUGACUAUUGGGGUCGAUUGGGGGGAUCACCGCAGCAGACGAGCUCGCAGUUUUCCUCUUGGGCGCCAUCUUGCUUCUCACUGGCGAAACAGAGUAGGAGGCGAGUGGCAGAGAAGAUUCAGAUGCGGAAAUGCAAGAACUAGGGCACGGAAAGCAAAGGCGGCUAAAAGCGCGACUCUUAAGGGAUAUUCUUGAGCCAGAUACCCUUUUAAAAGGUGCCCAAUCAUCACCCGGCGGUCAUCUCCGAAAUUCCAGCAUGCCACGUGGAUAUCUAACAGUUAUUUCCAAGAGAGCCGACGUGCCACCUCAUCACUUGGUUAUUUUCCUCAAAAUAACUUGUAAAGCUGGCUAUCAUUCGGCGUCACCUCUAAAACGCCGACAACGUGUUCAAUCGCUCGGCAUUACUUCUAAAAUGCCGAUGCCGACCUUCAAUCACUCGGCGUUACCUCGAAAACGCCGACCACGUGUUCAAUCGCUCGGCAUUACUUCUAAAAUGCCGAUGCCGACCUUCAAUCACUCGGCGUUGCCUCUAAAACGCCGACCACGUGUUCAAUCGCUCGGCAUUACUUCUAAAAUGCCGAUGCCGACCUUCACUCACUCGGCGUUGCCUCUAAAACGCCGACCACGUGUUCAAUCGCUCGGCAUUACUUCUAAAAUACCGACGCCGACCUUCAAUCACUCGGCAUUGUUUCUAAAACGCCGACCCUGUAUUCUGUCGCUCGACAUUACUUCUAAAAUGCCGAUGCCGACUUUCUAUCAUUCGGCAUUGCCUCUAAAACGCGGAUCUUGUGUUCGAUUGCUUGGUGUUACUUCUAAAACGCUGAUGACAACCUACACAUCGCUCGGCGUUGUUUCUACUACAUUAAAAGAAUCGGUUCAACAUUCAGGAAAAGCAACGACAAGUCAUCAAAAAGGGGGGAUCAACGAUAGUUCUUCAUUAAAGGGAAGUUAACGAGUUUACAAACCAACUCUUCAUGAGUUGGUACCUCCCUACUUCUACUCUACAUUAUUACUACUACUAAACUACACUAAUUACUACUACAUUAUUCUAACUAUACUAAACUAUACUAACAUCUAAGAAGACCAGUGGCGUCUAGCCACUGGCCCUGCCCCUGCCGCCGCCGCCGCCCUUGGUGCUGCCCUUGCUGCUGCCACCCUUGGUGCUGUCCCUGCUGCCGUCGCCGCCGCCCCUGCCACUGCCGCUGCCGUCACCGUCGCCGUCGUCGUCGUCAUCGUCGUCGUCAUCGUCGUCGUCGCCUUCACCCUCGUCGCCGCCGUCCGAGUCCUCCUCAUCCGAGGAGUACUCCGACUCAUCCGAGCCUUCGAGCCUGGAGCGCUCGACGGCCCGGAUGUACGUCCAGACCUCCGCGGCUAUCCCCUGGGAGUCGUCCGAGUCAUCGGACGACGCCGGGGGAGAGACGGGGGCUGGGGAUCCCUCGGACUCAGAGGAGAACUCCUCCUCUGAGUAUUCCGAGUCACCGAACUCGUCCGACGGAGGAGUCGGCUCGCGCUUGCGCUUGGUGCCCUUGCCCAUGGUGGAAGCAGACAGAAGGGAGGAGAAGAAGGCAGUAAGUAACAGCGAAGAGAUGUGAAAAAACCAGAGAAGCAAAGGUGUUAUUUAUAGAGGGGAAAGCAACCGCUCACUUCCAACCGCGGUCACUGAACAGUCGCAAAGCAUUCAAUAAGCACUCCCACCCAUCUGAAGACACGUCAGACAGCGGACGCCGUUUCAUGCAUCACUACACCCAUUGGGACUCCAGUCAACAGCGCAAAGGAUAUGAUUACACUAGCCGUCCCAUCGCAUUACUACUCAGAGGAAACCGGCUAAAACACUCAGCGUACCAAGCCGUCCCUUGCCCACACCCAUUGGGGGGGGGGACGCCCAGGAAUUAUCAGUAUAUUUUUCAAAACGGUCACAUCCGUGCAGGGCACGCAGUGAAUACCUCAAGACAAAAAUGAGAUAUCAACAAGAGUUAGAGGGAAGCCAAAUAUAGCCAGUAGAGUGCAAAAUAUGGUCGACAGAAAUGACUUGAAGACUAGACAGAGAACGUCCAUCAAAUGUCCAAUCAGUCACAGAGCAAAUAAAUUACACUACCUAGCGAGAUAUGGAUGGAUUGCGAACUCGGCUGCAAAAGACAAAAUACAUGCUGACCUCUGAAGCAUAAUAUUGAUGACAUAGCGCGGAUGACAUCAUGCCAAUUUUUUACAAGCAGAAAGGAUAAUUUUCAGCAAAAGGACACAGAAGGAAGACCUUCGAGUGGAUUAUCCUCAAAAAUCCACUUGAAGGUCGGGGGCUACACCCAUUGGGUGCACCUUCGGUGCACCCCAUGGAUUAUCAUUCUAAAUCAAUAUAGUGCCGACCUCUAAGGCGUGGAACAAGAUUGGAAAGAUCAAUCCUCAACUGAGAUGCAGGAGCGCGAAUGGAGAUAAUCUUUGGAGAAGACCUUUGAGUAGAUUAUCUUCUAAAAUCUACUCAAAGGUCGGGGGCUACACCCAUUGGGUGCACCUCCGGUGCACCCAAUGAAGUCCAGAAUCUUACAAUCCAAAAUGCUGAUUUCUAAGGCACAGGCACAAAACUAAACUUUGGUCGAACAAGUGAUCAGAGCAAGAGAAAACAGCAGGGAGUCAUUUUUGGACCUUGGAUCUUUGAGUUGAUUACCUCCAAAUCAACCCAAAGAUCGGGGGCUUGUGGGAGAUAGAUAUCCCCCGGGUCCACUAAAAGAGUAAAGGACCUCACGAAAGGCCCAAGGGCCCAAUAAAUCGUAAGGUCAUUCUUUCGUGGGCCUGGGGAGAAACAACCGGCAAAGCAGAACGACAUGAGGCUGGAUUGGUGCAAACCCGGACGGCCCACAGCGUCGAGCGAAUGGCUGCAACAGAGAUCCGACUUUCCCGCGCUGGAGUCUCCAUGCAACGAAGCCAUGCGAGGAUAAGUCGGCGAGGGUUACGUAGGGAUAAUCUCAAGAGGUUCACUAUCUUUUAGCUACUUGUUGUUAUCUUACCCACGUGUACUGCCCCACGGUCGAGUAUAUAAGGCCUAGGGGGCACCCCUUCAGAACGAUCGACCCUAUCCUACUUAGCCACCCACGUAAACUCUCUGUGCCUUCAACCCAGAGAGCCCUCUUGUAACCACAGCCGAAUUCUCAUCAGGACGUAGGGUGUUACGCAUCUCUAAGCGGCCCGAACCUGUAAAUCUUGUUCACUGUCUCUCGUGCGAUCGGCACGAACCAUUUUGCUACAGUCGUUGACACUGUCCUACUCCUAGAAAACACCUUGAGGGGCAACCCCGGGUGUGCGGUCGGACCCAAAACACCGACAAUGUCCAACUAUGUAAUCGUUGUGUACGUGAGUUUCUGAUCCAGGCAUGUACAUGGUUCGCAUUCGGUUUGCCUUACAAAACCGGGUGUGACAUGGCAUCAAUCACCAAAAGGGGGAGAUUGUAAGGAAAAUGGACCUUGGCGUAUUUGAUUAGUGAUUUUGGUGUUUGAUGAUCAACAUAACCAUUUGGACUAAUGUGUUUGCUAGUUUUUAUGUUUAUAGUUCAAAAGUUGCAACAUGUACUUGGACGAAGGCAAUGAGGUGAUCAAGAAGAUCAACACCUCAAAUAAGAUUUUUAUAAGUCAUAUUGAAGACCAUCAACAUGCUAAGAGUCAAAUAUACCAAGGACUAGAAGUCUAGAUGCAAAGACAAACAAAAGUGAAGUCACCAAAGCUGAGACAAAGAUGUGAUCGAAUUGGAAGUGUCUCACAAUUUUGGAUCUACUCAUAUUUUCAUGGUUACAUUCUAAACUAUAGAGCUUUUCGUUGGCUUUCCAAAAAGUCCAAGAUCAUCAUAAUUAGAGUCCGGAGCAAAAAGUUAUGCCCACAAUAUGAAAUUGGGUGUUGUAAAAGACUACAUUUGGCAAAUCCGGUGCAAUGUUGGUUGUUUAAAUAUGAUCAAAUUGACAUGGCUUCAAGUCUAGGUUGUAUAGUUUUUCAUUAGCUCUCCAAAAAAUCCAAGAUCAUCAAAAUCAGAGUUCAGAGCUUAAAGUUAUGCCCAAAACACACGAAGGGUCGUGUUGUGCACAAGACAUGUCCGGUGCGCCACUGGACAUGUCUAGUGUACACCAGACAGCGAAGGCUCCAAUGGCUAGUCCACGUGAAAGGGACCAGACAUGUCCGAUGCACACAUGUGGCGCAUUGGACAUGUUCAAUGUGUAUGUAGAUUGCAAUAGCUUUAUGGUAACAACUCUUUUGUGCUUGGAACGCUAUAAAUACCACCCCAACUAGCCAUUUGAAAGUGUGGAGAACUAAGAAACAUAGUGUAUGAGUUGAGACACCAAUCCAAUAGGUCAAAACACACAAGUGAUAAUAUGAUCACUCGGUGAUUAGCGUAGGUGCUUUGUGAAGUGCUUAGAUUAGUUAUACUACCUCAUUGCACAUGCUCUAGGUUAUGCCCAGGUGAUUAGAGUGUGGUUAGACACCCUAAACCCCUUGAUGCUUGCAUGCACCAUUGUAAUUGUACCAAGUGGGGCGAGAGUCUUACAAGACCAUACCAAUCCCGUUUGUGGUGUGGCCGCCACCGUGUACCAGAUGGAAUAAGGCCUGUAAUGUUUCAGCUAGAAGCUCGAUAGUGAAGACGACGGAGAGCAUUCGAGAAAGGCCGGAAGCGCAACACAACUUGCACGUGGAGAAGGCUCACGACUAUCUACGAAGUUACCUCUCUAGGUGCUUGAUCCUCGUAUGGACUUUCCUUUGCGUAGGGGCACCAACGGGAGUUUGUAUCUCUAUCUCAUUUAAAAACCUUGCGUGGUUUUUGAUACAUCGGUAAAAAUAUCGGCAUGUCAAUUGAAGUUUGCAUCUCUAUCUCUUUUAAGCUUCCGCAUUUGUAUUGCUUCCUUUGGUUGUGUGCUUUACCUUUCCUAGCUUAGAUUAUAGGCUAGUUGGUAGGACUGAAACCUAGGUUGCAUAACUCCAUGUUGCAGUAGAGAUAGUAAUACUUAGAUAAAAUCUUAGUUGCAUUAGAUUAUUUGUUAAUUAGAGGCCUAGUUUAGAGUGUGAAAAAUAGAAGUCCUAAUUCACCCUCUCCCUCUUUUAAGCGUCCAUGUUCCUUUCACCUAAGUUGCUCUAGCUUGCUUGGUUAUCCACAUAGAUUUCGUUUAAGAGGUAAGAUUAGAGGCUACAUUAGUGCAAAAAAAUAGAUGUCCUAAUUUACCCUCCACUCCUAAGCAUCCACGUUCCUUUCACAUAUAUCUAACAUCCACUCUAUUAGAAUAAAAUAAUCGAUGGCACUCUGCUUUAGUAGACCUACCAAGUGAGGAUUAGAAUCUUUAUAAGCGCAACAAUUGAGGAUUCGUGAAUACCGUCGGAAAAAUGACUCAACCGUUUCCGUUCCACCACUUUUUCUCAAGAUUUUUUUAUGUUGCUUUUUUUUUGCGGAUACAGUAUAUAUAGCAGUCGGUCAUUACUCCUUUUUUCAUCCCUAGCCGACGGGCAGUUCAGCGACAGCGACACGUCGUCGGAGAGAGGACGGCCUCCCAGUCCUCGGCGCUGAUGAGGGGGCGGAUGGAGCGCGGAGGACCACUUUGACGAGGCUAAUCGGAUGCUAAUUUUGCUUUGUGUAUGUAAGCUUAUAAUAAUACGUUGCUUACGCAAGCAAGGAGCACGAACCAAAAAAACAUUCUAAUACUACAGCGAUUCCAAUCCAGAUAAAGCAAACGUACUACGGAAUGCAGAUAGCAAUUCAGCAGAGUAGAACCAAGGCUACUAAUCCUCAAAAAAGAAAAACACGAAGGCUACUAAUCUGUUGCAGUUGCUGGGUGGGGCUGCACGUUAUUAAUCUUCGACUUCGUCUUCAUCCAUAUCGCCUUGGAUCAGGCAGGCAAUAUGCAGCUGCCAUUCAACGAUACAUUUUUUCCCCACGUCAUCAUCAGGUCAGCAAAUUUCUGAACAAUAUAUGGUUAUUACAAAAUACUAAUAGUGAGAUCGAUGAGGUGUAUCUACUUACAUGUUUGGUGGUCCGUUGUCAUUUCUCAGACGGCCCUCAUGACUACCAGCCAUCGCCCUGUCAAACAUGCAGAAUGGAUACGAGAUUUAUAUAGAAUAAAAUACUAUGUUGAUUUUUACCUCCAACUAGAUCAUUGAUCAAAUGUGUCCAAACAGAUAUUGCAGUCAUGUGCAAGACUACACCUUGUAAUUUGUAAACCAGCACUAACAUAACAACUUGAAUACCAAAAGAGAAAUCCACACUCACUUUUUUGUCUUCAAAUCACACAAAAUUGUCCAGAUAUCAUGAAAAAACAGGAACGGUGUUCCUAUUUCCGUAUCGUAGUAAUUGAUGCCCAUAAAUCUUCCAUCCAAAUCAACAAGGGGGCCUCCAAUCACAGCCUAACCAGGUUAUAUGGACAGAUCAGUUGUGACGCCGCCAAGUAUGUAAGGCUAAGUACAUCAUAUUAUGGUGAAAAUCCAACACCAUUACACCACCACCAACAAAUCCUUUGGGCACCAACCCUUAAGCCGCUCACAAUCUCAUUUGCGCCAUCCGGGUCUCUAACCAAGCUCGCUGAGGUCAGAAUAGUCAGACACCCAUCAUAGUCAAUGAAAAAUCCUGUGCAUGCAAAGAACUUCGAUUCACCUGGACACCAUAACUGCCAUUAGCUAGUGAUGACUGAUGAACAUAAAUGUGAAAAAUUAAACAGCGCGUCAGUGUGAAAUCACCAUGGAACGAAGCAAGUGCGACAACGGUGUAAGAUAUGUUAGAAGAAAUUUCUUUCUUGAAUUCACCCCAGACACCAUUAGGAUAUUUGUCGCCAAAGUGUUCUUCAAAAGCAUUAACAUUCAUGCUACCUGGUCAACGAGAUAUUGUAUAAUAGUUAGUGGGACAGCAGGGCAGUAAAAUUGUGCAGCGCAUGAUAAUCAGCAAGCAUUGACUCAUGGCCACAUCCCUUGAUGGACUGAGAUAACCCAAAGUGUAAACCCAAAUUGUACAUACCUUGCUUAUCCUGGUGCAAACUGCAACAAGGUUGCUUAGCAUUGGCAUGUGUUAAUUCUAACUACAGCAUUUAACAGUCACUUUAAAGUUCACAUGAUAACUUAAUGUUAAAAUGUUAUGGCAGCUUGUGCAACAACUCAUGCCACAUCUCUACUCUUCAACGAGGUUUGAUGGUCAUGAUGUGCUCUAUGCACACUCAAUCCAGAUCUUUCUGGACGGAUUUAAGAAGAAGGUACAGAUGCACCACCAAAAAAAAGGAUGAUCAACGACUACCCAGCCACAAAUUAAGGACAAUGACCGAGCAACCUGCAAUGGAGCUCCUCCCCAGAGCAGAAGCUCCAGCCAUACACCAAAAGCUGCUCUCAUUGGCAAUCUUUUGCGAGACUACCUGCACAGUAGACCACUCUUCUUCUCCUUGCACUCUUUUGACAGCCCUAGACCAUCAGUUAGAGAAACGUGUGGUAUCCAGUUGGAGAAAAUCUUGAUAGUCAAGAGACCAUACUCCCUUGUAGCAACAAAAUAUUCUAACACAUUUCGCAUUAGAAAAAUAUGUUGGCUUCAAUAUUUCAAACACAGGAAUAUGGCUAUUCUACUCUACAAUACAGCGCAACUGUGACAUGUGCCAAGUAUAGCUGACCUGUUUGAUAUAUCAUGCGCUAGAGAUACCAAAGCAUCAAGUUAAUAUUAAGGGUAAACAAAUAAGGCCUUGUUCGUUUGUGUCGGAUUGGUGGGUCGGAACGAUUCUUAACCGGAUUGCUUCUCUAAUUUAUAUAAACUUUGAUUAGCUGGAACGAUUCCGGGUGCAAUCCGACAGAAACGAACAAACCCUAAGGUCUUGUUCGCUUGUGUCGGAUUGGUGGGUCGGAACGAUUCCGAACCGGAUUGCUUCUCUAAUUUAUAUAAACUUUGAUUAGCUGAAAUGAUUCCGGGUGCAAUCCGACAGAAACGAACAAGGCCUAAGUUGGCUUCAAUAUUUGGUACACAGGAGGAAUAUGGCUACUCUACAAUACAGAGCAGUUGUGGCACAUACCAAGUACAGCUGACCUGUUUGAUAAUAUCUUACGCUAGAGGUACCAAAGCAUCAAGAUAUUGUUAAGAAUAAACAAUAAAAGCUGCAACAACAAACAUAGAUGAACAAACUAGAAAUAUAUUGGCACACCUGACUAACUUCAACAUUGCAAGAAAUAUUAUCUUUUCCUUGGAUGUCCGUAAAUGGUUCAAACGUUCAAAGACUAUAUCCCUUGGUAAGAAUAUGGGUCUUUCCAUAUCCGAGAAAAGAUUCAUGGCAACAAAGUUCCCAUCAAAUUCAAAAAGGGCGCCCCCCUGCAUAACCUAGAACAAAAAACAUGUGGCAAGCAACAAGGAUUACAAUGGAACAGAAUAAAAUGACCAUGUAAUAAGAGUUACUCCCACCAUUACAUUUACUAGUCACUGUUGACUGUCUUGUGAAAAUUCUAAAUAAGACUCCCUCCAGUCAUUAGGACAAAAAUAGACUCGAAAGUGAUGUCAGGUAAUAAGGACUGGAAGGAGUACUGUUUUAUACUUUAAAAUGUAUGAUAUCUUUGAAGUAUGUUCCACUGCAAACUCAACCAAUCUGAAAACCGUUCAACUUAACUGCACAAGUAUACAUUUUUGAAAGGAAUAAGGCCAAGCUUUUGCAUUAGACAACAGCGACUAAUACAAGUAAACAGAGGGAGUAAACUAACAAUUUAUUAUUGAAUACACAACACAGUUUAGAGCAUGUAGUAAAAGAAAAAAAUUACAGCAUUCACAACAACGCAAGUGUACCUCAGAUAAUUUACAUGUAGAGAACAUAAGAUGUCCACAACCUUCAGAUUGGCCUGAAUCAGUAAGUGUCCCACUUGUGGCCAUUAAUUUGCCAGAGAUGUCACGCCCUACUGCUACAACCUUUCUACCAGGCAUCAAUUCUUCCGCAUAACUAAGAGGUACGGCGCAAUAAACAUCAAGGGUGAAUGUGACUUCGACAACAACAAUUACAUGAUCCAGGUCAUAUUCUACCACAUUCCCUAUGGCAACAUUUCCUUCAUGGCGUACUUCAAUCUACAGCACAGAAUUAUCACAGUUAUGUAAAGUAAAAAAAAGAACAAUUAGUAAAUGAUUUGGCACCAACCUCAAUGUUAUCAUGGUUCAUUCUUUCAUCAUUUAAAGCUCUAACCAAACAUGCUGAUGUGACAAACUUUGUGAAGUUAGACUGGCAUUGCUAUGCCAGAAAAUGCAAAUAGCACAUUUUGUCCUACAAGAUCAUAAUUUGAAUUAUUCACGCAACUAAUGAUUUUUAGGCAUAUAUUUCGAAAAAACAAAAUAAGGGUACAACAGUGUAAUCACCAUCGGACAAAGCAAUUGAGACAACACUUGUAGACAAUUUUGAUGCAACUUCGUCACUCAGCUCACUCCAGAAACCUUGAUUGUCCCAAAAUAAGCACCAAGUUAGACAAGAUAAUACAAAACAGCAGAAAAAAAUUGAAGAAAAAGGAAGAACCAGCAGACUUGGAAUCAAUGAGUCAGUUGAGAAUCUUGUGAGAUCAUCAGCACCCCUCUUGCUUGGCAGCAUCUUUCGUUUGAUUCCUGGUGCUAGUACUGCAACAUACAAACAGAGAGAUGCAGCAAGGUGAUCUUCCAUGAGCCACGGCCACCACCAAAUCGAUCGGCAAGUGGUUCCAGUUUCACCACAGGGAACACAUGUCGGGCGAAGCAGAGCGGCAAGGAGGACCGCGCUGACAAGGCCCACAUGCACGCCAUGGUGUCCGUGGCCCAGGUCACGGCCGUCGUCGCGCUGGCCACGACCACGAGCUCCGACACCCGGGCUACCGAGAUGGCAGGGGUCAUGGCGUCGGCCAUCGAGCAGUUGUCGUUAGAACACAGUAAGGUGGCUACCGCCGUGCAGGCCGCGGUUGUCGUUAGAAGCCCCGGUGAUCUGAUGACGCUCACGGUGGCCGGCCGGCCGCAGCGACAGAGCAAAGCCGUCAAUGUGCGAUUUCUAAUCUAACAAGCAACAGAGCUACGCACAGGCAGUGCCUUAGUGCCAUUUUGCUGGGGUUAAUUAUAUCUGUGUCAUUAUAAUUUUCUACGUUUUGAUAUGUGUCGCUAAACUUCUUAAGAUUGCACAUAUACCAUGAAACUUCUAAUCAACUCUGAAAUACACAAUCUGAAGUACCACCGGCACACGUAUUUUCGGAUUUCCUUUUUUACCUUUGUUUGUCAGUACAUCAACUGUGCAGCUCUAGCGAGGGGUGGAACGCAGCUACGGUCCAGUGGCGGCUGUACGGAGCGCAUGUUUGGAGAGACGAAAAGUCACAAAAUGGCUGGGUUCGUAGCAACGUUUCUGCUGGGUUUACUUUGAACUAGGGUAAAAAAGAAAUACGAAAAUACAUGUACGACUAGUUACGUCUGAUUCAACAAAAUGGUGUAUUUAAGAGUUGAUUAGAAAUUUAAUGGCAUAUUUACAAGCUUAAGAAAUUUAGUGGCACAUAUCAAAACUUAGAAAAUUAUAAUGGCACGGAUAUAAUUAACCCUUUCUGAAAGAGGAGACGACGAUGCUCUAUAAAUGAAAAAUGUGUUCUUAUGAGUCCUGUAAAGGCGUGUUUUGAAGCAAAAAUAUUAUAGAUGAUUCGAGGGCUAAAUUCCCUAUUCUCUCUUAUCUAAAAGCCCCUCCAAUCUCAUCUGAUAUUCUUACUUUCAAACGAGCUCUGAAUCUCUGAUAAUACUCUUUCUCGGCUCAAUUCAUUGCAUGCACUUAUUAGUCCAACUUUUUUGCAUUUUAGCCCUUUUAGGGUUUUUUUUGCACAAUUAUGCCCUUUGUAGUUUCAUUUCAAAAAAUGGACCCUUACCUCGGCGCCGUCAUCAUUGGCGCCGAGGUAACACAUAGUGGCGCCAACAUAAUUGGCGCCAACUUUUCCUACGUGGCAGCCGAUGUGGCAAGUCCCAGGGGGUCGGCGCCAUAGAUCUUGGCGCCGACCCCCCUGGAUAGCACCGGACCCCACCGUCAAGGGGGGUCGGCGCCAAGAUCUAUGGCGCCGACCCCCUGGGACUUGCCACAUCGGCUGCCACGUAGGAAAAGUUGGCGCCAAUGGUACUGGCGUCGAUGUGUGUUACCUCGGCGCCAAUGAUGAUGGCGCCGAGGUUGGGGUCCAUUUUUUGAAAUGAAACUGUAAAGGGCAUAGUUGUGCAAAAAAAACUCAAAAAAGGCUAAAAUCCAAAAAAGUUGGCUUAUUAGUCCAGUGGCAUGCCCUCGACCGUUGAUUGGUAAUCCAAGGGUGGUCUGCGGGUAUCGUUUCGAUGGGGUCACGAUCUAAUAUGAUGCGUUAGUGUUAAGAUCGAACGAUUGCGGAUCAAACGUACCCAUUCGGCCGUGCAUUUUGUAAAAGAGCCCCUAGGUUUCCAGGAAAUCAACCCGCCAUCCACACCAGUUAGGAAGUAAUUAAAUGUAGUUCCCGAUAUUUAUGAUUUAAACCUUGUACUCUCUAGAAUUGGUGGCCGCGGUCCAAAAGGAUCUCAGGUUUAAUAAAUAAAUAAAUAAGAAAAUAAUUCUUAUAUAGAAAUUAAACCUUAAAUCUUAAUAAAUACAUAACCUUUUGUUUUAACUCUAAAUUGAUCCAUUCCAGUUACAUUGAACUCAUAUUAAUAUUGUUUACCAGUUAGUAACCUUAUUUUACUAUGUAACAUAUUGAUAAAAUCAAGCACUUAAUUUGUUUAGCCUAUGUUUAACACAUAAAUAUUCAGAAAAUCAUAACUUUAUAACUAUAACUCUGAUUUUAGUGGUUCUCGAACCUACAAUCUCGUAGCGAUAUGUAGAACAUCGGUACGUAGUUUGUUCUCAUGUUUGGUGUGAUGUGAAUUUUUCCUAUGGACAUUGCUUGUUUGCAUUGUUGUGAGUAGACGAACAAGUGACUGAGGAGCCUGGAGCACAGCAGGUGGAAAAUACUGAGCAGGAGCUCGUUGAAGGCUAGUUGUGCCCUUGACCGCUCUUCUUUAUCUAAUAAUGUUUCUAUUAAUUAUUGUGGCAUGCUCAGUUUAAUUUUGAUGGGACCUAAUAGGUUACCUUAGUUUGGUCUACUUUACACCUUGCUCACACCUGAACUUUCGGGUAGUAUUUGAUAUGUGGUUUUGGAUGUUAAGAUACAUAUCAUUCAUGAUCAUGUUAUUUAUUGUCAAGGGAUUAUUUUCUGUUCAUGAUAAGAUUAUUAUGUUAAUUGGGAACAUAGAGCGACCACCUGUGAAAACAGUUAUAUCACAAGGGUGGAAUGGGACACCCUUGACUAAUUAAUUAGGAAAGUUAGGUUGAGUUAAUCUUUUCCCAAAAGGGGCAAGCGGGGUGGAGGAGUGUUGGUGUAGGGAGGUUCUCGGGUUGGACUGUCUUUUUAGCUUUCCGUACGAGGGAUUCCUAUACGCUUUCAGCCCAGACACCAUAGCAGGUUCUCUCCUCUAGUGGAACUUUGUAAUGGCCUCACAGCGUACUGUAACACCCACUUUGUAAGAAAGGUCUAGAAAGAGAAAUUAUAUUACUCUAUAGCUAUAUGUGUUAUCCAUGUUUAUCAUUUCAUGUGAACACCAUAUUUAAAAACAAAAAAAUUAAUAAAAGAAUAUAUACCAUUAAUUUAUGCAUCAUGCUGGAUAUUAUUUUUGUGUGUAUGCAUUUUGUGACAAUAUAAAAAUAAAGAGACAAGAAAUAUAUUAAUCUAAAAGAAAUUCUAGAAUUGAGAAAAGAAGGAAUACUAAACAAAGAUAAAGAAAAUAAUAUAAAGAAAAUAGUUUGAUCUCCUUAUUUGGGCUCAACUGGUACAUUUAAAAUAAAUAUAAAUUCACAGUAAAUUUGAAUUCAAAUUUGAAUUCUAGAAAUGAAAAAGGGAAAGAAAUGAAAAAGGAAAAUAAAAAGAAGAACAUAACUGUUCGCGUGGGCUAGCUGAUCCUAUUUCCGGCCCAUGAGGCAAUAGCCUGCGCGUGGCCCAGCUCGGGAGCACGGCGCCGACGUGCGGGACCCGCAAGUAAGUGAACGCUCCCCCUCCGCCUACAUCGCGUUUCUCUGGUGUAUGGAUCUUUUGCGAUCAGUAGCAGGCGGCUGGGAUUUGGUCUGGGUCAGAAAGACUAUGGACCGUUGAUCUGUCGGUGUGCGGCGUGGAUUAGACGGGCGAUACCUCUUCGCAACAAUAAAAUCUGUCCGUAGAUCCGUUGAUGGACGCUUGGGAUCUGGUGUAGGCGUGGCCAUCUCGGGAAGCCUCGGAUCAUGAUCCGGUGGCUGUGAUUCAGUACCGUUUCAGGGGGGAUCAGUUUUAAUCUGGCCGCUAGAAUCGGAUCGGACGACCGUGGUGCGAUCAUACCCCUUCGCGGUCAAUUUUGCUAAAGAGCCCCCGUAUUUAUACUUAAAUAACCCGCCAUUCGCGCGACUGUUCCUGUAUCUGGAUUAUUUUGCGCCGGGGCCCCUGACCUUUCUGGUAAAUGAGGCCCAGUCCAGAACCCAUUUAAUUUGAAUAAAUGAAAUAGAAACGGAUUUUUAAUAUGAAAAUAAUUACUAGAACUUGAUAAAUUCAUAGAAAAUCCAUUUUUAGUCCAAAUUAGUCCAUUCCAUUUUCUAAAAUUUCGUAAUUUUAUUCUCUAACACUUAGAGUCUCUGUUUUGUCAUGACAACAGUAAGAAAAUUAAUUUCUUACUUAAUCCUAUUUUAAGCACAUAAAACCUUUGGAAAUUCAUAUCUUAAAAUCUAUAACUCCAAAAAUUAUGAUUCCUGUUCCUAGAAUUUUACUUUAAUAUGUAGAUUAUUACUGUGUAUUUUGUUUACAUGUUUGGUGUGAUGUUAAUUUCCUCUAUAUACUGUGCUUGUUUGAUUGUGGCGAGUAGAAGAGCUCGUGACCGAGGAUCCUGGUGAGCAGCAGAUAGCAGUAGCUGAGCAGGAGCUCAUUGAAGGCAAGUUGUGCCCUUGACCACAUUUUACCCAAUAAUGUUCUUUAAUAUCAUUUAUUAAUGCAUAGGUUAAUUUUGAUGGGACCCAAUAGGUCACCCUAGAUUGUUUAUCUCAUUACCUUGUUUACCCCUGAAUCACUUGGGUAGUUUGCUAUUGCUUUACAUGGUUUUGGGAUAAUCAUUUAUUAUAUCUAUGUUCCAAUUCUUUUGUUAUUCUAUUUAUGUUCAUGUCAAGAUCAUUAAUGUUAAUUGGAACAUAGAGCUUAACUUGAGUAACAAUUGCCACCACAAGGGAUUAAUGGGACGCCCUUGGCUGACUAAUUAGGAAAGCUAGUGGAAGACUACCUUACCCGAAAGCGGCAAGGGCAGUAGGGGAGUUGCAUGCAAGGAGGUUCUCGGGUUGAUUUAGCUGCGAUGGCGGUCAGACGAGGGAUUCUUGCAAGUGCUCUUCCCAUAAACUGUAGCGGGUUUUCGGAAGCUAGUGGAACUUUGUAAAGGCCUCGUAGUGUUUCCCUGCCGCGCUUCCUAGGUAGAGGUGUAUGGGAGUCGCGACCCCUUGGCAGAUGGGUAACAUGACUUGUGGGUAAAGGGUACAACCUCUGCAGAGUGUAAAACUGGUAUACUAGCCGAGCUCACGGUCAUGAGCAGCUCAGGACUCUCUGAUGUUUAAAUUAUGGAACUUAAAUUCAAUUUAUCAUUCGCAUAUGCAUGGGUUUAUUAUUAAUUUUGUUCAAUUACUUUAUUUAAGGUUUGGUAUUUACUUACACUUAGUAAUUGCUAAUAAAAUUUUGAUCAACUACUUAAAAGCAAUGCUCAGCUUUAACCCCUGUCAUUGAUUAGCCUUACACAUCACAUGAACUCCCACCUUUGUGAGUUCAUGUCCACUGGUUCCCCACAACUUGUUGAGCUAUGAUCAUGUGUGAGCUCACCCUUGCUGUCUCACACCCCCCCAAAGGAGAAGAGCAGGUGGUUCAGGAGGAGCCACAAGGCGGGGAGUUUGAUCUGAUCUAGGUGGCGUUUCUCAGUUGACAUUGGCGCCGACGAUCCUUAGUUCGUUUUAUAUUUAUAUUUUAUUUUGUAAUAAGACUUCCGCUAUGAAAUAAAUACUUUGAUGUUUUAUGACAUUUAUCUCUAUACACUCUGUUAUUAUAUAUGUUGUCUUCUUGGCGCAUGUAUGAGAUGCACCUGGCUUUGUUCCUUAAAGCCGGGUGUGACAGAAGUGGUAUAAGAGGAAAUGUUGACUGUAAGACGAAACCUAGAUAGAAAUGGACAAACCCUUACCUACUUAUCUUACUCUGAUUCUUUCUAUACUCAUCUUGUCUUGAUCCUGUCUCACCUUUUGCUAUCAUACUCUGAUUACUCUUAUCUUUUCUGCUCUAAGACAAGAUGGAUUUCACACCUUGGAAUCCUACAUUUAUGAACUUUUUUUGAAAUAGGAAACCCAAGGCAAAAUUAAAACUAUUUUCUCUAUAAAAAAUGUUGGUUGAUUGUUCUGAUGAUCAAUGUCUGAUUUGCUUCUUUGAUUGAUUGAAUUAGUAUAGAUGGGCAUCUUAGCAUGUACCACCAUAAGGUAAUGUAUUAACGUUAGUGGGUGACACACUAAUCUACUUAGCUAAUAAAUCCCUCGUAGUAACAUUCCUCGUAAUUACUCGCCUUGUCUACAAUUCUUCCUUUCUUACCCUGUAUUUCUAACCCAGAUGGGCUACCCCUAUAGUGUUAGAAGAGAGCACUAUAGAUGUGAUCCUUGGUAUGUCAUGGUUAAGAAAGGCAAAGGCAGUUUAUACACUGUGCUAAAGGAACCAUAGAACUCACCAGUUCCAAAGGAGAAAGAUUUGAAGUUGGAAUUGCAAGCAACUACCACCAUCAGACUAGCGACAUUCUUAGUAGAUGAGAAGUUUGCUGGUAGCAACAUCCAUGCGGUUAGAGAUUUUUCGGAUGUCUUUUCAGAGCAGUUACCAGGGAAGCCACUAGAUAGGGAAGAUGAGUUUGUCAUUGAUCUCUUACCUGAGACUGCUCCUAUUUCUAAACGGCCAUACAGGAUGUCCGUAGAAGAACUAAAGGAACUUAAGAAGCAAUUAAUGGAAUUACAAGAGGCUGGGUAUAUUCGUCUGAAUUCUUCACCUUGUGGAGCACCGGUUCUAAUUGUACAGAAGAAGGAUCACAAGGGAUGUGCGUGGAUUAUAGAUCCCUUAACGAUGUCACUGUGAAGAACAAGUGUCUAUUACCCCGCAUUGAGGAUUUAUUUAAUCAGAUGAGAGGUGCCAAGAUAGCUUCGAUCAAUUAAUGAAGAGAUUGAUGUCACCACUAGUUUUGGUUAUGCCAGAUUUACAGAAGGGAUUUGACAUUUAUUGUGAUGCCUGCGGCCAAGGCUUGGGAUGUGUGCUCAUGCAAGAAGGACAUGUGAUUGCCUACGCGUCUCGUCAGUUGAGGAAACACAAGUUGAACUACCCCACUCAUGACUUAGAACUGGCUACCGUUGUGCACGCACUUAAGAUUUGGAGACAUUACAUUAUGGGAACCAAGUGCCAAGUGUACACGGAUCAUAAGAGUUUGAAGUAUAUAUUCACUCAAAAGGAUCUCAACCUUAGGCAACGUCGUUGGUUGGAGCUUAUUAAGGAUUAUGAUUUGGUGAUUCACUAUCACCCGGGCAAGGCAAAUUUGGUUGCAGAUGCCUUGAGUCAAAAGGAGCAUGUUCAUUCAGCUGUUGUUGCCCAGCUACUUGAUGAGAUUGUUGAGGAUUUCAGGAGACUUAACCUGGGGAUAGUUGUUCACACUGAAGGAGUAACUAUUGAUGUGGAACCUACUUUGGAGCAAGAAAUCCGCAAAGGACAAAUUGGUGAUGCGAAAAUGCAAGAGAUUAAGGAUUUGAUUACUGAAGGUCGAGGUCCGGAAUUCACGGAAGAUGAGCAAGGCACUGUAUGGUUCAAGGACAGGAUGUGUGUUCCUGAUAUUGAAAGCCUUCGAGAGACUAUUUUAAAGGAGGCCCAUGAUUCGGAUUAUUCUAUUCAUCCUGGUAGUACCAAGAUGUAUCAGGAUUUGAAGCGGAAGUAUUGGUGGUAUGGAUUGAAGAGAGAUGUAGCUGCACAUGUGCCUAUGUGCGAUGUAUGUCAAAUAGUUAAGGCUGAACACCAGAGACCAGCUGGACUAUUGCAUCCACUGAAGAUACCUGAGUGGAAGUGGGAAGAGAUUGGUAUGGAUUUUAUUACUGGAUUGCCUCGCACCCACAAAGAAUAUGAUGCUAUAUGGGUGAUUGUGGAUAGAUUGACUAAAGUGGCUCAUUUCAUUCCGGUCAAGACUACUUAUAAAGUUUCUCAACUAGCAGAGUUAUAUAUGUCUCGGAUUGUGUGUUUACAUGGAGUACCAAAGAAGAUCGUGUCUGAUCGAGGUUCACAGUUUACCUCAAGAUUUUGGAGAAGUUUUCAUGAGAACAUGAAUACAAAGUUGAAUUUUAGUUCGCCCUACCAUCCUCAAACUGAUGGACACACUGAAAGGACUAAUCAAGUAUUGGAGGACAUAUUGAGAGCUUGUGCCCUUCAGCAUGGUAGUAGUUGGGAUAAAAGUCUACCAUAUGCUGAGUUCUCAUAUGAUAAUAGUUAUCAGGCCAGUCUGAAGAUGUCACCUUUUGAAGCUUUAUAUGGGAGGAAGUGCAGGACUCCUCUAUAUUGGGAUCAGACUGGAGAAAUACAGUUCUUUGGGCCUGAACUGAUUCAAGAAGUAGAAGAACAAGUCCGUAUAAUUCGAGAGAAUUUGAGGGUAGCUCAAACCAGGCAAAAGAGCUAUGCUGAUAAUAGAAGGAGACCACUGGAAUUUGAAGAAGGAGAUUAUGUGUAUCUCAAGGUGUCACCACUUCGUGGAAUGAGGAGAUUUAAAGUCAAGGGCAAAUUGUCCCCACACUAUAUUGGACCAUUCUUGAUCUUUAGGCGAGUUGGGGAGAUGGCAUACCAACUCGAGUUACCUGCUAGUCUGUCGGAUGUGCAUAAUGUGUUCCUCGUGUCUCAACUGAAGAAAUGUCUCCGUGUCCCUAAGGAACAGUUACCAAUGGAAGAGCUCAGUGUUCAGGGUGAUUUGACUUACACGGAGUAUCCUGUCAAGAUUCUUGACACAUUGACUCGAGUUACAAGAAAUAAGGUGAUAAAGAUGUGCAAAGUGCAAUGGAGUCACCAUAGUGAAGAUGAAGCUACUUGGAAAAGAGAAGAAGAGCUACGCAUAGAUUUUCCACAUCUUUUCCCUAGUCCUUCCUAAAUCUCGAGGACGAGAUUAUUUUUAAGGGGGGGUAGGAUUUGUAACACCCACUUUGUAAGAAAGGUCUAGAAAGAGAAAUUAUAUUACUCUAUAGCUAUAUGUGUUAUCCAUGUUUAUCAUUUCAUGUGAACACCAUAUUUAAAAACAAAAAAAUUAAUAAAAGAAUAUAUACCAUUAAUUUAUGCAUCAUGCUGGAUAUUAUUUUUGUGUGUAUGCAUUUUGUGACAAUAUAAAAAUAAAGAGACAAGAAAUAUAUUAAUUCAAAAAGGAAAUCUAGAAUCUAAAAGAAAUUCUAGAAUUGAGAAAAGAAGGAAUACUAAACACUACCGGAAUCAGCUCCUUUGCCGUGUGUCUCAGCCACUCGGCAACGACUAUUUUACACUCAGCAAAGGCUUUGCCGAGUGUAACACUCGGCAAAGAACGCUCGGCGAACUGUACAUCGGCAGCGGUCUCUUUGCCGAGUACUUUAUGUCGGGCACUCGGCAAAGAAAAGUCACCGUCACGGCGCCAAGUGACGGUGACGGAUCCUUUGCCGAGUGUCUUUUUGGCACUCGACAAAGAGGCCAAUUUUGCCGAGUGCCUGCUAUCGGGGCCCUCGGCAAAGACGGGUCCAGUGGGCCCCACCGCCAGUCCCUGUGCCGAGAGCUCUCGUAGGCACUCGACAAAGGAGGACUCUUUGCCGAGUGUCUAGUGGACCGGCACUCGGCAAAGAGUCCUCCAGUGGGUCCCUUUGCCAGUCCCUUUGCCGAGUGCCUUGGCAACAACACUCGGCAAAGAUGGCUUUGCCGGUUCCCAGGUUUCCUUCUUUGCCGAGUGCCAUGGUCAGCACUCGGCAAAGAUGACUUUACCGGUUCCUAGGUUUCCUUCUUUGCCGAGUGCCAUGGUCAUAGCACUCGGCAAAGCAACCCUUUGCCGAGUGUUACACUCGGCAAAGUGACCAGGAUGUCCCUUUUUUAUUUGUUUUUGCUGUUCCAUCCGAACAAACAAAAGAUAUAUAUCAUUCACAUCACAUUAUAUAUCAAUCGCAUCACAGAAUGAACACAUUUAUCAUCAACACCAUAUAUAUCACAAAGUCUCACUAAUAUAAGUCUCACAAAUAUAAGUCAGGAUCAUCACAAAACAGAUAUAAGUCUGGAUCAUCACUAACAUCACCAAGUAUCUCACAAGACCAAGUCUAGCCAAACAUCACCAACACUCACAAGACCAAGUCUAGAUCAUCAACGAGGUGGGCAUCUGGACUGGUUCGGCGAAGGGCUGGACGAAGCAUGAGGGUUGUUCGACGCCGCCGAUUGACCCUGCACAGAGAAGAGAUUGUAUGUGUGAGAACAUAUGAAUAUAUAUCAUGCAGUACUAAAAUUUUGAUACUCACAGGAGUAGUGAACUCAGCAGGGUCAGUUGCAGGGAACAACGGAGGUGGUGGAGCAUGACCCUGUGCGGCGCCAAGGCUCUACAUGUACGCGAACAUCUCCGCCAUCCUCUUCUCUAGCUCCUCACGUUGCCUCCUCUCAUCAUCUAGCUGAGUCUGUAAUAUUUCACCCUAAUGUUACGAUAAUGCAAAGAGAAGAUAUAUAAUAAUCAAUGAACGAUGAAUAGAUAAGGAAUAACCUGGAGUUGAUGGAUACGAUGUUGUGAGCUGUCCUGCCGAGGUCGUAUGGCUGGGCUCGCGCUCGUGCUCCUUGCUCGCACCUGAGAGAGAGUGGGAGUGGAGGACGAGUCGAUUGCCCCGUCGGCAAUCCAGUACCGCCCAUGUCUCUUGCCUCCUCCGACCCUCAUGAGGACAUCUCCGUCGAUGUCCUCGGUCCUCGGAUCAUAAUCUGGCCCAUGGACCUCCUUGGCCAUGGCGGUGUACUCAUUGAGUCGGCUGUGGAUGGCGGGGUUGGUGUACGCCUCGGGCCCGUCAUCCGGGUUGUAGGUGACGUCGGACGUCGCCUUCCCCUUGUGGGCCAUAGCAUAUGCCGAGAACGUGGAGCAAGGCGUGCCACCAUGUGCCGCCGACUGCGAGAAAACCAACGAGAUGGUUAGAAAUCAUGUCUAAUCGAAAGUUAUAUACCUAAAUAAAAAAGAGUGUGUACCCAUGCUUCCGCGUAUUUGCCCAGGCUGCGGCUGCCUUGAUGGUGGGAGGGACCUUGCAUCAGCAAACGCCGUUCCCGGCUAGCGUUGUGCGCCUCAUCCCACUCAGCCGAGCACCACCUCUGCACCAUCUGCUCCCAGCACUCAGGAUGCGCGGCGCACCAAUGAGGAAUCAUCUAAAAAAAUAUAAGUACACCGCAUAUCAGAAGAUAAAAAUAAGCAUAUUUAGUACCAAUAAUAAAGUUUUGUAUUUACCUGCAAGUACUGGUCCGGAGUCAACGACAUGGUUCGGGCGUCCUUCUUGUUCACCUUCUCCCCAAGGACGGAGCCGUGGUAAGUGAUGAUGGCCUGGAUGCGCGCCUCGUAGUGCAUGUCCACGACGAGCUUCUUACAGCACGUCGUAGACACCACAUCCGCCCUGGCCUCGUAUCCAGCAUCGCACCUGAAGAAAUCCUACAUACAAAGACGAUGUAUCCAUACAUUAUUUCAAUAAUAUGCAACAAAUGCGACUUAUUAAACAAUAUAGUGCGAGGAAGACUUACCCACAGCUCUUGCUUCACUCGCUCCGCCUUGUUGUUGAAUUGUCUGCCGUCCCGAUCUACUGCAUCGGGGGCGACGGCGUAGUGGUCGAAGGUGUAUGCUGGGCUCGUCACUCCGGCGUACUCGACAAGUUCAGGGAAGUGUUCCCGGCAUAGAAGGCCGAGGAUGCCAUUGGGGUUCCGGCCGUGACCCCCUGCAGUCUCCAAAACCAUCCAAGACAUGUCCAAGUGAUUAAGAUGAAGUAUUAGUUUCUAUUAUUAAUUUGAACAUAUAAUAUGAAAAAGCAGCAACAACAUCUAAAGUUACCUACCUCUCUCCAUCGGGUCGUAUCAGCGGACGUCUAUCACGAAGUAUGGGUCGCUUAGGGAGACUCGCGGGACCUCGCAGGUAGAUACUCCUCGAACCUGAGGAGCCAGAACCUGAGACGUCCUGCUGAGCGGUGUCGUCGGCGUCGUCGUCCUGUUGCGCCGCAUCGUCAUCGUCCUGCUGUGCCGCAUCGACAGCGGCUUGCUGCUCCACCUGCUGCUGUACGGCGUCGUCCUGCUGCGCCUCCUCCUCCGUCCUACGGGUGCUCCUCCUCCCCCUCCCCCUCCCCCUCCUCGUCCUCGUCCCACCGCCCACCAUCUUUGUCCAACAACCUGCAAUUAAGAGUAAACAAUUAAGCACAGAUAAAAAAUAUGUAUUUAGAAACAUAUGCAAAAUAAAUGAAAUAUAGCAUUACAUCGAUUAAAAAUAAUCUUCAUAUGUGUCCAGGUUAGCCGGAUCAUAAGUGUCAUCAUCACUAUCAACCAUUUCAUAGUCAACACCAUCUGAAGGCGCAAUUUUGUCAUUGGCAUUGCCUUCAAGCAUUUCUAAGUCAUUCUCAUUUUGCACCUCAUCAUCCUCCUCAUCAACAACCAUUUCAAUAUAUACUUCCAUUCCGAUCGCGUCGGUUAAGUCUAUCUCAAAUUGCCCUUCGAGCCCAUCUUCUUGGAAGAACUCUCCGUCAUAUGUGUCCGGGUCUAAGUUAUAAUCUUCAUCGUUUGGAACAGGUAAUUUAGCGUGCGGUGAUACCUUAUACACAACAUCCCAACCCUUAAGAUGUUGUUUCAUUUGGCACGCAUAUGGAAGAUAAUACACUUGUGUGGCCUAUUGGGCCACAAUAUAGACAUCGUCUCCUGGUAAGGUGGAAUCCUGUCGAAUUUCGACUAGCCCAAGAUUAGAAUGUGUCCGGCUCGUAACUUCAGGGUCAAACCAAUGACAUUUGAAUAUCACUGGAGUAAGAGGUUUGGAACCAUAAAAAUUGAGUUCAUAUAUUUCUUCAAUUCUUCCAUAAUACUCAACCUCGUCAAGCCCGGGCGUAAAGACUCCAGAACACGUGGUUUUUCGAUUGGGCCGACUUUGGUCGUAGCUUGUUGUGCGAAAACGGUAUCCAUUGACGUCAUACCCAGAAAACUUCCUGACCCUAUAGGCAAAGCCAUUGGCUACUUGUCUCAACUCGACACUCAUAGACGGCUCUCUUUGGCCCUGCAAGUUCAAACACGCUAGAUUGUUAUAUUAUUCGCACGUAAGAGCAACUUGAAAUGACAAACUAAGCACGUACCUUAUGUUUAAACCAGGAAAUGAAAUCGGGCAAUCCAUUUCCCGCACCCUUUCUAAGAAGGGUAUCAUAUUCCUGUGGAGUUGGGUCCCUUGAUCGACGCCAGAAUUCAUGAAGAAAUUGCUCCAUGUAUGGCGUCACCUCUUCAAGGUUGGUCAAUACAUAUAGCAUGAUAUGGCGCCACUCUUCAUGUCUCAGUGUCUUGGUGGUCGAACCACUCACGCUUCGGAGUUGCCCUCGAAAAAUGCUGAGGUUCGAUUCAUUGCUGCCAUCAUUGUAACUAGGGGGUGGAUUAUGCACGCUCGGCAGUUUGUCACCAUAGUAAGUUGUUGUGAAGUUUGACACCUCCUCCAGUAUGUAUGCCUCUGCAAUGGAAGCCUCGAUUUUGCAUUUAUUUCUACAUUUCUUUCGGAUAGUCUUUAGACAUCUCUCGAUUGGAUAGCACCAACGUCCCUGCACGGCCCCCCCAUUCGUGCCUCAUACGGGAGAUGAAUAAUCAAAUGCUACAUCGGAUUGAAGAAGCCGGGUCGAAAGAUCUUCUCCAGCUUACACAGUAACAUGGGUGCCAUCCUUUCCAAGUCUGCAAUCAUGGUCUGAGCUAACUCUUUUGCACAAAGCUGGCGGAAGAAAUAGCUCAACUCUGCAAGCGCUAGCCAGACAUGCUCAGGGACAUAGCCUCGAACCAUCGCCGGAAGAAUUCGUUCAAUCCAUAUGUGGAAGUCAUGACUCUUCAUCUCUAAGACUCGCAGAGUAGAUAAGUUCACCCCCCUACUAAGGUUAGCUGCAUACCCAUCAUGGAACAUUAACAUCUUGAUCCACUGUAGUACUUCCUUCCUCUGGGCCCUGCUCAGGACGAAAUCAGCCUUAGGCCUUCUCCAUGUCUUACCACCACUAGGCGGCUUCAUCUCUUGGUUUGGUCUAUCACAUAACUCUGCCAGAUCCACUCUUGCCUUUACAUUAUCCUUUGACUUAUCAGGAAUCUCCAUAAUUGUUGCCCAAAGUGCCUCGACAACAUUCUUUUUAGUGUGCAUCACGUCAAUGUUGUGUGGAAGGAGCAGGUCAUCAUAAUAGGGGAGCCGAGUCAAGCCCGACUUAUGUGUCCACAUAUGUUGCUCACCAUAUCCCACAAAACCACCUUCUGGGUUGGCCACGAGACCAUCUAUCUGUUCGCGAACUUCGGCACCAGUCAUCAUUGCAGGUGGGCGGUCUGUCACCACGACACCUUUCGUAAAGUUCUUGAUGUCUAGUCGGAAUGCAUGGUCAGGAGGGAGAAAUUGUCGAUGUUUAUCGAAUGACGAAUAUUUGCCACCCUUCUUCAACCAAAUGAACCUAAGAGCUUCCUUGCAAAGUGGGCAUGGGAACUUACCGUGAACACACCAGGCGCAAAAUAGCCCAUACGCCGGAAAGUCAUGCAUGGAGUACUGGUAACAAACAUGCAUUUUGAAGUUUGUCUUCGUAGCUCGGUCGUACGUCCAUACCCCUUCCUCCCAAGCACGGACCAAUUCAUCAAUCAAAGGCUCCAUGUACAUGCCCAUUUUAUUCCCCGGGUGUCCAGGAAUUAUCAACGACACGAAUAUGUUCUGUCUUUGAAAGCAUACGCCGGGGGGAGAUUGAUGGGGAUAACGAACACGGGCCAACAUGUGUAUGGGGCAGUGGUCAUUCCAUAGGGAUUGAACCCAUCUGUGGACAGCGCAACAUGAACAUUACGAGCCUCUUUGGCUUUCUCAUGGUGAAUGGCAUCAAAGUGGGUCCAUGCUUCACCAUCGGAUGCGUGAACCAUCUUGUCAGGAUUGUAUCGUUUGCCUUUUUUGUGCCAUGUCAUCUGUUUCGCGGAUUCCUCUGUCAUGUAUAGACGCUGGAUCCUCGGUAUGAACGGAAGGUGGUGUAGGAUUGUCACGGGGAUGUCGAGCUGCCUCUUCUGUCCAUCACCAGAGUCUACCUCCAUGAACCUAGACGAUUUACACUUCGGACAGUACUUUGCCUCAGUGUGUUCUUUCCUAAAUAGGACACAGCCCUUCGGACAAGCAUGUAUCUGCUCAUACGUCAUCUUGAGUGCACGAAGGAGUUUCUGUGCCUCGUACAUGUUCUUUGGUAGAACGUGAUCCUCCGGAAGCAGGCUGCCAAUAACUGUCAACAAACCAUCGAAGGCGUCUCGACUCAUGCUAUACUGCGACUUGAACGCCAUUAUACGCCCAAUGACAUCUAGUUGAGAAACCUUUGUCUUGCCGUGAAGGGGUUUCUGUGCCGCGUCAAACAUGUCAUAGAAUGCCUUUGCGGUCGCCUCUGGCUCGUCCUCCGUACGUCCUUCGGCGAACUGUGCCUCGUGAUAGUCGUUCAACAUGUCCGCUACCCCGGCAUCAGCAUCGUAAUCCUCGACGCGUUGUCUCACCACCUCCUCUCUCGUGCGAUGCGCUUCACCAUGGAAGAUCCACCGAGUAUAGUCCGGCAUAAAUCCAUUCUUCCAAAUAUGUUCUACCAUGACCUUCUUUGGUUUUCUUUUCCGGUUGUCACAUUUGCUGCACGGACAAGGGACUAGGCUAGCUCCUUUAGCAGCUUCACCAUAUGCCCGUUCCACGAAAGCAUCGGUCUUCCUAAUCCAUUCAGGGGUGACAUCAUUACGUCGAACGCGGCCCGUGUACAUCCACUCACGGUUCUCCAUCCUCUAAUAUAUAUAACCGAGUAUAGUUUAAUAUAGACAUGUAAUGCAUGUACACUACGUUCCUACCUUCUAAUAGGUGAUGAUAGGUCCUAAUCCCACCCGCGGUUGCGUAGAUGGAGUUAGUUUCCAUGCUCUACUCCGAUCCGAGAUAGAAUUUCGGCAGCACCUCCCCGCUGUUCUCCGGAUACACGUCCUGACAGGGAGAGUGUACUGUCUGGAGAACAACAGGGAGGUGACGCCGAAACUCUGUCUCAGACCGGAGUAGAGCAUGGAAACUAACACCAUCUAGGCAACCGCAGGCUGUCCAAAAAACAUGGACAAUUCGAAAUUGAUACAUUUGUAGAUAUGCAAAGAUCUGCAUAUCUACACCGUAUCUCUUUCGAACGGGAGACGCCUAACUGGGUUACGUGAUCUACGACCAUGAUGCGGAAAUUGAGGUUAUACCUAGGGUGACGAUGGAAUCAGGCUAGCGGGGUUGUGGCGGGUUGGUGCAGUGGCGACGCGACGCGGUGCAGGCAGACCCGCAGUGGCUAGGAAGACAAGUAUCUUCUCUGUAAAAAAUAAACAAGCAUGUCAAAAAAAUCGACAACACUUCCCCUGUACGGGGAGGUUUCCAAAACCUGCAAAUAAAUCUAACAGCACGAUGGCUGACACGCACAUAUACAAACGACACGAUGAAUGCAAGUCACAUCUAAGUCCAAAAGUAGGUUACCAAAAAAACAUCAAAGACUAAGCACUUUGAAGGUAGUGACAGUACGUGAAUCGCCGAAAGGUGUCCUAUGCAUGUGCAUUGCUCAUAUAUUUAUAAGGACUAUACUCUAUACAACUCUAUACAUGAGGCCUAUAAUUGAAUUCGAAUUUAUAAUUUGAAAUAAAAAAGAAAUAAAAACAGAAAAUAAAAUAGAACAAGAAACAAAGGGGAAUAUACCGGCUGGGAGGCCGGCGGCGCGACGACGGCGGCGGUGGUCGCCACGGGCGCGCGACGACGGCGGUGGGCGCGGCGGGCGCGACGGCCGUGGGCGCGGUGGGCGCGAGCGGCUGGCGGUGCUCGCCGCGGGCGCGACGGCGGGGCGGCGCGACGGCGGCGAGCGAGCGUGAGAGAGAGAUAGUGAGAGUGAGAGAGAGAUAGUGAGUGAGGGCGCCGUAACAGCUAUUAAAACGUUCUUUGCCGAGUGCCCGCGAUCCGGCACUCGGCAAAGAUUUUUUUAAAAUUUAAAAAUAAACUUUGUCGAGUGCCGGAUCUCGGGCACUCGGCAAAGGCGUCUUUGCCGAGUGCUAGCUGUAGAGCACUCGGCAAAGAUGUGUUCUUUAUACUUUACCGAGCGCCAACAGACAGGCACUCGGCAAAGCCGUCUUUGCCGAGUGCUAACUGGACAUCACUCGGCAAAGUAUAUUUUAUUUUUUUAUUUUUGGCAACCAAACUUUUUGUGGUGUGUUCCUACACUAUGUAGACCUACAAGUACCAUUUUGGUACAAUUAUAAAAGUGUUUUUUAUAACUAUUAAAUUUAGUUCGUUUAUUUGAAUUUCUUCGGAAAAUUUAGAUUUGAACUGCAGGUCACUCGAAACUUGGAAAACCGUGCAUGCAAAAAUGAUAUUCAUGUUACUUAGCAUAAGUUACGACCGAUUCCAGGAGCGGACCGGAAACUUCGAGCAACAUGCUCACUAAAUAUGGCCGUGAACUUGCCAUCCACAUGUUUAAAAAUUGUAUAAAACACAAACAAAGUCAGAAAAUCCUGAAACUUGUCCACGUGUCAUGAUAUCAUAUGUACAGGUUGCGAUAAAAAUUUUAGAAUGUUUGGAGAAAGUUGUGGGACACUAUGUGUAGAAACCUAAGAGAACUACACAUGAAAUCAUAAAGUUUCAAUGUAGUUCUCUUAGGUUUCUACACAUAGUGUCAUACAACUUUCUCCAAACAUUCUAAAAUUUUUAUCGCAGCCUGUACAUAUGAUAUCAUGACACGUGGACAAGUUUCAGAAUUUUCUGACUUUGUUUGUGUUUUAUACAAUUUUUAAACAUGUGGAUGGCAAGUUCACGGCCAUGUUUAGUGAGCAUGUUGCUCGAAGUUUCCGGUCCGCUCCUGGAAUCGGUCGUAACUUAUGCUAAAUAACAUGAAUAUCAUUUUUACAUGCACGGUUUUCCAAGUUUCGAGUGACCUGCAGUUCAAAUCUAAAUUUUCCAAAGAAAUUCAAAUAAACAAACUAAAUCUACUAACGAUUGAAAACUCUGUUAAAAUUGUCCACAAAUGAUACAUGUAGUUCUACAUAGUGUAGGAACAUACCACAAAAAUUUUGAGAGACAAAAUAAAAAAAAAUAAAAAUAUACUUUGCCGAGUGUCUAGAGAUGACACUCGGAAAAGUAUGCUUUGCCGAGUGCCUACUGUGUAACACUCGGCAAAGAAGCCUCUUUGUCGAGUGCCAGCCGUUGGCUCUCGGCAAAGACUGACGGCCGUCAGCUUUGGGACGGCCGCUGACGGCGCUUUGCCGAGAGCCCCCUUUGCCGAGUGUUUGACCCUCAGCAAACUUGUCUUUGCCGAGUGCGUCCUGUGCCGAGUGUUCAGCACUCGGUAAAGGGGCUCUUUGCCAAGAGCCUAAAUUUACCGAGUGCGCACUCGGCAAAGCUUUCUUUGCCGAGUGCCCGAUAAGAAGUACUCGGCAAAGCCUCCGGCACUCGGCAAAGCCUGCGAUUCCGGUAGUGAAACAAAGAUAAAGAAAAUAGUUUGAUCUCCUUAUUUGGGCUCAACUGGUACAUUUAAAAUAAAUAUAAAUUCACAGUAAAUUUAAAUUCAAAUUUGAAUUCUAGAAAUGAAAAAGGGAAAGAAAUGAAAAAGGAAAAUAAAAAGAAGAACAUAACUGUUCGCGUGGGCCAGAUGAUCCUGUUUCCGGCCCAUGAGGCAAUAGCCUGCGCGUGGCCCAGCUCGGGAGCACGGCGCCGACGUGCGGGACCCGCAUGUAAGUGAACGCUCCCCCUCCGCCUACAUCAUGUUUCUCUGGUGUGUGGAUCUUUUGCGAUCAGUAGCAGGCGGCUGGGAUUUGAUCUGGGUCAGAAAGACUAUGGACCGUUGAUCUGUCGGUGUGCGGCCUGGAUUAGACGGCCGAUACCUCUUCGCAACAUUAAAAUCUGUCCAUAGAUCCGUUGAUGGACGCUUGGGAUCUGGUGUAGGCGUGGCCAUCUCGGGAAGCCUCGGAUCAUGAUCCGGUGGUUGUGAUUCAGUACCGUUUCAGGGGGGAUCAGUUUUAAUCUGGGCCGCUAGAAUCGGAUCGGACGACCAUGGUGCGAUCAUACCCCUUCGCGGGUCAAUUUUGCUAAAGAGCCCCCGUAUUUAUACUUAAAUAACCCGCCAUUAGCGCGACUAUUCCUGUGUCUGGAUUAUUUUGCGCCGGGGCCCCUGACCUUUCUAGUAAAUGAGGCCCAGUCCAAAACCCAUUUAAUUUGAAUAAAUGAAAUAGAAAAUGGAUUUUUAAUAUGAAAAUAAUUACUAGAACUUGAUAAAUUCAUAGAAAAUCUAUUUUUAGUCCAAAUUAGUCCAUUCCAUUUUCUAAAAUUUCGUAAUUUUAUUCUCUAACACUUAGAGUCUCUGUUUUGUCAUGACAACAGUAAGAAAAUUAAUUUCUUACUUAAUCCUAUUUUAAGCACAUAAAACCUUUGGAAAUUCAUAUCUUAAAAUCUAUAACUCCAAAAAUUAUGAUUCCUGUUCCUAGAAUUUUACUUUAAUAUGUAGAUUAUUACUGUGUAUUUUGUUUACAUGUUUGGUGUGAUGUUAAUUUCCUUUAUAUACUGUGCUUGUUUGAUUGUGGCGAGUAGAAGAGCUCGUGACCGAGGAUCCUGGUGAGCAGCAGAUAGCAGUAGCUGAGCAGGAGCUCAUUGAAGGCAAGUUGUGCCCUUGACCACAUUUUACCCAAUAAUGUUCUUUAAUAUCAUUUAUUAAUGCAUAGGUUAAUUUUGAUGGGACCCAAUAGGUCACCCUAGAUUGUUUAUCUCAUUACCUUGUUUACCCCUGAAUCACUUGGGUAGUUUGCUAUUGCUUUACAUGGUUUUGGGAUAAUCAUUUAUUAUAUCUAUGUUCCAAUUCUUUUGUUAUUCUAUUUAUGUUCAUGUCAAGAUCAUUAAUGUUAAUUGGAACAUAGAGCUUAACUUGAGUAACACGUGCCACCACAAGGGAUUAAUGGGACGCCCUUGGCUGACUAAUUAGGAAAGCUAGUGGAAGACUACCUUACCCGAAAGGGGCAAGGGCAGUAGGGGAGUUGCAUGCAAGGAGGUUCUCGGGUUGAUUUAGCUGCGAUGGCGGUCAGACGGGGGAUUCUUGCAAGUGCUCUUCCCAUAAACUGUAGCGGGUUUUCGGAAGCUAGUGGAACUUUGUAAAGGCCUCAUAGUGUUUCCCUGCCGCGCUUCCUAGGUAGAGGUGUAUGGGAGUCGCGACCCCUUGGCAGAUGGGUAACAUGACUUGUGGGUAAAGGGUACAACCUCUGCAGAGUGUAAAACUGGUAUACUAGCCGAGCUCACGGUCAUGAGCAGCUCAGGACUCUCUGAUGUUUAAAUUAUGGAACUUAAAUUCAAUUUGUCAUUCGCAUAUGCAUGGGUUUAUUAUUAAUUUUGUUCAAUUGCUUUAUUUAAGGUUUGGUAUUUACUUACACUUAGUAAUUGCUAAUAAAAUUUUGACCAACUACUUAAAAGCAAUGCUCAGCUUUAACCCCUGUCAUUGAUUAGCCUUACACAUCACAUGAACUCCCACCUUUGUGAGUUCAUGUCCACUGGUUCCCCACAACUUGUUGAGCUAUGAUCAUGUGUGAGCUCACCCUUGCUGUCUCACACCCCCCCACAUGAGAAGAGCAGGUGGUUCAGGAGGAGCCACAAGGCGAGGAGUUUGAUCUGAUCUAGGUGGCGUUUCUCAGUUGACAUUGGCACCGACGAUCCUUAGUUCGUUUUAUAUUUAUAUUUUAUUUUGUAAUAAGACUUCCGCUAUGAAAUAAAUACUCUGAUGUUUUAUGACAUUUAUCUCUAUACACUCUGUUAUUAUAUAUGUUGUCUUCUUGGCGCAUGUAUGAGAUGCACCUGGCUUUGUUCCUUAAAUCCGGGUGUGACACGUACCCUCUCCUACUCACCUUGGUAGUGUUUAAGGGUCCGAUCAACCCGAGGCGACAAACAGAACACGUAUUAUGGGUAAAGAUGUGCAAGCUCUUCAGAGUGUAAAACUGGUAUAUCAGCCAUGCUCACGAUCAUGAGCAGCUCAGACCCUCACAUGAGUAGCAUAUGGAAUUAAAUUUAAUUUAUCAUUUGCAUUGCAUUGUGCAUUAUUAUUAAUUUUGAUCUCUCAUUUUAUUGAGAUGGUAUUUACUUAUACUUAGUAACUGCUAAUAAAAUUUGUCCAACUUAUUAAAAGCAACAUUGUGCCUUAAUCAUUAUUUAUUGAUCAACUUUACUCUAUUCAUGAGGCCCCACCGUAAGUGAGCUCAUACACAUUAUUCCCCACACUUGCUGAGCGGUGAAUAUCUGUGAGCUCACUCUUGCAAAAAAAACUCCUCCCACAGGUGAAGAGCAGGUGGCCCCGCAGGAAGACUACUACGAGUAGUUCGACGAGGUCUAGGUGUCGUCUCCUAGUCAACUUGUUGGCGCCAAGGGAUAAUAAUGAUAUUAGUUCAUUCUAUUUAUUAUCGGUUAUUUUGUAAUACAUUUCGUUAUGUAAUAAAGAUUGUGACAUUCGUCUCUAUACACUGAGUCAUUAUAUAUGUUGAUCUUGUUUGUCGCACAUAUGAGCACUUUACUCAUGAGCCAUGACCCCUUUUGCCUUAUGCCAAUCAAACCCUUAAACACUUCCGGUAAGUUGGCAAUGUCUCACUACAUAGCUUUUACAAAGAUUCCUCAAUGAUAUAGUUGCCCGUUAGGUUUCUCCAUUUUGAUAAACACAGUACCUCUCCCCAAGGGGGUGACUAACAAAAGCAAACAAAAGAACCCCAGCACCCAGCCUUAGCAGAGUAAGCACUGUGCCCGGACCCCAUUGACGACAUGACGAUGAAGUAAACUACAACCUCAAGUUCCUCUGAUUAAUUAGCUAAGGGCAUACGAUACCACCCUCAUGGCUGCACUGUUUUCCCGAGUUGUCGCUCAACGAACCGGUCCUUACGGAGAAGCACUCGGGACACAACUCGAGUCUUCUUAAUAUCACAAAUCCAUAAACCAAAACUUGGGAACAUCGUACCAUAAAUAUAUCUCAUCAUGUUCAUUGAUUAAGUUAUAGCACUAGCAUAAAGGCUAAUCAUCAUAGCCAAUAACCCAAUGGUAAACAAGUACAUGAUAAAUAGAAAGCUAGUCAGUCCUUAAGUUUAAUCAUGUUGUGCGGGAAUGUAAGUUCUCAUGUGAAUAUGACAUAAGUAGGUUAGAGGACACUUGCCUUUAAAGAGAAAUAGGGUUAACCAUUUCCUAUAAAUAGAUUUUGGUGGUUGACGACCAACACAAUCCAUGUGGACUAACUAGUUUGUCUAGAUAUCAUUCAUAUCUGGUGCAUAAGAUUCAACACAAACCAAGAAAGAAUUCAUUUAGGGGACACAAGUUAUUUGGAGCAAAAAGGAUUUGAGUGUGCUGACUUGUGGUGCACCGGACAGUGUCCGGUGUGCACUGGACGUGUCUGGUGCACCAGGGCCGUACAACUCCGAACUAGUCACUCUUGGGAAUUCUAGGGGAGCCUCCGCUGUAAUUCAUCGGACUGUCCGGUGUGCCACCGGACUGUCCGACGAGCCAGUGGAGCAACGGCUCCCUGCGCCAACGGUCGACUGUGCAAAGUGAACAGUGAUGAACAAUGCCGCGCAGAGGUCAGAGCGUAGAAGUCAGAGGGCACCGAACUGUUCAGUGUGGCACUGAACUGUUCGAUGCAGCUAGAAGACAAACGCCUCCAACGGUCAACUGCUCCGAACCCUAAUGGUUGCGUUGACGUGGUGCGCACCGGACAGUCCGGUGCGCCCAUCGCCAGCAGCCUUCCCCAAUGGCUAUGGAAGUGGUUGGGGGCUAUAAAUACCCCCAACCACCUCAUUCAUAUCCAUCCAAGCCUUCUGAAAUCUUCAUUCAUUGCAAGAGCAAAAGCCCAACACUCCAAGACACAAUCAAAGCAAUCAAUCCACUCAAAGUCCCCAAAAUCAACUCUAGUACAUUAGGGCUUGUGAGAGGAUCAAUUGUGAUCUUUUGUUGCUCUUGUUGCUCGGAUUGGCCUUUUCUUUCCCCCUUCUUAUUAUCAAGAGAAUUGUAAUCGAAGCAAGAGACACCUAAGUGUGUGGUGGUCCUUGCGGGGUCUAAGUAACCCGUGAGAUUAAGGAAAAGGCUCACUCGGUCUAAGUGACCGUUUGAGAGAGAGAAAGGGUUGAAACAGACCCGGUCUUUGUGGCCUCCUCAACGGGGACUAAGUUCUUUGGAACCGAACCUUGGUAAAACAAAUCAUCGUGUUCACUCACUUUGAUUCUCGUUUGAUUUGUUUUCCCUCUCUAACGUUUCCUUGCUAGUAUUGAUUUGAGUUGGCUCCCAUACGUCAUCCGCAUUCGUUGAGGAACUCUUAGCAAGAGAAACAUUCUUUUGACAUGAAUUUAAUUCUAACGCUAACCCCGGCCUUUAGUGUGAGUUUAAAGUUGAUAAAUUUCAGGUUUCGCCUAUUUGCCCCCUCUAGGCGACUUUCAAUUGGUAUCAGAGCCAGUGCUUCAUUAAGAGCCUAACCAACUCGAAGUGAUGUCUAGAGAUCACGCCAAGAGGGAGAUCGUGACCGACGAAAAGGCCACAGGCUCGAGGAGGACUCUCUCAAGGGAGUCCGGCAACAAGUAUAAGGAGGAAUCCUCUUCCUCCAUCAAGUCACAUCGGAGAGGUGACAAGAAGAAGAAGAUGAAGAAAGUGGUCUACUACGAGACCGACUGUUGUCACCCUCCACGUCCGACACCGAGUCGUCUACUACUUCUAAGCACCAUGAGCGCAAGAAGUAUAGUAAGAUGCCCCUACGCUAUCCCCGUAUUUCAAAGCGUGCUCCAUUACUUUCCAUACCCCUAGGCAAACCACCAUAUUUUGAUGGUGAAGAUUAUUAUAUGUGGAGUGAUAAAAUGAGGCACUAUCUAACCUCACUCCACAAAAGUAUUUGGGAUAUUGUUGAGUUUGGAGCGCAAGCACUAAAGGUGGGGGACGAGGACUAUGACUCGGACGAGGCCGCCCAAAUACGACACUUUAACUCCCAAGCAACUUCUAUACUCCUCCCCCCUUUAUGUCGAGAGGAGUAUAAUAAGGUGCAAGGGUUAAAGAGCGCCAAAGAAAUUUGGGACGUCCUCAAAACUACGCACGAAGGGGACGAGGUGACCAAGAUCGAGACGAUCGAAGGAGAACUCGGUUGAUUCGUCCUCAACAAAGGAGAAGAGACACAAGCCAUGUACAACCGGCUCAAGACCAUGGUGAACCAAGUGCGCAAACUCGGGAGCACCAAAUGGGAUGACCAUGAAAUGGUCAAGGUUAUUCUUAGAUCCCUCGUAUUUCGUAAUCCUACAUAAGUACAAUUAAUACGUAGGGAUCCUAGAUACAAGCUAAUGUGUCCCGAGGAAGUUAUUGGCAAGUUUGUGAGCUUUGAACUUAUGAUCAAAGACUCCAAACACAUUGUCAACUUGGAGGAAGGCGCCACCUCUACACCCGAGGUGCAACCCGUCGCAUUCAAAGCGACGGAAGAAAAGGAGUCUACACCAAGUAGGCUUCCAAUUGAUGCCUCCAAGCUCGACAAUGAGGAGAUGGCGCUCAUCAUCAAGAGCUUCCACCAAAUCCUCAAUCAAAGGAGGGGGAAGGAUUACAAGCCCCGCUCCAAGAGGGUGUGCUACCGGUGUGGUAAGUCCGGUCAUUUCAUAGCUUAAUGUCCAAUUUCUAGUGAAAGUGACAGGGAUGAAGACAAGACGGGGAAGAAGAAGGAGAAGAAGAGAUACUACAAGAAGAAGGGCGGCGAUGCGCACAUGUGCCAGAAAUGGGACUCCGACGAGAGCUCUACCGACUCCUCCUCCGACGAGGACGUCGCCAACGUCGCCGUCAACAAAGGCCUCCUCUUCCCCAACGUUGGCCACAAGUGUCUCAUGGCUAAGGACGGCAAGAAGAAGAAGAUACACUCUAGAGCCAACCUCAAAUAUACUACGUCUAGUAAUGAGGGUAGCUCUAGCGAUAAUGAGGAUGAUUUACUUUCUCACUUUGCCAACCUUAGCAUGGAACAAAAUAAAAAAUUGAAUGAAUUAAUUGAGACUAUUAACGAGAAGGAUGAUCUCUUGGAAUGCCAAGAAGACUUGCUCGUUAAAGAAAACAAAAAAAUUGUUAAGUUGAAAAAUGCUUAUGCUCAGGAUGUAGAAAAAUGUGAAAACUUAUCUAAGGAGCUUAGCAUUUGUCAUGAUUCAAUUUCAAGUCUUAGAACUGAGAAUGCUAGUUUAGUUUCUAAGAUUGGAAAGUUGAAUGUUUGCAAUGAGUCAAUUUCUAGUCUUAAAAUUCAGAAUGAUAAUUUAAAUGCUAAGAUUGAGAAAUUGAGUAUUUGCAAAGCAUCUACAUCUACUGUUGAAAAUGUUACAAUUUGUGCUAGGUGUAAAGUCAUUAAUGUUGAAGCUAUGGAUGAUCACCUUGCCAUGAUUAAACAACAAAAUGAUCACAUAGCUAAAUUAACUGCUAAAAUUGCCGAGCAUGAACUAGAAAAUGAAAAUUUUAAAUUCGCUUGUAGUAUGCUUUAUAAUGGGAGACGCCCUGGUAUUAAGGAUGAUAUUGGAUUCCAACAAGGGAACCAAUCCAAUGUCAAGCUUAAUGCCCCUAAGAAAUUAUCUAAUUUUGUUAAGGGUAAGGCUCCCAUGGUUUAGGAUAGUUAGGGUUACAUUUUAUAUCCUGCAAAUUAUCCCGAACACAAAAUUAGGAAGAUUCAUGCUAGGAAACCUCAUAAUGUUUCUCAUCAUGCUUUUAUGUAUAAGAAUGAGGCUUCUAGUUCUAGGCAUUCCACCCAUGUUAAAAUGCCUAAAAAGAAAAUUCCUAAUGCAUCAAAUGAGCAUAAUAUUUCAUUUAAGACUUUUGAUGCUUCUUAUGUUUUAACUAACAAAUCAGGCAAAAAGUUGCCAAAUAUGUUGGGGGCAAACACAAGAGCCCAAAGACUUGUGUUUGGGUACCCAAGGUGCUUGUUUCUAAUGUAAAAGGACCCAAGACCAUUUGGGUACCUAAGAACAAGGCCUAAAUUUGUUUUGUAGGUUUAUGCAUCUGGUGGAUCAAGUUGGAUAAUCGAUAGCGGGUGCACAAACCACAUGAUAGGGGAGAAAAUGAUGUUCUCCUCAUAUGAGAAAAAUGAAGAUCCCCAAAUAGCUAUCACAUUCGGGGAUGGAAAUCAAGGUUUGGUCAAAGGUUUGGGUAAAAUAGCUAUAUCCCCUGACCAUUCCAUUUCUAAUGUUUUUCUUGUAGAUUCUUUAGAUUACAAUUUGCUUUCUGUUUCUCAAUUAUGCAAAAUGGGCUACAACUAUCUAUUUACUGACGUAGGUGUCACUGUCUUUAGAAGAAGUGAUGAUUCAAUAGCAUUUAAUGGAGUGCUAGAUGGUCAGCUAUACUUAGUUGAUUUUAAUGAUAACCAAGCUGAACUAGACACUUGCUUAAUUGCUGAGACUAACAUGGGUUGGCUCUGGUAUCGCCGACUUGCCCAUGUUGGAAUGAAGAAUCUUCAUAAGCUUCUAAAGGGGAACACAUUUUAGGACUAACAAAUGUUCAUUUUGAGAAAGACAGGAUUUAUAGCGCAUGUCAAGCAGGAAAGUAAGUUAGAGUCCAUCAUCCACACAAGAAUAUAAUGAUGACUGACAGGCCGCUCGAGCUACUCCACAUGGAUCUAUUUGGCCCGAUCGCUUAUAUAAGCAUCGACGGGGAUAAGUACUGUCUAGUAAUUAUGGAUGAUUAUUCUUGCUUCACUUGGGUAUUCUUUUUGCAAGAAAAAUCUCAAAUCCAAGAGACCUUAAAGAGAUUCUUGAGACGGGCUCAAAAUGAGUUUGGAUUAAGAAUCAAAAAGAUUAGAAGCGACAAUGGGAUGUACUUCAAGAAUUCACAAAUUGAAGGAUUUCUUGAGGAGGAGGGCAUCAAGCAUGAGUUCUUUCUCUCUACACACCUCAACAAAAUGGUGUAGUGAAAAGUAAGAAUAGAACUCUAUUGGACAUGGCAAGAACCAUACUUGAUGAGUACAAGACACCAGACCGGUUUUGGGCUGAGGCGAUUAACAUCGCCUGCUACUCCAUCAACCGGUUAUAUCUCCACCGAAUCCUCAAGAAUAAAUCAUAUGAACUUCUCUCUGGUAAAAAGCCCAAUGUUUCAUAUUUUAGAGUCUUUAGGAGUGAAUGCUUUAUUCUUAUUAAAAGAGGUAGAAGUUCUAAAUUUGCUCCUAAGGCUGUAGAAGGCAUUUUACUAAGGUAUGUCGCAAACACAAGGGCAUAUAGAGUCUUCAACAAAUCCACUAGAUUAGUUGAGGUUUCUUGUGACAUUGUGUUUGAUGAGACUAAUGGCUCCCAAGUGGAGCAAGUUGAUCUUGAUGAACUAGAUGAUGAAGAGGCUCCGUGCGUUGCGCUAAGGAACAUGUCCAUUGGAGAUGUGUGUCCUAAGGAAUUCGAAGAGCCUCCACAAGCACAAGAUCAACCAUCAUCUUCCAUGCAAACAUCUCCACCAACUCAAGAUGAGGACCAAGCUCAAGAUGAUGAAGAUGAAGAUCUAGAGAAUGAGCCACCUCAAGAGGAGGACAUUGAUCAAGGGGGAGAUGAAGACCAUGAUGACAAGGAAGAUGAUCAAGAAAUUCGGGAUCAAAGACCGCCACACCCAAGAGUCCACCAAGCAAUUCAAAGAGAUCAUCCCGUCAACUCCAUUCUUGGUGAUAUUCACAAGGGGGUAACCACUAGAUCUCGAGUUGCACAUUUUUGUGAACAUUACUCUUUUGUGUCUUCUAUUGAGCCAUACAAGAUAGAGGAUGCAUUAAGAGAUCCGGAUUGGGUGAUGCCUAUGCAAGAGGAGCUCAACUACUUCAUGAGGAAUGAGGUAUGAUACUUAGUUCCACAUCCUAAUCAAAAUGUUGUAGGUACCAAGUGGGUAUUCCGCAACAAGCAAGAUGAGCAUGGUGUGGUGACAAGAAACAAAGCCCGACUUGUGGCCAAAGGUUAUUCACAAAUCGAAGGUUUGGAUUUCGAUGAAACCUAUGCACCCGUAGCUAGGCUUGAGUCAAUUCGUAUAUUACUUGCCUAUGCUACUUACCAUGGCUUUAAGCUUUAUCAAAUGGACGUGAAAAGUGCCUUCCUCAAUGGCCCUAUUAAGGAAGAGAUCUGUGUUGAGCAACCUCCCGGAUUUGGAGACAGUGAGUAUCCUAACCAUGUAUAUAAACUCUCAAAGGCGCUUUAUGGGCUUAUGAAUGCCUGCGAUACUUCCUUAUCACUAAUGGCUUCAAAGUUGGAAAAGCCGAUCCUACUCUCUUCACUAAAUCUAUCGCAAAAGACUUGUUUAUAUGCCAAAUCUAUGUUGAUGAUAUUAUAUUUGGGUCUUGUCGGAGGGUAAAUCUCUCCGGCCGGGUGGCGGAUUGCACCCGCCCUAAUUUUUAAAAUGAGGAGGGGCCUAAGCGUUUUGCUUGUUACGAGGUUGGUGGAUGAACACACGAGAGCACACGAGGGUUUAGAGUGGUUCGGGCCACCGGGGCAUAACACCCUACUCCACUGUGUAAUGUAUUGUGAGUCUGAGCUUGGAUCUCUCGUAACGCCGCAUGCCUCCCCUUUUAUAGCUGAAGGGGGGCAUGCACAAAGGCACUGAGCCCCGACAUAUGGGCCCAGGGUCAUAAUGAAUAUAGCGCUCGGGACUACAAAUAUUUGCUGUUGGGGAAAUCUCCUUUUGUCCUGUCACCCGAGAUUUGUGUAUCUUCGGCGUGCAGGGAAAGCUUCUUGCAGAAGGGAUAAUGAGCACGAUGCGCCGCAUGGCACAGGCGCAUUGUUCGAUGAUAGAUUGGACAUGCGCGCCGUCUAACGCCGUCUGCCAGCGGAGUGGACUGGACGCAUUAAAUGCCGAGGGGGCACAUCGUCCGUCGGCUUGGUGGCAGGUGGUGCGUCCUCUCCGCAAUAAAUGUGGAGACCACGCGACCUCAGUGGCCUGACGUCAGACUCCGUCGGUUGGCUUAUGUCAUGAGCGACAAGCCACGCGACAGCAGUGGGUCUCUAUACGAGUGGGGAGCGUGGUGCAAGCCCCGGACACGUGCCAGCACCAGACCUCUUCCGAGGCGGGGCCCGGGUAUUCCCUGCCCUAGAAUCCUAGGACCCGGUGGUAAUCCGUCCGGACCCCACACGGAAGGGUCUAGGAUCUUUCUCGGAGGUCCACCCGUUAUGCACGAGGUCCUGUGCUUUCCACGUGGUAGGCCCGGACCUACUACGUGUAUCCGGAGCACGCUUUUUCCCUUGGCCGCGUGGUGACCCCAAGGCGGCCGAUGUUGCACGACGGUGAGCCGCUUGCCGCGCAACUAGAGGCUUUACCGCCGACACGACGUCUAUACCUUGUAACUGGGGGUACCCCUAUUUCAAGGUACCGACAGGUCUACUAACAAGUCAUCUUGUGAAGAGUUUAGUAGGAUGAUGAUACAGAAACUCAAGAUGUCUAUGAUGGGAGAGUUGAAGUAUUUUCUUGGAUUUCAAAUCAAGCAACUCCAAGAGGGCACAUUCAUCAGCCAAACAAAGUACAUUCAAGACAUACUCAAGAAGUUUGGAAUGAAGAAUGGCAAACCCAUCAAGACACCCAUGGGAACCAAUGGGCAUCUCGACCUCGACACGGGAGGUAAAUCCGUAGAUCAAAAGGUAUACCGGUCGAUGAUAGGAUCUUUACUCUACUUAUGUGCAUCUCGACCGGAUAUUAUGCUUUCUGUAUGCAUGUGUGCAAGGUUCCAGGCAAAUCCUAAGGAAGUUCUGAAAGGGAAAUGUGCCCUUGGGCCAUUUCUAAGUAUUUUGGUGAUUGAGUGUCAACACAAGUGUUUAAAUGUGAAUCAACGCCCAUGGAUGAACAAAGUGCAAAUCUUCAACAAAGGUAUGUUUCUAAGUCUUAGUACAUUGGUUUUGUGUACUAAUAUAUUUGUCUAAGUGUUAGAAACAGAAAGAAGAAGAGAAGAGAAGACUUGGCCUGUGUGCAGCCAAGGGGCUGUUUCGGUCUGGGGCACCGGACUGUCCGGUGGUGCACCGGACAGUGUCCGGUGGUGCACCGGACAGUGUCCGGUGCACCAGGCUGCCUCGGCUGAAGAGGCCACUCUCGGGUUUUUCUCCGGCGACUUCGGCUAUAAUUCACCGGACUGUCCGGUGUGCACCGGACUGUCCGGUGAGCCAACGGUCGGCCGGGCCAACGGUCGGCCGCGCGAUCGGCGCGCGACACGUGGCCGAGCCAACGGUCGGAAGGAAGCACCGGACUGUCCGGUGUGCACCGGACAUGUCCGGUGCGCCAACGGUGCGCAGAUCUGACUCUGACAGCAACGGUCGGAUGCGCUGUUUAAGGAAACAAAUCGGGCACCGGACAGUGUCCGGUGUGCACCGGACUGUCCGGUGCGCCACGAGACAGAAGGCAAAGAUGGCCUUCCAGAUUUGUUCUCAACGGCUCCUAGCUGCCUUGGGGCUAUAAAAGGGACCCCUUGGCGCAUGGAGGAGUACACCAAGCAUUCCUACAACUCUUCUAAGCACCAAGACAUCAAUCUCACGCAUUCGUUUCAUUGUGAUAGCAUAUAGAGCUCUUGUGGAGUUGUGAACUCUUUGUGUUGCGUUGCGAGCUCUUGUUGCGACUUGUGUGCGUGUUGUUGCUCUGAUUUUCGAGUCUUGUGUGCGUUGCUCAUUCCCACCUUACUCCGUAUUUCUUUGUGAACUCAAUUGUAAGGGCGAGAGACUCCAAGUUGUGGAGAUUCCUCGCAAACGGGAAAAGAUCAAAGGAAAGAAAAACACCAUGGUAUUCAAGUUGAUCAUUGGAUCACUUGAGAGGAGUUGAGUGCAACUCUCGUCCGUUGGGACGCCACAACGUGGAGUAGGCAAGUUUUGUACUUGGCCGAACCACGGGAUAACCACCGUGUCAACUCUGUGAUUGCUUUCUUGUGGUUAUCGUGUUUUGAGUUCUCUCUAGCCACUUGGCCAUACUUGUGCUAACCCUUAACAAGUUUUUGUGGCUUAAGUUUUGAACUUUUACAGGAUCACCUAUUCACCCCCCCCCUCUAGGUGCUCUCAAUUGGUAUCAGAGCCGUUCUCUUCAAGUAAGGGACUAACCGCCCGAAGAGAUGGAUCCUAAGGGGAAGGGAAUUGUGAUCAACGACAAGGAGAAGGAGUCCUUCGUCAACGAGCCAAGGGAUGACAAGUCCAAUGACUCGGGCUCGGGCCACAAGCGAAGAGAUAGGAAGAAGAAGAAGACAAGACGCAUCAAGGAGAUCGUCUACUACGACAGCGAUGAGUCCUCUUCUUCCCAAAAGGACGACGACCACGACAAACAAAGGAAACCGGUUAAUUCUAACUUUUCUUUUGACUACUCUCGUAUUCCGCAAAGUUCAAAUUCACAUUUGCUUUCUAUUCCACUCGGCAAGCCCCCACACUUUGAUGGGGAGGACUACGGAUUUUGGAGCCACAAAAUGCGUAGUCACCUAUUCUCUCUCCAUCCUAGCAUAUGGGAGAUUGUAGAUAGUGGAAUGCACUUUAAUAGUUCGGAUAGUCCUAUAUUCAUUAAUGAGCAAAUCCAUAAGAAUGCACAAGCUACUACUGUUCUUCUAGCCUCAUUGUGCAGGGAUGAAUAUAAUAAAGUGAGUGGCUUGGAUAACGCCAAGCAAAUCUGGGAUACCCUCAAGAUCUCUCAUGAGGGAAAUGACGCUACCUUGCUCACCAAAAUGGAGUUGGUGGAGGGCGAGCUUGGACGGUUCGCGAUGAUAAGGGGCGAGGAGCCAACUCAAACAUACAACCGGCUCAAGACCCUUGUCAACAAGAUAAGGAGCUAUGGAAGCACGCGAUGGACGGACCACGACGUCGUCCGCCUAAUGCUAAGGUCCUUUACUGUUCUUGAUCCUCAUUUGGUGAAUAAUAUUCGUGAGAAUCCCAGGUACACCAAAAUGUCGCCCGAAGAAAUUCUUGGAAAAUUUGCAAGCGGGCGGAUGAUGAUCAAGGAGGCAAGGUACGUCGAUGACGCGUUGAACGGUCCAAUCCACGAGCCUCAACCCAUUGCUCUCAAGGCAUCGAGGAGCAAGGAGGCACUACCAAGCAAGGUGGCGCAAAUUGAGGCGGCCGGGCUUAAUGAUGAAGAAAUGGCUCUCAUCAUUAAGCGCUUCAAGACGGUGCUAAAGGGUCGCAAUGGACAGCCGAGCAAGACUAAGACCAAGGGGAAGCGAUCAUGCUUCAAAUGCGGUAAGCUUGGUCAUUUUAUUGCUAACUGUCCUAAUAAUGAAAGUGACCAGGAAAAGGGAAACAAGAGGGAAAAGAAGAAGCAUUAUAAGAAGGCAAAGGGCGAGGCGCAUCUAGGCAAGGAGUGGGACUCGGAUUGCUCCUUGUCCGACUCCGACAAUGAAGGACUCGCCGCCACCGCCUUCAACAAAUCAACCCUCUUCCCCAACGAGCGUCACACAUGCCUUAUGGCAAGGGAGAAGAAGGUAUGUACUCGCAACUCUACCUAUGCUUCUUCAAGUGAGGACGAAUCUAGUGAUGAGGAUGAAGUAGAUUAUUCAUGUUUGUUCAAGGGCUUAGAUAGAUCUAAGAUAGACAAAAUUAAUGAAUUAAUUGAUGCCUUGAAUGAAAAGAAUAUACUUUUAGAAAAGCAAGAGGAUUUGUUGUAUGAAGAGCAUGAUAAAUUUGUUGAGGCACAAAAAUCCUAUGCUUUAGAAGUUAAAAGAAAUGAAAUGCUUUCUUUUGAACUAUCUACUUGUCAUGAAACCAUUUCUACUUUGAAAGGUGUCAACAAUGAUUUAAAUGCUAAAUUAGAAGUAGCAAAUAAAUCCAAUUCUUGUGUAGAACAUGUUGAAAUUUGUACUAGGUGUAAAGAUUUUGACGUUGAUGCUUGUAGUGAACACCUAGUUUCAAUUUCCAAGCUUAAUGAUGAACUGGCUAGUCUUAAUGCUCAACUUAAGACUAGCAAGAAUGAUUUCGAUAAGCUAAAAUUUGCAAGGGAUGCCUACACAAUUGGUAGACACCCCUCAAUUAAGGAUGGACUUGGCUUCAAGAGAGAAGCUAAGAACUUAACAAGCCAUAAGGCUCCCAUUCCCGCCAAGGAGAAAGGGAAGGCCCCUAUGGCUAGUAAUGUGCAAAAGAACCAUGCUUUUAUGUAUCAUGAUAGGAGACAAACUAGAAAUGCUUAUAGGAGUUUGAAUGCUUUUGAUGAUUUUGACUCUCAUGCCAUGUUUGCUUCUAGUUCUUCCUAUAUGCAUGGUAGAAAUAUGUCUAGGAGAAAUGCUAUUCAUCAUGUGCCUAGAAAGAAUGUUAUUCAUGCUCCUAGGAAAGUAGUGAAUGAACCUUCUACAAUUUAUUGUGCUUUGAAUACUUCAUUUGCAAUUUGUAGAAAGGAUAGAAAAGUAAUUGCUAGGAAGUUAGGGGCAAAAUGCAAAGGUGAUAAAACUUGCAUUUGGGUCCCUAAGGAAAUUGUGACUAACCUUGUAGGACCCAACAAGAGUUGGGCACCUAAGUCCCAAGCCUAAAUUUGCCUUGCAGGUUUAUGCAUCCGGGGGUUCAAGCUGGAUUAUCGACAGCGGAUGCACAAACCAUAUGACGGGGGAGAAGAAGAUGUUCACCUCCUACGUCAAGAAUAAAGAUUCCCAAGAUUCAAUUGUAUUCGGUGAUGGGAAUCAAGGCAAGGUAAAAGGUUUAGGUAAAAUUGCAAUUUCUAAUGAGCACUCCAUAUCUAAUGUAUUUUUAGUUGAGUCUCUUGGAUAUAAUCUGCUAUCUGUAAGUCAAUUAUGUCAUAUGGGGUAUAAUUGUCUAUUUACAAAUGUAGAUGUGUCUGUCUUUAGAAGAAGUGAUGGUUCACUAGCUUUUAAGGGUGUAUUAGACGGCAAACUUUAUUUAGUUGAUUUUGCAAAAGAAGAGGCCCGUCUAGAUGCAUGCUUAAUAGCUAAGACUAGCAUGGGCUGGCUGUGGCAUCGUCGCUUAGCACAUGUGGGGAUGAAGAACCUUCACAAGCUUCUAAAGGGAGAACACGUGAUAGGUUUGACUAACGUGCAUUUCGAAAAAGAUAGACCUUGUGCAGCUUGUCAAGCAGGUAAACAAGUGGGAGGAGCGCAUCACAGCAAGAACGUGAUGACCACUUCAAGACCCCUGGAGCUGCUGCAUAUGGACCUCUUCGGACCUGUCGCCUAUCUGAGCAUAGGAGGAAGUAAGUAUGGUUUAGUUAUUGUUGAUGACUUUUCCCGCUUCACUUGGGUGUUCUUUUUGCAGGAAAAAUCUGAAACCCAAGGGACUCUCAAACGCUUCCUCAGGAGAGCUCAAAAUGAGUUUGAGCUCAAAGUGAAAAAGAUAAGAAGCGACAACGGGUCCGAGUUCAAGAACCUUCAAGUGGAGGAGUUCCUUGAAGAGGAAGGGAUCAAACACGAGUUCUCCGCUCCCUACACACCACAGCAAAAUGGUGUGGUAGAGAGGAAGAACAGGACGCUCAUCGACAUGGCGAGGACGAUGCUAGGAGAGUUCAAGACCCCCGAGUGCUUUUGGACGGAAGCCGUGAACACGGCGUGCCACGCCAUCAACAGGGUCUACCUUCAUCGCCUCCUCAAGAAGACGUCGUAUGAGCUACUAACCGGUAACAAACCCAAUGUAUCGUACUUUCGUGUAUUUGGGAGUAAAUGCUACAUUCUAGUAAAGAAGGGUAGAAAUUCUAAGUUUGCUCCCAAAGCUGUAGAAGGGUUUUUAUUAGGUUAUGACUCAAAUACAAAGGCGUAUAGAGUCUUCAACAAAUCAUCGGGUUUGGUUGAAGUCUCUAGCGACGUUGUAUUUGAUGAGACUAAUGGCUCUCCAAGAGAGCAAGUUGUUGAUUGUGAUGAUGUAGAUGAAGAAGAUGUUCCGACAGCCGCUAUACGAACCAUGGCGAUUGGAGAAGUACGGCCACAGGAACAAGAUAAACGAGAUCAACCUUCUUCCUCGACCAUGGUGCUACCCCCAACUCAAGACGAUGAACAGGUUCAUCAACAGGAGGCAUGUGAUCAAGGGGGAGCACAAGAUAAUCAUGUGAUGGAGGAAGAAGUGCAACCGGCACCUCCAACCCAAGUUCGAGCGAUGAUUCAAAGGGAUCAUCCCGUCGACCAAAUUCUGGGUGACAUUAGCAAGGGAGUGACUACUCGAUCUCAAUUAGUUAAUUUUUGUGAGCAUUACUCCUUUGUCUCUUCUAUUGAGCCUUUCAGGGUAGAGGAGGCCUUGCUAGAUCCGGACUGGGUGUUGGCCAUGCAAGAGGAGCUAAACAACUUCAAGCGCAAUGAAGUUUGGACACUGGUGCCUCGUUCGAAGCAAAAUGUUGUGGGAACCAAGUGGGUGUUCCGCAACAAACAGGACGAGCACGGGGUGGUGACGAGGAACAAGGCUCGACUUGUGGCAAAAGGUUAUGCCCAAGUCGCAGGUUUGGACUUUGAGGAGACUUUUGCUCCUGUGGCCAGGCUAGAGUCCAUUCGUAUUUUGCUAGCAUAUGCCGCUCACCAUUCUUUCAGGUUGUACCAAAUGGAUGUGAAGAGCGCUUUCCUCAAUGGGCCAAUCAAGGAGGAGGUGUACGUAGAGCAACCCCCUGGCUUUGAGGAUGAACGGUACCCCGACCAUGUGUGUAAGCUCUCUAAGGCGCUCUAUGGACUUAAGCAAGCCCCAAGAGCAUGGUAUGAAUGCCUUAGAGACUUUUUAAUUGCUAAUGCUUUCAAGGUUGGGAAAGCCGAUCCAACUCUUUUUACAAAGACGUGUGAUGGUGAUUUGUUUGUGUGCCAAAUUUAUGUCGAUGACAUAAUAUUUGGUUCUACUAACCAAAAGUCUUGUGAAGAGUUUAGCAGGGUGAUGACGCAGAAAUUCGAGAUGUCAAUGAUGGGCGAGUUGAACUACUUCCUUGGGUUCCAAGUGAAGCAACUCAAGGACGGCACCUUCAUCUCCCAAACGAAGUACACGCAAGAUCUGCUAAAGCGGUUUGGGAUGAAGGACGCCAAGCCCGCAAAGACUCCGAUGGGGACCGACGGACACACCGACCUCAACAAAGGAGGUAAGUCCGUUGAUCAAAAAGCAUACCGGUCAAUGAUAGGUUCUUUGCUUUACUUAUGUGCUAGUAGACCUGAUAUUAUGCUUAGCGUAUGCAUGUGUGCUAGAUUUCAAUCCGAUCCUAAGGAGUGUCACUUAGUGGCGGUGAAGCGAAUUCUUAGAUAUUUGGUUGCUACGCCUUGCUUCGGGCUCUGGUAUCCAAAGGGGUCUACCUUUGACUUAGUUGGAUACUCAGACUCCGACUAUGCCGGAUGUAAGGUCGAUAGGAAGAGUACAUCGGGGACGUGCCAAUUCUUAGGAAGGUCCCUGGUGUCAUGGAACUCUAAGAAACAAACAUCCGUUGCCCUAUCCACCGCUGAGGCCGAGUACGUUGCCGCAGGUCAGUGUUGCGCGCAACUACUUUGGAUGAGGCAAACCCUCAGGGACUUUGGCUACAGUCUGAGCAAAGUCCCACUCCUAUGUGAUAAUGAGAGUGCUAUCCGCAUGGCGGAAAAUCCUGUUGAGCACAGCCGCACGAAGCACAUAGACAUCCGGCAUCACUUUUUGAGAGACCACCAGCAAAAGGGAGAUAUCGAAGUGUUUCAUGUUAGCACCGAGAACCAGCUAGCCGAUAUCUUCACUAAGCCUCUAGAUGAGAAGACCUUUUGCAGGUUGCGUAGUGAGCUAAAUGUCUUAGAUUCGCGGAACCUGGAUUGAAUUGUAGCAUACAUGUACUUAUGCUUUUAAUCAUGUUCCUUUUUGCAUUUUGUUGCUUAUUUUGGUGCUCAAGUUGUACAAACACUCCCUGGACCUCACAAGUCCGUUGCAAAGUGAUGCACAUGUUUAGGGGGAGAUGUGUUACAACUUGACCCUUUGAGACUAACCAUGUGCUUGAGUUUGAUAAUUUAGUCUCGAAGGAGAAUUGAAAGGAAAAAGGUGGACUUGGACCAUGAAAGACUUCCACUGCACUCCGAUGAGAGGGUAACUAAUUCCAAGUUCAUCUCAUGAAAUCUUAUUGCCAUUUGCUCUUAAUUGAAGACUUUGGUGAGGCAAUGGGGUUAAAAGGCCAAGAUUGAUCCCGUUUUGGUGCUUGAUGCCAAAGGGGGAGAAAAUAAAGGCCAAAGCGAUAAAUGGAUCAGCUACCACUUGAGAGAUUUUGAAAAUAGUAGAAUAGAGUUUUUGUGUUGUUAAACUCUUUUAUUGUCUCUCUUGUCAAAAGUUGGCUUCUUGUGGGGAGAAGUAUUGAUUAUGGGAAAUCGGGGGAGUUGUUGAACUCUUUGAUCAAUCUCUUUUGGAAUGACUCUCUUUAUGCCUCAACAUGUGUGUUUGACUUAGAGAUAGAGAUUUGAGUUUGAUUUGCAAAAACAAACCAAGUGGUGGCAAAGGAUGAUCCAUAUAUGCCAAAAUUGAAUCAAAACCAAUUUGAGUUUUUAUUUGAAGUGAUUUUGCACUUGUUCUAGUUGCUUUAUGUUGUGUUGGCAUAAAUCACCAAAAAGGGGGAGAUUGAAAGGGAAAUGUGCCCUUGGGCCAUUUCUAAGUAUUUUGGUGAUUGAGUGUCAACACAAGUGUUUAAAUGUGAAUCAACGCCCAUGGAUGAACAAAGUGCAAAUCUUCAACAAAGGUAUGUUUCUAAGUCUUAGUACAUUGGUUUUGUGUACUAAUAUAUUUGUCUAAGUGUUAGAAACAGAAAGAAGAAGAGAAGAGAAGACUUGGCCUGUGUGCAGCCAAGGGGCUGUUUCGGUCUGGGGCACCGGACAGUGUCCGGUGGUGCACCGGACAGUGUCCGGUGCACCAGGCUGCCUCGGCCGAAGAGGCCACUCUCGGGUUUUUCUCCGGCGACUUCGGCUAUAAUUCACCGGACUGUCCGGUGUGCACCGGACUGUCCGGUGAGCCAACGGUCGGCCGGGCCAACGGUCGGCCGCGCGAUCGGCGCGCGACACGUGGCCGAGCCAACGGUCGGAAGGAAGCACCGGACUGUCCGGUGUGCACCGGACAUGUCCGGUGCGCCAACGGUGCGCAGAUCUGACUCUGACAGCAACGGUCGGAUGCGCUGUUUAAGGAAACAAAUCGGGCACCGGACAGUGUCCGGUGUGCACCGGACUGUCCGGUGCGCCACGAGACAGAAGGCAAAAAUGGCCUUCCAGAUUUGUUCUCAACGGCUCCUAGCUGCCUUGGGGCUAUAAAAGGGACCCCUUGGCGCAUGGAGGAGUACACCAAGCAUUCCUACAACUCUUCUAAGCACCAAGACAUCAAUCUCACGCAUUCGUUUCAUUGUGAUAGCAUAUAGAGCUCUUGUGGAGUUGUGAACUCUUUGUGUUGCGUUGCGAGCUCUUGUUGCGACUUGUGUGCGUGUUGUUGCUCUGAUUUUCGAGUCUUGUGUGCGUUGCUCAUUCCCACCUUACUCCGUAUUUCUUUGUGAACUCAAUUGUAAGGGCGAGAGACUCCAAGUUGUGGAGAUUCCUCGCAAACGGGAAAAGAUCAAAGGAAAGAAAAACACCGUGGUAUUCAAGUUGAUCAUUGGAUCACUUGAGAGGAGUUGAGUGCAACUCUCGUCCGUUGGGACGCCACAACGUGGAGUAGGCAAGUUUUGUACUUGGCCGAACCACGGGAUAACCACCGUGUCAACUCUAUGAUUGCUUUCUUGUGGUUAUCGUGUUUUGAGUUCUCUCUAGCCACUUGGCCAUACUUGUGCUAACCCUUACAAGUUUUUGUGGCUUAAGUUUUGAACUUUUACAGGAUCACCUAUUCACCCCCCCCCUCUAGGUGCUCUCAAGUUCACCUUAGGGCCGUGAAAAGAAUCAUGCGAUAUUUAGUUUACACUCCUAAGUUUGGGCUUUGGUACCCUAAGGGAUCUUCCUUUGAUUUAAUUCAGUAUUCUGAUGCCGAUUAUGCCAGAUAUAAAAUUGAUAGAAAGAGCACAUUAGGGACUUGUCAGUUUUUGGGAAGAUCCCUGGUGUCAUGGGCUUCAAAGAAACAAAACUCUGUAGCUCUUUCCACCGCCGAAGCCGAGUACAUUGCCGCAGGCCAUUGUUGUGCGCAAUUACUUUGGAUGAGGCAAACCCUUAGUGACUAUGGCUACAAAUUGAGCAAAGUCCCUCUCCUAUGUGAUAAUGAGAGUGCAAUCCGCAUGGCGGAUAAUCCCGUUGAACACAGCCGCACUAAGCACAUAGACAUCCGAUAUCACUUUUUGAGAGAUCACCAACAAAAAGGGGAUAUCAAAAUAGCUUAUGUGAGCACCCACAAUCAAUUAGCUUAUAUCUUCACCAAGCCACUAGAUGAGAAAACCUUUAGCAAACUUAGGAAUGAGCUAAAUAUACUUGAUUGUCGGAACUUUGAUUGAAAUAUUGCACAUAUAGCUAAUUUAUAUAUUUUUGAUCAUGUCUCUUCCAUUUGGUACAAAUGCAUAUUUCUUAUUCUUCUUGUGCCAAGGAUAAGACUAAUAUGUUUUCGAGUAUAUCUCUAUGAUUAGUCUUAGAUUGAAAGGGAAAUGGAGUAUUCGACAAAGAUAAGGCUUCCACUCAAACUCUAACGGUAUCAUUUACCCUUCGUCGCUACUCCUACAACUCUCAAUGGUAAGAACCUUCAUUCGUAUUUGUUUUACCAUUUGGGAGAAAGUAUUAGGCCCCAAUGGGGGAGAAAAAUGCAAAAGGGCUCUCAAGUUCUCCGUUUUUGGCGCUUAAUGCCAAAGAAGGAGAAAGAAUUAAGCCCAAAGCAAAAAGACCGCACCACCACCAUUUCAAAAUUUUAUUUCCCAAAUAAGUAUUUCAAUUGGUACUUGAUCAAAAUGAAUUUUCAAUUGGUAUGUGAAGUGAAUUUCUUAAUUAGUAUCUCAUUUGAUAUUUCAACACUUUAGAUUAAGAAUGAAAGAAUUUCAAUUAGUAAAGAUUUCAAUUGAUAUAAUCUCACUUCUUAUCUAUUUCAAAACCCUCUUGAAAGCUAAGAGGAGAAUUUCAUUCAGGGGAGCUUUUAUUUAGUCAAAGGAAAAGCAUUUGAAAUAGGGGAAGAGAUUUCAAAUCUUAAAAAUGCUUCUUGCAAUCGUAUUCCUAUACCUUUGACUAUUUGCAAAAAGAUUUUGAAAAGAUUUUUACGAAAGAUUUGCAAAAAUAAACAUGUCGUGCAAAUGUGGUCCAAAAUGUUAAAUAAAGAAAAGCAAUCCAUUCAUUCCUAUUCAUAUGUUUAAAGUCUUUCAAUUGGUUUAAUUCCAAGUAACCUAUGCACAACUAUCUCAAUUGCAAACUAGUUACAUUUCUGCACUUUAUAUUUGCUUUAGUUCAGUGUUGGCAUCAAUCACCAAAAAAGGGGAGAUUGAAAGGAAAAUAGGGUUAACCAUUUCCUAUAAAUAGAUUUUGGUGGUUGACGACCAACACAAUCCAUGUGGACUAACUAUUUUAUCUAGAUAUCAUUUAUAUCAGGUGCAUAAGGUUCAACACAAACCAAGAAAAAAUUCAGUUAGGGGACACAAGUUAUUUGGAGCAAAAAGGACUUGAGUGUGCUGACUUGUGGCGUGGACAGUACAACUCUGAACCAGCCACUCUCGGGAAUUCUAGAGGAGCCUCCGCUAUAAUUCACCGGACUGUCCGGUGUGCCACCAGACCGUCCGAUGAGCCAGUGGAGCAACGGCUCCCUGCGCGCCAACGGUCGACUGUGCAGAGUGAACAGUGAUGAACAAUGCCGCGCAGAAGUCAGAGGGCACCGGACCGUCCGGUGCAGCUAGAAGACAAACGUCUCCAACGGUCAACUGCUCCAAACCCUAACGGUUGCGCUGACGUGGCGCGCACCGAACAAUGCACAAUGACAGUCCGGUGGUGCACCGGACUGUCCGGUGCGCCCAUCGCCAGCAGCCUUCACCAACGACUAUGGAAGUGGUUAGGGGCUAUAAAUACCCCCCAACCACCUCAUUCUUAUCCAUCCAAGCCUUCUGAAAUCUUCAUUCAUUUCAAGAGCAAAAGCCCAACACUCCAAGACACAAUCAAAGCAAUCAAUCCACUCAAAGUCCAAAAAAUCAACUCUAGUACAUUAGGGCUUGUGAGAGGAUCAAUUGUGAUAUUUUGUUGCUCUUGUUACUUGGAUUGGCCUUUUCUUUUUCCUUCUUAUUCUUAACAAAAUUGUAAUCGAAGCAAGAGACACCUAAGUGUGUGGUGGUCCUUGCGGGGUCUAAGUGACCCAAGAGAUUACGGAAAAGGCUCACUCGGUCUAAGUGACCGUUUGAGAGAGAGAAAGGGUUGAAAUAGACCCGGUCUUUGUGACCUCCUCAACGGGGACUAGGUUCUUCAGAACCGAACCUCGGUAAAACAAAUCAUCGUGUUCACUCGCUUUGAUUCUCGUUUGAUUUGUUUUCCCUCUCUAACGUUUCCUUGCUAGUAUUGAUUUGAGUUGGCUCCCAUACGUCAUCUGCAUUCGUUGAGCAACACGUAGCAAGAGAAACAUUCUUUCGACUUAAAUUUAAUUCUAACGCUAACCCCGACCUUUAGUGUGAGGUUAAAUUUGAUAAAUUUUAGGUUUCGCCUACUCACCCCCUCUAGGCGACUUUCAGCCUUCACCAAACUGUUGUCGAGGGUCUUACCUGCUCCUCUAGAAACCACAAAAUGCUCGUUGUCUACGUGAUACAAGCAUGCAUUCAAUACACUUGGAGAAAGGUAAAAGAACAAUACACCAAGCAUAUGCACAAAGAAACUCAUAGUAUAGCAAAAGUUGUGGCAAUAACUGUGGAUUUAACCAGCUUUGGGUGAAUCAAUGCACAUACUCCCUUUUCAAUGUGUUAGUUAUGAAGCAAAAAUAGGAUUCUAGGCUUUAUUUCCAUCUAUAAAGUAAACCCUACAUUUGGAUGAAUUUCUAGAAAUCAUGGUUAAAAUUCCCAGUUUAAAACAAAAUUUUAUUAUCUACCGAUUUCAUGACUUAAAAUCAAUUUAUAGUUUAAUAGACAUUAUGUAAAUAAAAUUAUUUGCUUAUGUUACUAGCAACUAGGAUUUGCUAUUUUUCCGAGCUAGGACAUAAGAUAGAGUUUUCUAACCCUAAGCCACACUAAUACAACCCUUACUACUUCAAUUAGAUUAGCAAUCCUUUAUUAGUUGGAACAUUGAAACAAGAGAAUAAUAUGCUACUGACAUGUAGCCAAAAUUAUAAUGAUGAUAAUGCAACUUGAACCAUUUAAUUCAGAGUUUUUAUGCAAAAGUUAUAAGGUUUCAAAGUUUUAGGGACCAAAACAUAUAAUUAACUACAGAUUACAAGGGCUAGCAGGGAAUUUUUUGUGACUCAGAGAACAAACACGCCAAUUUCAGAAAGCUCAAGGGCCUCAGUGCAAAACCUCGGGCACAAGCAGGACACGUGGCGGCGGCUAAGGCUAUCCACCUUGGGUACGAUGCUGGAGUGUGGGUUAGUUAGAAAGACUUAUAAGGUUCUUUUUGCAAAAUGGACGAUGCUGGAAACUAGGGAAACAAUGCUUUAUAGUAGUAAAGAAAUGAUAUCUUGACACACUUGUGAGCCUUAUUGCUUGUGUUGUUAUUUUAGUCACUAAAACCAUACCAGUUAAGCUAUAUGAUCCAUAUUCCUUAUAAAAAUAUGGCAACUCCCAAUAAAGUAAAAAAAAUUACACAUGCAACUAGAUAUACUACUAAUGUUAUUCUUUUAACUACACAUCAGUUUCGAAUUUUAUAUUAUACUCCCCGUGUCCCUAAAUAAAAUUUGUUUUUACCUUUUUAGUUGGUUUUUACAGUAAUUAAUGUAAUUGUUUUAUAUAUAUGUCUAGAUUUAUCAUAAUCAUUCAUUUGAACAUAAACAUAAAAAUCAAGAGCUAAAACAACUAAUAUUUUAGGACGGAGGGAAUAUAUUUGAUAGGUCAAAUAAUAUUAUUUAAAAAACAUAUUAACUACAAAGGUAUGGAUCUUAUUGAAUACACUAUAACUUAUUUUGAUGUUAGCUUUGUCUCCAUUCAACGGUGUAAACCAUCUCAAAUUUUAUCUAAGGAUUUAUAUCGAACAUUUGGAUUUAUCAACCAUCUCAAACUAAAAAGUUGCCAAAUACAAAGGUUUACAUCUUUUUAAAGUCUAGAAAUUUUACAUAAAGUUUAUCUCUUGAUUCAUUCUCGACAGUAGCGAAGCUAGCAAAUAUUUGUAUCGUGGUCAUCAGUAUUAUCUACUGGAUCUGCACUAUAGAACUAUUGUUAUUAACACCGUUUUUCCAUUAGAGAUUCAGAAAAUUACCGGCAUCAGCUGACCCCAAAAAAUGGCCUGGCUCCGCCCCUGAUUCUCGAAGAUGAAAUGUGAUGAUGUUUUUUUUAAACAUACCGUCAUUAGCGGUUCAAGCUGACAUGUUAAAGCCAUGAACCAGCUGUGUUAGUUAACGGCCUAUCACUAUAUAUAGGUUAUAUUAUCACCGUCGAUUGAAGUCACAUGAACAACGGUAGCCACAUGAACAACCGGUAGCCAUAGCCUAACAUUGUUGCUUCCUGUAGUGGUAUAUCCUUUCAGGCAUGUCGAAGAUGUUGCAACAAAAUAGAGUUAUAAAAAACGAAGGAGAUAGAAGAUACACUAUCCACGUACUCAUGCACAUCUGCAACUUCUGAAUUCUCUCAUCAAAUGGAUGAGCUAGCCAUGCAUUCCAUUCAGGGAACAAUUAAUACAUCAGGAAACAAUACACACAACACUUUAUUUGAUCUCGAUCGCAAAUAUAGGACCUCCAACUUGGACGCACCACCCUGAGAGAUGAUAUCCCGUCUAAUCUAUCCCUCCUAAUUCCGGCCGACCAGAUAGGGCUUCCAGAGUGCCAGGUGACGAGAGUGCAUAUCCUGGCAGAUAAGUCCACGUGGCAAAAGAUUAGGAUGAGCAUUCCAAAGCCAAAUUACUUCAGCAUCAGAUAGGACACAGCUAGCUAGCAGCCAUAUGCAUGCAUGAAUCCAUGCAUCCACAUCCACAGAGCCGGUCGAGAGGGCGGCUGUCAUUCUUGCAACUAACUGUUUGUGAUGACACAAUCCCAGAAAGCCUGCCCCCCCACCCCAAUUAUUUCGAUAAGGACACCUUCUUUUCUGGCCAAAUCAUGAUAGAGAAAAAGGGGUGAAAAGAGAGAGAGAGAGAGAGGAAACAUUGCCUGCUAAAACAGCAAGCAGAGAGCCUUACAUCUGUGGAGCCAGCAGAUACAUCACACGUGGACACACUGUGUGCAGUGUGCACCAAAUAAUACGGUGGUAUCUCUUCUAUUUGACCUGGGUACGUUAAAUCAUGGGACCUAUCUUCAUCAAGCUAACAGAAAACAUAAAAAAGCAGAGGCAAUAAAUAGAGCGCGGCAGCCUCAUCUCUCUCUCUCUCUUGAGCGCGGCUGCUUUAGCUGUGAUGAGGACAAUUCUUAUCUCCAUCGCUGUUGCGCAGCAGUGCGCGCUUAGGAGGACACUAAAGCCAGCUGGGAACGAUGAUUUCAGCCAGCAGCCUGGGUGUCGAUUGCAUGGGCCAUCCAUGCAUCCCCACCAAACUAAAGCUGUGGCUCCUCUGAUUUUUUAUUUUUUUUAAAAAAAAAGACGCAACGAUAGGUUUCCAUGGGGGGCAAACUUGGCGCGUGGUGUGGUGGCAAGAUGUGACGUCACUCAUGCACUGACGAACAAUCCAGUAAUUUUUUCAUUAAAAAAUUUGGUUGAUUGCAAUGGCAGGCUUUUUUCCCUUUUUUCCUCACGCAGGGUUUACAUUGCACGGAACUACAAUUUUUCACGUAAGUAUUGGUGUAAGUAUUGGUGGUAAUACCUAUUGCCUUGUGAUAGUUGAUGAUUAUUCUAGAUUCACAUGCGUAUUCUUUCUUUAUUAUAAAUCCGAUGUAUUUGAGAAAUUCAAAUCAUUUCCUGUCUUCGAACAAAAUCAAUUUGGAAAUGAUAUCAAGAAAGUAAGAUGUGAUAAAGGGUUGGAAUUUCAAAAAUGCAAGACUUGAUGAUUAUUGUGAUGACAAGUGAAUUAAGCAUUAUUUUUUUUCUUCCAAAUAUACACCAAAACAAAAUGGUAUUAUUCAAAGGAAGAAUAUGACAUUAAUUGAUAUGGCUAUGUCUAUGCUCGCAGAAUAUAAUAAUGUGUCGGAUUCUUUUUGAUCCGAAGCUAUCAAUACUGCUUGUCAUGCAUCAAAUAGAUUAUAUUAUCAUAACUCUUGAAAAAGACCCCUUAUGAGUAACUUAUUGGAAGAACGCCAAAUAUUUUUUAUUUUCGGGGUUUCUUUUUUAAAUGUUAUACCUUGAGAAAAAAAAGUCGCUGUGGGAGAUAGAUAUCUCGUGGGUCACUAAAGCACAGAUACACUCCAUGGACCGCCAGAGAGGCCCCCAAUAACUCAUAUGGUAGGGCGCAUGAUUGGUCUUAAAGCGGGACGUAGGAGCCGACUAAAAUGACGACACAAUGAAUACUGCAGAUGUGUACUGGAGGCGCGCGUGUCUCACUAAGGGAUCACCUUGCCUAUCUUGCGGAAGGAUUACCUGAGCUCUAAAGACGCGUCCCUCACGCGGCCAGGCACCAGAUCACUCGAAUGAUAACACGGAGAAGGCAACCAAGCACCAGAAGAGUAGUCAUACUUGUAGAAACAGAAAGUGGACUCAAGAGAGCUCAAUAAUCUGUAAGGGGAUAUCUCUCAAGUCGGCUAUAUAAGGCUGCAGAAGUACCCCUACCAAAACUCUCUCGCUGACCAUUAGAUUGAUAGGGGACGUCAUCUUCCACCUCCUGCAAACCACCUGUAAUUUGCGAACUCAAGGCAAUUCAAUACUCAGCACCACACAUGACGUAGGGUAUUACGCAUUCACGCGGCUUGAACAUGUAUAAACUUUCUAUGUUCCGACGUGCCCCCGCACGUACCAUCGAGCAACAAUCGAUGUCAUUGUCCUCCCAAAAGCACUGUGUGGGCUACCCCAUAGUGCGCAGUCGGGACUAAACACCGACAGCUGGCGCGACAUGUAGGGGGUGCACCGUCUAUUCAUGAUAGCUCCAUGGAGGGGUAUUUAUAGCCUCCCCCACACUUCUAGCCGUUGGAUAGAAAGUAGUAGCUUUCUAUCGAUGGGCAUACCUGACAGUCUGGCGCACACGAGACAUACACUGUUCAUUGUCCGGUGCCCUGCCACGUCAGCCGACCAUUGGGGUCUGUAGCAGUCGAUGAUCGUUGGAUUCGACCGUUAACCAGACUGUCCGGUGCACACCAGACAGUCCGGUGCUACAGCCUGAGAGUGCCCAUUGUGGACCUCUCUGCGCAGACUGUCUAGGUGCCCCACCGGACAGUCCGGUGCACACCUGACCGGACAGGUACUGUGCAUUGUCCGUUGCGCCACCAGGGCGCUGGCUGACUGCCCACUUCAUGGAUUUCUUCGCUGAUUCUUGAGUCUUGGACUUCUAAGCUCUUUUUAUGUCUUCAUUUGAUUUGUUGCAUCCUCAGUGCCUUAGUCCAAUCCUCUUCGCAUCAUGUGAACUACAAGCAUAAACACUAGCAAACAUAUUAGUCCACAAGUUAUGUUGAUCAUCAAACACCAAAACAUAUUGAGCCAAAUGGCCCGGGGUCCAUUUUCCUUACAGCUAGAACAAGAGACCGAGAGACGAAGUGCACGCCACUAAGUCGCCAGCAACCCUAGCUCAUGGCGACAACGUGCGAACACUAGAUGAAAUUCUCGAUGGGCAGUGUCCGUACCACAAGGAGAUGUGUCUCUCCCUGCGCAACUGCCGGGACUUCAAGAACUCGAUCGGCCAUGGCCGAUUGUUCUAGCUGCUCCUAUCGCCACCACCAUGAGGGGAUCAAGCAUGUACUCAGCAGCAACCUCAUCAGCAGGGAGGGGAAGGUAGGGCUUUUCCUCGCAUUGACAGAGAAGUCAAUGUUAUAUUCGGGGGCCAUGGCUCUAAGGAGAACAAGAGGAAGUAGAAGCUGACUAACCACCAAGUCCUGGUGGCCACUCACAAUGCACCGACGCCAUACCGGUGGUCGGAGCACCCGAUCACCUUCAGUCGAGCCGAUCCGUGGCUCAACUUUGAUCACCUAGGAAAGUACCCUCUGCUUGUUGAUCUCAGGAUCUAAUAAAGCCUGGUCAAGAAGGUGCUAGUGGACGGUGGCAGUAGCACCAAUGUCACCUUUUCUAGAACACUCCAAGCUCUCAGGAUCAUGACCGCAGACCUCAUCGAGUUGAACACCCCUUCUUCGGCAUCGUCCCGACCGAAGGAGAAUACUGAAAGUCGCCUAUAGGGGAUGAAUAGGCGUAAUCUGAAAUUUACAACUUUAAACACACACUACAAGACAGGGUUAGCGUUAGAACUUAAAUCAAGUUCGGGAGAGAGGGGAAAACAAAUCAAAUGGAAAUCAAGCGAAUGAACAUGGUGAUUUGUUUUACCAAGGUUCGGCUCCAAAGAACCUAAUCCCCGUUGAGGUGGUCACAAAGACCGGGUCUCUUUCAACCCUUUCCCUCUCUCAAACGGUCACUUAGACCGAGUGAGCUUUCUCCUUUAUCAAAUGGGUCACUUAGACCCCGCAAGGACCACCACACACUUAGGUGUCUCUUGCUUUGAUUACAAGUCACUUGGGAACAAGAAUGAGGAAGGAAGAAAGCGAUCCAAGCAACAAGAGAGCAAAAGAACAUGAACACACACUCUCUCAAGUCACUAGGUGGUUGGAAUGAAUUUGGGACUUGGAGAGGCUUUUGAUCUUUUGAUUUGUGUCUAGGAGUGAAUGCACUAGCUCUUGUAUUGAAUGAAAAACUUUAGAAGACUUGGACGCUUGGAGUUGUGGUGGUUGGGGGGGUAUUUAUAGCCCUCAACCACCAAGAAGCCGUUGGGGAAGGCUGCUGGCGAUGGGCACACCGGACUGUCUGUGCGCCACCGGACAGGUCAUGUUCACUGUCGGGUGCGCCGCCACGUCACCCAACCGUUAGGGUUCGGAGCUCGGUCGACCGGUGGAGCUUUGUCUUCUUGCGGCACCGGACAGUCCGGUGCCCCUCUGACUUUCUACUCUGACUUAUGCGUUGCACUGUAGCUGCACUGUUCACCUUUGCAAAGUCAACUGUUGCGCGAGUUAGCCAUUGCUCCAGUGGCACACCGGACAGUCCGGUGAAUUAUAGCAGAGUGCGCCUGCUGAAACCCGAGAGUGGCUGGUUGGACUCAGUACGGUCCUGGUGCACCGGACACUGUCCGUUGCGCCAGACCACAUCCCACUUGGUUUCUUUUGCUCCUUUGAAUUUGACCCCUAACUUGAAUAUUUAUUGGUUUUUGUUGAACCUUUUUGCACCUGUAGAACAUGUAUUCUAGAGCAAACUAGUUAGUCCAUAUAUUUGUGUUGAGCAUUCAACCACCAAAAUUAAUUGUGGGAAAAGGUUAACCCUAUUUCCCUUUCAAUCUCCCCCUUUUUGGUGAUUGAUGCCAACACAAACCAAAGCAAAUAUAUAAAGUGCAGAAAUGAACUAGUUUGCAUAAGGUAAGUGCAUAGGUUACAUGGAAUUAAACCAAUUGAUAAUCUUACUAGAUAUGAAUGGAUUGCUUUCUUCUAUUUAACAUUUUGGACCACAUUUGCACCACUUGUUUUGUUUUUGCAAAUCCUUUUGGAAAAUCUUUUCAAAGUCUUUUUGCAAAUAGUCAAAGGUAUAUGAAUAAGAUUGCAAGAAGCAUUUUCAAGUUUUGAAAUUUCUCCCCUGUUUCAAAUGCUUUUCCUUUGACUAAAUAAAGCUCCCCCUGAAUGAAAUUCUCCUCUUAGUUUUCAAGAGGGUUUUAAUAGAUACCAAUUUUGAAAAUUUAUCUUUACAUGUACCAAUUGAAGAAGUUGCCAUUACAAGAUACCAAUUGAAGUUUAAUACCAAUUGAGAUUUUGCUUUCUCAAGAUAAGGAUAUCAAUUGAUAUAUUGUCAUGGCAUAGAUACCAAUGAAAAAUAUCAAUUAAACCUUUAUUUUGAAAAUUUUGAAAUUGGUGGUGCGGUCCUUUUGCUUUGGGCUUAAUAUUUUCUCCCCCUUUGGAAUUAAUCGCCAAAAACGGAGAUAUUGAGAGCCCUUCAUAUUUUCUCCCCAUUGGUACAAGUAAAUAAUAGUGAAGGAUUAUACCAAUUUAGAGUGAGCAGAGUAGCGACGAAGGGUAAACGAUACCGUUAGAGUGGAGUGGAAGCCUUGUCUUCGUUGAAUACUCCAUUUCCCUUUCAAUCUACGACAUAGUAUAGAAAUACACUUGAAAACACAUUAGUCGUAGCCUUAGUACAUAAGAAAUAUGCAUUCGUACCAAAUGAAAGAGACAUGAUCAAAGGUAUAUAAAUGAGCUAUGUGUGCAAUGUUUCAAUCAAAAUUCCGAGAAUCAAGUAUAUUUAGCCCAUUCCUAAGUUUGCUAAAGGUUGUAUCAUCUAGUGGCUUGGUAAAGAUAUCGGCUAAUUGAUCUUUGGUGUUAACAUAAAUAACCUAUUUCGAUAUCCCCCCUUUGUUGGUGAUCCCUCAGAAAGUGAUACCGAAUGUCUAUGUUCUUAGUAUGGCUUUGUUCAACGGGAUUAUCCGCCAUGCGGAUUGCACUCUCAUUAUCACAUAGGAGAGGAACUUUGCUCAAUUUGUAGCCAUAGUCCCUAAGGGUUUGCCUCAUCCAAAGUAAUUGUGCACAACAAUGUCCUGCGGCAAUGUACUCGGCUUUGGCGGUGGAAAGAGCUACUGAGUUUUGUUUCUUUCAAGCCCAUGACACCAGGGAUCUUCCCAGAAACUGACAAGUCCAUGAUGUGCUCUUUCUAUCAAUUUUACACCCUGCCCAAUCGGCAUCGAAAUAUCCUAUUAAAUCAAAAUUGGAUCCCUUGGGGUACCAAAGCCCAAACUUAGGAGUAUAAACUAAAUAUCUCAUGAUUCUCUUCAUGGCCCUAAGGUGAACUUCCUUAGGAUCGGCUUGGAACCUUGCACACAUGCAUACGAAAAGCAUAAUAUCUGGUCGAGAUGCACAUAAGUAGAGUAAAGAUCCUAUCAUUGACCGGUAUACCUUUUGAUCUACGGAUUUACCUCCCGUAUCGAGGUCGAGAUGUCCAUUGGUUCCCAUGGGUGUCUUGAUGGGUUUGCCAUCCUUCAUCCCAAACUUCUUGAGUAUGUCUUUAAUGUACUUUGUUUGACAGAUGAAGGUGCCCUCUUGGAGUUGUUUGAUUUGAAAUCCAAGGAAAUACUUCAACUCCCCCAUCAUAGACAUCUCGAAUUUUUGUAUCAUGAUCCUACUAAACUCUUCACAAGUUGAUUUGUUAGUAGACCCAAAUAUGAUAUCAUCAACAUAAAUUUGGCAUACAAACAAAUCUUUUGCAACAGUUUUAGUAAAGAGUGUAGGAUCGGCUUUACCGACUUUGAAGCCAUUAGUGAUAAGAAAGUCUCGCAGGCAUUCAUACCAUGCUCUUGGGACUUGCUUGAGCCCAUAAAGCGCCUUUGAGAGUUUGUAAACAUGGUUAGGGUACUCACUAUCUUCAAAGCCGAGAGGUUGCUCAACAUAGACUUCUUCCUUAAUUGGUCCAUUGAGGAAGGCACUUUUCACGUCCAUUUGAUAAAGCUUAAAGCCAUGGUAAGUAGCAUAGGCAAGUAAUAUUCGAAUUGACUCAAGCCUAGCUACGGGUGCAUAAGUUUCAUCAAAGUCCAAACCUUUGACUUGUGAAUAUCCUUUGGCCACAAGUCAGGCUUUGUUUCUUGUCACCACACCAUGCUCAUCUUGCUUAUUGAGGAAUACCCAUUUGGUACCUACAACAUUUUGAUUAGGACGUGGAACUAAAUGACAUACCUCAUUCCUCGUGAAGUUGUUGAGUUCCUCUUGCAUUGCUAGCACCCAAUCCGGAUCUCUUAGUGCAUCCUCUAUCCUGUAAGGCUCAAUAGAGGACACAAAAGAGUAAUGUUCACAGAAAUGUGCAACUCGAGAUCUAGUGGUUACCCCCUUAUGAAUAUCACCAAGGAUGGAGUUGACGGGGUGAUCUCUUUGAAUUGCUUGGUGGACUCUUGGGUGUGGCGGUCUUUGACCCUGUAUUUCUUGAUCAUCUUCCUUGUCUUCAUUAACUUCAUCUCCCCCUUGAUCAUUGUCCUCCUCUUGAGGUGGCUCAUCCUCCUAACCUUCAUCACCUUGAGCCUGUUCCUCAUCUUGAGUUGGUGGGGAUGGUUGCAUGGAAUAUGAUGGUUGAUCUUGUGCUUAUGUGGGCUCUUCGGAUUCCUUAGGACACACAUCCCCAAUGGACAUGUUCCUUAGCACGACGCACGAAGCCUCUUCAUCAUCUAGUUCAUCAAGAUCAACUUGCUCCACUUGAGAGCCAUUAGUCUCAUCAAACACAAUGUCACAAGAAACUUCAACUAAUCUAGUGGAUUAGUUGAAGAAUCUAUAUGUCCUUGUGUUUGAGUCAUAACAAAGUAAAAAGCCUUCUACAGCCUUAGGAGUAAAUUUAGAUUUUCUACCUCUUUUAAUAAGCAUAAAACAUUUGCUACCAAAGACUCUAAAAUAUGAAACAUUGGGCUUUUUACCGGUGAGGAGUUCAUAUGAUGUCUUCUUGAGGAUUCGGUGAAGGUAGAGCCGGUUGAUGGAGUAGCAAGGAGUGUUGAUUUCUUCCGCCCAAAAUCGGUUCGGUGUCUUAUAUUCAUCAAGCAUGGUCCUUGCCAUGUCCAGUAGAGUUCUAUUCUUCCUCUCCACUACACCAUUUUGUUGAGGCAUGUAGGGAGAAGAGAACUCAUGCUUGAUGCCCUCAUCCUCAAGAAAACCUUGAAUUUGAGAAUUCUUGAACUUCGUCCCAUUAUCGCUUCUUAUCUCUUUUAUCCUUAAUCCAAACUCGUUUUGAGCUCAUCUUAAGAAUCCCUUUAAGGUCUCUUGGGUUUGUGAUUUUUCCUGAAAAAAGAAUACCCAAUUGAAGCGAGAAUAAUCAUCCACAAUAACAAGACAUUACUUACUCCCGCUGAUGCUUAUGUAAGCUAUCGGGCCGAAUAAAUCCAUGUGGAGUAAUUCGAGCGGCCUGUCAGCUGUCAUGAUUUUCUUGUGUGGAUGAUGGGCACCAACUUGCUUUCCUGCUUGGCAUGCGCUACAAACCAUGUCUUUCUCAAAAUGAACAUUGGUUAGUCCCAAAAUGUGCUCUCCCUUUAGAAGCUUGUGAAGAUUCUUCAUCCCAACAUGGGCAAGUCGGCGAUUUCAGAGCCAACCCAUAUUAGUCUUAGCAAUUAAGCAAGUGUUGAGUUCAGCAUUGUUCUCAUUAAAAUCAACUAAAUAUAGCUGACCUUCUAACAUUCCCUUAAAUGCUAUUGAAUCAUCACUUCUUCUAAAGACAGUAACACCUAUAUCAGUAAAAAGACAGUUGUAGCCCAUUGUUGGGGACUUGUUCUUAAAUGUUAUGAAUUAAGAACAAGGCAACACAAAAAUGGGUUAUUGGUUAAUGCCCUUCGUCCUUCGAAGCAUUAUUUCCCUUAGGAUAUAACGAUCUUCGGACGAAGGCCAUGAAUGACGUACCUUCAUCAUCACAGUACAUAUUGAUGAAAGACGAAGCAUAUGGAACAUGAUAAAUAAGAUGAAUAAUUAUAUGACAUUAUUUAUAUAUCUUUUCUAUAUUAUCAUGAAUGAAUAAGAACAACAUUGAAUUACAUUGUACCUUCGGCUUGACAGAAGGCAAAAGUACAAGCGUGACACACGAGCGGGUGCAAGUCAGCGUGAACAGUACGGUGGUACUGUUCAUCUAUUUAUAGGCACAGGGCGCAGCCUGUGUAAAAUUACAUUCAUGCCCUUUAUGUUUACUAUUAUCUUAAGGACAAUCCACUGAGGAUUAGAUAGCCUUUUUCCCUUUUAAGUCGGUUUUUCUUUCUGCCGUUGAGCCGAAGCACCCUUGCGCGUAGCUUCGGAACUGCAUCAACCUUCAUCUUGACCAUGCUUUCCAUAUCAUGUAUAGUUUUAUUCCGAGUCCGAAGGUACCUGCAUGUAUAUUACACUUGGAAAACAUUGUUAAAUCAUGUUUUUGAGGACCUUCGGAAGACGAAGGCCCCCAACAGUAGCCCCUCGCAGUAUUAAUUUGUUAUAAUAACGAAUUCAGACUGCGACAUGAACGAAGACCUUAAUCCGAAGGUCCAAAAAAACACCUUCCCUUUGCUAGAAUAGCAAUAGUCAAUAACAAAUGGGGCCCUCCAAUUUGUAACGCACUGGGCAUAUAAAUAUGAAUCCAUGCCGGCAGCAUUCUACACGCCAUUUCUGCCACUUGCAAUAUUUUCUCAAACUUUUAUUUCUUGCUCACUAGCUCUCGCUAGAUUUUUCAAUCUUUUUGAGCUUCGGCUUAAAGACGCAUUUUCAUCGUGUCUGGGAAAAAAUGACUGAGGAGACGAAGCUGACUGUGGAAGCGAAGGUAGCUGAAGAAACGAAGUUGUUUGAAGAAAAGAAUGCUGUGAAUCCUUAUAUUGCUGGAUUUAUUGAGUCCAUGUCAAAAACAAACACAGAGAAGAUUACUAAAGAGAUACUAGAAGGUUUGUCUGAAGACACUGGUGACAACGAUAGCUAUGGUGUGGAAAGUGGGGAUGAAGAUUCUGAAGAUCGGCCCUGGCGGCCAAGCCACGCUGUCUUCGGAAAAUCGACCAUUAAACAGAGUCAUCUUGAGAACAUGAGAGGAAGAUACUUUCGGGACAUGUCUAUCGUGAGGGCUGGCGGAGACAACAACGUCCCUGCCCCUGAAGAAAACGAAGUUGUCAUCUACCGAAGCUUUUUUAAGGCUGGACUUCGGUUUCCUCUAAGCAAGUUUGUAGUUGAAGUGCUGAAGAUGUACCAGAUCUUCCUUCAUCAGAUCACCCCCGAAGCUAUUAUGAGAAUGGGGAUUUUUGUCUGGGCUGUAAGGAGUUAGGGGCUAGAGCCAAGCGCAAAGUGUUUCUGCAAUAUGCACGAGCUCUUAUAUGAGACGAAGGCUACUGGCAAAGAACAGUAUCAUAACAACUUCGGUUGUUAUGGAUUUAUUGCUCGCCCUAACGCAAGCCACCUGGUGCCAACAUUUCAGAAGAGAUGGCCCGGGGCCUGGAUGGAAGAGUGGUUUUAUGUGAAGAAUGAUUUAAAGGCAAGGGAAGAUAUUAAAGAAGUCAUCAUGCGUCCCAUCUGGUCCCGCUUCGGCCUUCGAAGGCCGAAGGUGGAAAUUGAUGAUACUGUCAAAGCAUGCCAGAGGGCCUUCAGCACUGUUUGCUCCUUCAUUGGCACAAGAGAUUUGAUUCAAGAACAUAUAGCCUUCAAGGUAUGGACGUUUGUGGAAAGCUGGGAAAUGCCGAAGGAGACCACCACUGACUCUAGUGAUAGUGGUCUGGUCUGGCUGAAGUAUACCUUCAGGUUUAGGGAGAAAUUUGAUGAGCCGAACGACGAUUGGCUAAAGUGCAUCGAAGCUACCAGUGAUGAGCUGCUUGGAGCAUACUCCAAGGCUAAAGAUAAUGCUCUGUCCGCAGCCUUCGGAGGUCGAGGAAAGAAAAGACUGAAUAGACUUUUCGAUGUGAUAGGCUUCAUAUACCCUGAUUAUCGCUACCCACUGCGAGGGCAAGAGAAAAAGAGGAAAAUUGCUGCUUCGGUCACCCUAGCUGAGCCUGUGCCGAAGAGUAAAAAGGUGAAGGUUCUGACCCACCGGCCACGUUAUAUUGAACCGGCUGUAGUGCCUGAAUUCGGCGCAGGGUCCUCCUCAUCAGCCGAAGCAAUAGAAACUGCUUCAAUUGCACAGAGCACUAAAGAGGCGACCGUAACGCCGAAGAUACCCAUAGCCGAGUCAAUCGAGGCUAAAGUUGAUAAGGUUGAAAAGGCAAAAGUUGAAGAGAUAAUAAAGGUGCCAAAAAUUCUGAGCCCUCCGACGGAAGCGAAACUACCAAAGGUGCAGAAAACUUAUGCGGCAACUCCCAAGAGGAGGAGGAUGGCCAACGUGCUAGAUGUUGUCCUGGAAACUACGAAGGUCUUGAGCCCUGCAACUGCAAAGAAAGUUGCCAAAGCUACAAAAACGCAGGUCGAAGCCAAAACCGGGCAAGCAGAAACCGAAACUGCGCAAGUUCAAAUUGAAUCAGAAGCUGGGCCUUCAUUGCCAUCGAGACGGAGCCAGUUGCUCCUGAGGAAAAAGCGACAGAGCAGAUUGCACCUGAGAAAAUCGAAGCUGCUGCUCCCGAAGCUUCGAACAAAGGCACUAAUUAUAUCCUUCGACAUGCUUCGGGAAAGGAAUUAUCGCAAGAAGAAAUACUAGAAGCCGAACACUAUGCCCAAAAAUUAAAAUAUCCGAAGGGGGCGUUAGUGUUCAAUGGUAGUAAUGAAGAAGAUUUUCUGUACUGUAUCCCGGAUAACAAAGAAAUAUCCGUUUGCCGGGAGAUAGGUAAGAGCAUCGGAUUCCCGAAGCUAGAAGACGGCCUAUCGAUUUUAUCGAAGGAUGAACUUGCUGACCGCCUAGCAUACAAUAGUAUAAAGGUAUAAAAAUUUACUUUUAAGUUGGAAACUUAGCAUAUUUCAUUGCCAUACUUAACUCUUUCUUCUUAUUUUCAGGGCUUAAUUCUUAGUAAUGCCCUGAGGGCACAAAAGAAUAUUAAAGACGAAGGUUAUACAAUGGCUCUGAAUAACCUUCGUUCAUAAGUUAUUGAAUUAAGAAACGAAGGUCUGGAAAAGGACAAAAUCUUAAUUUCAUUGGUAAAUAAAGUAAAGGAAGACGAGGCUAACUAUAAAGCUCAGGCCGAAGCCCAGAAAACAGAAAUUGAAGAUCUUCAGAGGCAGCUGGCCGAAGCUAAGGAAAAAUGCGCAGUCGCACAAACUAAUCAAGAAAUCAGCGAAUAUUGGAAAAAUUAUCUAGAGAAAAAUGUUGCAGAACUUCGCACAUCCAAGGAAAGGUGUUUUGAAAAAUCCUUGGAUUGUGUGAAGAAAAUAAAAGUUAGUUUCGCCAAAGUAGGUGCCUAUUCUACUGAAGAAAACUUCAUACGAGGCGACACCGAAGGCGUUAUUGAAUGGAUAAGUGGAGAGGCCGAGACCUUCAAAGAAAUUUUGAGUGAUCGCGGGGAUGUUUGUGUGUUUUCCGGUGCGCGGGGAAUUUCAGCUAUCUUGGAGAAGGCAGGAUGUGAUCACAUCAAGACCAUGGCCUAGGCCGAAGCUGCCUUCUCCGUAGAUAAUACGAAGGAUCCUUCAGCUGAAGCGACCUUGGUGGGCGGUAAAUUUUAUAAUGAUGUCUGGGUGAAUGGUGACCGAGAGAUGGCUCACGAAAUUAUAAAGAAAAGUGAAAAGGAUACCCACGACGCCUGAGCAGAAGCAAGGCGAACUGAAGAAGCUACAGAGCGUGAAAAACGUAUAGGUAUUGCUUUUUGGCUUUUAGCUUCGGCAUUUAUUUUUGUGGCUUCAGACUGAUUAACUUUUCCUACUUUAGCUGAAUUAUCUCCGUCACCAGAACCGUUCGAUCCCCUGGCAGAUCCAGAAAUGAAGGAAGCGCUAGACAUUAUAAACAUGGCUGAAUCCAUUGUUGAUGAAGUUGUUAAUAAAUUACUGCACGAAGUUGCAGAGAAAGUCCUUAAAGAGGAAUAACACUUAUUGUAAAAACAUUUUGAGAUGGUCAAUGUAUGAGACACUAGAAUGGACAUUGUACUUUUAUUGUAACAAGACUGUAAUAUUUGAUGUAGCUUUGAAUCGAAUAUGUAAAUUAUUGUAAUUCAUUUCUUUGCGAUGCAUGAAAUUUACACACAUAUCGUUUUUUAGCCUUCGGCGAAAAAACACCUUCCCUUCUUUUCAUGCUUCGUAAAGAAAAACAUACAUGCUUUAUAGAGAUCCUUUCUUGUGACAAGGCUGAUAAAACUGAAUUUCCCGAAACUUACUUCGUGCCUUAGCACCUUUUCAUUUUGACGAAGAGUUUUGCUGAAGAUCAGCUUCGUAUUCAAUUCAUGUCAUUGAAGCAAUAUGAUGUAUGAUGUGAUGUUAUGUGGAAUGAUGUGAUGAUAUGAUGCAAAAUGAUGAGGAUGCCAAAGACACACACCCACACUGGAACACACAAGCUCUGCAUCCCCUUAGGAACGACUUUGGAGCCUUUUUCACCGUUUAUUUUUCGGUGUUUACCAUUUAUUUUUCAGUGUAAGUUCUGCAUCCCCAAAGGAACGACUUUUGAACUUCUUCGCCUUCUAUUUCGGCGAUAUAAGUUCUGCAUCCCCUUAGGAAUGACUUUUGAACUUCUUCGCCUUAUAUUUCGGCGGUAUUUGGCUCUACAUUCCCUUUGGAACGACUUUUGAGCAAAAAACUUACGUUGUGCUCCCUUAGGAACGACUUUUUGUAGCUUCGUAAUUUUAGCUCUGCAUUCCCUUAGGAAUGACUUUUGAGCUUCAUAACUUUAGCUCUGCAUUCCCUUAGGAAUGACUUUUGAGCUUCGUAACCUUUGAGCUUCGUAAAUCUAUGAAGAAGAUAUAUUCCAUUCUGAUAGAAGCAAAAUCAUUACAAGAAAUUAAAACUAAAUUUAUAUUGCUUGUUCCUUAUUAAAAAGAAAAAUGGCAUAGAACAUAAAAGUAUUUCGGAGGCAGGAUAUCAUUUAGUAUAUGUGCUUUGAUUCUGGCACAGUACUGUUGACUGUACGAGCUUCGGAUUCCUCUCUGAAUUGACAUUGCUAUUGAGAGUGCUGGCGCCCUUCUGGCUGCUGGCUUCGGGAAUAAGUAGGUUGCAGUGGUGGUGGCGGUGGGAGCUGAGGCCAAGAAGCCUGUGAAUGGCUUGCCGAAGCAACAGAAGCUGCAUGAUGAUUGCCCACAUAUUCUGGCAGAAACCGGUGUUGUUGCCCCCGAAGCAUCCUCCGAAAUUCGUGAUUAUAUUUUCCGUCAUGCUUCGGGGAAAAAAUUAUCAGAAAAAGAAGAACAAGAGGCCCAGCAUUAUGCCCAAAAACUGAAAUAUCCAAAGGGGGCGUUAAUAUUUAAUGGCAGUGGAGAAGAAGACUUCUUGUAUUGUCUUCCCGACAGCAAGGAAAUUUCUGUCUGCCGGGAGAUGAGCAAGAGCUUCGGAUUCCCGACUUUAGAAGACGGGCUCUCAGUGCUGUCGAAGAACGAUCUGGCCGACAGCCUGGCUUACAAUAGCUUAAAGGUAUGAUAUAUGAAAAUCCUUGUAUUUUUCCGUUCGUUUAAACCUACUAACACACACACAUAUUUCUCUUUGCAGGGCUUGAUACUUAGCAAUGAUCUUAGAGCACAGAAAGAUGCUGAAGACGAAGGGUGUACUAUAGCCCUGAGCAACCUUCGUUCCGAAGUAAUUGAACUGAGGAACGAAGGUCUCGAAAAAGACAAAAUAUUAUACUCAUUGAUAAAUAAAAUAAAAGAGGACGAAGCUGCUUUUAAAAUUCAAGUUGAAGCUCAGAAAAGCGAAAUUGAAGACCUUCGGAAACAGCUGGCCAGAGCCAAGGAAGAACGCAUACUUGAAGAAACAAAGCGUGAACUCAGCGAUCAAUGGGCAGAUCACCUAGAAGUGACUGUUGAAGAGCUUCGUUCGUCCAAAAAGAGAUGCUACAAUAAAUCUAUAGAUUGUGUCAAGAAAUUAAAGGCUAGCUUCGCCAAGGUUGGCGCAUUCUCAAGUGAGGAAAACUUUUCAAGAGGCAAUCCCGAAGGUGUCAUCGAAUGGAUUAACCACGAAGCCGAAGCCUUCGAAGAAAUUUUAAAUAGCCGAGGAGAUAUAUGUGCCUUCUCUGGCGCCAGAGGGAUUGCCACUAUCUUAGAGAAGGAGGGCUGUGAACAUGUAAAAAUUUUAGCACAGUCCGAAGCUGCUUUGUCCUUUGAAGAUACAAAAGAUCCUUCGGCCGAAGCUAGUAUAAUUGGUGGAAAGUUUUUUACUGAUAUCUGGGAUAAUGGUGGCCGAGAGAUGGCCGGAGAAAUUAUUCGAAGAAGUGAAAAGGGUAUUCACGAUGCUAGAGAAGUAGCUGAGGCUGCUAAAAAGAGCGCAGAGGCCGAAGGUCAAUUAGGUAUCAACUAAUAGUUUUUAUCGUGUUGUAAUCUUAGGCUUUAAGAUUUGUUUAUGAUUUGUAAUAGCAAUAUAGCCGUGUCCUGUCCUUCCUCAGAUCCUACUGAAGUAUCUCCGGGUGCUCGGCCUAGGGGUGAUGAUGAAAUUAAAAAGAUGGCUGAAGCUAUUAUGGAUGAAGCUGUCGAUCGACUGUUGAACGAAGCUGCAGAAGUGGUACUUAGGGAGGACUAAAUGCUAUUGUAAAAACAUUUUAAAUGUAACAUGUGUAAUAUCUUGUAAUCCUGUAUGUAAUAUAUUUGUCUUAUUUUUCUUUAUGGUUCAAUUCUUUACGAUGCAUGAAACUUUACAUACGUACCGUUUUUGAGUCUGGCGAAAAAAACACCUUCCCUUCUUUUCAUGCUUCGUGAAGAAGAAUUACCAUUUAUCACAACAAUAUCCGAAGUAUCCCGAAAAGUGUUGAAGCUUCGUAGAAACAUUCCUCAAGGCUUAUACUUCAGAGAUCAAUAUUGUUUCUCCUUGUGACUUGGCAUGAUUUGCCUCUUUUUCAAAGCGUUUUCCCGAAGAUUGAUAUCAUAUCUCUUUCUUAUGCCACAUGCAGUAUGAUGUAUGAUGCUUAUGUUAUGCAAGAUGAUGUGAUGAUGUUAUGCUAUGUAAGGUGAUAUUCCGAAGGUACACGCAUAUCUGCGCGAUAAAACACAAUCUUUUUGCGAACCAGCGUUAACUUUUCGCUAUAAGCCUCCCUUAGGAGCUUCUUCGCCUUUUACUUCAGCGGAAUCAGCGUUGACUUUUCGCUGUAAGCUCUGCAUUCCCUUAGGAACGUCUUUGGAGCUUCUUCGCCUUUUACUUAGGCGGUAUCAGCGUUGACUUUUCGCUGUAAGCUCUGCAUUCCCUUAGGAACGUCUUUGGAGCAGAAAACUUACACUGCGCUCCCUUCGGAACGACUUUUUGUGACUUCAUCAAACUUACUCUGCGUUCCUUAGAACGACUUUUUGUUGCUUCGAAGAAUUUUCGAUAGUCCGAAGGUCCUUUUUAUUAUCACAAGCCGGUGAAGAAAACAUAUUUUUCUUGUAGGAAUCAACGAAACUAAUUACAUGAAACCUAAACAAUGUCCUUUAUUACAGAAAAUAAAACUGAAUGAAAAAGAUUGCUAUUAAGGUAGGAUAUUUGUCAAUAGAUGUGCUUUGAUUCUGGCACAGUGCUGUUGACCGUGCGAGCUUCGGACUGUUCUCUGAAGUCCCUUUGAUGCGGAGCAUAUUGGCUCCCUUCUGGCUGCUGGCCUUGCUGCAACGGAGGUGGAGGCGGAGGCUGUUGCCAGGAAGCUUGAGGCUGACUCGCCGAAGCAACAGAGACUGCAGGAUGGUUGCCCACAUAUUCUGGGAUGUAGGGCGAAUGAUACGAAGCUGUAUGCAUGACCUGCUUCGGCUGAGCUUGUUGUGCUGCUGCUUCAGCUAUUUCCUUUUGCUUCUGAAUAGUGACAUGGCACAUCCUGGUAGUAUGGCCUUUGUUCUCACCGCAGAAUAAGCAAAAGAUUCUUCUCGGUUGAUCGCCAAAUCUUCCUCCGAAGCCCCUGGCGCCUCUGCCUCUUGGAGCUGGAGGUCGGAAGGAACUUUGUUGUUGCCCUGAAACCUGUGAGGAGUAUUGUGGCCUUUGUUGCUGACUCCCUUUAUCAUCAUUCUGAGUGGAAUUGUGAAUUGACCUGACAUGCCUCGGGUAAAACCUUCCUCCGAAGCCCCUGGUCAUUUCAGAAAACCUGAAAGCCUCCUCCCUUCUUUGACGAAAAUCAUUGUCAGCUCGAAUGUAUUCGUCCAUCUUGUGGAGCAGCUUUUCCAGCGUUUGUGGUGGCUUCCUGGCAAAAUACUGUGCUGACGGCCCUGGCCGAAGCCCCUUGAUCAUAGCCUCAAUGACAAUCUCAUUGGGCACUGUUGGCGCCUGUGCCCUCAAUCGUAGAAACCUUCGGACAUAUGCCUGAAGGUACUCUUCAUGGUCCUGAGUGCAUUGGAAGAGAGCCUGAGCAGUGACCGGCUUCGUCUGAAACCCUUGAAAGCUAGUUAACAGCAAGUCCUUCAGCUUCUGCCAUGAGGUGAUCGUUCCUGGUCGAAGGGAGGAAUACCAGGUUUGAGCAACGCUUCUGACAGCCAUAACGAAAGAUUUGGCCAUGACUGAAGCAUUGCCACCGUACGAAGACACUGUUGCUUCGUAGCUCAUCAAAAACUGCUUCGGGUCUGAGUGGCCAUCAAAUACGGGGAGCUGAGGCGGCUUGUAGGACGGGGGCCAAGGUGUAGCCUGCAGCUCAGCGGACAGGGGAGAAGCAUCAUCAAAAACAAAAUUCCCAUGAUGGAAAUUGUCAUACCAGUCAUCUUCGUUGGGAAAACCCUCCUGAUGAAGAUCUUGAUGCUGAGGCCUUCGGUGUUGCUCAUCCUGAGCAAGAUGGCGAACUUCUUCAGAGGCUUCGUCUAUCUGCCUCUGCAGUUCAGCUAGCCUGGCCAUCUUCUCCUUCUUGCGUUGAACCUGCUGCUGAAGGAUUUCCAGAUUUUGAAUCUCCUGAUCUAGAUCAUCCUCCGGAGGUGUUGGACUGGUAGCCUUCCUCUUCUGGCUUCGUGCCUCUCUAAGAGAAAGGACGUCUUGAUUGGGGUCCAGCGGCUGCAGCGUGCCAGCCCCUGGUGCUGAAGUCUUCUUCGGCGGCAUGACGAAGGUGAUGCUUGCCGAAGGUGUUGAAACGCUCAAGAAAUGGAAGUGAGUUCACCGGAGGUGGGCGCCAAUGUUGGGGACUUGUUCUCAAGUGCUAAGAGUUAAGAACAAGGCAACAUAGAAAAUGUUAAUCGUUAACAUCCUUCGUCCUCCGAAGCAUUAUUUUCCUUAGGAUAUAAUGACUUGCGGACGAAGGUUAUGAAGGACAUACCUUCAUAAAUUCAUUAAACAAUGACGAAGGAUGAAAUAUAAAAAAUGUAAAAGAAAACAUGAACAAUCAUUUAUUAUUAUUGAGCAUAAACAAAAAUAUUAUUGAACUACAAGUGUACCUUCAAUCGGAAGGAAAUGACAGUACAAGCGUGACGCAAAAAGCGAAUGCCCAGUCAGCGUGAACAGUACGGGGAUACUGUUCACCUAUUUAUAGACACGGGACACAGCCCUUACAAAAUUACAUUCAUGCCCUUUACAUUUGAUAAUAACUCUAUAGUAGUCUAUCGAGGUCUGAAUAGCCUUUUCAUCUUUAAGUCGGUUCCACUCUUUGCUGUUACGCCGAAGCUUUCCUGCUCGACACCUUCGGCUCUGUAUCAAGCUUCGUAUUAUUCCGGUCUACUGCAAUGCCGACUUUAGUCCGAGGGUACCUGUUCACACAUUGUACUACAGAAAUACUGUUAAAUCCUGUUUUUGAGGACCUUCGGACGCCGAAGGUCCCCAACAUAGGGAGAGUGGUACGAAGCCGUAUGUAAGACUUGCUUCGGCUGAUUCUGCCGAGCUUCUACAUCGGCAAUCUCUUUUUGCUUCAGAAUAGUGAUCUGGCAGGCUCUUGUAGUGUGACCUUUAUCCUCACCACAGAAUAAGCAAUAAAAUUUUCUGGGCUGAUCCCCAUAUCUUCCUCUGAAGCCCAUGCCGCCUCUGCCCCUUGGAGCUGGUGGCCUGAAGGAGCUUUGCUGCUGUCCCGAAGACUAUGAGGUGUGUUGUGACCUCUGAAGCUAGCUUCCUUUAUCGUCAUUCUGACUGGAGCUGUGGAUUGAUCUAACAUGGCUAGGAUGGAUUCUUCCUCUGAAGCCCCUAGUCAUCUCAGAAAAUCUGUAAGCUUCUUCCCUUCUUUGUCGGAAGUCAUUGUCGGCUCGGAUGUACUCAUCCAUCUUCUGAAGCAGCUUCUCCAGAGUUUGGGGAGGUUUCCUGGCGAAAUAUUGAGCCGUGGAUCCUGGCCGAAGACCCUUGAUCAUGGCCUCAAUGACAAUUUCAUUGGGCACUGUGGGCGCUUGUGCUCUCAGUCGCAAGAACCUUCGGACAUACGCCUGAAGGUAUUCCUCAUGGUCUUGUGUGCACUGGUGAAAGUCGCCUAGAGGGGGGGGGUGAAUAGGGCGAAACUGAAAUUUACAAAUAUAAACACAACUACAAGCCGGGGUUAGCGUUAGUAAUAAAGAAACGAGUCCGCGAGAGAGGGCGGAAAACAAAUCCCAAGCGAAUAAGCAAGUGAGACACGGAGAUUUGUUUUACCGAGGUUCGGUUCUUGCAAACCUACUCCCCGUUGAGGAGGCCAUAAAGGCCGGGUCUCUUUCAACCCUUCCCUCUCUCAAACGAUCCACGGAUCGAGUGAGCUUUCUCUUUUCAAUCACUUGGAACACAAAGUUCCCGCAAGGACCACCACAAGAUUGGUGUCUCUUGCCUCAGUUACAAGUGAGUUUGAUUGCAAAGAAAGGAUCAAGAAAGAAGAAAGCAAUCCAAGCGCAAGAGCUCGAAAGAACACAAGCAAAUCACUCUCUCUAGUCACUAUUGUGUUGUGUGGAAUUUGGAGAGGAUUUGAUCUCUUUGGUGUGUCUAGAAUUGAAUGCUAGAGCUCUUGUAGUAGUUGGGAAGUAGAAAACUUGGAUGCAAUGAAUGGUGGGGUGGUUGGGGUAUUUAUAGCCCCAACCACCAAACUUGACCGUUGGCUGGGUUGUCUGUUCGAUGGCGCACCGGACAGUCCGGUGCCCCCUGCCACGUCAUCACUGCCGUUGGAUUCUGACCGUUGGAGCUUCUGACUUGUGGGCCCGCCUGGGUGUCCGGUGCACACCGGACAGGUACUGUUUGCUGUCCGGUGUGCCAGCAUGGGCGUGCCUGCCAUCUGCGCACGCAGAGCCCGCAUUAAAUGCGUGGCAGAGAGCCGUUGGCGCGAAGAUAGCCGUUGCUCGGAGUCGCACCGGACAGUCCGGUGAAUUAUAGUGGACGAGCCGUUGGCUUUUCCCGAAGCUGGCGAGUUCCUGAGGCCGACCUCCCUUGGCGCACCGGACACUGUCCGGUGUACACCGGACAGUCCGGUGAAUUAUAGCCGAGUCGCCUCCGGAAAUACCCGAAGGUGGCGAGUUCGAGUCUGAGUCCCCCUGGUGCACCGGACAUGUCCGGUGGCACACCGGACAGUCCGGUGCGCCAUACCAGGGGUGCCUUCGGUUGCCCCUUUGCUCCUUUGUUGAAUCCAAAGCUUGGUCUUUUUAUUGGCUGAGUGUGAACCUUUUACACCUGUAUCAUCUAUACACUUGGGCAAACAAGUUAGUCCAAAGAUUUGUGUUGGGCAAUUCAACCACCAAAAUUAUAUAGGAACUAGGUGUAAGCCUAAUUCCCUUUCAAUCUCCCCCUUUUUGGUGAUUGAUGCCAACACAAACCAAAGCAAAUAUAGAAGUGCAUAAUUGAACUAGUUUGCAUGAUGUAAGUGUAAAGGUUGCUUGGAAUUUAGCCAAUAUUAUUACUUACAAGAUAUGCAUGGAUUGUUUCUUAUUUAUAACAUUUUGGACCACGCUUGCACCACAUGUUUUGUUUUUGCAAACUCUUUUGUAAAUCAUUUUCAAAGUUCUUUUGCAAAUAGUCAAAGGUAAAUGAAUAAGAUUUUUGCAAAGUAUUUUCAAGAUUUUGAAAUUUUCUCCCCCUGUUUCAAAUGCUUUUCUUUUGACUAAACAAAACUCCCCCUAAAGGAGAUCCUCCUCUUAGUGUUCAAGAGGGUUUUGAUAUAUCAUUUUGAAAUACUACUUUCUCCCCUUUUUGAACACAAUAGGAAAAUCAAUUGAUAAAUAUUCAACACUAAGUUUUUGAAGUCGGUGGUGGUGAGGUCCUUUUGCUUUGGGCUCAUUUCUCCCCCUUUUUGGCAUGAAUCGCCAAAAACGGAACCAUUAGAGCCCUCGAAGUAGUUUCUUCCCCUUUGGUCAUAAACAAAUGAGUUAAGAUUAUACCAAAGACGAAGUCCUUUUGCUUUCUCCCCCAAGGAUGGAGAGUGGUAUGUAGCGACGGCGAAGGUUGAGUUACGGAGUGGAAGCCUUUUUGUCUUCGCCGAAGACUCCAAGUCCCUUUCAAUAUACCUAUGACUUGAUUUGAAAUAGACUUGAAAACACAUUAGUCAUAGCAUAGGAAGGGGAUACGAUCAAAGAUAUAUAAAUGAGCUAUGUGUGCAAUCUAGCAAAAGAAAUUGCGCGAAUCAAGAAUAUUGAGCUCAUGCCUAAGUUUGUUAAAAGAUUGUUCAUCAAGAGGCUUGGUAAAGAUAUCGGCUAAUUGAUCUUUAGUGUUAAUGUAAGAAAUCUCGAUAUCUCCCUUUUGUUGGUGAUCCCUAAGAAAAUGAUACCGAAUGGCUAUGUGUUUAGUGCGACUAUGCUCGACGGGAUUGUCGGCCAUUUUGAUUGCACUCUCAUUAUCACAUAGCAAAGGGACUUUGGUUAAUUUGUAACCGUAGUCCCGCAGGGUUUGCCUCAUCCAAAGCAAUUGCGCGCAACAAUGACCUGCGGCAAUGUACUCGGCUUCGGCGGUGGAAAGAGCGACCGAAUUUUGCUUCUUUGAAGCCCAAGACACCAAGGAUCUUCCCAUGAACUGGCAAGUCCCUGAUGUGCUCUUUCUAUUGAUUUUGCACCCCGCCCAAUCGGCAUCGGAAUAACCAAUUAAAUCAAAAGUGGAUCCCCGAGGGUACCAAAGCCCAAACUUAGGAGUAUAAGCUAAAUAUCUCAAGAUUCGUUUUACGGCCGUAAGGUGAGCUUCCUUAGGGUCGGCUUGGAAUCUUGCACACAUGCAUACAGAAAGCAUAAUAUCCGGUCGAGAUGCACAUAAAUAGAGUAAAGAACCUAUCAUCGACCGGUAUACCUUUUGAUCCACGGACUUACCUCCCGUGUCGAGGUCGAGAUGCCCAUUGGUUCCCAUGGGUGUCUUGAUGGGUUUGGCAUCCUUCAUCCCAAACUUGGUUAGAAUGUCUUGAGUGUACUUUGUUUGGCUGAUGAAAGUGCCCUCUUGGAGUUGCUUCACUUGGAAUCCUAAGAAAUACUUCAACUCCCCCAUCAUAGACAUCUCGAAUUUCUGUGUCAUGAUCCUACUAAACUCUUCACAUGUAGACUCGUUAGUAGACCCAAAUAUAAUAUCAUCAACAUAAAUUUGGCAUACAAACAAAUCAUUUUCAAGAGUUUUAGUAAAGAAUGUAGGAUCGGCCUUUCCAACUUUGAAGCCAUUAGCAAUAAGGAAAUCUCUAAGGCAUUCAUACCAUGCUCUUGGGGCUUGCUUGAGCCCAUAAAGCGCCUUAGAGAGCUUAUAGACAUGGUUAGGAUACUUACUGUCUUCAAAGCCGGGAGGUUGCUCAACAUAGACCUCUUCCUUGAUUGGUCCAUUGAGGAAGGCACUUUUCACGUCCAUUUGAUAAAGCUUAAAGCCAUGGUAAGUAGCAUAGGCCAAUAAUAUGCGAAUUGACUCAAGCCUAGCUACGGGUGCAUAGGUUUCACCGAAAUCCAAACCUUCGACUUGGGAGUAUCCCUUGGCCACAAGUCGAGCUUUGUUCCUUGUCACCACACCAUGCUCAUCUUGCUUGUUGCGGAAGACCCACUUGGUUCCUACAACAUUUUGGUUAGGACGUGGAACUAAAUGCCAUACCUCAUUCCUAGUGAAGUUGUUGAGCUCCUCUUGCAUUGCCACCACCCAAUCCGAAUCUUGGAGUGCUUCCUCUACCCUGUGUGGCUCAAUAGAGGAAACAAACGAGUAAUGUUCACAAAAAUGGGCAACACGAGAUCGAGUAGUUACCCCCUUAUGAAUGUCGCCGAGGAUGGUGUCGACGGGGUGAUCUCGUUGUAUUGCUUGGUGGACUCUUGGGUGUGGCGGCCUUUGCUCUUCAUCCUCCUUGUCUUCCUUAUUUGUAUCUCCCCCUUGAUCAUUGCUAUCAUCUUGAGGUGGCUCAUUUGCUUGAUCUUCUACUUCAUCAACUUGAGCUUCAUCCUCAUUUUCAGUCGGUGGAGAUGCUUGCAUGGAGGAGGAUGGUUGAUCUUGUGUAUUUGGAGACUCUUCGGAUUCCUUAGGACACACAUCCCCAAUGGACAUGUUCCUUAGCGCUAUGCAUGGAGCCUCUUCAUCACCUAUCUCAUCAAGAUCAACUUGCUCUACUUGAGAGCCGUUAGUUUCAUCAAACACAACGUCACAUGAGACUUCAACUAGUCCAGUGGACUUGUUAAAGACCCUAUAUGCCCUUGUGUUUGAGUCAUAACCAAGUAAAAAGCCUUCUACAGUCUUAGGAGCAAAUUUAGAUUUUCUACCUCUUUUAACAAGAAUAAAGCAUUUGCUACCAAAGACUCUAAAAUAUGAGAUGUUGGGCUUUUUACCGAUUAGGAGUUCAUAUGAUGUCUUCUUGAGGAUUCGGUGUAGAUAUAAUCGGUUGAUGGCGUAGCAGGCGGUGUUGACUGCCUCGGCCCAAAACCGAUCCGAAGUCUUAUAUUCAUCAAGCAUGGUCCUUGCCAUGUCCAAUAGAGUUCGAUUCUUCCUCUCCACUACACCAUUUUGUUGAGGUGUGUAGGGAGAAGAGAACUCAUGCUUGAUGCCCUCUUCCUCAAGAAAACCUUCGAUUUGAGAGUUCUUGAACUCCGUCCUGUUGUCGCUUCUUAUUUUCUUGAUCCUUAAGCCGAACUCAUUUUGAGCUCGUCUCAAGAAUCCCUUUAAGGUCUCUUGGGUUUGAGAUUUUUCCUGUAAAAAGAAUACCCAAGUGAAGCGAGAAUAAUCAUCCACAAUAACUAGACAGUACUUACUUCCGCCGAUGCUUAUGUAAGCGAUCGGGCCGAAUAGGUCCAUGUGUAGGAGCUCCAGUGGCCUGUCACUAGUCAUAAUGUUCUUGUGUGGAUGAUGAGUGCCAACUUGCUUUCCUGCCUGGCAUGCGCUAUAGAUCCUGUCUUUCUCAAAAUGAACAUUUGUUAAUCCUAAAAUGUGUUCUCCCUUUAGAAGCCUGUGAAGAUUCUUCAUCCCAACAUGUGCUAGUCGGCGAUGCCAGAGCCAGCCCAUGUUAGUCUUAGCAAUUAAGCAAGUGUCGAGUUCAGCUCUAUCAAAAUCUACCAAGUAUAGCUGACCCUCCAACACUCCCUUAAAUGCUAUUGAAUCAUCACUUCUUCUAAAGACAGUGACACCUACAUCAGUGAAUAGACAGUUGUAGCCCAUUUGACAUAAUUGAGAUACAGAAAGCAAGUUGUAAUCUAAAGAAUCAACAAGAAAAACAUUGGAAAUGGAAUGGUCAGGAGAUAUAGCAAUUUUACCCAAACCUUUGACCAAACCUUGAUUUCCAUCCCCGAAUGUGAUCGCUCUUUGGGGAUCUUGGUUUUUCUCAUAUGAGGAGAACAUCUUUUUCUCCCCAGUCAUGUGGUUUGUGCACCCGCUGUCGAGUAUCCAACUUGAUCCCCCGGAUGCAUAAACCUACAACACAAAUUUAGUUCUUGACUUUAGGUAAUUGAAAGUCGCCUAGAGGGGGGGGAGGUGAAUAGGGCGAAACUGAAAUCUACAAAUAUAAACACAACUACAAGCCGGGGUUAGCGUUAGUAAUAAAGAAACGAGUCCGCGAGAGAGGGCGGAAAACAAAUCCCAAGCGAAUAAGCAAGUGAGACACGGAGAUUUGUUUUACCGAGGUUCGGUUCUUGCAAACCUACUCCCCGUUGAGGAGGCCACAAAGGCCGGGUCUCUUUCAACCCUUCCCUCUCUCAAACGAUCCACGGAUCGAGUGAGCUUUCUCUUCUCAAUCACUUGGAACACAAAGUUCCCGCAAGGACCACCACAAGAUUGGUGUCUCUUGCCUCAGUUACAAGUGAGUUUGAUUGCAAAGAAAGGAUCAAGAAAGAAGAAAGCAAUCCAAGCGCAAGAGCUCGAAAGAACACAAGCAAAUCACUCUCUCCAGUCACUAUUGUGUUGUGUGGAAUUUGGAGAGGAUUUGAUCUCUUUGGUGUGUCUAGAAUUGAAUGCUAGAGCUCUUGUAGUAGUUGGGAAGUAGAAAACUUGGAUGCAAUGAAUGGUGGGGUGGUUGGGGUAUUUAUAGCCCCAACCACCAAACUUGACCGUUGGCUGGGUUGUCUGUUCGAUGGCGCACCGGACAGUCCGGUGCACACCGGACAGUCCGGUGCCCCCUGCCACGUCAUCACUGCCGUUGGAUUCUGACCGUUGGAGCUUCUGACUUGUGGGCCCGCCUGGGUGUCCGGUGCACACCGGACAGGUACUGUUUGCUGUCCGGUGUGCCAGCAUGGGCGUGCCUGCCAUCUGCGCACGCAGAGCCCGCAUUAAAUGCGUGGCAGAGAGCCGUUGGCGCGAAGAUAGCCGUUGCUCGGAGUCGCACCGGACAGUCCGGUGCACACCGGACAGUCCGGUGAAUUAUAGUGGACGAGCCGUUGGCUUUUCCCGAAGCUGGCGAGUUCCUGAGGCCGACCUCCCUUGGCGCACCGGACACUGUCCGGUGUACACCGGACAGUCCGGUGAAUUAUAGCCGAGUCGCCUCCGGAAAUACCCGAAGGUGGCGAGUUCGAGUCUGAGUCCCCCUGGUGCACCGGACAUGUCCGGUGGCACACCGGACAGUCCGGUGCGCCAUACCAGGGGUGCCUUCGGUUGCCCCUUUGCUCCUUUGUUGAAUCCAAAGCUUGGUCUUUUUAUUGGCUGAGUGUGAACCUUUUACACCUGUAUCAUCUAUACACUUGGGCAAACAAGUUAGUCCAAAGAUUUGUGUUGGGCAAUUCAACCACCAAAAUUAUAUAGGAACUAGGUGUAAGCCUAAUUCCCUUUCAACUGGAACAAGGCCUGAGAUGUGACUGGCUUUGUCUGAAAGCCUUGAAAACUGGUAACCAGCAUGUCCUUGAGCUUCUGCCACGACGUGAUUGUCCCUGGCCGAAGGGAAGAAUACCAUGUUUGGGCCACAUUUUGGACUGCCAUGACGAAGGACUUUGCCAUGACAGCUGCAUUGCCUCCGUAUGAGGAUAUUGUUGCCUCAUAGCUCAUUAAGAAUUGCUUUGGGUCCGAGUGCCCAUCGUAUAUGGGUAGCUGGGGUGGCUUGUAGGAUUGUGGCCAUGGAAUAGCCUGCAAUUCUGUUGCCAGGGGAGAAGCAUCAUCAAAAGUAAAGGUACCAUGAUUAAAAUCAUUGUACCUAUCAUCUUCGUUGGAUGAGCCCUCCCGACGAAGCUCCCUGUGUUGGGGCCUUCGGUCAUGAUCAUUCUGAGCAAGAUGACGUACUUCCUUAGUAAUUUCAUCGAUCUUCCUUUGAAGAUCGGCUAGCCGAGCCAUCUUCUCCUUUUUCCUUUGCACCUGCUGGUGGAUGAUUUCCAUGUCCCUGAUCUCCUGGUCCAACUGCUCCUCCUGGAAUGUUGGACUAGUGGCCUUUCUCUUUUGGCUUCGGGCCUCUUGGAGAGAGAGAGUCUCCUAGUUUGUGUCCAGUGGCUGUAGUGUAGCCCCUGGCGCUGUUAACUUCUUCGGCGGCAUGACGAAGGUCGAUGUUUUGCCGAAGGUUGUGGAAUUGAGUACACCGGAGGUGGGCGCCAAUGUUGGGGACUUGUUCUUAAAUGCUAUGAAUUAAGAACAAGGCAACACAAAAGGGGUUAUUGGUUAAUGCCCUUCGUCCUUCGAAGCAUUAUUUCCCUUAGGAUAUAACGAUCUUCGGACGAAGGCCAUGAAGGACGUACCUUCAUUAUCACAUUACAUAUUGAUGAAAGACAAAGCAUAUGGAACAUGAGAAAUAAGAUGAAUAAUUAUGUGAAAUUAUUUAUAUAUCUUUUCUAUAUUAUCAUGAAUGAAUAAGAACAACAUUGAAUUACAUUGUACCUUCAGCUUAACAGAAGGCAAAAGUACAAGCGUGACACACGAGCAGGUGUAAGUCAGCGUGAACAGUACGGUGGUACUAUUCAUCUAUUUAUAGGCACAGGGCGCAGCCUGUGUAAAAUUACAUUCAUGCCCUUUAUGUUUACUAUUGUCUUAAGGACAAUCCACCGAGGACUAGAUAGCCUUUUCCCUUUUAAGUUGGUUUCUCUUUCUGCCGUUGAGCUGAAGCACCCUUGCGCAUAGCUUCGGAACUGCAUCAACCUUCGUCUUGACCAUGCUUUCCAUAUCAUGUAUAGUUUUAUUCCGAGUCCGAAGGUACCUGUAUGUAUAUUACACUUGGGAAACAUUGUUAAAUCAUGUUUUUGAGGACCUUCGGAAGACGAAGGCCCCCAACACCCAUUUUACAUAAUUGAGAAACUGAAAGCAAAUUGUAAUCUAAAGAAUCUACAAGAAAAACAUUGGAAAUGGAAUGAUCAGGAGAUAUAGCUAUUUUACCCAAACCUUUGACCAAACCUUGAUUUCCAUCCCCGAAUGUGAUAGCUCGUUGGGGAUCAUCGUUUUUCUCGUAGGAGGAGAAUAUUCUCUUCUCCCCUGUCAUGUGGUUUGUGCAUCCGCUAUCAAUUAUCCAACUUGAACCCUCGGAUGCAUAAACCUGCAAAACAUUUUAGGCCUUGUUCUUAGGUACCCAAACAGUCUUGGGUCCUUUCACGUUAGAAACAAGCACCUUGGGUACCCAAACACAAGUCUUUGAACUCUUGUGUUUGCCCCCAACAUAUUUGGCAACUACUUUGCCUGAUUUGUUAGUAAGCAUAUAUGAUGCAUCAAAAGUCUUAAAUGAAAUGUUAUGCUCAUUUGAUGCAGCAAGAAUUUUCUUUUUAGGCAUUUUAAUGUGAGUGGUAUGCCUAGAGCUAGAAGCCUUAUUUUAUACAUAAAUGCAUGAUGAGAAGAAUUGUGAGGUUCUCUAGCAUGAAUUCUCCUAAUUUUAUGCUCAGGAUAUUAGCAGGAUAUAAAAUGUAACCCUCAUUAUCCUGAACCAUGGGAGCCUUGCCCUUAACAAAAUUGGACAAUCUUUUAGGGGCAUUAAGCUUGACAUUGCUUCCCUGUUGGAAACCAAUGCCAUCCUUAAUGCCAGGGCGUCUCCCAUUAUAGAGCAUGCUUCUAGAAAAUUUAAACUUUUCAUUUUCAAGUUCAUGCUCGGCAAUUUUAGCAUCUAAUUUAGCUAUAUGAUCAUUUUGUUGUUUAAUCAUGGCAAGGUGAUCAUUUAUAGCAUCAACAUUAAUAUCCCUACAUCUAGUACAAAUAGAAACAUGUUCGAUAGUACAUGUAGAGGGUUUGCAUGAACUUAAUUCCUCAAUCUUAGCAUUUAAAAUAGCAUUCUCAUCUCUAAGACUAGAAAUAGAAUCAUUGCAAACAUUUAAAUCUUUAACCGUAGAAAUUAAGCUAGCAUUUUCAUUUCUAAGGCUAGAAAUUGACCCAUGGCAAUGCUAAGCUCCUUAGAUAAAUUUUCACAUUUUUCUACAUCCUGAGCAUAAGCAUUUUUCAAUUUAACAUGUUUUUGUUUUCUUUAAUAAGGAAUUCCUCUUGGCUAUCCAAAUGUUCAUCCUUCUCAUGAAUAGCUCCUAUUAGUUCAUUUAAUUUUCCCUUUUGUUCCAUGUUGAGGUUAGCAAAAAGAGUAAGUAAAUCAUCUUCAUCUUCACUAGAGCUACCCUCAUCACUAGAUGUUGUAUAUUUGGGGGUGGCUCUAGAGGGUACCUUCUUUUUCCUGUCGUCCUUAGCCAUGAAACAUUUGUGGCCGACGUUGGGGAAGAGGAGGCCCUUGUUGAUGGCGAUGUUGGCGGCGUCCUCGUCGGAGGAGGAGUCGGUGGAGCUCUCGUCGGAGUCCCAUUCCCGACACACGUGGGCAUCGCCACCCUUCUUCUUGUAGUGCCUCUUCUUCUCCUUCUUCAUCCCCUUCUUGUCGUCGUCCCUGUCACUUUCAAUAGACAUUGGACAUUUAGCAAUGAAAUGACCAGGCUUACCACAUUUGUAGCACACCCGUUGGGAGUGGGGUUUGUAGUCCUUCCCCCUCCUUUGCUUGAGGAUUUGGCGGGAGCUCUUGAUGAUGAGCACCAUCUCCUCAUUGUCGAGCUUGGAGGCGUCGAUUGGAAGCCUACUUGGUGUAGACUCCCUCUUUUCUUCUUCCAUCGCUUUUAAUGUGACGGGUUGCACCUCGGGUGUGGAGGUGGCGCCUUGCUCCAAGUUGACAAUAUGUUUGGAGUCUUUGAUCAUAAGUUCAAAGCUCACAAACUUGCUAAUAACCUACUCGGGAGACAUUAGUUUAUAUAUAGGAUCCCCACGUAUUAAUUGAACUUGAAUAGGAUUACAAAAAACGAGGGAUCUUAGAAUAACCUUGACCAUUUCAUGGUCAUCACAUUUGGUGCUCCCGAGGUUGUGCACUUGGUUUACCAUCGUCUUGAGCCGGUUGUACAUGGCUUGCGGCUCUUCUCCUUUGUUGAGGACAAAUCGAUCGAGCUCGCCCUCGAUCGUCUCCUGCUUGGUGAUCUUGGUCACCUCGUCCCCUUCGUGCGUGGUCUUUAGCACGUCCCAAAUUUCUUUUGCGCUCUUUAACCCUUGUACCUUGUAUACUCCUCUCGACACAAGGAGGCGAGGAGUAUAGAUGUGGCUUGGGAGUUAAACUGCCGAGUUUGGGCGGCCUCGUCCGAGUCAAAGUCCUUAUCCCCCACCUGUGGUACCUGCGCUCCAAAUUCAACUAUAUCCCAAAUGCUUUCGUGGAGUGAGGUUAGGUGAUGCCUCAUUUUAUCACUCCACAUACAAUAAUCUUCACCAUCAAAAUAUGGUGGUUUGCCUAAGGGAACAGAAAGUAAUGGAGCGCGCUUAGAAAUACGGGGAUAGCAUAGGGGCAUCUUACUAUAAUUCUUGCGCUCAUGGCGCUUAGAAGUGACGGACGAGUCGGAGCUUGAUGACUUGGAGGGUGAUGAAGUGUCGGUCUCGUAGUAGACCACCUUCUUCAUCUUCUUAUUCUUGUCACCCUUCCGAUGCGUCUUGUUGGAGGAAGAGGAUUGCUCCUUAUGCUUGUGGCCGGACUCCCUUGAGAGGGUUCUCCCCGAGCUUGCGGGCUUGUCGCCGGUGACGAUCUCCCUCUUGGCGUGUUCUCCCGAAAUCACUUCGAGUUGUUAGACUCUUAAUGAAGCAACGGGCUCUGAUACCAAUUGAAAGUCGCCUAGAGGGGGGCAAAUAGGCGUAAUCUGAAAUUUACAACUUUAAACACACACUACAAGUCGCGGUUAGCGUUAGAACUUAAAUCAAGUCCGGGAGAGAGGGGAAACAAAUCAAAUGAAAAUCAAGCGAAUGAACACGGUGAUUUGUAUUACUGAGGUUCGGUUCCAAAGAACCUAGUCCCCGUUGAGGUGGUCACAAAGACCGGGUCUCUUUCAACCCUUUCCCUCUCUCAAACGGUCACUUAGACCGAGUGAGCUUUCUCCUUUAUCAAACGGGUCACUUAGACCCCGCAACGACCACCACACACUUAGGUGUCUCUUGCUUUGAUUACAAGUCACUUGGGAACAAGAAUGAGGAAGGAAGAAAGCGAUCCAAGCAACAAGAGCGCAAAAGAACACGAACACACACUCUCUCAAGUCACUAGGUGGUUGGGAUGAAUUUGGGACUUGGAGAGGCUUUUGAUCUUUUGAUUUGUGUCUAGGAGUGAAUGCACUAGCUCUUGUAUUGAAUGAAAAACUUCAGAAGACUUGGACUCUUGGAGUUGUGGUGGUUGGGGGGUAUUUAUAGCCCUCAACCACUAAGAAGCCGUUGGGGAAGGCUGUUGGCGAUGGGCACACCGGAUAGUCCGGUGCGCCACCGGAUAUGUCCUGUUCACUGUCCGGUGCGCCGCCACGUCACCCAACCGUUAGGAUUCGGAGCUCGGUCGACCAUUGGAGCUUUGUCUUCUUGCGGCACCGGACAGUCUGGUGUCACACCGGACAGUCUGUUGCCCCUCUGACUUUCUGCUCUGACUUCUUCGUUGCACUGUAGCUGCACUAUUCACCUUUGCAGAGUCGACCGUUGCGCGAGUUAGCCGUUGCUCCGCUGGCACACUGGACAGUCCGAUGAAUUAUAGUGGAGUGCGCCUGCUAAAACCCGAGAGUGGCUGGUUGGACUCAGUACGGUCCUGGUGCACCGGACACUGUCCGGUGGCACACCGGAUAGUCCGGUGCACCAGACCACAUCACACUUGGUUUAUUUUGCUCCUUUGAAUUUGAUCCCUAACUUGAAUAUUUAUUGGUUUGUGUUGAACCUUUGUGCACCUGUAGAACAUGUAUUCUAGAGCAAACUAGUUAGUCCAUACAUUUAUGUUGGGCAUUCAACCACCAAAAUUAAUUGUGGGAAAAGGUUAACCCUAUUUCCCUUUCAAAUACCCGCUGGGCCAUCUCUACAUGCCAGUGACUUUCGACGCCACCGAUAACUACCGAACUGAGUUCCUACGCUUCGAGGUGGCUCGGUUCAACUGCGGCUAUAACGCCAUCAUUGGGAGGCCAAGGUUGACUAAUUUCAUGGUCAUCCCUCACUACCCCUACAUGGUGCUCAAGAUGCCCGGGCCCCAUGGAAUCAUCACCGUCUGGGCUCACUUCUAAUGAGCAGCAGAUCGUGCUACCAUGGGACCAUCCAGAUGGCUCUUAGCGCUGGCCCCUCAGUGGCACCAUGAUAACCGGCGCCCAACACUGACACAUCACCAGGGGAUGACCUCAUGAUCCCAGUGAAAGAAGCAACCCCAAGAAUCAUCACUAGAAGAGGUAUACUUGCGAGUGUCUCUACAAAAUAUAAGUUUAUCAUGCUCAUCAAAAAGAAGAUCUUGCUUUUCUAUAAGUUCAUUCUUCUCAUUGAUGUAGUUAAUCAAUUUUAUAUCUAUCAAGGCCCUUAAACAACUUGCUAUAAUCCUCCUCAUCACCACUAUAGAAGUGGUAUACUUGCGAGGUUCUCUACAAAAUACCUUCUUUUCUUUUGCCAUCAAGCAAGUGUGAUGGACCUUGGGAAAGAGAGAAGACUUGUUGAAGGCGAUGAUGGAAAGGCCUUCGUCGUCAGAGUUGGAGGAGCCGCAGUACAAGUCCCACUCCUUGUCGAUGUGCGCCUCACCCUUCUUUCUAUAGAACUUCUUCUCUACUUUCUUCCUCAUUUUGUUCUUAUCUUGGUCAUCAUCAUUAUCGAGGCAGUUAGCUAUAAAAUGACCAGUCUUACCGAAUUUGAAGCAAGCAUACUCCCCCUUGGUUUAGCGCCAUUGUUGUUUUGCCCCUUCAACGCUUGCUUGAAAAUCCUUAUGACGAGUGCCAUCUCCUCGUCGUUGAGGCCGACUGCCUCAACUUGUGCCACCUUGCUAGGGAUUGCCUCCUUCUUGUUUGUUGCUUUCAAAGCAACAUCUUAGGACUUGGUAGAGGCAUUGCUUCCAUUGGCAAUGUCGUCGAUGUACUUGACAUCUGUAACCAUCAUUUGAUAGCUAACAAACUUACCAAGUACUUCCUUAGGUAUCAUCUUAGUGUACCUAGGGUUCUCAUAGAUCAAAGAAACAAGAGUAGGAUCUAAAGUGUAAAAAGCAUUAGCAUGAGUUGAAUGACUUCAUGAUCCAUCCAUCUCUUGCUCCCAUAGUUCCACACUUUGUUCACUAGGGACUUGAUCCUAUUGUACUUUUCUUGUGGCCCUUAUCCCUUCUUCAUGGAGAACCUCCCAAGUUAAACUUCGAUGAGCUCCAUCUUGGUGGCUUUUGUCAUCAUGUUGCCUUCGUGUGCGACCCUCAAUGUGUCCCAAAUCUGCUUUGCAUUUUCCAAGCAAUUCAUCUUAUUAUAUUAUUCCCUACAUAGGGAAGCUAGCAAAACUCUAGUGGCUUGGGAAUUUCUAUGAAUAAUUUCUUCUACUUCUAUAGCAUUGUAAUUGCCAUCAUCGCUAUCAAGUAUUUGCAUUCCAUUUUAUACAAUGUCUCAAAUACUAGGGUGGAGAGAAUAAAGAUGACUACACAUUUUAUGGCUCCACUAAGAAUAAUCCUCCCCAUCAAAGUGAGGAGGUUUGCCAAGAGGUACAACAAGUAAUUGAGCAUUGACAUUGCAAGGAAUGCAGGAAUAGUUAAAAUACAUUUUAUAAUAGUUUGAUUUAAUCGCCUUUUGGUGAUGCUUGGAGGAGGACUCUUCUUUGUGUGAAGUGGAGGAAGAUGUAGAAGUAUCGCUCUCAUAGUAGAUGAUCUUCUUCAUGCGCUUCUUCUUGCUCUCUUUCUUGUGUUGGGAGUCUGUGGUCUUGUUGUCUUCAUUCGUUGCCACCACCUCCUUGUGGGUGUCCACCCCUUGCCUUUAGGAUCUUCUCCUAAAAUCACUUUGAGUGGUUAAACUUAACAAGAUGUAUCGGCUUUGAUACCAAUUGAUAGUCACCUAGAGGGGGUGAAUAGGUGAUCCUAAAAUAAUCACAACUUAAAAUAAAUUUGGAUCCAAAUUAUUGAUUAGUGCAAAGCCAAGAUCCAAGAGAGUAGAAAGAGGUGGGAAAAGUUCUUGCACUUGAUGCCCAACUUGAUUUAUGAAAUAGUCCAAGGUCAAAAGCUCAAGUGUAGAUCAAGAACAUUAGAGUGGAGAGGAAGGACAAAUUCCAAUAAGAAUAUAGCACACAAGACAUAACAAUUUUUUCAUGUUGUUUAGUCAAGCCUCAAAUGCUUGCCUACUGCAUGUUGUGGUGUCCCAAAGGACCAGGGUUGCACUGAACCCCUCUCAUGUGAUCCAAUGAUCAAAUUAAGACCACUGUCUUCCUUAUCAAAUAUAUCUCAUCACAGGGAUCUCCAUAGAUUGGAGUCUCUUGUAGUCAUACAAAAGUUAAUGGGAGUUGAAACUCAAAAGAACAAUAAGAGAGAGGAGUAUAACGCAACACAAGAGCUAAGAAACAACACCCAAAGACACAAAACACAAGUGCGAUAGCAACAUGGCUCAAUCUCACUACAAAGGGUGCUCAGAUCGCUUUGGCGUGGUUCACAAAUGUGUAGGAAUGAAGUGCUUGCUCUUGAGUAUCUUGGUGAAGAGAGGGGCCGCUAGGGGCUCUAUUUAUAUCCCAAAGUCCCGUCAUAGCCAUUGAAGAUUCCUCCAAAAAUUGCUUUGCGCAGUGGCACACUGCACCGUUCCGGUGAACCACCGGAUUGAGAAAAGUAGCACACACACCAAGAUUCUUAUUGGCGGCUUCCAUAAUUGAGUAGCACAUGACUAAUCUGGUGCACCACCAAACUAUCUCCACAUCAGCUAGCCAUUGGCCGCCCACUGAAGCCCGCAAUAGCCCUUACUCACGAAGUCUGAUGCACUACCGGACCAUGGUUAGAUGAUUUUUAGUAGAAAACCCUGAAGACAAGAAGUUCACAUACGGAUGGUCCGACACACCACCAGACUGGUUUGGUGUGCUAGGCCUCUAAAGCCCUAGUCUGGGCUCCCUACGAAUUCGGUCCGGUGAGCCCCAGACAGCUGGUUGAAGUCCUUUUUAGCCAAGUGUUCUUUAAUUCGACUUGGCUUUCCUUGGGAGCUAUUCUAUGACUUAGACAAACAGACUUAAACUAUGUUGGACAUGCCUAAGUCAUAUGUUCAUACCAUUUAGCUCAUCUCCCUUUGAGUUUUCCCGUUUCUGCUCAAAACAAGUCCAAAUAUGCACUUUCUCCAAAAACUAAGUUAGAGACCAAACCGAAGAGCUAAAUACAUAACAAUAGGUGUGUUAAACUUAUUCAAAUGUCGAAACCUCAUUGUUUUACCCAUUUUCAUAAAGUUGCAUUUUCUCGCCUCAUUUGAGCAUAUCUGAACUUCACUUUACUCAAUUUGUCUUAAAUUUAACCUGUGCUCAUAGACUUUGCAAAUAGUUAGUCCAGUAUGUUGUGUUGUACAUUAAUCACCAAAACAAUAUGGAAAUGACUAUUUGUCCAUUUCCUUUUCCUUUGUACCGUCGAGGUGGAAUAUAUAUCGAUCGAAAUUUGUUGUGCUCAAUUGUUAUGAAUGAAACAAACUCUAUUGAAUUAUGGAAUUUUAUUAAACAAUGUGUCGCUUAUGUGUGAAAACAAAAGUGCCAUGUAAUUGGCCACAAAUCCAAUUCAACACUUAGGAACUAAGCAUAUUGAUAUAAAGCAUCAUUUCUUGAGAGAUCAUGUAGGAAAGGGAGAUAUUUCUAUUUGUUUUAUUGGCACAGAUGAUCAAUUGGUAGAUAUAUUUAUAAAACAUUUGGAUGAAUCAAGGUUUUGCAAGUUGAGAAAUGAGUUCAAUGUCUGUUGGGGACUUGUUCUCAAAUGCUUCGAAUUAAGAACAAGGAAACACAAAAUGUUAAUGAUUAAAGACAUACGUCCUUCGAAACAUUAUCUCCCUUAGGAUAUAAUGAUCUUCAGACGAAGGUUAUGAAGGACGUACCUUCAUCAUCUCAGUAUAUCAUAAUGAAAGUAAGAGCAUAUGGAGCAUGGGAAAUAACAUGGAUAAUCAUAUGACAUCAUUAGGAUAUUUUUUGUUAUAUUAUCAUGAAUAAACAUGAACAAUAUUGAAUUACAUUUGUACCUUCAGCUUUGACAGAAGGUAAGAAUUCAAAUGUGACGAGCGAGUGAAUACAAGUCAGCGUGAACAGUUCGGUGUUACUGUUCAUCUAUUUAUAGGCACAGGAUGCAGCCUGCGUAAAAUUACAUCCAUGCCCUUGACAUUUACUAUUAACUUAGGAAUAAUCUAUCAAGGACUAGACAUCCUUUUCUCCUUUAAGUCGGUUUCAUUUUCCAUCACUAAGCUGAAGCUUUUCCACGGGUAGCUUCGGAACUAGUUCAUCCUUCUCCCGAACCGCGCUUUUCAUAUCAUGUACAACUUCAUCCCGUGUCCGAAGGUUCCUGUAUAUAUAUUAUACUUGGAAAACAUGUUAGUUGUGUUUUUGAGGACCUUCGGAAGACGAAGGCCCCCCAACAGUAGCCCCUCGCAGUAUUAAUUUGUUAUAAUAAUAAAUUCAGACUGCGAUGUGAACGAAGGACUUAAACCUAAGGUGCGAAAAACACCUUCCCUUCGCUAGAAUAGAGAAAUUCAAUGAUAAACGGGGCCCGCCAUAUUGCAAAGCGCUAGGUGUAUAAAUAAGAACCCACAGCGGCAACAUUUGAUACGCCAUUUCUGUUGUUUGCCUUAUUUUCUCAAACUUUUAGCUCUUGCUUACCAGCUCUUGCUUGAUUUUCGAGCUUCGAUUUAAGGACGUGCUUACUCCAUGUCUGAGGAGAAGAUGACCGAGGAAAAGAUGACUGAGGAGAAGAAGUUUGCUGAGGAGAAGAAGCUAUAUGAAGAGAAGAAAGUUGCUGAUCCUUUCAUCGCUGGGUUUUAUGAGUCUAUGGCAAAAACGAAUAUAGAGAAAAUUACUAAGGAGAUAAUGGAGGGUUUGUCCGAAGAUUCUGAUGAUAGUGAUAGUUAUGAUGUGGAAAGUGGGGAUGAAGAUUCUGAGGACCGGCCCUGGCGACCAAGCCAUACCAUCUUCGGAAAGUUGACCAUCAAACAUAGUCAUAUUGACGCCAUGAGAGGGAGAUAUUUUCGCGAUAUGUCCAUUAUCAGGAUUGGAGGGGACAACACUGCCCCUACGCCUGAGGAGAAUGAAGUUGUUAUUUACCGAAGCUUCUUGAAAGCAGGCCUUCGGUUUCCGCUGAGCAAAUUUGUGGUUGAAGUGUUAAAGAUAUUCCAAAUAUUUCUUGAUCAGAUUACCCCCGAAGCUAUAAUUAGGAUGGGGAUGUUUGUUUGGGCUGUAAGGAGCCAGGGGCUAGAGCCGAGCGCGAAAUGCUUCUGCAAUAUGCACGAGCUAUUAUACGAGACAAAGGCUACCGACAAAGAACAAUACCACAACAACUUCGGUUGCUACGGGUUCAUUGCCCGCUCCAAUGCAAGUUACCCGGUGCCAACAUUCCGGAAAAGAUGGCCCAGGGCCUGGAUGGAGGAGUGGUUUUAUGUUAAAAAUGAUCUAAUUAAAAGGGAAGACAUCAAGGAAAUUAUCCAGCGCCCCAUCUGGUCUCGCUUCAGCCUUCAAAGGCCGAAGGUCACUAUUGAAAGUGACGUCGAAGCAUGCCAGAAGGCAUUUAGCAAUGUUUGCGCCUUCAUUGGCACAAGGGAUAUAAUUCAAGAGCACAUAGCCUUCAGGGUGUGGCCAUGUGUGGAGAGUUUUGAUAUGCCGAAGGAGAGCACUACCGAAUCCAGUGAAGGUGGCCUGGUUCGAUUGAAAUAUACCUUUAGAUUUAGAGAGAAGUUUGACGAACCAAAUGAUGACUGGUUGAAAUGUGUUGAAGCUACCAGCGACGAGCUGCUUGGGACAUAUUCCAAGGCCGAAGAUGAUGCCUUGUCCGCAGCCUUCGGGGGUCGGGGCAAGAAAAGAUUGAACAUGGUGUUUGAUGCGAUUGGCUUCAUAUACCCUGACUAUCACUACCCGCUACGAAGGCAAGCAAAGUAGAGAAAGACUGCCGCUUGGCCACCACUGCUGUGCCGAAGGGCAAAAAAGUAAAGGUUAAGACCCACCGGCCGCGAUACAUUGAACCGGCCGUAGUGCCUGAUUUUGGCGAAGGGACCUCUUCAACUGCCGAAGCUAAACAAGCGAGCCCCGCCAUGCGGAGCGCUGUAGAAUCGGUUGUAGUGCCGAAGAUGCCUACAGUCGGGCCAGCCGAAUCCAAGGAUGAUAUGACCGAAGAGCCAAAAGUGGAAAAGAAAGUAAAAAUACCAGAAAUUCUGAGCCCAUCAGCAGGGGCGGAAUUGUCGAAAGUACAAAAGGCUCCUGCUGCAACUCCCAAAAGGAGGAGGAUGGCCAGCGUGCUAGACGCUGUCCUAGAGACCACAAAGGCGUUGAGCCCUGCUCCUACCAAGAAAGCUGCCGAAGCUAUCAAAGUUCAGGCUGGAGCCAAAGCUGGGCCUUCAGUGCCGAUUGAGACGAAGCCUGUCGCGCCUGAGGAUAAAAGAGAGCAACAGACUUCGGCUAUCGGCAAAGCAUCAGAGGAGAUCGCAACAGAAAAAACUGAAGCUCCUGCUCCCGAAGCUCCGUCUGAAGAUAUUAAUUACAUUAUUCGACAUGCUUCGGGAAAGAAAUUAUCCGAAGCAGAAAUCUUGGAAGCCAAACAUUACGCCCGGAAACUGAAAUAUCCAGAGGGGGCCUUGGUGUUUAAUGGCACAGACGAAGACGAUUUCAUGUACUGUCUCCCGGAUAACAAAGAAAUAUCCAUUUGCCGGAAGAUAGCCAAGAGUAUGGGAUUUCCGAAACUUGAGGAAGGCCUUUCGGCCAUGUCGAAGGAUGAUCUUGCUGACAGCCUUACAUACAACAGUAUAAAGGUACAAAAGCUGUUAACUUUUAAAGUUGGGAAUGAAGUAUCUCAUUGUCAUGCUUAAUUCUUUCUUUUUCUUGCAGGGCCUAAUUCUUAGUAAUGCCUUGAGGGCACAAAAGAAUGCCGAAGACGAAGAUUGCACAAUAGCUCUCAGCAACCUUCGCUCAGAGGUAAUUGAGCUGAGAAACGAAGGUUUUGAGAAAGAUAAAAUUUUAAUUUCAUUGGUGAAUAAAAUGAAAGAAGACGAAGCUAAGUAUAAUGUUCAGGCCGAAGCCCAAAAAGCCGAGGUUGAAGACCUUCAGAAACAAUUGGCCGAAGCUAAAGAAAAUUGUGAAGUAGCGAAGGCCAACCAAGAAAUAAGUGAAUGGUGGAAGGCCAGACUGGAGAAGAAUAUUGAAGAGCUUCGCGAGUCCAAGGAAAGAUGCUUCGAAAAAUCUUUGGACUGCGUAAAAAAUUUAAAAAACAGCUUUGCAAAAGUUGUUGCCUACUCUACUGAGGAAAACUUCAUCCGAGGCGAUCCCGAAGGCGUCAUUGAGUGGAUACGCGGGGAAGCCGAAGCUUUUGAGGAGAUUUUGAAUGAUCGUGGAGAUAUUUGUGCUUUCUCUGGCGCCCGGGGAGUCGCAGCUAUUCUGGAGAAGGCUGGAUGCAAACAUGUGAAGGCUGCAGCGAAUGCCGAAACUGCCUUCUCCAUAGAUGAUACAAAAGACCCUUCAGCCGAAGCGACUUUGAUGGGCGGAAAAUUCUAUUCUGAUGUCUGGGUGAACGGUGGCCGAGAAUUGGCUCAUGAAAUUAUAUAAAAGAGUGAAAAAACACCCACGACGCCCGAGAAGAAGCUAGAAAAACUGAAGAGGCUGCUGAGCGCGAAAGGCGCAUAUGUAUUUUUUUUUAAUUUUAACUUCGGUACUUACUUUAUGGCUUCGCACUAAUAGUUUAUAUAUUACAGCUGAGCUAUCACCGCUGCCGGAGCCGUACAAUCCCCUGGCCGAUCCGGAGAUGAAGGAAGCACUGGACGUUAUAAGCCUUGCAAAUUCUAUUAUCGACGAAGUUGUCAACAAAUUAUUAAACGAAGCUGCGGAGAAGAUCCUUAGAGAAGAGUAGACUUUGUAACUUCAUUGUAAAAAUAUUUUGUAGCAUUUGGUGUAUGGAACAAUGGACGAGACAUGUAAAUUAUUGUAACAUAUUUCUUUACGACGCGUGAAAUUUACACACAUACCGUUUUUGAGCCUUCGGCGAAAAAACACCUUUCCUUCUUUUCAGGCUUCGUAAAGAAACAAAUCCCUUCUAUAGCGAGUUUGAUAAAACUGUAUUUCCCGAAGCUUACUUCGUGUCUCAGCACAUUUUCAUUUUGACGAAGCGUUUGCCGAAGAUUUGCUUCGUAUUCAAAUUUUGUGCCGUUAAUGCAAUAUGAUGUAUGAUGUAAUGUUAUGCGAAAUGAUAUGAUGAUAUGAUGCAAAAUGAUGAGGAUGCCAAAGACACACACCCACGCGCCCACACUGGAAUACACAAGACUCUGCAUCCCCUUAGGAAUGUCUUUUGAGUCUUUAAGCUUUGCAUCCCCUUAGGAACGACUUUUGAGCUUCUUCACCUUCUAUUUCGGUGGAAUUUAAGCUCUGCAUCCCCUUAGGAACGACUUUUGAGCUUCUACACCUUAUAUUUCGGUGGUAUUUGGCUCUGCAUCCCCUUAGGAACGACUUUUGAGCAGAAAACUUACGCUGCGCUCCCUUAGGAACGACUUUUGCAGCUUCAGAUUGUAAUUUUUGGUUCUGCAUUUCCUUAGGAACGAUUUUUGAGCAGAAAACUUACGCUGCGCUCCCUUAGGAACGACUUUUGCAGAUUCAGAUUGUAAUUUUUGGCUCUGCAUUCCCUUAGGAACGACUUUUGAGCUUCGAAAUUUACUGCGUUCCCUUGGAGUCGUCUUUCGAGCUUUGUAAAUCUAUGAUGAAGAUAUAUUUCACUCUGGUGUAGGCACAAUCAUUACAAGAAAUUGAAAUUACGUUACUUGUUUCUCACACAGAAAACAAAAUGGAAUAAAAGAUAAAGGUACAUCAAAAGUAUGAUAUUUCUCAGUAUAUAUGCUUCGACUCUGGUACAGUGUUGUUGACUGUACGAGCUUCGGACUCCUCCCUGAAGUCGCGCUGCUGUUGGGCGUGCUGGUGCCCUUCUGGCUGCUGGCUUCGGGUAUGAGUAGGGGGCAUUGGUGGUGGUAGUGGGAGCUGAGGCCAGGAAGCUUGUGAAUGGCUUGCCGAAGCAAUAGAAGCUGCAAGUUGAUUGCCUACGUAUUCUGGUAUAUAAGGAGAAUAGCACGAAGCAGUGUGUAAAACCUGCUUCGGCUGAUUCUGCCGUGCUUCUGCUUCAGCAAUCUCUUUUUUCUUCUGGAUAGUGACCUGGCAUGUUCUUGUAGUGUGGCCCUUGUCCUCGCCACAAAAUAAGCAGUAGAGUUUCCUGGGCUGAUCCCCAUAUCUUCCUCCAAAGCCCCUGCCACCUCUGCCCCUUGGAGCUCGUGGCCUGAAAGAGCUCUGCUGCUGCCCUGAAGAUUGUGAGCUAUGUUGUGGCCUCUGAAACUGGCUUCCUCUGUCCUCACUCUGACUGGAGUUGUGGAUUGAUCUAACAUGCCUAGGGUGGAUUCACCCUCCGAAUCCCCUAGUCAUCUUAGAAAACCUAUAAGCUUCCUCCCUUCUUUGGUGGAAAUCAUUGUCGACCCGGAUGUACUCAUCCACUUUCUGAAGCAGCUUCUCCAGAGUCUGAGGGGGUUUCCUGGCGAAGUAUUGAGCCAUAGGUCCUGGCCAGAAACCCUUGAUCAUGGCCUCAAUAACGAUUUCAUUGGGCACUGUGGGCGCUUGUGCUCUCAGUCGCAAGAACCUUUAGACAUACGCCUGGAGGUAUUCUUCGUGGUCUUGCGUGCACUAGAAAAAAGCUUGUGCAGUAACCGGCUUUGUCUGAAACCCUUGGAAACUGGUGAUCAGCAUGUCCUUCAGCUUCUGCCAUGAUGUGAUUGUUCCUGGCCGAAGAGAGGAGUACCAAGUUUGGGCAACAUUCUUGACUGCCAUGACGAAGGAUUUCGCCAUGACUGCGGUAUUGCCCCCAUACGAAGAUAUGGUUGCUUCGUAGCUCAUCAGGAACUGCUUCGGAUCUGAGUGCCCAUCAUACAUGGGGAGCUAGGGUGGCUUGUAUGAUGGGGGCCAUGGGGUAGCCUGCAGUUCUACUGACAGAGGAGAAGCAUCAUCGAAAGCAAAAUUUCCACGAUGGAAAUCAUCAUACCACUCAUCAUCAUCAUAGGAAUUGUCUUGACGAAGCUCUCUGCGUUGAGGUCAUCGGUCCUAGUCAUCCUGAGUGAGAUGACGCAUUUCCUCAGCAGCUUUGUCAAUCUUCUUCUGUAGAUCGGAGAGGCGAAGCAUCUUCUCCUUCUUUCUCUGGACCUGUUGAUGGAUGGCUUCGAGGUCCCUUAUUUCUUGGUCCAACUCCUCCUCCUGAGGCGUUGGACUUGUAGCCUUCCUUUUUUGAGUUCUGGCUUCACGCAGUGUUUCCUGGUUGACGUCUAGUGGCUGCAGUGCAGCCACUAGUCUUGAAGAAGCUUUCUUCGGCGGCAUGACGAAGGUCACGUCUUGCCGAAGGUGGUCGAAUGUGGUCGAAUGAGUUCACCGGAGGUGGGCGCCAAUGUUGGGGACUUGUUCUCAAAUGCUUCGAAUUAAGAACAAGGCAACACAAAAUGUUAAUGGUUAAAGACCUUCGUCCUUCGAAACAUUAUCUCCCUUAGGAUAUAAUGAUCUUUAGACGAAGGUUAUGAAGGAUGUACCUUCAUCAUCUCAGUACAUCAUAAUGAAAGUAAGAGCAUAUGGAGCAUGGGAAAUAACAUGGAUAAUCAUAUGUCAUCAUUAGGAUAUUUUUUGUUAUAUUAUCAUGAAUAAACAUGAACAAUAUUGAAUUAUAUUUGUACCUUCGACUUUGACAGAAGCUAAGAAUUCAAAUGUGACGAGCGAGUGAAUACAAGUCAGCGUGAACAGUUCGGUGUUACUGUUCAUCUAUUUAUAGGCACAGGACGUAGCCUGCGUAAAAUUACAUCCAUGCCCUUGACAUAUACUAUUAACUUAGGAAUAAUCUAUCAAGGACUAGACAACCUUUUCCCCUUUAAGUCGGUUUCAUUUUCCAUCACUAAGCCGAAGCUUUUCCACGGGUAGCUUCGGAACUGGUUCAUCCUUCUCCCGAACCGCGCUUUUCAUAUCAUGUACAACUUCAUCCCGUGUCCGAAGGUUCCUGUAUAUAUAUUAUACUUGGAAAACAUGUUACUUGUGUUUUUGUGGACCUUCGGAAGACGAAGGCCCCCAACAAUGUCAUUGAUUUCUCCAAUGUGGCUUGAAGUUGGGAACAUAUGCGAUGAAAUAUUCAUUUAGCCCAUAUUGCAUACUAUUUAGUCAUUUUAUUGUGUUUUAGGUGUUUUUAGUUUAUUAUAGAUUCAUGUCCAUUUACAUGAAAUUCAUGUACUUUCAUGUAAAUUACAUGUAUAUAUGCAUACUAACCCUUGAUGCAACCAAAAUGUCCAUAUAUGAGCAACGAUACCUUUACAAAAGUCACAAACGAAGAUAAUAGCAGCAAUUUCGGAUAGAUAAAGUGUCAGGGCUUGGACCAUCCGGUCCUAGGCUUUGGACUGUCUGGGUGUCUAGGUCCCAGACUGUUCAGGCUCUGAUCGUGGACCGUUCGGUCAAUCAGGCCGUGGACCGUCCAAGCUCCCACUACAAACCAUCCGCGGCAAGUAGUUCAAUAUAACCCGAGGACAUCCAGCCUUUGGACUCUUUCCCCCAUUCAUUUUCUAGUUAGUUGUCUCUCAAAUACACCCAAAAGUGAGUCUUUAUCGCUAGUGCGAAGGGAGAUCCUUGGAGAAAUCCAUGAACCAUUCGGAGAUCAUCAAGACAAAAGAAUCUUAGUCAAUCAACAUGUCUUCCUCAUGUGGCUUGGGCAAGACUAUGAAAAGCUUAGUAGGGCAUUUCAAGAAAGGUGCCAGCAAGAAACAGAGGGCAGAUGAUGAUGCAGAUAGGGAUUAUGAUUCUACUAUGGACUUAGAGGCUCGAUCUUCUAUUGAAGGGAGUGUGUCAAUGGACACUGAAGAUGCUCCUACUCUCCAUCCUAAUGAGCUUAUUGACAUAACUGUAUGGAACUUUCCUAAGAGAAUGUUCUCAAUGGUCAAGUACUUAACUCUAAGGAAUCAAAAUCAGUAUGUCUUACAGUGAGACACCAACAUUCUGUUCUUCCAUUCUCAGCUACAGUUUGAUCUCUUUUCGAGAUACAUCUUGGAAACUAACUGUCACAAGCAUCAAACCAUCGUUUGGGCAUACAUGCUAAAGGAGUCUGUGAUGGUGGACUUGGUUCCUUCAUUUCAGAAUGUUGGGCUCUAUGACUUUAUGUCCAAAAUGUGUGAUUACAGUGAGAUGAUAGUUAGACAAUUUUUGCCACUACUAAAAUUGACAUUCCUAAGAAUAUGACUGAGUGCAUGACUAGACACAAGAGAUGUAACACCCCAGGUGUUACCAAGGCCCUGACUCCAUACUUGUAACCGUGAAUUGUUAUCACAUGUGUUAAGUGGAGGAGAGGGAGCCCCAAAACCUUGGAAACCAUGGAUUAACUAAUAAUGUAAAUGACAAAAACUUCACCCAAACAUUUUGACCAAUUAUCACCUUGGGCAAAAGAGGUUAAACCCUAGACCCCUUAAAGCACUAGACUUCCAAGCAAGGGAUUAGUGGGCAAGCUAAUCAAAUGGCAAAUUCUUGUUUCGAAUCCUUAACCAAGAUUUAAGUACACUAAUGUAACUUCAAAAACAGCAAGGGAAUCAUCACAAAAAGGCCCCUUAAAGACCCCAAAUCCAUUCCUUAAGUAGUGAGCACACUAGAGCUCUCUAAUCUUCUCUAAGUCAAAAAUAAACCCUAGUUUAAAGAUCAGACGUGUUCACUUAGUAAAUGAUGCCAAAACCACUUGGUCUGAAUACCAAAAAGGAGCCAAACUACCUAAGGAACCCAUUGGAAAAGUUUGAACCCGAGCCAAAUUCGUUUGACACGAUUUGAUAGCACUUUUGUCUCGGGGUGAACAGUGAGACAACGCAGAAUUGGCGUCCGCAAAUCUCCCUACCUAGGGCAUAUCUGCCAUUGGAACUCACAUACAAGAGACAGCCUAGCAAAAUCAAUUUGGUUAAAUAAAACUGAAGUUAUGAAUUUUCCUAAGUAGUUCACAUUAUUCACAACCUAGCAAAAUGUGGCGGAACUGCCCGAAUUAUUCCAACUUAAGUGCCUAAGUCCCGCCUUAGAGGCUAGACCACACUUAAAUGGGAAUAACCCGUCAAUCCCUCGGAUCUAGUCCGACGAGGCCACUAACAGGAUCAAGUACCAUAGUCUCACUCGAUGGUGAGUCACAGAGCAAAUACAAUAAAGCAAAAAACCAUACAUUAAGGAAUAGUAAAUUUAUUACAUCAACAUCAGAGUUUUAGCAAAAGUAGCAUCAUUGUCUGAAGUGCAACGGAAAAAAACUAACGGUAAAUAACCGGAGAGAUGGGGAAGCCUGUCCCAUCACUCCUCAUGCUCCUCCUCAGCCGAGGCAGGGUCCCACUCGACUGUCCAACCCGGUGGCAAGAUGGACGGCCAAGUCACUCCAGCAACCAUGUCCUCCAGAGAACCUAUAAAAAAUUAUGCCACAAGCAAGGCUGAGUAUACUAAUACUCAGCUAGACUUACCCGGUGUGAGGAGUCUACUCCUCUACCUCUAGACAUGCAGCUGUUUGGCUGUGGGGUUGGGUUGCCAAAAGCACUAGCUGAGUUUAUAAAUCAAGUUUUAGCUUUGUCAUGUUUUAGUGUGACUCUCUUAAGACUAGAUAUGUACUAUCUACUCAUUCAUGGUAGCAAGCAAACUUAGCAAUCAACAUCUUUUGUCACCUCAUCAUAUUCCACUUGUUACUCAAUGUAGCACCAUGGAUCAAGCAGUCUCGUUAGCUGCGAGAAGCAGACGAUUUGAAUCGAGUUUUUAUCCUUGCAAGGUAAACCUAAACACACGACAUGUAGGGGCACUCCAUCCCCACACACAUCAACCGUCCCCAUCGAUUCCCUAGCAACAGAUCAGGGCUCACCGCCUUGGCGUACAAUGCCUCACUGACCCCGACUGCCAUCGUGCAGUGACCGCACUUGUACCCACCAUAACCGGAAUGGGAGACCACGUCUCAGGUCGCGUGAGGGGAUAUGUCUGCGGGCAGGUUCACUCAGGUACUAAGCUUAUCGAUUUACCAUAUUUCUCGGUAUGUGAUUAGUACGUUCAAACGCUUGACUCACGGUACAACACCUUAAUCCUUAUUCCAAUUUUUAUCCCGUGGACAACCAAUCCCCAUGGAUUGUUGUCCACAAACCAGCAUCAUUAUGAUAAGAAAGUGGAUACAACCAAUUUUCUGACCUCGCGCGAGUGCUAGAAAAAUCACUCGACUUCUACCGAAAUCCCUAAUUAAUAAAGCAGCUACUCGGCUUAGCAUACUAGUUUUCAUCUCAAUGGGAUUCCUGAGAUCAUGCAACUAGGGUUUCAAACAACUCCUACACUUAAGUGCACAUUCAAUCCUACAAUCAUUAAGUGUAGUAAAAUAGCAUAAUAAACAGGUUAUGCAUAAACCGGGGCUUGCCUUCCAAAGCUGGGGCAGGCAGAUCCUCUGGUGCAGGCUCUGGUGCUGGAUCCAGGGCUACCUCCUGAGCAGCUCCUUGCUCCGGCACGAGGACGUACUCUCCGUCAGCGAGGUUGCAGUCUAUCGAAUGCAAUGAAUGGGAAUAUGUAUGUCAUGAUUAUGCAGGAUUUAACAAACAUUAUGCUAAAUGAAGAAAAGCUAAGUUAGUUAGUAACUUAGGUUUUUCUGGUCAUACGUGGCUCUUUAGUGGUUUAUGCUUAUCACUCUAGGUUUGGAUUUUGUUAGGGAUAAUCAUAGUGGAUUUGUAACUUGGAUUUCCCUUAGAUGUUUUAGUAGACGUUUAAGGGAUUUUGUUGGUUGGGUUAAAAUGACAUUACUCUCAUUGUUAAUUUCCUCUUUCUUUUUCUAUUUAUGAAUUCUAGGGUGGGUUUGAACUACAACAGUGAUUUAACCUAUUUCAAAAAUUCUGAAACAAUUUCAGUAGACUACUAUUGGCCACUGUAGUUUGUCCUAUGAAUUUGAGGUCCAGAAUAAAUAGAGUAUGCUCUGGACAAAAAUAACAAAGGUUGGGGCAAAGGGGUCACUUUGCACUACAACUCUUAACUAGGGGUAGGUUUUGUCCUAAGGGUCAUUUUUGCUGGUAUUUAAAAGUAAUAACAUGCUUCUGUGCCAAAAUUCAUAGAGGGUUAUUUAGUUAUGAUUUUCUAAAGUUUAAUGCCAAAAAGAUACUUAUAACUAACUUGUUAUUUGAAAAAUAUCAAAACAACAGAACUAGUAUUUUUCCUAUGUUCUUAAUAACAAAACAUUAGUUAUCCCAAGGUUUGGGUUGUUUUUUCCUUGGAAUUAUUUUUCUAGGGUUUUCCUAAGGUUUCCUUGUUUUCCUCAAAUAAAAGGUAUCCCAUUUAUUUUGUACUAAACAAGGGUAUAAUAAAUUUUCCUGGUAAACUAUAUUGAAUAAGUAAAUUAACAAAAAUGUGGGUGCUCCCUGGUUCUUUAUUUAAACCUCCAUUAAUAUUUUCUUAAACUUUAGGCUAAAAAGGAUUUAAAUGGUAAACUCUAUCUUAACUGGGUGUACAGAGGGGUUUAUUAUUUUUGAACAUGUUAGGAAGAUGAUCAAGUACUUCUCCAAAUUUUCUUAACCUCAGUCUAACAGUGUAACUAUUUUUCCUUCUAUUAUUUAGCUUUUGGCCAAACCAAUAUUUAAAUCCUAACUUUAAGAUUUUCAGUAGCACUUAGGGGCUUUAUAUUUUUCCUAAGUAGUUUACAUUAUUUAGGAUCUGGCAAAAUUGGUUUGACUCGAUUUGGUUGAAUAAAACAAAAGUUAUAAAUUUUACAAACUCUAUUUGUAUUUAAAUUUGAAAUAUUUAAAAAGUUUCCUGGAAAAUCAGUUUACACUGAGGACCCUGGGUUCUUUCUAAACUAAUCCUCUCAGUUAUACCCCUCCGCGACUAUUCCCCUGAGUCACUGACAACGCACAAAACCCCCUAGCCUUUUCUUCUUCUCCCCCGCGGUCCCUCCCCUGGUUUAAACAGUACCCACAGAAAAAAAGGGCGGCGCGGCUUACCGGCGGCGAGAGAGGUCCGGCGAGGGACGGGGUUGGCUCCGGGAGGUCCUAGCGGUCACAGCGGUGUACGGCUCGACGGCGGAGGUGGCCGGAAUCGUUCGGUCCACGUGCACAGGCGGGUGAUCUCGUCAGCGGCGGGUGUUCCGGCUAAACCACGGCGAUCUAGUUCAAUCAAAUGGCACGAUGAGCUCCACGGGGUGAUGUAGAGGCUAUGUGCACAAGGAAUUAAAGAAUGGGGCAGAGAUUUACCCGGUCUACGUUCACCGGCGGUCGAGCGAAGUCCAGCGAUCGUGGACUGGCUUCUCCGGCGAAGCAAAGUCCGAUUCCUUGCUCGGGGAGCUUCACCGAGGUGUGCACAGCCUCUUCCAAGGGUCGGGCGUGGCUAGGAAAAGCUCUGUUGGCCGGUCUACGGUGGCAGGGGCUCGGGUGGCCGCGGGCACGCCGUGCGCGGGGCAAACGCCGGUGGUUUCUGGCUCUGGUGAGGUCGAGCGUGCGCGGAGGAGUACGGUCGACGCCUGAGGAUGAUUUAUAGGCGCGGGCGCGAGCAGGAGACGCGGGCAUGGCUUGGCGUGGCGCGGGGCGCGCGGGGUCGGGCGCGGGUGUGCUCUGGCGUGCCCAGAACGCGUCGAACACGUGGAGGUGUUCUUCUGCCCAUGUUCAAAAGCUUGCUGAGAUCGCAAACGUGCGAAUCUUGGCAAAAAUCCGGUGCAGACCUCUUCCUGGCACCUAUGGCUAUCUCUUGUAUGUGAGUUCCAAGGGAACAUAAGCCCUAGGUCAGAAGAUAUGCAGACGCCAAAUCUGGCUUGUCUCCCUGCCCAGUUCGCGACAAAAGUGAUUUGCACAUUUGCUUAAUCUCCCCCCUUCAACCAAGGUUUUAGGAGAUAGGGGUUCAAGGGGGGGUCUAGGGUUUACUCCCCUCUUGCCCAAGGUGAUAAUUGCACAAAACCUUGGGUAAUGCUUUUGGUCAUUCACAUUCUUGGGUAAAACAUGGUCUCCAAAGUUUUUAUGCUCUCCUCCUCAAGUUUCUUCCACAUGUGAUCACAGUCAUUAGUGCAUAGAUGUGCCAUGGCCAUAGUAACACCUGCGGUGUUACAGCCCUCCCCCCUUAAAGGAAUCUCGCCCCGAGAUUUCAGGUAGAGUCCUCUUGAGGGGUGCCAUGAAGGCGUGUUAGUGCGUUGUUCCUUCUUUUAUUCAAGUUUCUCUAGUUAACUGCUCUUCGAAUGUCAUUCUCUUUGCGACUUCAGAAGGAAGUCCUUUUUAAGUCAAAUCCACAACUUAUACUACCCUUAUCAUCUAAGUUUUUCUUAUAUUUGUAUUCAAAGGGCAGGUGGGGUAGGGUUUUGGGUUACGUACCGACUCUUUUGGGCAGAAAGUUAGGGAAGCGAGAGCGUAGAAAAUCCUUAGUCUCCCAUGUAGCUUCUUCUACUGAAUGGUGACUCCACUGAACCUUAUACAUUCUGAUCGACCUUGCCCGUGUUGAUCUCUCUUUCUGAUCCAAUACCUUGACGGGGUACUCUUGAUAGGACAGGUCUAGUUCUAUCUCAAUUUCUGGUUUAGGUAGCACUUCAGUGGGUAAGCGGACACAUUUUCGCAGCUGAGAUACAUGGAACACAUCAUGAACAGCUGACAUGUGUGGUGGCAACUUCAAUUGAUAUGCUACUGGUCCACAAGUUUCCUUGAUCUCGUAGGGCCCAAUGUAGCGAGGAGCUAACUUGCCCUUGAUUCCAAAUCUCUGGACACCUUUGGUGGGUGACACCUUAAGAUAAACAUGAUCUCGCACUUCAAACUGCAGAGGUUUCCGCCUCUUAUCAUGAUAGCUCUUUUGCCUGGCCUGAGCAGCUUCUAAGUUCUUCUUGAUGACUCUGACCUUUUCCUCUGCUUCAAGUACCAAAUCUGGCCCAAAUAUUUCCCUCUCUCCUGCUUGAGACCAAUUCAGCGGGGUUCUACACCUUCUCCCAUACAGGGCUUCAAAAGGUGCCAUUUUUAAACUGGACUAGUAGCUGUUAUUAUAAGAAAAUUCUGCCAAAGAAAGACACUUGUCCCAAUCCUUUCCAUAGUGUAGCACACAUGCCCUCAACAUGUCUUCCAAAAUCUGAUUUACCCUUUCGGUCUAGCCAUCUGUUUGAGGAUGGUAUGCUGAGCUUCAUAUUACAUGGGUCCCAAGUGAUUCCUGCAAUUGCUCCCAAAAUCGGGCCACGAAAGGUGCUCCUCUGUCCGAUACUAUAGUCCUUGGUAUUCCAUGCAAACGAACUAUCUGGUCGAUGUAGAUUUCUGCAUACUUCUCCGUCCUGUGGGUGGUGUGUACUGGCAAGAAAUGAGCUGACUUGGUCAAUCUGUCCACAAUGACCCAAAUGGAAUCAUGGUGCCGGGAGGUAUUGGGCAAUCCCACGAUAAAGUCCAUGCAAAUGUCCUCCCAUUUCGAAGAUGGUAUGGGAAGGGGUUGCAAAGGGCCCGCUGCCUUCAAAUGACUGGCCUUGAUUUUCUGGCAGGUGUCACAUUCGGAUAUGUACUUAGCAAUUUCCCUCUUCAUCUGGUCCACCAGUAUAAGGAUCUGAGAUCAUGAUACAUCUUGUUGCUGCCGGGGUGCAUGGAGAAUUUUGAAAGGUGAGCUUCAUCCAAUAUCUUCUUUCUGAGCUCAAGGACCUUGGGAACAACCAAUCGAUCUCCAAACCAGAGAAUUCCUUUGCAGUCCUGAUGGAAGCAUUUGUAUUUUUCUGCUUUCUGCUUAAUCAUUUCCUUGAUAACCUGAACACCCUUGUCUUCAAUUUGUGCCCUGACUAUUUGCUCUUGUAAUGUGGGCUCCACCGAGAUAUAACUUAAGGCACCUGAAGACACAACUUCCAGGUUCAGCUUGCACAACUCAUCACACAGGGUGGUAACUCUUGCAUCCAUGCUCAUACAAUUGCACUGGGCCUUUCUGCUCAAGGCAUCUGCCACAACGUUGGCUUUGCCAGGAUGGUAAUGCACCUCCAAGUCAUAGUCCUUGAUUAACUCUAACCAUCUUCUCUGCCUCAUAUUUAGAUCUGCCUGAGUGAACGAAAAUGUAUUUGAGACUCUUAUGAUCAGUGUAAAUGUUACAGUGAGCUCCCAUCAAAUAAUGUAUCCAAAUCUUGAGAGCAUGAACCACAGCUGCUAACUCCAAAUCAUGGGUAGGGUAGUUCUGCUCAUGGGGUCUAAGUGCUCGGGAGGCAUAAGCAAUUACUCUGUUAUCUUGCAUUAAGACGCAUCCCAAUCCAGUACCGGAAGCAUCGCAAUAAACUUCAAAGGGCUUGGUGUUAUCAGGUUGAGCUAGCACUGGGGCUGUUGUCAAAUGCUGCCUUAGUGUAUGAAAGGCAUCUUCACACUUCUGGCUCCAAUUAUACUUGACUCCCUUCUUCAACAGUUCAGUCAUUGGCUUGGCAAUUCUGGAGAAAUCCGGAAUAAAUCGUCGAUAAUACCCUGCCAAUCCCAGAAAACUCCGAAUCUACCGCACUGUGGUAGGAGGUUUCCAAUCCAUUACUUCUUGUACCUUCUCAGGAUCCACUGAUAUCCCAUCCUGGGAAAUUAUGUGGCCCAGAAAUUUAAUUUCCCGCAGCCAGAAAUCACAUUUAGACAAUUUGGCAUACAACUGAUGGUCACGCAGUCUCUGAAGUACAGUAUGCAAAUGUUUAGUGUGCUCAGCUUCAUUCUUGGAAUAAACCAGAAUAUCAUCAAUGAAAACCACCAUAAAUUUGUCCAGCUCUGGCAUGAAUACUGAGUUCAUCAGGAACAUGAAAUAAGCCGGGGCAUUGGUCAGCCCAAAAGACAUCACCAAAAAUUCAUAGAGCCCAUAUCGGGUAGAGAAGGCCGUCUUCGGAAUAUCACUGGCACGGAUCUUGAUCUGAUGGUAGCCCGAGCGAAGGUCUAUCUUGGAGAAUACCUUGGCUCCCACCAACUGAUCAAACAAAACAUCAAUGCGGGGUAGUGGGUAUUUGUUCUUGACGGUCACCGCAUUGAGAUGGCGGUAAUCAACACACAUUCUCAAGCUCUGAUCCUUUUUCUUCACAAAUAAGGCCGGACAUCCCCAUGGUGAAGUACUUGGGCGAAUGAACCCCUUGUCCAACAACUCUUGCAGUUGCUUUUUCAGUUCUGCCAAUUCCACGGGAGGCAUCCUAUAGGGUCUCUUGGAGAUAGGAGCGGUCCCGGGUUGCAAUUCAAUUGUGAACUCAAUGUCUCUAUCAGGUGGCAUCCCUGGCAAUUCGUCCGGAAAAACAUCUGGGUAGUCACGGACCACUGGGAUCCUUUCCACUGGGGACUCUAUCAUAACGAAGGCACAAGAACGGGUACAACCCUGGUCGGGCAAAUAUAAUGUGGUUUCACCACAAGUCGGUGAGUGCACCUCAAUGGCCCUAGUUUCAAUAUCCAUAACUGCCUGAUGUUUGGUUAACCAGUCAGUUCCCAAUAUGAUAUCCACACUAUCCAAACCAAAAAUGAGGAGGUUGGUUUUGAUUAUCAAACUACCAAACUUUAUAGGCACAUUCUUGUUGAUUUGGUAGGUGGCAACCCUGCCUCCGGGUGUUGAAAUUGUAAUACCCCCAUUGGUGUGGAGAAAAGGUAAUUGACACUUGGCACUAAAUUUGGUACUGAUAAAACUAUGUGAUGCACCAGAAUCGAAGAGAAUAAUAGCAGGAUAAUUCAAAACUGUAAAGAUACCAGUCAUGACGGGUGCUCCCUCUCGAAUAUCAGCCAUGGUGGUGAAGUUCAGCCUGCCUUGCCUCACUUGCACCUUCUGCCUCUUGCCUUGGUUCUGAUUAACAUUCUGUCCCUGCCUCUGCUGGUUUCUGGGGCAAUUCUUGGCAUAAUGUCCGGUGUUGCCACAAGUGAAACACCUGUUGUCAUUUGCUUGACGAUAUUGCUGCUGCUGUUGAUUGUUCCUCUGAGCUGGAAACUGGGUGCGGUUGGGUGCCAGCUGCUGCUACUGUGGUCGGAUCACCCAUCGCCCUUGCUGCUGCUGAGGUCCUCUGUUCUAAGUGUCAGACACGAUCCUAAAGUGCUGUGGCUGAGCUGAAGGUCCUGCCACAGUGGUCUUCCUCUUCUUCUCUGCCUAACGAGCUGUGAUACAGUCCUCCUGAGAAAUGGCCAUGUUGACUAACUCAUUAUAGCUGUUGGCCCUGACUGUGUUGAGACGGUCACGGAGCUUAGUGCUGAGCCCCCUCCUGAACCUGUCCCUCUUCUUCUCGUCCGUGUCUGCAUGAUACCCAGCAUACUGGCACAGGUCAUUAAAGGCCUGAGCAUACUGUAACACUGUCUGGUUUCCCUGAGUGAGUGCCAGGAACUCGUUGAGCUUUCGGUCCAUAAUGCCUGCUGGUAUAUGGUGUCCCCUGAAAGCUGCCUUGAACUCUCUCCAUUCCACCUCUCGGUCAUCUGGCUGCAUAGCAAGAAAAUGGUCCUACCAUGUCCGCGCGGGUCCGCGAAGCUGUUGGGUGGCGAACCUGACCUUAGUGACCUCUGAACAAACUCCAUGGAGUAGCGGGAAUUUGGAUUCCACUACUCUCAACCAUACAUCUGCAUCAAGUGGGUCCUCUGCCCUGGUGAACAAUGGUGGCUGGGUACUGAGGAACUCCUGGUAGGUGGCUGCCGCGGGGUGACGCUGAUGAUCACCACCACCAUAAUGCUGAGGUGCUGGCUGACGCUGAGCUAGCUAUCUCAAGAUAUCAUUCUGCUGAGCCAUCAGCUCCUGCAGAGUAGGAGGCGGUGGUGGUGGUGGAGGAACGCGCUCAUUUUGACCACGACGCGCUCUCCCGGCCAUCUGAACAAAAAAAUCACAUAUAUUUUCAAUAUCACAACUUUGAGGUUCAAGGCUCAAUCGCGGUGAAAGAGUCAAAAGGCGAAAUCCAUCUAUUCUUGCAUAAUCAUAAAAGAUCCCACAUGGCAUAAACUUUUCUUCUUAAAUUAAGACUGACAACAUUUAUCAACCAUGCUUCCAAAGGAGUUUAUCGCGAUUACAUCAAUACCCCAAAAGACUCAACUCCAUCUAGCCUAGUACCCUAAGGGUGCAAAAGCUAAGCUAGCUUCGAGGAGUUCUACCAUCGCCGACUUCUAACUCUAUCCCUGCGACCUAGUGAGCAAACGAGGCAACACUCGACUCGGGGGAAGGUGGACUCCCUGAGCCAGCAGUGUCCAAGCUGGAGGCAGGCUCCUCUCCUCCCUCGAUGUCGACAUCCUCGUUGGCCUCCAUGUCCUAGAUCUCUUGGUGAUGCAUAUCCAGGUGCUUGUUAGCCUCCGCAAGCUGCUGCUGAGUGUUGAUAAGCUGAUCCUCGAGAACCUCGAUGGUGUUCACCCUGGUUCCCACUAGUUCCUCAAGCUCUUGGAUCUCAUUUGACAGUUGCUCCACCUGUAAGUCCUUUUCCACCAUCUCAGUGGAUAAGUCAACCACAAGCUCCUCUCUGUCAUCCAAGGUGAUCUUGGUUGCCUCCAACAAUGCCAUCAGAUGGGACAUUGCCUCACCACGCAUCACUUGCAGACGAUACAGGGAAUUCAUGCACUGCACCGUCAAGUGAGCAGUCUGGCCUGGGUAGAUAGCCCAGAUGUCCUUGGCAUGCUCCACUCGGUCCUUCCACAUUGGGUCGUCCUCCCUCUCAGCGGGGAACAAGCCAAUCGGGUGGGUGGACAGCUCCAAGGGGUGGAAUCCGCAGAAGGUGGUCCGUCCGUGAAGGGCAAUCGCCUCGAUCAUAUCAUCAGCCCGGUAUCCAAAGGACUCAGAGUCCAGCGAACGCCAGCCUGGCUGCAGGGGAUGAGGCUCCAGGGUCAUCCUCACCCUACAGCGGGGCACUCGGUGCUUCUCGAACUGCUGCACCGCGUACUGAGGAGGCGUCGUGUAACCGGCCCCAUAAAGCACCUCCCACAAAAUACGGGGGAAACCCUCUCGUGCAAGCCCGUCAGUGUGGGACUGUGCAUUCCCUUCGUCCGAUGAUCCAUGAGAAGUCAUCUGUGUACGGUUAAGCGUAAGUAAAAGAAAAAGAAUUAUAAAAAGAAAAAGGGAUCACAACUCAGCCUCUCUAUAACUACGACAGUGGUACUGGGGUGCUUAGUUUGUCAUCAUUUUGUAUUAAAGUUCUUACCCAAUUAUCCAUUAGUUUAAUUAAGGAUGCAUGCAUGCUCGUCCUGAACGACCUCUCAUCAACUUAGAGAGGAUAGGGAUGAACUCCUAUCCCUUAUAGUAGCCUGUAGGGCUUACUCAAUUAGCCACCUAGCUACCCCUCUAUCAUCCUAAGGCUUCACGUCCUAGGUCUAUCCUGAUCGUCCUACGAUCUAUCCAACAUUUGUUUCUAUCAAGUUUUACUUUGGAAAAGGAUGGUAUUUAUAGUUUAUUGAUUCCUCUGUGGUGGUACAAGCUCUGAUACCAGCUGUGGCGGAACUGCCCGAAUUAUUCCAACUUAAGUGCCUAAGUCCCGCCUUAGAGGCUAGACCACACUUAAAUGGGACUAACUCGUCAAUCCCUCGGAUCUAGUCCGACGAGGCCACUGACAGGAUCAAGUACCAAAGUCUCACUCGAUGGUGAGUCACAGAGCAAAUACAAUAAAGCAUAAAACCAUACAUUAAGGAAUAGUAAAUUUAUUACAUCAACAUCGGAGUUUUAGCAAAAGUAGCAUCAUUGUCUGAAGUGCAGCGGAAUAAAACUAACGGUAAAUAACUAGAGAGAUGGGGAAGCCUGUCCCAUCACUCCUCAUGCUCCUCCUCAGCCGAGGCAGGGUCCCACUCGACUGUCCAACCCGGUGGCAAGAUGGACGACCAAGUCACUCCAGCAACCAUGUCCUCCAGAGAACCUGUAAAAAAUUAUGCCACAAGCAAGGCUGAGUAUACUAAUACUCAGCUAGACUUACCCGGUGUGAGGAGUCUACUCCUCUACCUCUAGACAUGCAGCUGUUUGGCUGUGGGGUUGGGUUGCCAAAAGCACUAGCUGAGUUUAUAAAUCAAGUUUUAGCUUUGUCAUGUUUUAGUGUGACUCUCUUAAGACUAGAUGUGUACUAUCUACUCAUUCAUGGUAGCAAGCAAACUUAGCAAUCAACAUCUUUUGUCACCUCAUCAUAUUCCACUUGUUACUCAAUGUAGCAGCAUGAAUCAAGCAGUCUCGUUAGCUGCGAGAAGCAGAUGAUUCAAAUCGAGUUUUUAUCCUUGCAAGGUAAACCUAAACACACAACAUGUAGGGGCACUCCGUCCCCACACACAUCAACCGUCCCCAUCGAUUCCCUGGCAACAGAUCAGGGCUCACCGCCUUGGCGUACAAUGCCUCACUGACCCCGACUGCCGUCGUGCAUUGACCGCACUUGUACCCACCAUAACUGGAAUGGGAGACCACGUCUUAGGUCGCGUGAGGGGAUAUGUCUGCGGGCAGGUUCACUCAGGUACUAGGCUUACCGAUUUACCAUAUUUCUCGGUAUGUGUUUAGUACGUUCAAACGCUUGACUCACGGUACCACACCUUAAUCCUUAUUCCAAUUUUUAUCCCGUGGACAACCAAUCCCCAUGGAUUGUUGUCCACAAACCAGCAUCAUUAUGAUAAGAAAGUGGAUACAACCAAUUUCCUGACCUCGCGCGAGUGCUAGAAAAAUCACUCGACUUCUACCGAAAUCCCUAAUUAAUAAAGCAGCUACUCGGCUUAGCAUACUAGUAUUCAUCUCAAUGGGAUUCCUGAGAUCAUGCAACUAAGGUUUCAAACAACUCCUACACUUAAGUGCACAUUCAAUCCUAUAAUCAUUAAGUGUAGUAAAAUAGCAUAAUAAACAGGUUAUGCAUAAACCGGGGCUUGCCUUCCAAAGCUGGGGCAGGCAGAUCCUCUGGUGCAGGCUCUAGUGCUGGAUCCGGGGCUACCUCCUGAGUAGCUCCUUGCUCCGGCACGAGGACGUACUCUCCGUCAGCGAGGUUGCAGUCUAUCAAAUGCAAUGAAUGGGAAUAUGUAUGUCAUGAUUAUGCAGGAUUUAACAAACAUUAUGCUAAAUGAAGAAAAGCUAAGUUAGUUAGUAACUUAGGUUUUUCUGGUCAUACGUGGCUCUUUAGUGGUUUAUGCUUAUCACUCUAGGUUUGGGUUUUGUUAGGGAUAAUCAUAGUGGAUUUGUAACUUGGAUUUCCCUUAGAUGUUUUAGUAGACCUUUAAGGGAUUUUGCUGGUUGGGUUAAAAUGACAUUACUCUCAUUGUUAAUUUCCUCUUUCUUUUUCUAUUUAUGAAUUAUAGGGUGGGUUUGAACUACAAUAGUGAUUUAACCAAUUCCAAAAAUUCUGAAAAAAUUUCAGUAGACUACUAUUGGCCACUGUAGUCUGUCCUAUGAAUUUGAGGUCUAGAAUAAAUAGAGUAUGCUCUGGACAAAAAUAACAAAGGUUGGGGCAAAGGGGUCACUUUGCACUACAACUCUUAACUAGGGGUAGGUUUUGUCCUAAGGGUCAUUUUUGCUGGUAUUUAAAAGUAAUAACAUGCUUCUGUGCCAAAAUUCAUAGAGGGUUAUUUAGUUAUGAUUUUCUAAAGUUUAACGCCAAAAAGAUACUUAUAACUAACUUGUUAUUUGAAAAAUAUUAAACAACAGAACUAGUAUUUUUCCUAUGUUCUUAAUAACAAAACAUUAGUUUUCCCAAGGUUUGGGGUGUUUUUUCCUUGGAAUUAUUUUUCUAGGGUUUUCCAAAGGUUUCCUUGUUUUCUUCAAAUUAAAGGUAUCCCAUUUAUUUUGUACUAAACAAGGGUAUAAUAAAUUUUCCUGGUGAACUAUACUGAAUAAGUAAAUUAACAAAAAUGUGGGUGCUCCCUGGUUCUUUAUUUAAACCUCCAUUAAUAUUUUCUUAGACUUUAGGCUAAAAAGGAUUUAAAUGGUAAACUCUACCUUAACUGGGUGUACAGAGGGGUUUAUUAUUUUUGAACAUGUUAGGAAGUGAUCAAGUACUUCUCCAAAUUUUCUUAACCUCAGUCUAACAGUGUAACUAUUUUUCCUUCUAUUAUUUAGCUUUUGGACAAACCAAUAUUUAAAUCCUAACUUUAAGAUUUUCAGUAGCACUUAGGGGCUUUAUAUUUUUUCUAAGUAGUUUACAUUAUUUAGGAUCUGGCAAAAUUGGUUUGACUCGAUUUGGUUGAAUAAAACAAAAGUUAUGAAUUUUACAAACUCUGUUUGUAUUUACAUUUGAAAUAUUAAAAAGGUUUCCUGGAAAAUCAGUUUACACCGAGGACCCUGGGUUCUUUCUAAACUAAUCCUCUCAGUUAUACCCCUGCGCGACUAUUCCCCUGAGUCACUGACAACGCACAAAACCCCCUAGCCUUUUCUUCUUCUCCCCCGCGGUCCCUCCCCUGGUUUAAACAGUACCCGCAGAAAAAAAGGGCGGCGCGGCUUACCGGCGGCAAGAGAGGUUCGGCGAGGGGCGGGGUUGGCUCCGAGAGGUCCUGGCGGUCACAGCGGUGUACGGCUCGACGGCGGAGGUGGCCGGAAUCGUCCGGUCCACGUGCGCAGGCGGGUGAUCUCGUCGGCGGCGGGUGUUCUGGCUAAACCAUGGCGAUCUAGUUCAAUCAAAUGGCACGAUGAGCUCCACGGGGUGACGUAGAGGCCAUGUGCACAAGGAAUCGAAGAAUGGGGCAGAGAUUUACCCGGUCUACGUUCACCGACGGUCGGGCGAAGUCCGGCGAUCGUGGACUAGCUUCUCCGGCGAAGCAAAGUCCGAUUCCUUGCUCGGGGAGCUUCACCGAGGCGUGCACAGCCUCUUCCAAGAGUCGGGCGUGGCUAGGAAAAGCUUUGUUGGCCGGUCUACGGUGGCAGGGGCUCGGGUGGCCGCGAGCACGCCGUGCGCGGGGCAAACGCUGGUGGUUUCGGGCUCCGGUGAGGUCGAGCGUGCGCGGAGGAGUACGAUCGACGCCUGAGGGUGAUUUAUAGGCGCGGGCACGAGCAGGAGACGCGGGCACGGCUUGGCGUGGCAUGGGGCGCACGGGGUCGGGCGCGGGCGUGCUCUGGCGCGCCCAGAACGCGUCGAACACGUGGAGGUGUUCUUCUGCCCAUGUUCAAAAGCUUGCUGAGAUCGCAAACGUGCGAAUCUUGGCAAAAAUCCGGCGCAGACCUCUUCCUGGCACCUAUGGCUAUCUCUUGUAUGUGAGUUCCAAGGGAAGAUAAGCCCUAGGUCAGAAGAUAUGCGGACGCCAAAUCUGGCUUGUCUCCCUGCCCACUUCGCGAUAAAAGUGAUGCCAAGACAUGUCAAAUUCAAGGGCUCGGUCUCAACUUUUUCCAGGGGGUGCCUUAGGUGGUAUGCCACAUUUUUGGUAUACAACUUAGGUGGUUUUGGUGCCAUCUACUAGGUGAACACGGUGGAUCUUUAGAUUAAGUGUAGAAUUUGACUUAUAGAGAAUUAGAGAGCUCUAGCUCUCUCUCUAGUUAAGGAAUGGAUUUGGGGUUUCUUAAGGGGUCUUUUUGCAAUGUUUCCUCUCUAUAUUUGUAGAUUAAUAUGUUACUUAACUUUGGCCAAAGGUUAGGUCAUGAUUUGCACAUUUGCUUAAUCUCCCCCCCUUCAACCAAGGUUUUAGGAGAUAGGGGUUCAAGGGGGGGUCUAGGGUUUACUCCCCUCUUGCCCAAGGUGAUAAUUGCACAAAAGCUUGGGUAAUGCUUUUGGUCGUUCACAUUCUUGGGUAAAACAUGGUCUCCAAAGUUUUUAUGCUCUCCUCCUCAAGUUUCUUCCACAUGUGAUCACAAUCAUUAGUGCAUAGAUGUGCCAUGGCCAUAGUAACACCUGGGGUGUUACACAAAAGAAUUUAAAGUUUUGAAUUCAAUAGUGUUCUGGCCAAAAGCUGAAUAAAAGGGGGAAAAUGUUUACACUGUUAGACUGGGGUUAAGAAAAAUCAGAGAAGUACUUAAUCACUCCCUAAUCUGUGUAAAAAUAGUAAACCCCUCAGUGCACCAGAGUAAGGAAGGGUUUACCAUUUAAAAUCAUUUUUGCCAAAGUUAAAAGAAAUAAAAAUGGUAGUUUAAAUUAAGAACCAAGGGGCAACCAAAUUUUUGCUAGCUCACUUAUUCAGUAUAGUUCACUGGAAAAUUUUGUUAGACCCUUGUUUAGUACAGAAGAAAUGCAUUACCUUUUAUUUUAUAAGAACAAUGAAAACUUAGGAAAAUCUUAGAAAAAAUAAUCCUGAGGAGAAAACACCCUAAUCCUUGGGAUAACUAAUAUUUUGUUAUUAUAAAUAUAGGAAAAUAUGAGUUCCGUUGUUUGAUAUUUUUUCAAAUAACAAGUUAGUUAUAAGUACCUUUUUGCCAUUAAACUUUAGAAAAUCACAACUAAAUAUCCAGUAGCUCUUUUUCUGUGAUUUUUAACACAGAGGCCUAAUAUCACCUAUGAAUCUGGACAAAAAUAAAAUUUAGUGCAGAGACCUCACCUAAAUUAGAGCUAUAGUAUAAAGUGCCCUUUUUCCCUUACUUUUGAUAAUUUUACACAAGUAGUGUCUGAAUCAAUUUCAGCCUCAAACUUCUAGAAUAACCCACAAUGGUGAAUAUUUACUCACUGUAAUUUUUAUAACAGUUUUGGGAAAAAGAUAACUGACCAUGAUAGUUUAAAAAUGCUUAAAUAGAAACACAAUGGAAAGAAAAAGUAAAAUGUUGGGAGAAUUAAAUAAUGUACAAACCAAAGCCUUUCAAGUACCUCAUAGAGCAUAGAAAUAGAAUUAAAGAGUGUAAGUUUAUUCAAAAAAAAUCUCAAAGGUGGAAGUAUAAAACCCUUAAGUAUACCCAAAAGAAACCCUAGAAUACCACUACACUUAGUACUAUUUUACCAUGCAUAACCUCUACAAUUUAUCAUGUCAUUAAUAAGCAUAUAUCUUAUUCAUUGCAUUCGAUAGACUUUAAUCUCACUGACGGGGAGUACAUCCUCGUGCCCGAGCAAGGAGUUGCUCAGGAGGUAGCCCAGGAGCCAGCACCAGAGCCUACCCUCGAGGAUCUGCCUGCCCCAGCUUUGGAAGGCAAGCCCCAGUUUUAUGCAUAACCUACUUAUUAUGUUAUUUUAAUACACUUAAUGAUUGUAGGUUUGUACUGUGCACUUAAGUGUAGGAGUUACCUGAAACCCUAGUUGCAUUAACUCAGGAUUCCUUUUGAUAUGGAUACUAGUAUGCUAGGUCGAGUAGUUGCUUUACUAAUUAGGGAUCUCGGUAGAAGUCGAGUGAUUUUUCUAGCACUCGCGCGAGGUCAGGAAUUGAUUGUAUCCAUUUUAUAUCGGAAUGAUGAUGGUCUGUUGACGACGGUCCAUGGGGAUGCAUCGUCUCCGAGACGGAAACUUGAAUAAGGAUUAAGGUGUGGUACCGUGUGUGAAGCGUUUGAACGUACUAAGCACAUGCCGAGAAAUUUGGUAAAUCGGUAAGCCUAGUACCUGAGUGAACCUAGCAGCAAAUUGCCCUCCUCACGCGACCUGAGACGUGGUCUCCCAUUCCGGUUAUGGUGGGUACAAGUGCGGUCACUGCACAACGGCAGUCGGGGUCAGUGAGGCAUUGUACGCCAAGGCAGUGAGCCCCUCUCUGCUGAUGGGGAAUCGAUGGGGACGGUUGAUGUGUGUGGGGACAGAGUGUCUCGCCACGUCGUGUGUUUAGGUUUACCUUACAAGGUUUAAAACUCGAUUCGAAUCGUCUGCUUGUCGCAGCUAAUGAGACUGCUUGAUCCAUGCUGCUACAUUGAGUAACAAGUGGAAAUGUGCUGACUUGGUAAAAUGUGUUGAAUGCUAAAUGUUUGAUACCAUGUAUGACUAGAUAGGUACACAUUUAGUCUUAAGAGAGUCACACUAAAACUUGAAAAAGCUAAAACUUGAUUUUAGACUCAGCUAGUGCUUUUGGCAAACCAAACCCCUCAGCCAAACAGCUGCAUGUCUAGAGGUAGAGGAGUAGACUCCUCACACCGGGUAAGUCUAGCUGAGUAUUAGUAUACUCAGCCUUGCUUGUGGCAUAAUUUUACAGGAUCUCUGGAGGACAUGGUUGCUGGAGUGACUUGACCGUCCAUCUUGCCACCGGGCUGGACAGUCGAGUGGGACCCUACCUUGGCAGAGGAGGAGCAUGAGGAGUGAUGGUCCAGGCUUCCCCAUUUCUCUAUUUAUUUACCGCUAGUUUUAUUCCGCUGCAUUCCGAACAAUGAUCACUACUUUUGUUAAACUCCGAUGAUGUUGUAAUAAAUUAAAUACUCCUUAAUGUAUGGUUUUAUGCUUUAUUGUAUUUGCUCUGUGCCUCACCAUCGAGUGAGUACGUGGUACUUGAUCCUGUUAGUGGCCUCGUCGGACUAGAUCCGAGGGACUGAUGUUUUAUUCCUAUUUAAGUGUGGUCUAGCCUUUAAGGUGGGACUUAGGCACUUAAGUUGGAAUAAUUCGGGCGGUUCCGCCACAAGAGAUAUGAGGCCACAUUUGUAGAGUUUUCUUAUGCAAAUUAUCUCGAUUGUGCUCUUAUUUUAGCUAGUAUUGACCUUUAUGAGGAAGAGAACUAUGAGAUGGAACAAUUCUAUGAGCUAGCAAGGUUCGGUAUUGCUAGGAGGUAGGAGACCCUAGGGUUAAGGCACCAACCUACAGUAAUCAACAAAAAAGGGUCACCAUCUUUCAUAAGAGCGGUGACAAGAGAAAUAUUAAAGAUAAGUUUUGUAAUAUCAUUAAGUGAUGUGACCAUUCCAGCAUCGUCAACCUUGCCGAUCAUUUCUACCGGACCUAUCAAUCGAAGCCGAGCAAAAUAGAUACAACAAGAGGUGCACGAUCUACUUUACGAAUUUAAAUUAAACACUAAUGAUAACUUUAUGCUACUUAAGUCGUGUAUGUUGAUUUUGCUUAGGUUCACCAAAGAGGAAGGACAAAACAUAUCAAGGGCGAAUCAGAGAGAAGAACUAUGUUCGAGUUAGCCCAACGUGAGAGAAUCGUCUAGAAGAAACAAUCAUAUCUUUUGAUUCCCAAAAGCUAUGAAUGUCCAUAAGUAAAUUUUGGAAAUCUAUUGAAUUCUAGUUUCGAAUGCUUCUAAGACCGACUUAAUCGGAUCUCCCAGCAAGGCAACCGACCUACUUUAGUGUUGACUGGUCAGAAGGUCAACAGACUGCUUGAUGACCAAGUUUCAGUAUUAAACUGCAUCAUUAUACAAAGUUUCAUUAGCCAUGCUAUACAUGGUGAGAAAGAUUAUAAAGUUAGCUUUCCAACGCAUCUAGCCCCACGCCAUUUGGAGAUUGCUAGGAGAAGUUAUUAUUAAAAUGAUGAAGGCUGCGCAGAAGUCAAACAGCCACGCGGAAUUCAGCUCUGGAUAUCUCCCGAAGAGGCCCCUUCAGAUUAGCACGUUAAAAUACUUUUUUUUCGUGUUUAUGCCUAUCUAAGGCUGGUUGUUUCUAGUAUAAAUACCCCCUAUGUCUAUGAUAUAAAACAACUUUUGAUAACCUUUGAUGAUUUGAUAAUCCAAGUGAUUACCUCAGCCGAGUUGCUGAGUGUUACUCUACCCCUGUUCUUCCUUGUUCUCCUGGACUUGUGAAGAGAUUCCUCUGGGAUCCACUAGUUCGUGCCUUGUGAGUUCUAGUACGGCUGCCUCACAUUAUGUGGAUUAGCUCCGGUUGUGGUUCUGCGGUCGUUCGGAGAUCGAGUCGAAGUCUACACAGUUUCGGUGUCUCUCUCCCCCUCACUUGGUCACCUCCGACCUUGAUCAGGUAUAAAGUUAGUUACUCGUUGUUCUUCAGUAAGAUUACCUUGUUAUUCCGUUACUUUUAUACCCAACCAUCCUAUUUAUCAACCUACUGUCGUGAAGAUCGAGCCACCCUAGUACCGAAUAUAACUCGGUACAUAUCAUCUGGUAUCAAAGCUUUCGUUGUCAUGGUAGGUCUUACUAUCAUCCACUUAUUUAUCACAGUCUUCAUCCAAAGCCAAAAGAACCUAUAACCCUUUGGCGGUACUGUUACCUUGUGUUGUUUAAACUUCCUCAAGUUGCUAGUUACCACCAUCGUAUUCAUAUUAUGUCAUUGCAUUUGAUCUUGGCACCCCAUUAGUGUUAUAAAAAAGAGAGAAAGAAAAAAAGAAGAGAAAUAAGUAAAAAAAGAAGUGAAAAAAUUGUGAAAGGGGAUUGUGUUGCAAUGUGUUGCUGAAAAUUUCAGUUUACAUUGAUUUGGUGAGAAUCUUUGCAGCAACAAUUUCAUAUAUUUUUAGCACGUCAACACACUUGGUUGACAAUACCAUAGCCCACCUUGAUUAGCCUCCUAUAGCUCCACUAAAAACAUGAAUUGGGACGUUUGACUUGUGAUCCUUUCGACCGCUCUACCAUCUCUGUCGAAGCUGUCACAUCGGCACCAUCAUGGUCCUAGAGAUCAGGAAAGAGCUUGGAUAAGUAAGAGGUGAGAUCGAGUGUUCCACAAAUACUUUUAUAUUCUACUUUCUCUUUCUUCCCUUUAACAUGGUAGGAUCCAAUUCAAGUGUUCAAAGUGGAAACCAUGGAGACGGAGAGCCCCCUGUCUCUCGGGCUGAAUCGCAUCAGAUGGCCGACUCACUUGUGUAGGCCAUGGAAAGGAUGUUAAAUGAACGUCUGCCCGUGACAGGUGGUCGAAGGCAACAUCAUCGUGAUCCAGAAGAAUUUAACCGUGAAGAAUCCGAAUAUGAGAAUUCUGGUUUCGGCCAUGAAAUCGAUCCCUUCGACGAUGGCCGUAGAGGUUAUGGUGAUGGUCACCACGCUAAUUUCGAUAAUUUGUGUGGAAGGCGUCGUGUACAUGAACGCCAAGUAAGAUUUGAAGACGAGGAGUUUGAAGACCAUGAUCGUGAGGAAGAAUCUGAUGAGAAUCCCUUUGCAAAUGAUGGAAUGUUUGGUCAGCGUCAUCAUCACUGACAUGCUAACUUUGAAGAUAGAGACUGUUAUCAUGGGCGUCGUCAUAGAAAUGACCCGGACAAUAUUUCCUGAGUCAAGUUGGAUAUUCCUAAAUAUACUGGGAAAGAAAGUGCAGAUGAAUAUCUUAAUUGGGUUGAGAAGCGCGAUCAAAUUUUCAGAGUUCACAAUCUUUUAGAUCAACACCGAGUGAACUUGGCUUCAGUCGAGUUCUCUGGUUAUGCUCUAAGUUGGUGGAAUCAAGUGCAAGAACAUCAAAUUAGAUUGGGACUAGUCCAUAUUAAUACAUGGGAAGAGAUGAAGCGAGUGAUGAAAAGGCGAUUUGUUCCUUCCAGCUAUCAACGUGAUCUUCGAAAUCGAUUGCAAUUAUUGAAGGAAGGAAAGAAAUUAGUUGAUGAAUAUUUUAAGGAUAUGGAGUUGCUGUUAGUGCGGACUAGAAUCAGAGAAGAUCCCGAGUCAACAAUGGCAAGAUUUCUAGGCGGACUCAAUGAAGAGACUUCUGGAUUUGUCGAGAUGUUCCCAUACCGUACCUUGCAAGAUCAAGUUGAUCAAACAAUGCGUACAGAGAGAAAAAAUUCAGCAAGAGUCACGUGGAAAAUCUUAUGCAAGUCAUUAUAAUGUUGUCCCAUGGCGCAAACAGCAAUCCAAUGCUUCUUUUGGUGGAGGAUGAUCCCAAGGAAAUGCAGCUAGGUCUUCUCCAUCCAAUGGUACAUCAAAGGUGGCAGCUUCUAUAGGGUCAUUCCCUACAAAUAAUCAGCGGCCUCCUGCUAGUACAUCAGAUCCAACUAAAACUUCAGUCGCUACUUCUUCUACCCGUACAAGAGAAAUUGUGUGCCAUAAGUGCCAUGGUCGUGGGCACAUUGCUGCUCGAUGUCCAAGUAGGAGAACAAUGAUGUUGAAUGAGAAAGGUGAAUGGGAAUCAGACAGUGAUCCAGAAGAUGAUGGACCGAAGUUUGAUGAAUAUAUUCAAUAGGACGAGAAUGAGAUUUAGCCAGAAGAAGGAGAUCAUAACUGUUUUAUCUCUCUUCGAGUGCUAAGUGUGAUUGCUGAAAGGGAAGAAAAUGGACAGCGCCACAAUCUUUUCCAUACCCGAGGUAUGAUCAAAGAUAAGCUAUGCCGCAUCAUUGUUGAUAAUGGUAGCUGCAACAACAUUGCUAGUCAAGAAUUGUUGGACAGAUUAGAAUUAAAAUCAAGGCGUCAUCCUAGUCCAUAUAAGAUGCAGUGGCUUAAUGAUUGUGGAGCGUUGCGUGCUAGCCACAUGGUGAAUGUUCCUUUUUCUGUUGGGAAGUACAAUGAUCAUGUGGAAUAUGAUGUGGUCCCUAUGCAAGCAUGUCAAUUACUGCUAGGCCGACCUUGGUUAUAUGAUUGUGAUGUCUAGAUUUUUGGAAGAACCAACAAGUUGUCUUUCUUUUAUAAAGGGGAGCGAAUCUCUUUGCUUCCUUUAACACCGGAGGAAAUUUUGAAGGAUGAUCUAAAGAAGAAACAUCGAAAGAGCAAGAACCACUUGAUAGUGAUCCACAAAAAUAGUAGGGGAGAGUUUCCAAAGCCAAAUAAAACUCCACCGCCUCCAAUAACCAAGACACCGGGAAAAGAGGGAUUAGUCAUGAUGACUAGGAAGGGGGAUCUAAAAGAAUUGAGUGAACCUAAUGUCAUGUUCUUUGUGCUCCUGUACAAGGACACCCUUCUUUCUACUAACAACUUACCCUCUACCUCGCCAAGUAUUGUCUUUGAUGCAUUAAAAGAAUAUGAGGAUGUGUUUCCUAAUGAAGUGCCACUAGGGCUACCACCUAAGAGAGGGAUUGAACAUCAAAUAGACCUUGUGUCUGGCGCUUCCCUCCCAAAUCGUGUUGCCUACCGCACCAACCCAGAAGAAACAAAGGAGAUUCAACAACAAGUGAAAGAAUUGAUUAUUAAAGGGUACGCACAAGAAAGUCUUUCCCCUUGUGUUGUCCAUGUCCUACUAGUUCCUAAGAAAGAUGGAUCUGGGAGAAUGUGUGUGGAUUGCCGAGCUAUCAAUAACAUCACCGUAAGGUAUAGACAUCCAAUUCCUAGAUUAGAUGAUAUGCUUGAUGAACUUAGUGGUGCUUUUAUUUUCACUAAAAUUGACUUAAGAAGUGGCUAUCAUCAGAUUCGUAUGAAAGAGGGAGAUAAAUGGAAAACAGCCUUUAAAACAAAAUUUGUGUUGUAUGAAUGGUUGGUGAUGCCCUUCGGGUUAACAAAUGCACCUAGUACAUUUAUGAGAUUGAUGAAUCAUGUUCUUAGAACUUUCAUUGGCAAAUUUGUUGUUGUCUAUUUUGAUGACAUACUAAUUUACAGUAAAUUCCUUGAUGAACAUGUUGAACAUAUCUGAUACAUACUUACUGUCCUUCGAGAAUAGAAAUUGUAUGCUAACCUUGAGAAGUGCACCUUUUGCACCGACAAAGUAGUGUUUCUUGGAUUUGUUGUAUCAGGACAAGGUGUGGAGGUAGAUGAAGAAAAGAUCAAAGUUGUACGUGACUGGAUGCCUCAAUAGAAUGUGAGCCAAGUGAGAAGCUUCCUUGGGCUCACUGGGUUCUAGCGGCGGUUUGUAAAAGACUUAAGUACUAUUGCUGCUCCCAUCAACGAAUUAACCAAAAAAACAAGUACCUUUCAAAUGGGGAGAAGCACAACAGAAGGCAUUUGAAGAAUUGAAGACAAAGUUAACAAUAGCCCCAGUUCUUGCACUCCCAGACUUCGGUAAGACAUUUGAAAUAGAAUGUGAUGCCCGUGGAAUUGGGAUCGGAGGCGUGCUCAUGCAAGAAUGAAGACCAAUUGCCUACUUUAGUGAAAAGCUAAGUGGCCCGACUCUAAAUUAUUUAGUUUACGAUAAAGAAUUAUAUGCUCUUGUUCGGAGUUUGGAAACUUAGCAACACUAUCUUUUUCCUAAUGAAUUUGUGAUACAUUCAGACCAUGAAUCAUUAAAACAUCUUAAAGGACAACUAAAACUAGAUAGAAGGCAUGCAAAAUGGUGUGAAUUUAUUGAAUCAUAUCCUUAUACUGUCAAAUACAAGAAAGGAAAAGAUAAUGUUGUAGCAGAUGCUUUGUCUCGACGACAUGCUUUGCUAACACAACUCGAUGCUAAAAUUGUCACACCCGGAUUUAAGGGACAAAGUCGGUGCAUCUCAUAUAUGCGCCAAAGAAGACAACACAUAUAAUAACAGAGUGUAUAGAGAUAAAUGUCACAAUAUAAUCAGAGUACUUAUUACAUAGCGGAAGUCUUACAGGAUAAAAGAUAAAUAUAAAACGAACUAAGGUCCAUCCUUGGUGCCAUAAAGUCAACUGGGAGACGCCACCUAGAUCAAAUUGAACUCCUCGAUGUGUGGCUCCACUUGAACCACCUGUUCUUCUCCUGUGGGGGGGUGUGAGACAGCAAGGGUGAGCUCACACAUGUUCAUCGCUCAACAAGUUAUGGGAAAUAAUGUGGCAUGAACUCACCAAAGGUGGGAGUUCCUGUGAUGUGUAAAGCUGAUCAACAAAAGGGGUUAAAGUUGAGCAUUGCUUUUAAUAAGUUGGUCAAAUUUUAUUAGUAGUUACUAAGUGUAAGUAAAUACCAAACCAUAAUAAAUAAUAGAACAAAAUUAAUAAAUAAUCCCAUACAAUGCAAAUGACAAAUUGAACUUAAGUUCCAUAAAUUAAUCAUGCGAGAGUCCUAAGCUGCUCUUGACCGUGAGCUCGACUAGUAUACCAGUUUUACACUCUGCAGAGGUUGUACCCUGUACCCACAAGUCAUGUUACCCAUCUGCCAAGGGGUCAUGAAUCACAUACACCUCUACCAAGGAAGCGAGGCAGGGUAACGCUAUGAGGCCGUUACAAAGUUCCACUAGCUUCCAAAAACCGCUACAGUUUAUGGGAAGAGCACUUGCAAAAUCCCUUGUCUCACCGCCAUCGCAGCAAAAUCAACCCGAGAAUCUCCCUGCAUGCAACUCUCCUACUGCCUUUGCCCCUUUCGGGUAAGAUAGUCUUCCACUAGCUUUCCUAAUUAGUCAGCCAAGGGCAUCCCAUUCCACCCUUGUGGUGGCACGUGUUUCUCAAGUUAAGCUCCAUGUUCCAAUUAAAGAUAAUGAUCUUGACAUGAACAUAAAUAACAUAACAGAAUAAUUGGAACAUGGAUAUAAUGAAAUAUUAACCCAAAACCAUAUAGAGCAAUAGCAAAAACUACCCAAAUAGUUGAGGGGUAAACAAGGCAUAAAGAUAAUCAGACUAGGGUGACCUGUUGGGUCCCAUCGAAAUUAAACCUAUGCAUUGAAUAGUGAUAAUAAAGAACAUUAUUGGGUAAAUGAAAGUGAUCAAGGGCACAACUUGCCUGACACUUGAGAUUCCAAGUACCAGGAUGAUCUUCAGAUCCUCGUGACCUCACUGCUAGUCGCAGCAAUACAAACAAACAUAGUAUAGGCAAAAUUAACAUCACAUCAAACAUAAGUACAAAUUGAAUAAUAAUAAUAAUCUACGCGAAGCUAUGAGCUCGUGGCAUCGAGAACUACCAAGAUCGGAGUCAGGGUUACGAAGUUAUGAUCUAUGGAAGAUCUAUGUGAUUUAAACUAUAUUAUAAAUUGGUUAGUACAUAUCAUACGAUAGAUUAUUCCAUAAAUAAUUAUCUCAAUUUAAAUCUAGGACAUUAUUUGAUUAAAGAUCAUCUAGUUAAAUUAUAACCAUAAGAUCAGAAGUUAAUCCAAUAGACCUAGAUUAAUCUAAUUAACAUAGGAUAAAUAAAUAUCUAAUUAUAAAAGUAUGAGACAUGGUAUAAUCAAUGUUGUUAUUGCGUAGUAAAUAUUUAUACAAAACUAACACAACUGGAACGAGUCAAUUCGGAAUUAAACAGAGAAGUUAUAAAUUUCCAAAGGUUUUAUGUAUUUGGUACAAGAUUAAUUAAGAGAAUAAUUUUAAUGGGGUUUUCAUGUCAAAACAGUGGCACUAUUUGAUAAACAAUAAUAUUUUUAUAAAAUUAUAGGAACUGGAAUGGUUCAAUUUGGAGUUAAAAUGAAUUUUCUAUGAAUUAAACAAGUUCUAGGAAUUGUUUUGUAUUAAAAAUGCAUUUUCUAAUUCAUUUACCUUGAUUUUCCAUUCCCUGGACUGCGCGCAUUAAAACAGAGAAUAACAGGGGUUAACUCGCAAGAAUUCCCAAGACUCAGGCUACUAUUCCCUGGAUUGCGGGUUGAUUUGGUGAAUUCGCGAGGGUUCUUUUAUAAAAUGGGCGCGACCGAGGGAAACUCCUGAUCCGAGCUGUCAGAUCAAAACAGACGGCCUAGAUCAGAUUUACCCCUCCAUGAACCGGUACGCGAUCUAAGUCGUCAUUAUUGCGUCAAUGGCCUAGAUCUAACCGAGCGAAUCCGUAUCUCAUGACUUAAUCACGACCGUCCGAUCUAGAUUCUACGGAGUACACGAUCUCACCGUUUCUUCCCCCUCCGUUCAGCCGUCGCCACGACGGCGCCGACUGCGCAACGACGACAAUUGCAUCGGCGAGCGACCUAGUCGAGCACAAACUCCAAAUUAAGAUGCGCAACACAUUGACAAGAACAUGGGGAGCACGUGGGAGGGUUGCAUACCAAGGGUAACGCGGAGCAGAGCGCUGCCCGCGGGGGUCCGAGAUACGCAGCGGAUGGAGAAGUCCGGUGAGCAAUUCACAUCACCCCGAGGCUUCAUGCUCCCGAAUUUCGUGCCGCGCACAACCCACAAACACGUCCAAGCGUCUAGGAUCCAGUCACUGGUGCUAAGCGGCAACAGAAGUGAGGUUCGAUGACAACGGCGAACUCCUUCUCGACUCUCCCUCACUGAUGGCGAUGGCAGCCCUCGGUGGUUAGAGCGGCGAGAAACCUCGACACACGGGUCACGCAGGAGGGACUGCGGAGAGCCUAGGGGGGUCUUAUCCCCACGGCGCGGCAGACCCGGUCUAGCUUCCGGAUUCCACGCGGAGGUGGUAACAGCACGCCCGCGAGAGGGGGAAGACUGGCCUAACCAGCGGGGCCACACAUCGACGACAGGCUUUGACGAAAUAGGGCUGACCGGUGGGGUCCGCACGUCAGGUACGCAAGGCUUGCGGCGCGUGACAGAGAAUGACCGAGGGGCCCGCUUGUUAGUGGGGCGCGAUCGUGUGUGAGAGAUAAGUGUGAGGCUGACAGGGAAGCCCCGCCAUCCAGCGAGCGCGCAGGUGGUGAGGUCGUGUCGCGUGGAGAAGGAACACUAGUGGGCCGAAUUAGGAUAGAGUGAGCCCAUGCGUCUAUUUUUCUUUUUCUUUUGAUUUUAUUUUCUGUUUUCUUUUAUUCUCAACUCUUUUGAAUCCAAAUUUGUAUUCAAACUUAAUUGCAAAUUUAAACUCAUUUUAAUUGUGAAAUUUUGUCAAACCUUCAUAGCAAGGUUUUAUUUAUCCCAUAUUUUGUUUUAUUUUGUAUAGUAGCUUUCCUUCACUUUUUCAAAUUUCUAGAAUUGUAAAUUAGGUAUCAAAUCACAAUAUUAACAUAAUUAUAUUUUUAUUGAUAUUAUCAUUGUUUAUAAAUACCUAACAAAAUAAACUCCAGCAUGGUGCACAAGUUGUUCAUGUCUCAUUUGUCAAUUCUUCACUUUUAGGUGUGGUUAUAAGUGGAGACAAAAUACAUAAGAGAGUUACCCCUUUUUUAUAUGGUUUACAACUUUGGGUAUUACAAAAAUUCUUGGAGUAGAAGGUAUAAAGGAAUUAUAUCCGACUGACUUAAACUUUGCUGAACCAUAUUCUAAGUGUUGUGAUGGCAAAGGAUGGGUAAAUUUUCAUAUUAAUGAUGGUUUUUUGUUCUGAGCUAACAAACUGUGCAUUUCAGAAUGUUCUGUUUGAAUUUUGCUUUUGCAGGAAGCUCAUGCAGGAGGACUUAUGGGUCAUUUUGGCACCAAGAAGACAGAGCAAGUGCUUGCCGAUCAUUUCUUUUGGCCUAAAAUGAGAAGGGAUGUGGAGUGACAUGUCCUUCGAUACGAAUCAUGUCAUAAAGCUAAGUAUCGUUUAAACCCUCAUGGCUUAUACACUCCACUACCUAUUCCUAGUGUGCCUUGGGAAUCAUGUCCUUAUACAUGUCCUUCGAUGCGAAUCAUGGUGUUGUCCGCGAGGGCCUUGCCUUUUUUCUCCACCAGUAGCGCUGCAUGGGGCUGCCUUCGAACUAGCUCGCUUGGAGGCCAACACGGGUUGUUUUUCGUAGCACGAACGGUGGGCGCCAUAUGUUGGCACUUGCUCUCCUGGGCAAGUUGAUCCAACGGGAAAGCAGAAAGAGUAUUUGCAAAGUUUGGCAUGGGAUGGCAAAAGCUUUGUUUAUCUACCACUAUGAGGGCACUGUAUGAGGGUAUUUAUAGGCACUCGAGCGGCCACCCGUCCCUUGUCAAAGACGUUUAUGCCCUUGAGUACCCGGUUUAUCCCCAUAAUAUUCCCACGAGGGGAGGUUAUAGAUAGUCAUUACAGCAAAAGGCUAUUACUAACGCGGCCCGUAAUGUGCUUAUCCUCGCGGGGGUCGUUACCGUGGGCCAAAUCCCGCAUGGGCCUCCCGGGGCGGUGACGACGUGGGAGACUUGUAAACUUCGACGAAGCCUUCGUCUUGCAAUAGAGAGGACGAAGAGGGACCGCGCCGUUCUUCAUCCAAUCGACGCCUUCGGCUUGUUCGGGCGUGUUAUGUGGAUGUAGUCUUCGUAGGAGUGACAAGGCGACGAAGGCAUCGAGUGAAGGGUAGCAUGUUUGCCUUCGCCCCAACAGAUAUAUCCAUGGAUUUUGUUCUUGGUUUACCACGAACUAAGCAGGGAAGGGAUUCCAUUUUUGUUGUGGUUGAUCGAUUUAGCAAAAUGGCAAAUUUUAUUCCAUGCCACAAGAGUGAUGACGCGUCACAUAUUGCUGAAUUGUUUUUCAAAGAAGUUGUUCAUUUACAUGGGAUUCCACGAACUAUUGUUUCUUAUCAUGACACUAAAUUUUUGAGUUACUUUUGGAAAACUUUGUGUGGAAAACUUUGAACAUGACUUCUGUUCUCUACAACAUGUCAUCCACAAAUAGAUGGACAGACUGAAGUUGUAAAACGAACAUUAUCAAUAUUGCUAUGAGCUAUCCUCAAGGAAAAUUUAAAACUUUGGGAAGAAAGUCUACCACAUGUCGAGUUUGCAUACAACAGAGCUGUAAACUCGACUACUAAAUUUUGUCCAUUUGAAACUGUAUAUGGCUUCAAACCCACUGCUCCCAUAGAUCUUUUGUCAUUUCCUAUGCAGGAACGGGUAAACUUUGAUGCUAGCAAGCGAGCCGAGUUAAUCAAGAACCUUCAUGAAAAAGCUCGAGCAAAUAUUGAGAAGAUGACCAAGAAAUAUGAAAAGUGUGCCAACAAGGGACGAAGAAAGAUGUUGUUCGAACUAGGAGACAUGGUUUGGGUACAUCUAUGCAAAGAAAGAUUUCCUGAUCAACGCAAAAGCAAAUUACAACUACAAGCUGAUAGUCCAUUCAAAGUGCUUCACAAGAUCAACGACAAUGCUUAAGAAAUUGAUCAGCCAGAUACUUAUAGUGUGAGUUCCAAUUUUAAUGUGGACGACCUCUCUCCUUUCUUUGGAUUGGAAGAGUUGGGGACGACUCUUUUCAAGGGGGGAGGAUGAUGUGACCAUACCAGCAUCGUCAACCUUGCCGACCAUUUCUACUGGACAUAUCACUCAAAGCCGAGCGAAACAGAUACAACAAGAGGUGCACGCGCUACUUUACGAAUUUAAAUUAAAUACUAAUGAUAACUUUAUGCUACCUAAGUCGUGUAUGCUGAUUUUGCUUAGGUUCACCAAAGAGGAAGGACAAAACAUAUCAAGGGCGAAUCAGAGAGAAGAACUAUGUUCGAGUCAGUCCAGCGUGAAAGAACCGUCCAGAAGAAAUAGUCAUAUUUUUUAUUCCCAUAAGCUAUGAAUGUCCAUGAGUACAUUUUGGAAAUCUAUAGAAGUGUAGUUUCCAAUGCUUCUAAGACCGACUUAAUCGGAUCUCCCAGCAAUGCAACCGACCUACUUUAGUGCUGACUGGUCAGAAGGUCAACAGACUGCUUGAUGACCAAGUUUCAGUAUUAAACUGCAUCAUUCUACGAAGUUUCAUUAGGCAUGCUAUACACGAUGAGAAGCUUAUCAAGCUAGCUUUCCAAGGCAUCAAGCCCCAUGCCAUUUGGAUAUUUCUAGGAGAAGUUAUUAUCAAAAUACUGAAGGCUGUGCAGAAGUCAAACAGUCACACGAAAUUCAGCUCUAGAUAUCUCCUAAAGAGGCCCAUUCACAUUAGCACGUUAAAAUACUUUCUUUUCGUGCUUAUACCUAUCUAAGGCUGGUUGUAGCUAGUAUAAAUACCCCCUAUGUCUAUGAUGUAAAACAAUUUUUGAUAACCUUUGAUGAUUUGAUAAUCCAAGUGAAUACCACAACCGAGCUGCUGAGUGUUUACUCUACCCCUGUUCUUCCUUGUUCUCCUGGACUUGGGAAGAGAUUCCUCUGGGAUCCACUAGUUUGUGCCUUGUGAGUUCUAGUAUGGCUGCCUCACAUUGUGGGGAUUAGCUCCGGUUGUGGUUUUGCGGUCAUUCGGCGGUGUCCCUCUCUGUGUCGCUUGGUCACCUCCGACCUUGAUCAGGUAUAAAGUCAGUUACCCGUUGUUCUUCAACAAAUUUACCUUGUUAUUAUGUUACUUUUAUACCCAACCAUCCUAUUUAUCAACCUACUGUCGUGAAGAUCGGGCCACCCUAGUACCGAAUAUAACUCGGUACAUAUCAUUAAGCAUGUUAUGAAUGGAGAGAUCAUGGAUGUGGUUACUUUCAUAUAUCAUGCGUAUGCUCCAUAUAUCAUGAUCCUUAUAAAAGAGAAGACCAGAUUUCAAGGUAGGCGUGAAGUGGUACACACCUCCUUCGGGCCAUUCAAGAAUGACACAACCUUUCUUCAUAGGCCUCUAACUCCAUUCCUUAAUUAGGAGCAAGCAAACUAUGAUGAUGAGGAGUAGGAUGCUCCAGUUGAUUAGGGUGCUUAUAAAAUGCCUCCAUGUCCUCCACAACAGUUCUGGGUUCCUCCCCUAGGUACACUGAUUCAUAUUUCACCUCUAUGCAGUAGGCGACCCAGAAUGCUAUUACUCAUCGGUUUCAAGUGAUGAGAAGCUACGUGGCUGGACAAUUUAGUAACAUGACCUUCAGAUUUGAGGAGAUGGAUGAAAGGCUUGUGAGGUAAUGAUGAGAAUACAAACUCUGCAGGAGAAUGUCCUGACCCAAGUGCAUGAUCCUCUCAUGGUUGGGAUGAAUAACAUGCAACAAAGUUUCUAGGACAACAUGGGUGCAUUAUCUUGUCUAUUAAGGAAAUUAUCAUGAGCAUGAUCAGAAGAAACAUGACCUCUAGAAUGAUUUCAGUCAGUUCACAUCUAUUUUUGAUGACUUCAGUGAGCACUUCUAUUCAGUCUAUCCUCUUCCUCCACCUGGUGGUCAGUAGGUGGCGCCUUUUAUGACAAGUUGAUGACAAAGUGGUAGAUAACUGAAGUGAAGCUCAAGAGAAGGUUGAAUGACUAAGGGGGAGCUCAUGAAUUAUCAUAGACAAUUGUUAUAUUUUUAUGCAUGAAUAUGUGUGUUGGACUAUGUGUUGAACUAUGUUGGUUAUGCAUUUCAUGUGAACAUAUGCUUACUAUUUAGUGUAAAAACUUGGUGUCUGCCAAAUAUUUAAUCUUCUUAUGGUUUAUCUUAUAGAAAAUCUAGCAUGAUUUGUUGGUUGAUCGAGUUGUUAUGAUUGCCCUAUAGUAUCUUGAUUAUCAUAAUAUUAAGAAGUGUGCCUCACUCACCAUCAUAUAGGGAGACUUCACUAAAACUCUGGUCAUGUAUAUGUGCAUAGAUCAAAUGAUUAUAUCAUGAACAUAUCUAGGGGAGUUAUCGCAACACCCUUGAGUUUUGUUAUGACUUAUCCACUUUUCAAAAAGGGACCUCACUGCCAGAUAAGUCACUCAAAUCUCACCCUCAAAUCCUUCUUAUACCUCGGGUAUUAGAAUGAUUUGAUCUCCAAAUGACCUCUUGAGAUGCAUUGUCAUCAACUACUCAAAAUGGGGAUAUUAUGAAGCAUCUUGGCCCCUAAGUACUAUUUUGGUAAUUAAUGUCAAACAUGUGUGGACUAACGAUUUCUUUGAGAAAAUAAGAAUGCAGGUUGGUCCAUGAACAUGUGAGCUACAUAAAGUCUUGAAGGACUUUGGAAUGAAUUGUUGGAUAGCUCAAGGCAAAGGUAAAACGUAGGUUUUUCCGUUUGCCGGUUAAAAGGUGAUUAGAGAAGUACAUUGACUAGAUUAGUAGGAUAUAUAGUCAUACUAUUAAGAGGGGUUAAUGAUGUUUUCUUGACGAGUUUUUAAGGCCUCGUUGAUCAUAUAGUUGAGGCAUGUGCAUGAGGGAUAAUAACGCUUUUGAUUGUGAAAAAAAAUCUUUUCAGAAGCAGAUUUUGACAAAGGGGUUGAUUUGUGUAUUGUGGAUCGUCCGGGCCAGGAGGUCGGACUAUCUAUAGGUCUAAUAGAAAGGUUGCAUAAAUGUGUGUUUCUAUGUGGUUUGCAAAAUUUGUAGUGCAGACCAUCCAGAUCAAGUGGCCGGACCGUCCGCAGUAGAGGCCAAUAGUGCCACAGAUUUUGGCUAAGUCCUUAGUGCCUUCUACGGGCCGUCUAGCCCAAAGGCAUAGAUCGUCCACAUUUCUCGUGUUGGAUCUAUGCAAUGACUAUGUGUUUUUUGGGUAUUGUCUUGCAAACAGUCCAUGCCCAGGUCAUAGACAGCCCAGUUGCCCAAGCCAUUAAUUGUUCGUGCCUAGGUGUCGUAUCGUCCACGAUUGUGCAAAAUUAGGUCUGCAGAGCUUGGGGUGCUUUAAGUUUGUGGUUAGUGGACCACGGCCAGGGUCAGUGGAUCAAAGAAGAUCGUCAUCUUAUUACUCUUGGAGGUUGGCGCCUCCUAGAUGGCUUAGUAAAGGUUCCUCGUUGAGCUAUCCAACAAAGAUUAUGGAGAGGCCAUGACGAUGAUUGUGAGAGGCUUGUGCUUGCCUCACCGAAGCGAUUAAAAGUGAUGCUAGUGGAAUCGAGGUGCGAGUGAUUCUUUGACCUUCUAGCUUAAGAGAUCAAGUGGAGCCUUGAUAGAGGACGGUAGAGUGCAUUGGAUCCACCUCAAUGUGGAUUAGGGGUGAUCGACAAAUCAUUGAGACCAUGAUAAAAAAAUCCAGUGUCUUAUGUGUUGAUUACUUUGUUUUCAUGGCCAUUACUUGUGUUUAAUUUAUGUUAUCUCACAUUACUAUCAAUAUUGAUCACUUGUUCAUCCUAGCAUGCAACCAAGCCAUGGGCCCUCUCCACACGCAAGUGGUGCUCCGCUUCUAGCUCCUCUCGGAUGCACCCCGCCGUCUCCAAUAUUGAGCUUCUGGCCGAAACGUUGUGGGCCUUGUUCCCACCGGUACACGGUGGCCGUCGUGACACAAACAUGGUUGUCACGGCCUCGCAAGACUCGCGCCCCACUCUGUACAAUUACAAUGGCUCACACAAGAGCCGAGGAGUUUUGUGGGUUUUUUUCUAAACUCACUCAACUAACUAGGAUUCACCUAGAGCAAGUGCAUAAGCGGUCUAACUAACCUAAGCACUUCGCAAAGCACCUACGCUAAUCACCUAGUGAUUUUAUUAAGCACUUGAGUGUUUGGGCACUUGGAAAUGUCUAUAUCCUUCCUUGGUAUGUUGCUUGGGCUCCCACUCCUUCAAAUGGCCGGUUGGGUGAAGUAUAUAUAGGCCCCAACUCUAAACUAGCCAUUGGAGAAAAGUUGCUACUUCUCUGCGGCACACCAUACAGUCUAGUGGUAGUCACCGGACAGUCCGGUGCCCUGUCUGGUCCUCCACUAGACCUUGGAUUCAUCAUUGCAGGUGACCAUUGCCGCACGUCAGCCUUGCAUCGGACAAUCCGGUGGCUCUGCUCCACAGUUCCACCAGAAACUAGUCAUUGGGCUACUAUUCCCUGGUGACCAGACAGUCCGGUGUGCCACCAGACAGUCUGCUGCUCUCAGUCGGACGGUCCGCUAGUGGCUACACUCUCUUCAUGUCUUGGACUUUGAUUGAUGCUUGUUGAUCUUCACUAAUAGUCUUUAUAAUGUCUUCUUUUGAGGUGUUGCUUCCUUAAUGCCUAGUCCAAGUCACUUUAGCAUCAUGUGAACUACAAAUACAAACACUAGCAAACACAUUAGUCCACGAGUUAUGUUAAUCAUCAAACUGUUAGAAAUAUGUCCUAGAGAUAAUCAUAGAGAUGAGCAUAUUUAUUUGUAUCCAUGAUAUAUAUAUAUAUAUAUAUAUUGCUUAAUUGAAUAUCCAUGAAAGGCACCUUGUAUUGAUUAGCAAUUAUGUGAAUUGUUUGUGAGAUUCUUUACUUUUAUGGUUAUUCUAAAUGAUGUCCCUAAUCAGAGUCGAUGACUAGCACAUGUAUUAGCUGAUGACUACAUUUCACAAGUCAUGGACAUGGAGAUGUUAAACUAAUAAUGUGCAUGCCUGUAUGACAUGAGGCUAGACCGACCCAACAUGAGAUAUUGUAAUAUAGUUAUCUUUUUGCAACAUGUAUAUUGUAUCCUUAGACCUAAGAUUGUCACAUGUUCUUAAGAUGUGAAUUAACUUACUUAGGUACUAUCAAACGCUACUCCGCAACUGGGUAGUUAUAAAGGUAGUUUUGGGUUUGUCAGGAAGCAUGCUGUGAGGCAUGGUCAGUCAAGAUGGAAUUUGUCCCUCUCUUCUUGAGAGAGAUAUCUCUGGGCCCCUCAAGUGAUUGGAUCAAGAAAUGAAUGGUCGUGCUAGGGCUAAGUGUUAACCAAUAUAAGGAUUCCAAUUCACAGUAUCGAGAAAGAGAGGUUAGCUUAGAGUCAGACCAUAUAUCGUGAGACAAAGAGAACAACACGUACGUAAUGUUGCAAUGGUUCAUCUGAUGUGAUCUUUACGUGCGCAUAGGAAUUGACAUGUCUUGCUAGAGGCCGCUGUCAAUUAUUAGGCCAAGUAAGAGUACUUGGGUCAUAUGUACGUGAACCUAUAGGGUCACACGCUUAAGGGGAAGGAAGCGUAACUCGGAUUAGAUCUGAAAUUAGACAGGACUUUAGGGUUACUGAUGUGUCUCAGAGUUAUAAGCCCAACAGAAUGCCUAUAUAAUGAGGGGCAGGGGCACGGAUAAGAGAACGCUAAUUCGCUACCAGUAAACGCGCAGCCGCCUGCUCCUUGCCCUCGCCUAACUGCCAUCGCGAACCUAGCAGUUCGGAACGCGACGCUUCCUCCCUGUACGUGUGGAUACCUCGGAGGUGCUGCAUCUGGAGCAAUAGGAUGAACCACGCGAGGACGUGAAGGUCGCCGGCGACUGCACAACACUGCUCGACGUGUUCGUCUACAUCGAGACGUGUUCCACUGCCCUGCGCGUCUAGUGGUAAUUCUAUGAUCUAUAACCGUAACAGUUUCAGGUUUUAUGGGGUCGAAAUUUUUGUUUUGCGCUAGUGUAGCCUCCCCAUAAUCCUUCACAAACACCAAAAUUAAUUAGUUAAAUGGGUCGAGGUCUAUUUUCCUUACAACUUGAAACCUUGGAACAGACAAUAUUUUUUCACCAUUACUAACCUAGUCUAAGGCUCCCUUUGGUAGGGCUCUUCCUCUGCCACCUUCAGCUCUGGAUCUGGCUUCUUCAGAAAAAACAGUUCCCUACUUAUUUUUAGGAAGAGCUUCAGAAAGAUUAUCCUGUUUGGUUAGAAACACAGCUCUACAUCGUCUCGUGCGAUGUGGGUCCAUCGAAAAGAAAAAAAAUGGGAGAAAAGCCGCUAGAAGCUCCUUUUACUAGCUCCUGUUAUUUUUUGGAGGACCUUCUUUCUCUUUUCUAGAAAGAGCCCAACAAAGAACCUCUCAUUUGGUAGAUUUUUUCAACUAGAUGUUGGAGGAGCCCUACCAAAAGACCUAAACUUGCAUUUUUUUUAUUUGGAGUGGUAGUGGGGUUUAGGGUUUAGGGCACAAAAAGAGCACCUUGUUUGGUUAGAAACACAGCUCCUUCUGCAACGUCUCAUGCGAUGUGUGGGUUCAUCGAAGAGAAAAAAUGGGAGAGAAAGUCGCUAGAAGCUCUUUUUAUUGGCUCCUGUUUUUUUAGGAGUUUUUCCUCUUUUCUAAAAACAGCCCAUCAAAUAACCUCGAUUUUUUUCAACUAGACGUUGGAGGAGCCCUACCAAAAAACCUAAACUUGCAUUAUUCUUUUUUUUUAUUUGGAGCGGUAGUGGGGUCAGCCUUUUGGUCAAUAGUCUUUCCACGAUGAUAGCCACUGAAAGUGGUUCGAUAAAAUGUUUGCCAAAGAAAAGUGAAAGAUCGAGGAAAAAGACCAAUAAUAUAAGUAAAGAGAAAUAAAGAGUAGUGACGAGUUCACGUCACAGCAGGGAUAAAAGAAAAUGCAGAACGCGCAUAUCCUAAUGUUAAUGCGCACAAGAUCGUGGUCUGGAAAAAACGUAGUAGCUAGCAGCGAAGGUGACAAUUCAGCAAGAUUUUGUGGGGGAAAGCGCUUUAUUACCGGAAAACGACACCGGAGAUUCUGCUGCGAUGCAAGAAAUUAUACAGUGUAGUACUGCUGCUACCUCAUACGGUGAACAAAAUAUCUCUAGUCUACGGCGCGCGCCUCUACACGUACGGUACGUAUGUGCCAUGCAAAAACAAUACAGUUAUAAUAACAAUCAAAUACCUAUAGAUGUUACAAAAUAAAUAAAAAAGGUAAAACGUAAGGCUAUUGUGUAUUCUGGUAGUAAGGCUAAAGUCAGCAGGUCGUGUAUCUGACCAUGCAAAAUACUAUUUUUGUACUGUAGAUAAUAUUGUUUACAUAGCGAAGUUUGAAAUACGGUAAUAUGAGAUAAGAACGGGGAUAGGAGAGCCGUUGGAGUUUAAGAUCAAGAACUAACUUGUAGAACCAUAAUAUAUAACAAGACAUUGCGAAAGGAUGGUGGUGAACUCUACAGACAAAAGGGUUCUUUUCCUGUAAUCAUGAUGAGCUUCUCUCUUUUCUGCAGGCGACCGUGUGAUGCAUGAGCCGUGCAUGUUCAUCGUUCAGCGAGAAUAUUCGCCACAAGUCAGCAUCAGCAGCUAGAAUCUGGUCUCUCCAAGCAUCGGCUGUGCUGCAACACCCCUCGAAUUGUCAAUUAAGCUGAUACGCUUCUUUUGCUUUUUAAUUUCAGGGUGGGAGAUUCUUUGAGCUAUGAUCACUACUAAUCAAGCCAGCUAGUGAAUCCAUACAUGCUUUAUAUAUAACAACAUUAAUCAUACACCUGACAUUUGUGGGCUUUUUGGAAAGCAUGACUUUUGUUGACUACUACUUACAACCUAAGGACGAACGAUCUCAAGUUCUCAACCAUACAUAGACAUGGAUGGUGUACGCUUGUCUAGUGUAUAGCCUAUUGGUUUGACUGCAUUUGUUAUUAUUGUUAAACAAUACCAUGAUCGUAGUAUAAUAUGCUUGACCAUCUUUAUAAAAAGAAAAAGGAAUGACAGUUGGAUGCACCAUUUGGGGUUAGCAUGAGCAGCGUAGGCUUUAGGUCCGUGCCAUUAUCAUAUUAUGAUCGAGCUACCGUUCAUGCAUGUAUGAAGAUUGGUUAGCAGCUAAAAUUAGCUGAAAUGUUUAGAACGGAUCAACUAAUGGACCAACUAGUAGUUAGUUAUACCUCUUAAAUAGCUAUUAGUUGUUAACUACUCCAACGCAACUAAAAUUGAUUAGCUACCUAACAAUUAGCUCUACGGAAAGGGCUAACUACAAAUCGAAGAUUUUUGGCACAUGGUUUCAAUUAACAGAAAUUAACCAUUUUCCAAUAUAUAACAAAGGGCAUUUUGGCUACCACGAGGUAGUAUACAAAGUUCACAAAGUUGAAAAUCAGUUCUAUGAUGACAGUUGGUUCAAAAGUUUCAAGUACUAAUAACUGAAACUGAAAACCCAAUGCAUCGAAAAUCCUCAUCCAUGGUGAGAGGCAGAUAAAACAUGGCAUUUCCAAAGUGCAAAAUUAUCACAUACUUUCUUAUGGUUGUAAGUGCCUAAUAUAAGGUGCCUUUGUUAUGAUAUUUUUUUCAUUUGCAUUAUAGUUUUGUUUGACAACACAUUUUUAUUGUAUUUCCGUUGUCCCCUAUCCAUUUGUUUACCAAAUCCACAACACAAUUAAAGUUAUAUUUACUUACAUGAUAAUAAAAGGCUACAUGAGAACAAUAACUAGUUGACCACCAAUAUCUCUGUUAGAAAAUAAAGCUGCUACUGAUACACUAAGGGAGAGAAAGAGUCUUCAGACACUUAACGUUUAGUACUGGUUGAUUUAGAACUGAUACAGACGCAAGCAUUACUACCAGUUCUAAGUACCGAAUUCUUAGAGGAGCCAUUAAUAUCAAUUGGUGGCUUCAACCGGUAUUAAUGUUCCUUUUUCAGUAGUGGAUGUAGCUACAUGUUGGAGACUUGUUCUCAAAUGCUUCGGUUUGACGGAAGGCAAAAAUCCAAGUGUGGCGCGUGAGCAAUUACAGAAUCGCGUGAACAGUACAGGGGUACUGUUCAUCUAUUUAUAAGCACAGGACGCAGCCUAUGGGAAAUUACAUUCAAGCCCUUUACAAAGGUCUACAAUCAUAAUACAAAUUAUUAUGGGUCGAUUGGUCAUUUCAUCUUUAAGUCGGUGCCUUUGGAAAUGUACUCCGAAGCCUUCUGAUUGGUAGCUUCGGCUUUGUGUCAAUCUUCCGAAGGUGUUUCUUCUUAUGGGAUCUUCGGCGACGAAGCAUACCCCCAACAGUAGCCCCUUCGCGGUGCUAGAUCGUUUUUCGUAACGAGCUUGAUCCGUGAAAAAAUCUCAAAGGCUUCGGAAUGCCGAAGGUCCGAAAAACACCUUCCCUGAGCUCGUUGCCGAGAAACGAUCACAAUAUUCCGAGCGUGAAAUGGUCCCACCAUGCAACGGAUACGCGCGUCCUGGCGAUUCACCUUCUUGGGUUCUGUGGCCCACCCACUAGUACAAUUUGGCUCUAUACAAGCGGUAGGAUUUUUACAUCACAGGCGGUUCGGUUAGAAAACCGCCUGUGAUGUCCCAGGCGGUUUAGUACGCCUGUGAUGUAAUAGUAUCACAAGCGGUUUUUGUUAAGGACCGCCUUUGAUGCUCUAUCCUUUUCACAAGCGGACCCUAAGACAAAACCGCCUGUGAUUGUAAAAAUAUGAAAAUACAAUUUAAAUAUGAAAAUAAUUUUAAUUUUUAACAGAAAUAUGCAAAUACAAUUUAAAUGAAUUAAUAUUUAAUUUUUAACAAUAAUAUGCAAAUACAAUAUAAAUGAAUUAUAAUAGCACACAUCGAUAACUAGAGAGAUUUUAAAUUAAUUGGCAACCACAAUUCAUAGUCGAUCAUACAUGAUAACAAAUACAAUUUGAUUCAUACAAUUUUUCAUGAACUACCAUUUUUCCGCAUGUAUGGCUUUAAGUUCUUAUCAAUUUUCUUUUCCACACGCUUGAUUCUCUCUGGACCGUUAAAGACGAACAUCUCUUCAUACUUAUUGUAUUCCUCAUCUUGGUCUCCCACAUUCUCAACUCCAACAAUUUUUUGCUUUCCAGAAAUAACUACAUGCAUCUUCUCAUCUGCUGGAUCGAGUACAUAGAACACUUGUGCAACACAUUCGGCGAGAACCCACGGGUCAUCUUUAUAUCCUACUUUCUUUAAGUCUACCAGUGUGAGUCCGUAGUUAUCCACUAUCACCCCCACGGGAUGUUGUACCCAUUGGCACUUAAACAAGGGUAUUUUCAUGCUUGGGUCAUAAUCAAGUUCCCAUAUUUCCUCUAUGAAUCCAAAAUAUGUGGUCUUCUGUCCAUGUAGGUCAAAAGCAUCGAUACGAACACCGCUAUUUUGUGCAACACUUUUCAUGUCUUUUGAUUUAGUGUAGAAUGUGUACCCAUUGAUGUCAUAUGCUUGCCAUGAUGUCACAAAACACGAUGGCCCAGAAGCCAAAUUCUUCAUUGUUUUCUCAUCCGAAGAGUCUCCGAAUGGGAUGUUUUUGUCCAUUAACCAUUCGCUGAAACGAUGUUUGUGCUCCCUCAUGAUCCAGUCCUCUGUGCGGUUCUGAUUUUCUUUACGAAGCUCAUUCAGGUGUUCCUCUAUGUAAGGCUCGGCUAUCGUGAGAUGUUGUAGUACACUACCAUGAGCACAAUGUACUAGCUUGUAAUCCUCAACGCGAAAAGUUUUCUUGCCCAUUCUCCCUCUCCCACAUAGUUUACCCUCAUGUUUAGGUACAGGCACACCUAUCAUUGUUCCGUCACUGAUGUAAUCUAUACAGCUCUCAAUCACUUCUUCUGUAGUGUAUCCCUCCAUGAUUGAACCCUCUGGGUGAGCGCGAUUUCGCACAUAACCUUUUAAUACUCCCAGGUAUCGCUCCAACUGAAACAUAUGAUGUAAAUAUAGUGGCCCUAAUAUUUUUAUCUGAUCCACGAGAUGUAUGAUUAGGUGUACUUGCAUAUCAAAAAAUGAUGGAGGAAAACACAUUUCAAGCUUGCACAUAGUCUCGAUGAUGUAUGCCAUUAGAUAGUCCAAGUCUUCUAAAGCUAUUACUUUUUGUGAAACCGCAUUGAAAAAGUAACACAAGCGUGUGAUGACAACUUUGACAUGCUCUGUUUUGAGGGCUCUUACCGCAAUUGGGAGGAACACCGUCAUCAUCACAUGGCAGUCAUGAGAGUUGUAGCCAAAUAGAGACAAGUCCUUCAUCCUGACUAGUCUGCUGAUAUUGGAUGAGAAACCUGUGGGCACUUUGACCCCACGCAAACAUUUGCAAAUCUUUGUUCUCUCCUCAACUGACAAGUUGUAGCUAGCUGGGGGGAGGUAAGGCUUCCCUUUGCCACUAUCCACUGGAUGAAGUUCCGGUCUGAUUUGAAGAUCUACUAGAUCAUUGCGUGAUUUAAGUCCGUCUUUUGUCUUACUCGGCAUGCCCAACAAGGUUCCAAUGAUGCUGUCAAAAACAUUUUUUGUUACAUGCAUCAAAUCAAUGCUGUGGCAAAUUUCCAUAUCCUUCCAGUAUGGGAGGUACUUGAAAAAUAUUGAUUGCUUCUUGAAAGUUGUGUAAGUUGAAGGGUUAGUUCUCUUUCUCUUUUCUCCUUUGUUUUUUCCCUUUCCGAAUACAACAUGAAUGUUCUUUACAAUUUCAAAAACAAGUUUCCCACUAUAAGGCUUUGGUGCACCUUCACUUUCCAGUUGAUUGUUAAAUUCCUCUUUCAUCUUUCGGUACUUAUGCUGCAUCAUCAAGAACCGUCUGUGUCCCAUGAACACCAACUUCUUGGAUGAUUUAAGGUACAUGGAAGCAGUUCCAUCGACGCACACUACACAACCAUUCUUUCCUUUAGUCUUUUGCCCUGAUAGUGUGGCGCCACCGGGAGAAUCAUGGAUGGUAACAAAUAUAAUUGCUCUUAAGUUGAAAUACUCACGGCAAUACUCAUCCCAUAUUCUAACUCCUUCAUUCCAGAGCUUUGUCAUAUCUUCCAUAAGAGGUUCUAGGAACACAUCAAUAUCAACACCAGCUGAUUUCGGACCUUGAAUAAGAAUAGUCAACAUAAUAUACUUUCUUUUGUGACACAGCCAUGAUGGAAGGUUGUACAUCGUUAAAGUCACGGGCCAGGUGCUAUGUACACUUCUUUUUUCACCAAAUGGAUUCAUUCCGUCUGUACCCAAAGCAAAUCUUACAUUUCUGGUUUCUUUGGCAAACUCAGGAUACAUAAGAUCGAAAUUUUUCCAUUGUGAUGCAUCAGCAGGGUGUCGAAUCUGUUUGUUAUUCUGCUUGCGAUUUUCAGCAUGCCAACGCAUAAGCUCAGCCUCCCUAGGGUUUGAGAACAAACGUUUUAAGCGAUCAAUUACUCGAAGAUACCACAUCACCAAAGCUGGGUUCUUUGACUUCUUUUUCCCAUCCAUGUCAUCAAAAGUGUCAUCGUCACUUUCAGGUCCAAUAGUGGAUUUCUUGUUUUUAUUUUUCUUCGGGAAUUUUUUUACACAGUCUUGAUUGUAGCUCUUCUUGUAUCGACUGACAUUGAAAACUGGGCAUCUUGAUGCGUUCUCAAAAUCGCCACGAUACAGAAUACAAUGGUUCGGACAUGCAUGAAUUUUUUGCACACCCAGAGCUAUGGGAGAUAUAAGCUUCUUCGCUUUAUAAGUGCUUGUUGGUAGUUUGUUGGGUUUUGGUAGUAAUUGAGACAGAAAAUUCAAAAGAUCUGUGAAGCUAGUAUCAGACCAUCCGGCGCUAGCCUUCAACUUCAGAAGUUCUAGAACUGUACGCAGUGUAGUAAACUCUUUGUCACAACCCUUUGAUUCAUCAUAUAAAGGUUCUUUUGAGGCACUUUCUAGUCCCUCCAUUUUAGAUAGCCCUUUCUGCGAUCCCACAGAACUUAACAUUUCUGGUUCCAUAUGGCGCAACAUCUCUUCACAAUCAAAUUCUUCAAAUUCUUGAUUAGCAUCCACAUUAUCCACUUUACCAUCAACUUUAAGAUCUAAAAUUCCGACAACUCUCUCGUCAUUACCAAACACUUCACACGGAUCCAACUCACCAUGUUCUGACCAUAUCGUGUAAUUGUUUUUAAACCCUCUUUUUAGCAGAUGUGAUUGGAUUACUCCUAUAUCUCUCCAAGCUAUCUUAUUAUCACAAUCGAUGCACGGACAUAAUAUCUCCUUGCUCUUUCGCAAAUUCGCGUGCUUGUUGGCCGCUUCAAUAAAGCUUCUCAAAUUUCGAAUGUACGACGGAUGUGGUCUUGGCACAUUGUACAUCCAACCUCGGUCCAUUACCUAUCCCUAUAUUGAUUAACGUCAAUAUCGAGAUGUAACAUGAAAAAAAUAAAUGUUCAUGAAAGUGAAACAAGAUCAUAUCGAGAUGUACCUAGUACAUGAGACAAAAUUUUUUAAAAUAUCCCUAAUUAAUUGAAUUUAAUCCCUAAAUCAUGAACGAAUUAAUGUGCAUGAAAAUGAAACAAGAUUGCAGCAAUAUAGGUACCUUGAGGUGAGACAACUCUUCAAAAAAAAUCUUUAAAUUAGAUCAACUACAAGUCUAAAUCUUGGAAUUCCUGAGUUUUUCUUCAAUUCCGGUCUAUAUUACAAAAUUGAGGCAAAAAAUCGUAUCAAAAUGAGAAAUAAAACAAACGGAGAUCAUAUAUAUGCAUAAACUCUUGAAAUCAAGCCCGAAAAUCAAAAACAAAACCUUCUCCCCGUAGAUCAAAAAAAUCCGCCGCCGCUACAGUAGUGUGCAGCCUAGCGGCGUCGGGCUCCGGAAGUUAGGGUUCCUGCGCUGGAACCGAGCCUUUUAUACUACAUACACAUCACAGGCGGAUUUUAAGAAAAACCGCUUGUGAUGUAUAACAUCACAAGCGCUUUUCUAUUUCGACCGCCUGUGAUGUUUACAUAUCACAGGCGGUCGACAUAGAAAACCGCUUGUGAUGUUAUACAUCACAAGCGGUUUUUCUUAAAAUCCGCCUGUGAUGUGUUUACUAUAUAAAAGUGUCGGUACGGUGGCUUAGGGUUUAGUUUUCGCCCGGAGCUGAUACUACGCCGCCAGGCUGCUGCGCCGCCGUUCCCGUCCCCGUCUCCGAGCCGUGAGCGCCCGCCACGCCGUCGCCGAGCCCGAGCCCAACCGCCACCGUCUCCGAGCUGGGCGCCCGUCCCCGUCCCCGAGCGCCACCGUCUCCGAGGCCAAGCGCCGCCGUCUCCGUCCUCGAGCCCGAGCGCCGCCGAGCCCGAGCGCCGAGUGCGCCGCCGUGCCCAUCUCCGAGCCCUCGGUGCACUCCUUGAUCAUGCCUUAAUUACUUGUUAAAAAUCCAUGCCUUGAUUACUUGUUUUUGCUAGUCCUGCCUUAAUUAUUGUUAAUCUUAUAUUGUUAAUGUUGGUCAUUAUGCUUAUAUUGUUGGUGUUUUCACUUACAUAUUUUGUUAAGGUCACCAUUUUUGCUUUAGUAGCUUGUAUCCCUUGUGAUUAAAUGUUGGUAAUUAUGCUUAUGAAGAAUUUUGUCAUGGAUAGUUGAUGCAACUACUAGGACCCCUUCUUGGUAGAAAAUCUCCAUAGUGAUUGGGGAAACAAGUCUAUUUUUAGUGUUUAUGGCCACAUACAUCAUGGAAGUACAUAGCCAUGGCAAUGUUAUUAUCUCCCUAUGUUAUACGACUUGUUCUUAUCUCCCUUCUUAGUUUUUUGACUACCUAUCUUUGCUUCCCAACCCUAUGUUAUAAGACUUGUUCUUAUCUCCCAUCUUUGACUUGUUCAUAGCCAUGACAAUGUUAUUUGGACCCCUCUUUUUGCCCUAUAAGCCACAUCCUUGUUUUCCCUCUGAUCUCUGCCUUUGUUGCGAUCUCAAUGUUGAUUGUGAGGCUUGGCCAUUUUCAGUUUUAGAGAUGGAAAAAGAGCCACUUGACAUGGUUGAGAGCUCAGUUCGAGUCAUCGAGACACAUGUUGACAUCAUUUGCAGUCUAAUGACUGAUGGGGUUGUGGAUACUAGUGAACCAGAAUCAGUGUACACACUUAAGACCACUUUGUUUCAAAUUGGAGAUGUAUGCGACAUGCUUGAGAAGUGUGCUCUGUCCAUCAAAAAGUAUGCUGACUCCAAGAGGGCUAAAAUUAUUCAAGAUGAAGCCCUGCAAUAUGCUGAAGAUGAUGAAGCUGCAGAUGAUUUGGAGGAACUCCCAAGCCCAGAUCUCCUUACUCAAGCCGACAUAUUGGAAAAAUAUUUUGGAAUUGAGUAUGAUAGCGACCAGUCAAGGGGUUGUUGAUGUUUAGUCCUAAACAACACGAUAUGAGUAUCGUAGGUUUCACUCUUAGAGAUAAUGUAUUUUGUAUGAACCUCUUAGAGAGUGUCAAGUCAAUGAACUAUCUUCGAGUACUAUUGGGAAGUGUAUCUCUUUGAUGUAUUUUUUUUUCUAGUGAUAUCGAUGGUGCCGAGUAGCACCAAAUUUGGACUUGUGUCCAUAUCUAUAGAUGCUAGUAGUUGAGCACUAGCUCCUACAAUCUUGACUACCUCAUCCCUAUUCUCUGUUUGGGACUUAUAUGGAGAAUGGCAUCGGCGGAAUGCCUGAAUCGGCAGACCCCAAGAAGAGAUUAAGUCCUGUAGUCUACCACCUCCCGUUAUUUGUGGGCUUCACCGAUGGCUGGAAACAUUUGGUGAUAGCAAACGACCUUCGGGUUGAAGACGUCUGCGAGCUUGUUAAGGGGCCAGAUGAUGGUGAGCCGGUGUACUAUGUCCGGAUGUGUGGUCACAAAAUUUAAAGCUGCCCCGGCUGCAUGUGUGUGCUUCUCUUCUCUUAGGUGGGGUGCUAAGUGAUCUUAGUAGCCGACAUAAGAGAAGAGAAGCGCACAGAUGAAGCCGGGGCGGCUUUAAAUUUUGUGACCACACAUCCGGACAGAGUACACCGGCUCACCAUCGUCUGGCCCCUUAACAAGCUCGCAGACGUCCCCAGCCCGAAGGUCGUUUGAUGUCACCAAAUGUUUCCCGCCCUCGGUGAAGCCCACAAAUAACGGGAGGUGGUAGACCACAGGGCUUAAUCUCUUCUUGGGGUCCUACAGGGCUUAAUCUCUUCUUGGGGUCCUUCAGCAUGGCUGUGAUGUUAUAAUGCUGAAGGACCCCAAGAAGAGAUUAAGCCCUAUAGUCUACCACCUCCCGUUAUUUGUGGGCUUCACCGAUGGCUGGAAACAUUUGGUGAUAGCAAACGACCUUCGGGUUGAAGACGUCUGCGAGCUUGUUAAGGGGCCAGACGAUGGUGAGCCGGUGUACUAUGUCCGGAUGUGUGGUCACAAAAUUAAAAGCUGCCCCGGCUGCAUGUGUGUGCUUCUCUUCUCUUAGGUGGGGUGCUAAGUGAUCUUAGUAGCCGACAUAAGAGAAGAGAAGCGCACAGAUGAAGCCGGGGCGGCUUUAAAUUUUGUGACCACACAUCCGGACAGAGUACACCGGCUCACCAUCGUCUGGCCCCUUAACAAGCUCGCAGACGUCCCCAGCCCGAAGGUCGUUUGAUGUCUUCAAAUGUUUCCCACCCUCGGUGAAGCCCACAAAUAACGAGAGGUGGUAGACUAUAGGGCAUAAUCUCUUCUUGGGGUCCUUCAGCAUUAUAACAUCACAGCCAUGCCUUCUCUGUCUAACUGCAUUGGAAAGUGCCUUUUCUCCAAGUUCCCUUAUUGAUGGAACCAGUAUAUUAGACUAACAGUAUAUCCCUUUAUCGAUGGAACCAGCUUGAAUGGCAGACAAUGAGCAGCCUAGUAUGGAUGUGGUCUGCACCGGUGCGUCUAACAAAGUUGAUGAAGACGCGACCAAACUUGAAUGGCAGACAACGAGCAGCUCCAGUGAAGGGAGCGGGGAGGAUAGUUCUAGUGACGACAAUCCUUGUACUCCUAUACCUCCAAGGAAGAAAAAAACAUCAGAUGAGUUUGAUGCCGACUAUAUUCCCAACGAUGAAGAGGUAAAUAGAAAUAUGUCGACUAUAUUGUAAAAUAAUGUUCAUAUAUGAAUGGCCAUUAAUUUUUUCACUAUAUAGAUUUCAAAUGAAGAGAAGAAAGAGGAUGCAUCUUCUACACGAAACACGGAGGAUGCUCCGAUGCCUGAAUCAUCCAUUUCACAUAAGCGGAAACGAGGGCGACGAGGUCCAAAUCAGAUGAAAGAAGGUGCAGUUAUGUAUGUAACAAAACUAAAUGCAGAGGGGUUUCCUGAAGAACCACUUGACGUGGUUACAAAGUUUCAAAAUUCCUGCGGGGCUACUGUUAGAGAUAUAGUGCCAAUCACACUUCAAAAAUGGAAGGAUUUAGAUGAAGACACCCGCAACAAGCUAUGGGCUAAGUUGUCUGAGUCAUUCAAGUUCCCAAAAGGCACAGAGGAUGCAGUAAGGAAGUCGAUGCUCUCUGCUAUGGCCAAGAUGUUUCGUGGGUGGAAGGCCGAGAUGAAUAGGGACUUUGUUAAGAAGAAUAAGGUUCCUCCGCCCAAGAAAAUGGGGAAAAUCACUCAAGCUCAGUGGGAGGAAUUUGUUCGUCAGAAGACCGAACUGAAGGCCAAAGAACUGGGCGAAACUAAUUCUCAGAGAGCGAAGAUGAACAAACACCCCCAUCGCCUGGGGUCAAGCGGAUAUCACCAUAAAGUUGUGCAGUGGAACAAGAUUAUCGAGGAAGCUAUAACUAACGGCACUUUGGACUCAAUAUUAAAAGAUAUCGAUGAGAGAGCUAUUCGUUGGAUCUUAGGUCGAGCAGGUUUGAGUGAGGACGGCAAACUUGUGCAUCCAGAAUUGGUAGGCGAAGUUUCGUCAAAAAUUCAAGAAUAUGCAGAUAAGAGAAAAAAAGGAGAAUUUAAGCCUCGGAGGGAGAAUGACAUACUAACUGCAGCCCUAGGCAAUCCUGAACACACUGGACGGGCUCGGGGAAUCUCUUCUAAGAUUUCCUGGAGAGAGGUGUUUCCAGAGUAUGCGUCGUCAUAUAGGAAACACGAGAAGUCGAAAAGGACCCUUGAAGAGACUAUUGAUGAAAGGGUACAAAAGGCUAUUAAUGACGUGAUGAACAAAAUGAAGAAAACAGAAUGCAUAUCAUUUGAACUCAAGCCAAGCCACAUGAGUCCACCUAUAGUCCCUAGCAGCGUUGGAUCUGUGCAAGACUUGACCAAGUACCCUGUAGACGAUAUUGUUGAGGACAAGCCUUGCUUUCUUCAUAUUCCAAUCAAUCGAUCUGGGACAAAAACAAAGCAAGCUGCUACUAGUUUGGUAAAACCAGGACUUGUUAACUACAAGGACAAUCCUGUCCCACCACACUAUGCUGUGGUCCAAGUUCUAGAAAUCACAGACAAUGGUUGUGAAGAUUGGGAGAUAGAUUUUCCAGUUGAGGGGAUCAUAACUUUGCAUGAGGCAAUUAACGAGUUGGUCCUUUGGCAUCGACGCGACAUCAAGUUUGGUGAUGAGCCGAAUUCAACACCAAUGCAACAAAAAGCUAGUUCGAUCAUUCCACACCCCAUGGUGCAGGAAGAUAUGACACCGACCUCCAAAAAAAUCGUUGAAACAAUCAUAUCGCCUCUUGCGAAGGAACUCGACGAGGGGGACGUAGACAAAAUUGUUCCUCAGAAUGUCGACGUCAACAUCAAAAAGGAACCAAAGGUUGGCACCAAUGUUGAAGGGCCAACUAUUUCAAAGAAGAUUCAUAAGCGAAUCGCCACAGACGAUGUCAAGAAACCGUCAGAAUCAGUGGCACGCUACCUGCAUAAAUUGCAGAGAGUUAUGACUAAUCAAUCAAAAGCAGUAUCAGCAUCUCAUGGAGUAGGCACACGGCCGGCCCAAAUAGACAAUUUCGAAGUAUGGGAAGAAGAUGGAAUGAUUCAUACUCGAGAAUCAUUACGUCUUAAAACCAAUAUCUCGGUAUACAAGAAGGAGGAUGUUCCUCUUAAAUUUGUGAAUGGGAGGCCGUUCUUAACGACGGUGCAACUUUCUAAGUUGUCGACUCCGGAGAUUAGAAUGCAUGAGUGGUACAUGGUGGCUAGCAACAAAUACAAACUCGAGGAAUUCACAUUUGUUGUGCCAGAAGAUGCAUUUUGGAGCAAUGAUCAUAUAAAUCCUGUGCGGCAUUUAUUCUUUGACGAUCUCUGGUCGUUGUACCACCGACAAAGGAUGGAAACGAACUGCUUAACCCUCUUCUGCUUGUAAGUACCUCUAAACUUUCAUAUUUGUUAGUUUUGUACACGCACACAUAAACGAGAGUCUAACGAUUAACACUAUUACACGUAGGAUGCAAUACAUGGAUGAUAAGAAGAAACAACUUAAGACAGGGUUUCUUGACCCGUUGAUGAUAUCCCAAGCUCGCUACAAAGUAGUUGCUCGGAGGCAAGGAGAAGAAUACAAAGACUUGGACGAUGCUGAAUUUGAGAAAGCCGUCAAACAGAAUCAGAGAAAGAAAAUGAAGGUAAUGGCGGCAUACAUUGGAUGAGCCAUGUAUAAUCAUGUACAACAUGGCAAGGACUUAAUAAUAGCUCCUCACCACUUUAAGUAAGUUAUCGACAUGGUUUAAUUUUGAACUAUAAAUUAUGGCAAUCGUGAUAUUAACAUGUGUUUUCGUCUAUGUAUAUAUAGUGACCACUACAUUUGUAUCAUGAUCUGGCCAAAGGAUGGUAAAGUCGUGGUCUUCGACUCACUGAGAAUGGAAAAGGCUACGUAUAAUGACUUCUUGAAGAUUUUAGAGAAGUAUGAUUAUUAUUGCACACUUGUACUUAUUACAACUUAACAAAUGUAUUCUUAAUCUCACAAUGCUAUUCUUAUAUGCAGUGCAUACCGUUUUUAUUGGAAAGAUCUUGGCGGCGAACAUCCAGAGGACAAGCCUAAUUUGUCAAUAUCAUUAUUUCCAUAUGGUGACAAACAACCUCCGGGUACUGUCCUGUGCGGUUAUUAUGUAUGCGAAUGGUGUCGUGUCACCUUCCAUUACAUGGUCAAUCGUGAGGAUGUAAGUUCGCUAUCAUUAUCUAUAUUGCAAUUUUUAUGUUAUAUUGUUGCUCAUCACAUUACUCUUAGCACCGAUUGCUUUUUGCUUUCAUUGCAGGUUCCUAAAUCUAAGAUCAAUGCUGAAUGGUUAGAAAGAGAUAUGGUUUCCACCGGCGUGGCUAAGGUUGUAAGAGACUUGCUUUACUUUAUGCGCCGUGAAGUUCUUCAUCAACAAGGGCUAUUCUACAAUGUAAAUGGAAAUUUGCAAAAAUUCCUAGAACUAAGUUUGUACACAAUAUCACACAGUGUUUAGGUCUUUAGUUAGGAAGUUUAGAUGUUUAGGUGUCUAUGGAACUUUGAGAUGUUGAGUUGUUAUGCAACUUGAUGUGUAUAAAUCUGUGUAUGAUGGAACUUGAUAUAUAUGUGGAUGAAUCUGUGUAUGGAACCUGCUAUAUAUGGGGAUGUUUGAAUCUUUGUAUGAUGAAUAUGUGUUUGAAUCUGUGUUUGAAUCACAGGCUGUUAUUAAUUCUGUUUCUGUAUAUGAAUCUGGAAAAUAUAUAUGAAUCUGCUUCUGUAUAUGAAUCUGGGAAAUACAGGCGGCUUAUAAUUAAAACCGCCUGUGAUGUGUGUCUAUCACAGGCGGUUCUUUUAAACCGGACCGCCUGUGAUGUGUGACUAUCACAGGCGGUUCUUUUAAACUGGACCGCCUGUGAUGUGUGUCUAUCACAGGCGGUUUUUGAUUGACCGCCUGUGAUGUUGUUUUACAUCACAGGCGGUGCACCACAAGCGGUUCCUGGAACCGCCUGUGUAGAGGCUAUUUCGACCGCCUGUAUAGAGGAUACCUGUAGUAGUGACCAUUCAGUGGGUGCGAGCGACUGUUCGUCCGGUGCGGAAGACUUGACGAUUCACCUUCCCACCUGCGGCACUAUACAAACAGACGGGUAGGUGUGAAGUUACCACAGCAUUCAUUGCUAUUGCACUGUUUUGCUGCCAAAAAUUUGACCAUAGCCGAAGCUUCUUCAUCGUACUCAACCGAAGUACCGUUGUUGGUUUUGCUUCGUCACAAGAGGAAGAGCUUCGGGAAAAUUAAAAAAGUCAACAACUUGAUCAAAAAUUGUAAGGAAUUCAUCAUCAAAUGGCGAGGGUACGUUCCACUGCCAGGGUUACACGUGACGGAGAAGAAGCCGAAGCUGCUGAAACCGCUCUGAUUUCUGAAGUGAUGAAACGGUCAGGGCUGGUAGUGCCGGAGGAUGUUUCUGACGAAGGUGCACCUGCCACUGAAGCUGAGGAGGUUGAUGCUGAGGAAGGUGAAUCUGAAGAUGAUUACAGUGCCCUGCCAGCCACCUGGAGUUUGGGAGGUCCAAUGUUACCGAAGAUGAUAUGCCUAAGUUGAUGAAGUUAGGCUAUUUCAGUGAAGCCAAAAAGAAGCUGAUUCGUUUUGGCGGAGAUGAAAUUACUCCAAAGCCAGAAAAGGAUGAGGUGGUAGUCUUUAAAAGCUUCUUUAAAGCAGGAUUAAGAUUUCCUUUGAAUGAUAUGAUUGCGGAUGUUUUGGAGAAGUUUGGGAUUUAUCUUCAUCAGCUAACUCCUAACACCAUCAUUAGGCUUAGCAUCUACAUCUGGGCUCUUCGAAGCCAGGGGGCAGAACCGCUUGCCGAGGGCUUCUGCCGGGCACAUGAGCUUCAUUAUCAGACAAAAGCUAGAGAAGAUGGGCUGCACGAGAACUUCGGCUGCUACAAUUUUGCUUAUCGCCAAGAUGCGAACUCUCCAGUUAUCAGCUAUCGUACCAAAUGGCCAGCUGGCUGGAAGACUGAAUGGUUUUAUGUCAAAGUUGAUGAGAAAAAGGAGAAGCUAGUUCAAAUCCCAUUAGAAUUAAUAUUCGAAGAGACUAGGCCCCGGUGCGACAUGAAACCAAAGAGUCCAUGCCAAGUUGCACUGGGCGACUUUCAAGUUAUUGCGGAGCACAUUGGUACUAGGGAUCUGGUGCAAGAAUUCUUAGCUUUUAGAGUAUUCCCAACUUUGAAAGAAUGGGACAUGCCGAAGCUCAAAGGGGAAAAGAAAGAGAAGGAACUUAUUCGGUUGCCCUAUUACUAUAAAUUCAAGAAACACUUCAAAGAACCUUACCAAGAAUGGUUAGACACGAUUGAAGUUAUGUGCAACAAGAUCAUUGGCAACUAUUCUAAAAAAGAAGAUCAAUUAAUGACUGCAGCCUUCGGCACUCGACCGAAACGAAGGUUGAGCCGGGUGAUGGAUGCCCUGAAUUUUGAGUAUCCUGACUAUGAGCGAUUGGACAGAGGUGCCGAAGGACAAAAAAGAAAAAGAGUUGCUAGCGUCCUGGAUAAAGAAGCUGCUAAAUUGGUGAAAAAGGAUGAAGAAACUUUGAAGAAAAGAAAAUUAAGCCCUGAGCCGAAGAUAGCUGCUUCGAAGAAAAAGAAAGUUGCGGCUUUGAAGCGAAAAAUGACUGAUACUGAGGAUGAAGCUCCUUCAACACCUCCUGCUGCCGAUGUGGAAGAAAUUUUAAAGGUAAUGACUGAAUCUUUGCCUGUCAAGCUAAGUCCACUAGGGCCACAUCUGACGAAGCUUUUUCAGAAGGAAAAGGAGCCUUCGGUAGCGAAGAAGCCAGAUGAGCCGAAAAAACGAAGAAUUAUUCAUGUAGUUGAAGUUAUCGAGCAGACACCGCCGCUGGCAUCGGCGACAGAGACUCCAGCUAUUGAGAGCAGUGCUGCUGCCGAAGCUGCACCCACCGAAGCCGAAAGUGCCGAAGCUGAAACCGCUGAAGAUGUAAAUCUAGAGGCCACACUCUCUGAAAUUGAUACCAUGCUUCUGGUGCGGCCGCGGAAGAAGCUGCUGCAACCGCUGAAGAGAUCCCGGGCACAGUGGCUGGAAAAGGAAAGGAAAAAGCCAAGGAUACUUCGGAAGAAGAGGACUUCAAUUUCCAAGAUAUACUUGGGCAAGAAUUGUCAAAGGCUGAAAAAGAAGAACUGAAAGAGUAUGCUAUAUCUUGCGGGUACAGACCAGGUGUGUUACUCUUCGGGGGAGUCAACGAAGAAAGCUUAGGAUGCCUUCGGGACAACACUAGGGUGAAGGUUGUCGGCACUCUAUCGAAGAGUGUUGUCCUCCCGAAGGUUGAGGCAGACCUCAGCAGGUACCGGUGGCAUCAUAUCGCCGGUAGCCUAUUUUAUGCUAACUUUAAGGUAAAAUUCUUAACUUUGUAUUGCUUUGAUAUGAAGAUUGUUUUCUGAUGAAGCUUAUUUUAUCAGAGCUUACCACUGAGCAAACUCCUGAGGAUGCAACAAGACCUCGAGGACAAAAAGAAUGAAAUUAUAAUUGACGGCCUGGAGAAGAAGAUUAAAGACCAUGAGGCUACCUUGGAGAAAAAGACUUCGUACUUCAAACCAUGGAAGGUUCAGUGGCGGUGGCCCAGGCCGAAAUUGCUAGAUUGAAUAGUGAACUCUCUAUGGAAAAGAAAAUUUUUGAAGCCAAACUCGAAGCUGAAGCUGAGAAAAAUUCAAAUUUGCGGAAAUCACUGAAAGAACUUCAAGAAAAAUGUGUAGACUUCGGCAACCAGUGCCUGCAACGACUAAAGCAGGUUUUCAACUCGGUUGGAGCCAGCGCUGAGAAAUUCAGUCCUUUAGUUGAAAACCUGCCGGAAACCUUCGAACACAUUGAGGGCGAAGUUGAUGCACUCGACAAAGUUAUAGCUGGACACGCCGAUUUCUGCGCUCUGCUAGCUUCUCGGGGCACAGUUGUUGCCUUUAUGAAAUCUGGCUGUACACAUGGAAAAAUUGUCAACAAACCAAAUUUUAGCUUAUCACCAGCAGACUAAAUUGAUAUCCCCAGCCUAGCUCGGAGUAUAGGAAAUAGAUUCAUAACUCAAAUUUGGGUAAAAGGCGGGCGAAAAAUGGCUGGCGACAAAGCUCGAAGCCACCUUAAGCCGGUAAAAAAUUUGUGCCUGUUACUUUACCUUCUCCUUGAACUCUACACUUCUCUCAUAUCAUUUUAAUAUGUACAGGAUCACGAUGCUGAGGAACAAUGAGCCGAAGCUUGACAGGUGAUCCGAAGCUCAGAUGAUCCGAAGCUCAAUAAUGUCAAAGCUGGAGACCUUGCUGAAAAAUUCUAGAGAAAAUCUUGUAAUAUCAUUGUAAAAAUAUUUUUAAUUUAAGAAUCAAAUACUAAUUCUGUAAAUUUGUGCAUACCUUGUAAUAUAUUUUUACCUUUUCGUCCAUGUAUGAACUGCUUUGAUGUGGACGAAAUUAGUAUUUUUUGAGCCGAAGGCGAAAAACACCUUUCCUUCUUUUCGUACACAACGAAGCAUGAAACUGCUUCUUUUUCUUUUUGCCGAAGCUUUAUCUUUAUAGCCAAAGCAUCUGCCUGUGUGUAUGUUAUGAUGAUGAUCAUCCUAUGUAUGUCUAAAUGAAUGUUUAUGAAUGCAAAUGUAUGAUGUAAUGUGUCGUGCAAAUGAAUGCCCAAACACACACAUCCGAAGCUUCAUGCACAACCUUCAUUCCCUAAGGAAUGACUGAAAUCUCUUUGUCGUUUAUUUUUCGGCUGCACCGUUUAUUUUUCGGUGUAAGUUCUGCAUUCCCUAAGGAACGUCUUUUGAACUUCUUCGCCUUCUAUUUCGGCGGUAUUCACGUUGACUUUUCACGCUUCGCCUUAUAUUUCGGCGGUAUCAGCGUUGACUUUUCACUGUAAGAUCUGCAUUCCCUUGGGAACGACUUUUGAGCAGAAAACUUACGCUGCGCUCCCUUAGGAACGGCGUUUUGUAGCUUCGUCAUGCUCUGCAUCCCCUUAGGGACAACUUUCGAGCUUCUCCCUGUUUUUUCCUUUUUUCCCUGCACUCGAUGGUGCAUGCUCAGUUUUUACAUUUACAUAUUUGGGGGAUUUUGCUCUCGUAGAGCUGAAUAAGAAAAAGAGAAAUUACAUGCUAUGGCCCCAUUAAAAACUUUUCUCCCCCUUUAGAAAGGAAAAGGGUGCCAUAGGAAAAAUAAAAAGAUUACAUCAAACUAGACAUAAUAUCGUCGAAGCUCAUCCGCAUUCCAAGAUCUAGGAAUGUCGUUGUUGUCCAUAUCCUUCAACCUGUAAGAACCGGGUCUUGACGAAGAUACUACCAGAAAAGGUCCUUCCCACUUGAGCUGUAGCUUGCCUACUGUAUCUGGGUUGGCCACUCUCCGAAGUACCAAAUGCCCUGGCUUAAUGUUCUUUAGCCGAACUUUUCUGUCACCCCAUUUUAUUGUUUUGGCUUGAUAUUUAUUGAUAUUCUCCAUGGCCUGAAGCCUGAUCCCUUCUAUAGCAUCUUUUGCCACAGAAUAAUCAGCUUCGUCCUCUGCUGAAGCCACUGUUCUUAUUGAUCCUGCCUUAGCUUCUUCUGGGGUUAUUGCUUCGUCACCAAACAAUAGUUUGAAUGGUGUAAAACCUAUUGACCUUGAUAUUGUUGUGUUGUGGCUCCACACCACUUUGAUCAAUUCAUCUGGCCACUUUCCUCUGGGCUGAUUGAAGAUUAACUUUAUUAUUCCCGUCAUUAUAAUGCCAUUAGCUCUUUCAACAAGUCCAUUUGACUCUGGAUGUCUGACCGAUGCAAAAUGAAUCUUUGUGCCAAUUUGUUCAUAGAAUUCCUUGAAAGCUUCAGCAUCGAACUGUGUUUCGUUGUCUACAGUAAUAGCCUUCGGCACUCCGAAGCGACAAACAAUGUUUUGCCAGAAGAAUUUUUUGACGGUGACCAAAGUUAUUGUGGCUAAAGGCUUCGCCUCAAUCCACUUGGAAAAAUACUCUACCGCCACCACAACAUAUUUUAGAUUUCCUUGUGCUGGUGGAAGUGGGCCUAGCAAAUCGAGGCCCCACCUUUGCAACGGCCAAGUGGGCUGUAUUAACUGAGUGAGAGAUGAAGGUUGCUUCUGGUCUCUUGGACAUUUUUGAUAGCCUUCACAUUUUUGGACUAAUUCUGCUGCAUCCGAAGCUGCCUUCGGCCAGUAAAAUCCUUGUCGAAAAACUUUUCCCAACAAGGGCCUAGAUCCAAUGUGAGAUCCACACAGACCUGCAUGUAUCUCUUUCAUUAAUUCCAUACCUUCAGUUCUUGAUGAACACUUGAGGAGUGGUGAACAAACUCCAUGUUUAUACAAUUCCCCUUCUAUUAUCACAUAUGGUCUUGUUCUUGCCUCCAUUCUCUUGUUAUAAGCUUCGUCACAUGAAAGACAAUUGCCUUGGAGAAAAGAUAUUAUUUCAGUUCUCCAGUCUUCACUUUGUAUUGGAGAAAUAGUAGGCACUGCUCCUUCCAUGAGCUCAACCGAAGGUGCUUUUAUUGUUUCGAAAAAUACUUCUGAGGGUAGGGGGAGCCUCUGAGCCACUGAUUUGGCUAGCAAAUCUGCAUGCUCAUUUUCGCCUCUUGGAAUAUUCUUGACAGAAAAACCUUCGAAUGAAGCUUCCAACCUUCGAACUGUAUCCAUAUAUCUUUCAAGCUUCAGAUCUCGUGCCUUGCUACUUUUGUCCACAUGGCCAGCAAUAACUUGAGAAUCAGUCUUUAGGAUGGCCCUUCUUAUUCCCAUUGCCCUUAGUUUCCGAAGCCCUAAUAGAAGUGCUUCGUACUCAGCAAUAUUAUUUGUGCAACUGAAAUCCAGUUUGAUUGCAUAACAUGUUUUAACUUUUGAAGGUGCCACAAGGACCGCAGCUGCUCCUGCACCGAAGGCUCCCCAAGAACCAUCGCAAAACACCAUCCAGGCUUCGGCAUCUUUGCUUGUCCCCUUUUCGUGAGCCCCGGGAGUCCAAUCAGCGAUGAAAUCUGCUAGCGCUUGGGAUUGAAUUGAAGAUCUGUGCACGUAGUCAAUAGUGAAUUCAUUGAGCUCCACGACCCACUUUCCAAUCCUUCCAGUAGCUUCUCUAUUCCUUAUGAUAUCCUUCAGGGGUUGUGAUGAAGGAACAAUUAUGUGAUAUGCUUGAAAAUAAUGCCGAAGCUUCCUGGAUGCCAUUAACACAGCAUACAACACCUUCUCCAAUUCUGUAUAGUUUUUCUUUGAUAAACUCAAAACUUCGGAGACAAAGUAUACUGGGACUUGCUUUUUAGCUUGCCCUUCAAGCUUUUCUUGUACAAGCGCCGCACUCACUGCAGAGUGCGAAGCUGCCACAUACAAUAGCAAUGGAGCCCUAAGCACAUGUGGAGUUAAUGUUGUUAAAUCAAUCAGGUAUUGCUUCAGCUCUUUGAAAGCUUUCUGUUGAGUUGGGCCCCAUUGAAAAACUUCAGCUGACUUUAGUACUUCAAAGAAUGGUAAAUUUCUUUCUGCUGAUCUAGAUAUAAAUCGAUUUAAAGAUGCCAGUCUUCCUGUCAGCCGUUGGGCCCCCUUCUUUGUGCUUGGCGGCUCCAUUCGAAGGAUAGCUUCGAUCUUGCUUGGGUUGGCUUCGAUCCCCUUUGUUGAAACUAGACAGCUAAGGAACUUUCCCUUCUUCACUCUGAAGACACGUUUUUCUAGAUUUAAUUUCAGGCCAGCUUGCCUAAAGUUAGCAAAUGUUUCCUGCAAAUUAGUAAUGUGGUUUUCUUGCUUCGUGCUCUUCACUAUGAUAUCAUCAACAUAUGUUAGUACAUUUCUGCCUAUCUGAGAAUGAAGAACCUUGGUUGUCAUCCUGCUGAAGCUUCCUCCAUCAUUCUUGAGCCCCUCAGGCAUCCGAAGAUAACAAUAUGUACCACUCGGGAUUAUGAAGAUGGUCUUUGGCUCGUCUUCCUUCUUCAUCCAGAUUUGGUGGUAGCCUGAAUAACAAUCUAGUAGACUCAUGAGCUCUGACGAAGCUGCUGCAUCUACUAGAGAAUCUAUUCUUGGUAAUGGGAACUCAUCCUUUGGACAAGCCUUGUUCAGAUCAGUAAAAUCAAUGCACAUUCUCCAUUUACCAUUGGCCUUCUUCACCAUAACAGUGUUGGCUAGCCAUUCUGGGUAUUUUACUUCUCUGAUGACACCAGCACUGAGAAGUCUUUUUACUUCGUUCCGAGCACCUUCGACUUUAUCGUCAGACAUUUUCCGAAGCUUUUGCUUCCUGGGUCUGAAGGAUGGAUCGACAUUGAGUGAAUGUUCAAUGACGUCCCUGUUGACACCACAGAGAUCGUUGGCUGACCAUGCAAAAACAUCUUUGUUGUUGAAUAAAAACCUUAUCAAGGUUUUCUCUUGCUCUUCAGAUAAUUGGGACCCCAGUAAUACCUUCUGCUCUGCUAUGUCUUCACAUAGAAGCAUGGGCUUCGGCUGAUCAGCCGAAGCAGCUUUCUCUCUUCUGUACUUAUACUGUUCACAAGCUUCGGCUCCAUCUAUAUUGUGGAUUGCUUUUGAGUCUGUCCAAUUUCCUUCAGCCUUUCUGGCAGCUUCCUGACUUCCAUGAAUAGCAAUAUGCCCUUGAUCCGAAGGUAUCUUCAUGCAUAAAUAUGCUGGAUGAAGAAUUGCUUCGAAUGCGUUGAGUGUUCCACGACCAAUGAUCGCAUUGUAGGGGUACUCCAUGUCAACAAUAUCAAACACAACAUGUUCAGUUCUUGUAUUGUGAACAAAUCCGAAGGUCACUGGCAUCGUGAUCUUGCCAAGUGCUACAAUCUACCUUCCUCCGAAACCACAAAGAGGGUGUGUAGCAUCAUGGAUCUUAUCCUCUCGCUCUUGCAUCUGUCUGAAGGCCUUAGCAAAUAUGAUAUCCGUUGCACUGCCUAUAUCAACCAGAACAUUGUGGACUAGAAAUCCCUUGAUGACACAAGAUUUGACCAUAGCAUCAUUGUGAGGGUAAUCCUUGAGCUGAAGGUCCUCUUGGGAGAAGGUAAUUGGGAUGUGGGACCAUUUUGACUUGAUGAAGGGUCCCUGCACCCCAACAUGUUGUACCCUUCUCUAGGCCUCCUUCUUCUGCUUCUUAUUGGCCGGCUCUGAGCAUGAACCACCUGUUAUCGGGACCACCAGCUUCGUAGCCGAAGCAGCUUCAACUUGAUUGUUGAAAGAAGCCAUCAGCUCAAAAAGUGGAAGUGAGUUCACCGGAGGUGGGCGCCAAUGUUGGGGACUUGUUCUCAAAUGCUUCGGUUUGACAAAAGGCAAAAAUCCAAGUGUGGCGCGUGAGCAAUUACAGGAUCGCGUGAACAGUACAGGGGUACUGUUCAUCUAUUUAUAGGCACAGGACACAACCUGUGGGGAAUUACGUUCAUGCCCUUUACAAAGGUCUACAAUCAUAAUACAAAUUAUUAUGGCCCGAUUGGUCAUUUCAUCUUUAAGUCGGUGCCUUUGGAAAUGUACUCUGAAGCCUUCUGAUUGGUAGCUUCGGCUUUGUGUCAAUCUUUCGAAGGUGUUUCUUCUUAUGGGACCUUCGGCGACGAAGCAUACCCCCAACACUACCGAUUAGUUCUAAUAUCUCCGCAGAGGUUAGGAUUAAUUGGUGGCUCCAACCAGUACUAAACAAGGGACAAUAAUACCAAUUGGAUCCACAAACCGAUACUCUCCAAUCCACUAUUUAAGGGUUUCUUUCUCUAGGGCCAUAAACAAAUACGACCUAUUUUCAUACUCUAUUUAUGGUGAUUUUUAUGGGAGUUUCUACCAAUUUAUUUUAAGGUAUUUUCUUGUAUCUUAUACUUAUUUAGUUGUUUAGCAAAAGGUUAGCAAGUUGAUCCUCUCAUCUUUUAUGAUGACAAAGGUUUAUUGUCUUAUUUACUUUUUUUGAGUUAGGUGGUUUGUAUUUGGUUACAAAAAGAAAUAUGUAUGAUCAAAAAAAUUCAUAAAAUGUUUUUGAAGACUUCAAGCAUCUAAAUAUGAAAAAGGUUUAGCAACUUGAUACUCUCACCUUGUAUGGUUACAAAGUUUUCUUGGACUUUUGGAAAUUUUGAUUUAGAUGGUAUGCCUUUAAUUAGAUGCAAAUGGAUAUAUGUACGAACUUCAUUGUCCAUAUAUCUGGUAUACUGUAUAUGUUAUAUAUAGUUGUUUUUUUGUUGAAAGUCUAAAUGCUUUAGAGAAAAUAUAAGUUAACACAUUUCAUGGAAGAGUUGAAAUGUUAUUACAUGUAAUUAUCUACAAAUUAUUACAUUUUAUAAUAUUCUAUAUCUUUUAAACUUUAAUUGGGGCUAUAUUUUGAAGCCGAGGUGCUCACAAAAUAUUUCCAAUAGAUUUUUGAAGCGGAGGUGCUCAUCUAAUCCUGCAAAACGUUAGCACCUUGAUCCUCUCACCUUGUAUAUACAAAUGUUUCACAUUUUAUAUUCAGAAAAAAAUACUUUUUAAAUUGUAUGUAUGUUGUAUACUAUUUUUUUAAAUUUUGUUGAAGACCUAAAUGCUUUAGAGAAAAUGUAAGGUAAUUAGGUUCAUAGUAUUGGUAUGAUGCAUGCAUGCAUGUUAUAUUUCAUUGGCUAUAGAUGUUUACUUUUAUUGUCACACCCUAAAAUUUUCCCAAAUUACAGGAUUUGAAUAAGAAGAAAAGUUAAUACAGCUAUUUUUUGCAUAAUUUUAAAUUUUUUGCUAACCUGCACGUGUAGGGUGUAGGGUCCACUCACUGGAGUCGUCUUCUAUCAAGAGUCCAUAUAAUGAGAGGUGAGCCCAUGUAACCGCCCACCUCCUUGGACUAUAUAAGGAGAGGUGAGAGGAACCCCGAGAGCACAGACCAGAACAUAAUAGAUCAAUAGCCACAAAAACACUGGAUAUAAGGUAUUAUCUCACAACGAGCGUCCGAACUAGAAUAACCUGUAAAUUUACUAUCGGAAAUCCUCGAUGGAGGGAUUGGAAGACCAACCCUAUGAAGACUCGGAGCAACAUGUAGAAAGAAACAAGUUGUGUUCUUGAUCACGUUGCUUUGACCUAUUUAAUAUUUACUGUUAUGUUCUCACAUUUGCAUUACUCAGUUAAGUCAAUUUGACGGGACCAAAUAGAGUAUACCUAGAAUUGUUUUCCCUAGACCUUGAUUACACCUGGUUUAUUUUAUAUUGGGUAGACUGCUAGUGCUCUACUUGAUUUUUAGAAUAAUGUUACAUAUGAAAUAUUUAUAAUGAAUUAUUAUUGUUGGCUUAUUUAUUAUGCAUGAUAAAAUCACUUUGUUUAAUUGGAACAUGGAAUAGCAACCCAAGAAAACAGUACAAUUACAAGGACAAUUAUGCUUAUGGUUUUAGCUGAUUAAUUAGCAAAGGUAGUUUGGGUUUGUCGUACACGAAAGGGCAAGAGGGGAGGAGUUACUCAAAUAUAAGUAUGUUCUUAGGCUAAUCGGCUCUAUCGUAGCUUUGUAGACAAGGGAUAUCUAUACCACCUCUACUUGAAACCUUAGCAGGCACUCUAAUACUAGUGGAUCUUAAAGGCCUCGUGGUGAACCCUGCCUCACCUCCUACGAAGAGAUGUAUGGGAGUCAUAACUCUUUGGCAAAUGGGUAACACAUUUAUGGGUAAAGAUGUACAACCUCUAUAGAAUGUAAAACUAUUAUAUCAGUCAUGCUCAAUAUCAAGAGUGGCUCAGAUCCUCACAUGGUUAAAUUACGGAAUUAAAAUAAACUAGACAUGCAUUUUAUUGUUAGUAUUUUAUUUAUGAUCUUUUACUUCAUUGAUGUGUUAUCAACAUAUACUUAGUAAUUACUAAUAAAAUUUUGACUAACAAAAUUAAAAUGUGCAAUGCUCAGAUCAAACUAUUCCUUGAUAAGACUUACACUGCACUUUUCUUCAUACUUGCUAAGUAACAACCAUAAGUGUACUCAUUAUUGCUGAAUUUGUUGCUCAGAACAAGGACAGCAUGAGGAAGACUGUUAUGAAGAGUUUUAGAUUAUCGUCGCACCGGUCAACUUAUCUGUGGCUCGUUAUCGGGAUCAUCGUCGUCGCUUAGUUUCUUUAAUUCAAUUAGUUUUGCAAAGAUAUUUUAUUUAUAAAUAAAGUUUGUGACAUCAGUAUCUGUACGCUGAGUCAUCAUAUGUGUGUAAAUUGGUCCUAGCGCACAUAUGGAAUACAUCUGGAUUUGUGUUGAAAUCAAAGUGUGAAAAUUAUAGAACCCCAUAUCAUUUGAUCUAAUGUGCCUAAGUGUUUUCCAAGAGAUUACUACAAGUAAAAUUGACCUUGUGAUUUUUAACUAGGGCAUCAAUUUCUUUACUAGUUUAACACUAUACAAAAUUUGAUUCUAGAAUACUAUCAAAUUUGUUAAUAAAGACACUCCAUAAUUAUCAUCUACUAAAAUAUCUAGUUAAAUCAUGGACGUUGUGUCCAUUUUUAGAGAAAAUUAAACAAAAUUGAAACAACCAUGUCUCAAAAUGUACUUACAUAGACAUGUCUCUAAAAAGAACGUCUGUAAAACUAAGAUAUUUUUCGACGGAUAACCCUACAAAUGGGAUGAAGCCUAGCUACCCCAUUAUUAUUUUUCCAUCAAUCUCAAUAUUCCUUUGGAUCUCUCUCUUUCAAAGGCAAGGGUACACUAGUGAAGGAUGGCUUUGAGCAUGGUGACACGAUCUCUCGCAUGAUUGAGGGUGCAUUUAAAGGCAUGGUUUCAUGCAUGUCAACCCGACCAUACUAUACUAUGCAUACAGAACAUUAGGUGUGUUUGUCUUCAAUGUUAUCAAUGGGAAAUUUAAUAGUGUGGUGUUAAGCAUGUGACCACUGCAAUUUCUACAUGAUCGUGGACAUGAUGGCCUUGCCCCCAACUGAUGUCACCUCUUAGAUGUGGCAUGUGGGGUGACUUUAGCAUUGAUGGGUUGGCUAUUGACUAUAUGCCCAAGAGGCUAUCAUUAUCCAUGGGAACACAUUGGAACUUUAAGAUAAAAGCACAUUAGCAUUGGAGAUUUAUACACAAAGGGGUUGGCAUGCUAAACAAAAGACAAACUCGUAUUAACUGGCAUGACAUUUCUCUCUAGGGUUAUGGGUACCCAAGAUGCUACUAUCGUUUCUCUUGCUGCACACACACUGCUAGCACACUAACAUGGCGGCAUUCCCUCCUCACACAUGAGGAUACCAUGGAGGAGCAUCUACUAUUGUUGUAGUGUUGAUCAGCAACGAACUUUAUGAGCACGUGUGAGCAUUUUGUUGUUAAUGGUACCUGAGGACGUACGAGUACUUCCACUAUAUCAUCGUGCUUCUUUUGCUAUAUUGCAUGUCUAGUGGUAACAAUCCAUGAGGCACUUCUCACAUGCUAUAUUGGUUGAAAAUGGCAAAUAAAAAACACGACAUGUGGAAAAUGUCAAAUGUGCUAUUGUGGAGAGUACCAAUUUACCAACAAUGGUGCCAAAGCUAGAUCAUGCACAAUUUUUGAUCUAGAUAGUUUACAUGUAAGUGAUAUACCUAGUAGAUUAGAUAUAGUUUUGCUUUAGUUGUAGCAUAAAUUGGGAUGAACGAGGUAGUUAUCGCUAUAGUCGCAUAUUUUAUUUUCCACUACCAGUUUGGAAUCACCAUCGGGGCUUAAGUUCAGUUUGCUUUCCCUCUUAACCCCUCACAAUACUUACCCCUCCCAACCAGUAUCACCGUUGGGGCUAAUAGUGCAUGUAGCUUUCAGGUUGAAAAGGCGAUAAAACUGAGUUGGGUGUACUAUUAUCAUUAUACCUAACAUUGUUUACAUAUAAUGCAUAAAUUGUCUGAACAAUCCCUUUUCACAUCACGUGUAGUAUCUAGUUGUCCACAUAACUUGGUUUUGCAGGAGAAGUUCUGAAAUGGUAUGGACUAAAUCUAAGGUCCAUGGACGGAAACUUAGUGAUGGAGAUCACCAUGAUAAAGGACCAUACUAUCUCACAUUUAAUAUGAUUUUCUGUGAUGUUUUUUUCAUGUUAUAUUAUUCGUCCAUGUAUUAAAUGUGAUAGAAUAGUUUACCUUAGAAAAAUUAAGAGUUCACUCUGAUUCCCUUCUAAUUGCUGAUGCAUAUUCUAAUCAUUAUUUGGUAGGUCCACAAGUGUAGUGUACCAUCAAUUAUUUUGACCUAAUAGGGUGAAUGUCAGACAUCUACAAGCAUAAUGUUGGUUUGCAUAAUGAGGCUAUAAAAUUAGAUUUGGGCCUUGGGCAUGAUGUUUGGAGCCAGGGUAAUGGAUGUCACCUAACAAACAAGAGUCACAUCGAAUGUGAUUAGCAAAUAUUGCUUACUUAUGUCUGUAUGUUUCUAGCCUUGUUGCCAAGGAUUUCAAAAAGGCUUAAGGAGCUUCCACCUUUGGAACAAAGGUAGCUUAUCCUCGUUACAAGGUUAAGCUUUAAGCUCUUUGACAAUAAAAUCACUUUACCCAGUUUUAGCAAAAAUGCAUUAAUGCAGGAAUGAAAUUUUUGAGAGGUUAAACUAGGUAUGAAGCAGGGAUAAUGCAUAGACAUGCUUUCUCUUCCUUUUAUACAAGAUAUGCAAGGAAUGUAUAGGAAGAUUUAGGUAUAUGUGUAAAUGAGAGGAAGUGGUUUACCCUUAUGUACCUUCAUAUAGAGAUGCUCUCUUCAUUGUGUUUUGUCAUUAGUCUUGGUUACUUAAGACCUAUAUUCAAGACAAUGUAUGGAAAUAUUUUGCACAAGAGAGAGUUCUACAACUAGUGAUCCUUUUUUUGUUAUAGCUAUCAUAUAUCAAGUAGAUCACAAAUUGCAUAAAUUUAUCCUGAAUUCUCCUUUAACUUAGUGCAUAUCAAGAGAGAUAUUGAUUGAUAGUAUAUCAGGCACUAAGCAACAUAAGUGUCAAUUGAAGUUAUUCAAUGAAUAACAGAUGCGAUCAAAAGAACAACAUAAGAAUAUCAAAUAUGCUUAAAAUAGGAGAAUCCAGUAAAUAUGCUACUUUAAGAAUAAAAGCUACAAUCCUUGAUUAAAAGUGAUAUUACUUUACCAAAUUGGAUUGAAUUGAAGCAGCAUAAUUCAUGAGAAACUUAUUCUCAUACUUGAGACUUUAUGAGAUUACUAAGAGAAAAUGUUAGUCUUAAUAUGAUCAAGAUAUAGAAAUGGAGCUCCCCCUAAAGAUAUGCAUCAAGAAUUUGAAUGACUUGGUUAGAUACACUUUUCCUUUAAAGAAACAUAGGGGAAUACAUUGAACAUCUUGAUCAAGGCAUGUAAUAUUUCCAAUAAUCAACAUAUGCCUGGUAUUCUCAACAAUCAAAAAGGUUUAGAAUACUUACAACCACACCAUUGACCAUUUGAAGAUCUUACUGACCAAGUAGGUGUUGUUGUGCUUGAUGUCUUCCUUUUGAGUGUCCUCCCUUUGAAGUUGUCUCUUUUUCUUUUCAAACUUAUUGAAAAUACUCAAGAAAGAUAUUAGCAGCACAGAGAAGUAUAUGAUGAAUGAUGAUUUCUUUGCUUUUACCUUUCUUCUUUUAGGGGAAGAGCAACCCUUGAGGCUUGUGUCUUUUAAUAAAUUGAACAUGCACUUACUCUCUUGUAAAUUUUCAUAAAUAUGCUCAAGAGAUAUGUCAUUAGUAACACAAGCACUAGUUUCCCUUUUGUAAUCAUUUUUUAGAAGGAAUGAAAAGUAGAUUACUAAAGCAUGUAAACUUCAUAACAUGAACUAGAUUAUCCCAUAGAUAAUAUCAUGCUUAGUUUUAACUCAUAAAACAAGCAUAAUUAAUCUCUCAAGAUCAUGGGAACAAAUCUAAUUCAUAAUAUGGAUAGUGAUUAAUGUAGAAGAAUCAUAUUCAAAUGAAGCAAGAAGAAAUACAUCAUAUACUAUUGGACUGAUCUACCUUUUGUGUUAAAAGUAUGCAUUCCAUAGAGAAACUCAUUAUCUUGAUGUAAGACUACUUGAGUCACUUAGACAAAAGCAUUAGUCUCACAAAUCUAGUCAUAAAGAGAACUUUUCUUUUAUAAGUGUCCUAAUGAUUUGAAUUCCUUAUAUGCCACUUUAUUCUUUUAAGAACUUGGAAUAUCUCUCUCUAUGUCUAGAACAUGGCAACAAUAGGAUAAUUAAUGUAGAUCAUGCCAUAAGGUAGUUAAAACAAUUUAAAGCAUGUAGAUUGCCAUAAUAUAGAAAUGAUAAAUAUGCAAUCUACCAUAAGAGAGAAACUUCCUCCAAAGAAUAGUAACAAAAUUUAACAUCAUUCUUAAGUGCUUCCUUUUUUAUGUGACUACACAAGACACAAGAGAUAUGAUAAUUGAAGAUACUUGCACUUAAAGACAUAAGUGUUACCAUCCUUCGGCUUUCCUCCAUGUUGUAGGUCUUCUUGAUUUUCCACAUAGGAUAAUCCUACAACAUCAAUGUCUUGCUCGAGAUGAUAUGAGUUUUAGAUAUAAUAACUCAAAAUAACUUUGGGUCAAUUUUAGAUAUAUAUAUAACAUUGUAAGAUUGAUAGCUUGAACUAAUAAGAAUUGAAUUAACCCACUCAAGCACCGCCAAAGCUUCAUAUCAUCUCCUUUCCCCUGCAAAGCUUGUCAUGCAUAUUUUGGUCCCCAUCUCUUGAUGGGUCCAUCAAGGUUAGUCAACAAAGAUUUAGGAACCCAGAUGUCCUUUGUGCUAGCACUUGGUAAACUUAUUACCUUUCUAGCACAAGUUGCGAUUUUGGAUUGCCUAGUUACAUAUGAAUCAAUUGACAAGUUAGGGGCGGGAUAGUUACCAAUAGGACAAUCCUUACAUUGAUGUCCUUUCUUUCGGCAUAUGUAGCAAAGGCGAUCUUCUUGUCUUGAAGAUUUCUUCUUUCCUUGUUUCUUGCUUGCUACAUGGUUAGUAAAUAUUUUCUUUUCUAAAACUAUGCCUUUUUGUUUUACAUAGGGACAUGACUUUACUACAUGUCCCUUCUUAGAGUAUUUGAAACAAAGUUUAUCAUCCUUGUUAAUAAUCAAGCCAUUUUCUUUAAUAUAGGGUCAUGACCUAAUCAAGUGCCCCUUUUCAAAGCAAUUACUACACUUCUUACUUUUCUUAGCGCGAAGUGUGGCUUGAUCAUUACCUUGGAUGUUACCUUGUGUGGAGGCAUGGUUGAGGCUUUUGACAGAGGUAUUUAUUUUCUUCUUUUGUUCCUUCCUCUUGACAAUCCUCAAGUCCUUGACAUUUCUUUCAAGGGAUUUUGUGCAUGCCUCGGUUGUUCCCGUCUCAAGCUUUUUCACCAUGUGAUCAUGGUUAUCUUGAGAAGGUUGAGCAGUGCACUUCCCUUUUUGUUGUGUCAAGCUCAUUCUUAGCCUCUCAUUUUCUUCCUUGAGCUCUUGACAUGAAUCAUCUUUUACUCCUGCAAAUUCUAGCUCAAAGGAAGAUUUGCUUGCUGACGAGCAACAAGCAUUAGCACAUGGUAAUACACUUUCAAUUUGAAUACAUGUGCAUGAGUGAGGUUGUUUGGAUUUUAAGUUUUCUAUCACAACCUCAUGAGCAAUGUUUAACAUGAUAUGAUCAUCCAUAAGAUUUUCAUGAGAAUAUAGAAGCAUAUCAUGUUUUUCUUGAAAGGCUAGAUUUUCAAUUUUUAGCCUUUCUACUUGGUCCUUAAGUAAGGCAUUCCUAUUUACUAAUUGAGCGAUACAAUAUAAAGAAUUAUCUUGCUCAAUUGAAAUAGUUUCAUACCUUUGGACCAAAUCAACAUGAGAGCACUUUAGCUCCUCAUGUUCUUUAGUCAACUCUUCAAAGUAGUGCAUUUUUAUGUUGAGAAUAUCUUCUAGCAUGUGAAGAGCUUCACUUUGCUCUCUCGCUCUUUUUAAAAGUUUGAGCAUGACCUCCUUAUCUUCUUGGCUUAGAUGAGCGUAGAGUUGCAUGAGGCUUCUUUCAUCCUCCUCAUCCUCAUUUGCGCUUCCACUAUCAUUUUCAUUAGCCACACAACAUAUGUGUGAAUCGAAAUGGGAAGACAAACCUUUUGGAGAGGUGGAUUCAUCAUUUGGUCUCCAACGUUCAUUUUUUUCUUCUUCCUUCAAAGGGUUAGUUUCACAAGGACUAAAGGAAGUAGAAGCAUCAAAUGAACUAAUAUGUUUGGACUCUUCAAAUUUAUUUUUAAUUCUAGUCCAAAUAUCAUGCGCAUCAUGAAUAGGUUCAUCAUAUCUCAUUAUGAUGGCACGAAAAUCUUCUUUGCUAAGAGAAUUACUUAAGAUGUCAUAAGCUAGCUAGUUUAAUCGUAUACAUCUUUGAUCCUCCUUGGAAGCAUUUUUCUUAUCAUAACUAGAAGGUAUAAUACUCUUGUCUAAAAUCUGUUCUAAUUGUGAAUCUAUGGUUCUAAAAGCAUUUAUCACACGAGUAGACCGUGAAACAUAAUUAGAACAAUCGGAAAGUAAUAACUCAAGAGUUACCUCAUAAUUUUCCUUCGGAGGUGUCUUCUUGUUCUUUUGGGAUCUUCCUCAAGCCAUCACUUCGAGUUGUUAGACUCAAUAUGAAGUGCCUAGCUCUGAUACCAAUUGAAAGUCGCCUAGAGGGGGGUGAAUAGGCGAAACCUGAAAAUUAUAACUCUAAAUACAAACUAGAUCCCUUGAUUAGUGAUUGGAACAAGAAGCACAAUUAUCGAAGUGUAAAACUAAGUCCCUUGCUUGUAAAGAGUGUUGCUUUCAAAGAAUGCGGAAUUAGCAAAUCAAUACAACUAAUAAAUUUAUGGAAUAUAGAGCAAGAGGGCUUAGGUAAAAGGAGGAAUAACGCAAGUUCUUUCUUGCAAGACGUUGCUUCUCUAAAUGAGAAUUUAACUUGAAGUAACACAAAAUAAUAUUAGCAAGGAAUAGUGCAAGAGAACUUAGAGAGAAAGAAAACAAACAAAUCAAAAUCAAUAAGCACAAGAGACACGGGUGAUUUGUUUUACCGAGGUUCGGUUCUCGAGAACCUAAUCCCCGUUGAGGAGUCCACUAAGGAUGGGUCUUUUUCAACCCUUUCCCUCUCUCCACCGAUCACCAAGACCGGCGAGCUCUUCUUCUUCUUUGUCAACAAGAGACUGAAGUCUCCGCAAGGCCAACCACAAAGAUAAGGGGCUCUUGCUAGCUUUACAAUGAAUGGGUGUCAAAACUCCACGAUCAAAUGAUCACAAGAGGUAGCACACACUUUCUCUCAAUAAUUCUCACAAGACACUAUCACUAAACGCACACGAGUAGCUCUUUCUUGCUUGAUCUCUCUUUUGUGGCACUUGUGAGGCUUUGAUGUGUAUAGAAGUGUUGCUCUAGUAGAUAGGAGUUAAUACCCAACUCUUGUGUAUGAAAUGGAUCAAUGAAUACUUGUGAAUGGGCUGGUUGGGGUGGCUUUUAUAGCCCUCAACCACCCAUAUAGCCGUUGGGGCGCAUCUGCAAGAAUUUGCACUGGCGGAUGGUCCGCGGCUAGGGCCCGGACGGUCCGUGACCCUCCAACGGUCGAUUCUGACAUCUUCAACGGAUACAUCUGACAGAUCAACGGCUUUCUGCCUCGGUCACACCACCCGGACGGUCCGCCCUUGGUCCCGGACGGUCCGCGUCAGCUCUAUAAUUCCUUUUGCUCAACUUGUCACCUUCGGGCCGAACUAGGUUUACACAUGCGGACGGUCCGUGAAUUAUAGCCGGAUGGUCCGCACUGUAUAGACGGACAAUCCGCGGUUUACUCGGACUAUCCAUGAUUUUCAGUUCCUGGCCGAAGUCGAAACGGUGUCGCGGACGGUCCGCCAGAAGGGGCCGGACGGUCCGUGAUAGGCAAUUUCAGAACUUGAGUUUCUGACUUCCUGUUGAUCUUUGAACAAUCUUCUCCAAGUUGCUUUGGCUAAACUUGAGAGAGAUCCUAUGACUUAGAAAAAUAUCUCAAGUGGCUUUCCAUCUAUUCUAAAUCAUGGAUCAUGAACAUUUUGAUUCUUUCAUUCAUGUUUCUUCUUUUGCUCAAACUAGCUACAAAAUAGUGAUACGUUGAUUUUGAGCUUUCCAACCUUUCUAGAAAUGUUGAAUACAUUUCUCAGGGUAUUUUGAACUUAUCCAAAGAGUAGAACUAUUGGUAGUUCAUCUAUCUCAUGUUUUACCCCCUAUUUGGUUGAAUCUGAGCUGAUUCUUUCUUAGAAAUUGAACUGUUGAAUCUUAUGAACCUGUGAAUCAAAGACUAGGCAAACUAGUUAGUCUAAAUGGUUGUGAUGGUCGUCAAGCACCAAAAUACAAGAAAUGGUUUAAGGCCAUUUCCCUUUCACUAACAAAACCAAAUCGAAUGAACCUCGACACCCACCCUUAGCAGAGCAAGCACUAUGCCCCAGCCCCCAUUGACAGCACAACAGUGAAGCAAACUACACCCCCAGGUUCCUCCAAUUAAUCAGCUAAGGGCGUCCCAGUCCACCCUCAUGGUAGUACUGUUGUCCUGAGUGGUCUCUCAACAAACAGGUCCUUACGGAGAGGUACUCGGGAAACAGCCCGAGCCCCCUAAGUGCCACAAGUUCUACAUCUCAAAUACCCAUUACUACCAGAUCAGCAGGAAACUGUAUCCCCCAUCUUUCGACUCUUGCAUUUGGAAAAAAUUUGUCUAUUGGGGUCCUCCCACCAAUUGAACUAACCCUCAUAGGUGGGAACAUUGUGUGUUUCUACCCAUGAUAUAGUCACAAAAGAAUGUGUGGCUCCCGUAUCAAACAACACAUUUGCAAAAUGAGAUUCGACUAAGAACGUACCUAGUGCCACUCCUGGGGUCUCCUAAACUGUGUCGGCCUCCAGGAAGUUCACCUUUCCCUAUUGGGUACGCGACUGGCCACGGAUGCUUGCUUCCUGCCGAGGUGCAUUAUGUCUUGCUGGGGCAUUAGGAGUUGACUGUUGUUGAGCCAUCUUCUUCGAGCACUGCAUCACCUAGUGGCCUUGCUCUCCAUAAUGGAAACAUCCUCGGCCUCCUCCUUGCACUUGGGCUAUCUGGCUGUUCUAAUUAGCUGCUGGGGCAGGAAGGCGAGGUGCCUAACUGUUCUGGCUCUAGUACUGAUUUCCUCCUGGUUGGCUGUUCUGACGGUACUGCAGCGGCUGCUGAUACUGCCUCUGAGUCUGCUGCUAGUUCUGACACUGAUUCCGCUGCUGAUAUCCCUGUGGGUGGCUAUGCCUGAACUACUGAGAUGAGUUGCCUGAGAAACGGGGGCGACUAUUGCUCCUAGGCUGGGAUCCACUCAUCUUGCGCUUUCUUUCAGUCAUGAUAGCUCUAUCAAUCAGGUGUUGGAAGGUAGGGAAGGUGUGAUUCAUCAGUUGGUAGUUGUAAUAUCCCAAAAAAAUAUUGCCAAAGGUUGAUCUUUGGUGUGUGGAUGUGGGAAAAGGGUUGUGGGCCGUUGGAUGCUAAGUCAGAGUCAUCUGUGGCUUCACUUCAUGUCUCCCGCAAAGAAACCCUAGUGGUGGCCUUUUCCCCUUUUUGCCCCUACUUGGCCGCCACCCCUUUCCCCCCCUCCCACACUUGGUGGCCGCCCCUUUCCCCUUGGGCUGGCCAUCCUCUCCUCCCAUGGUAGCCCCUCUCCACGGCUUCCUCCUCCCUCUAGAUCUCCCUCGCGCAGCAAGGAUCGAGAAGAGCAGGAGCACAUUGAAUUGAAGGGGAAGAGAGGAUCAAGGAGAUGUUCUUCCCUAUCUCUUCUUGCAGAAUUUCUUGUGGAAACCCUAGGUAUGGAUGAGAUCCUUGUUCCUCCCUGUAAUUAUGUGCUUUUGGAGGUUGUGGAUCAUGGGAAUUAAAGGAUUAGAGGUUGGAUUAGAUGUGGGGUUAGGUUUUGAUCUCGAAUUUAGUUUUCUGCAGAAUGGCAGAUUUGUCAGUUUCUGUUCAUGCCAGCUUUCCGUGGUUUUAGUGGCCUCAAAAAAUAAAAAGUCUAUAUAUUAAUCGUAGAUAAUUUGUAGAUCUUUUUGUGGCCGCGAAGAACACCUCAAUCCGACGUCAUAUCAGAGAGUUAUUGUAGUUUGAUUAUAUCAGUUUUUCAGUCUCUUAAUUCUGUGCAGAAUCUGUUCUCUUAAGAUUUAGGCAAUUUUAUCAACAUAAUUAAACCUUGGGUUUGUAAAAAAAUAUGUAGAUAAUUUCAUAAGCUUUCCAUAUUGUUAAAGAGUGCAUUCAUAUGAAUUAUGAAACUCCAGUUAUGUUUGUUUUACUGUGGCUGUUCCUGUUUGCCUGACAAAAAUGAGCGGGUCUGUUCACCGGUAGGUUUCAUGAGGUAAAUGGCCGAAUUGGCUCUCCCAGCUAUGGAGAAUUUUGUAGAGGGAUAAAAGUUCUUACUUCCAGCAAAAUUUCAUGAUUUUUGGUUGAGUAGUUGUUUGAUAUAUCGAAUUGAAAGUUAACUAUGCUGGUGUCUAAAACAGAUUCAGUCAGUUAUUUUGUCAGAUGUUUUAGAACUUAUAGAUGGCAAAAUUUAAUUAUCCAUCGAAUGUCGAAGUUGUAGAGUAUUUUGUGUAGAUACUCUUAGAGUAUUUGUUUGAUAUCAACACUGUUAUAAUUUUAAAGAUACAAAAUUAACAAACAGCGCUGCUGCUGUAUGGCAUAUGGUUCAGAGUGGGAGGUUUUCCACCAGGUCUUGGUUUCAGGUGUAGGAGCGAUUUGUUGAUUGUUGGCAAAUGUUUGUGAAAUAUUUGUACUAAGUUUUAUGCCCACUAGCAGGUGGCUACACUCCAGACCAUGCCUAGUACAUUUUUCUUCUUCGAUGAAGGCAAGUGAAUGUAGGGGUGGUUGCUUCCGUUCUGACCUGUUAUUUCUAUCGCCUACACUCUAGUAUUCAGAAUUAUUGGAUUCUUUCAUAAUUGGACUCCAUGGUGAUGCUUUACUUGCUUGCAUUAUCCUGAUGCUCAAUCAUAUAUUGAUGAUGAUUAUUAUUCGAGUACGACUCAUGAGAUUAAUUCACACCCCUGAAGGUAAAUGAAGUAUUAUUUGAGGUUUGUAUUGUAUCUAAAGGUAAAUGAAGUAUUAUUUGAGGUUUGUAUUGCAUGUGAAGGAAGUGAAGUAUAUUGAUAAAUGCAACAUGCCAUAUACAUUGCAUGAUUCACUUGCAUCUGAAGUUGGGUCGUGACCUAUGGCCUGACCGUACCGGUACAACUUAGCAUCGUACGUUGCCCGAGAAGGGGUACGAUGCGGCUUCAUACCCUUAGAGGUAUGAAGGCAGAGGACAUAUGCAUUGCAUUCAUAUGCAUUCAUUGAAGUGAUAUUUGCAGAUGAUGUGGUUUUAUACCCUCAGAGGUAUGAAGACAGAGUACUUACACAUUGCGUUCCUAUGCAUACAUUGAAGUGAUAUUUGCAGGUAUUGUUGACGCAGGGAAGUGUUAUACAAACUAUUGUGGUUGUUCGAGGAAAUGAGAUGGUAUUGGUUAUAUUGAGAAUACUGAGUUCUAUAUCUACAAGUAUUUCUGAUCUUAAUUGUGAUUCUUUUAAAAUGUUGAUUAAUUCAAUUUGUGGUUUAAAUAUCUUGUCAAAACAAUUCGCUUGUUGAGAUGUUUCAUCUCACUCUUGCAUUACUCAAUGCAGGUGCUUGUUGCUCAUCAAGGGAAGUGGGAAGUAGCAACACAUCCACCGUCACUCUCAUAAUAACGCUGCCUAGGCGCAGUCAUGAUUUAGUUAGAAACUUCUUGUCAAAGGAUGUUGUUUCUAACAAGUUGUGCGCACUGGUUGAUUUAGUUCAUGCUGUUAUGGUUGUCUUCCCAUUGCUAGCAGAUUAUUAAUGUCUAUUAUGUUUUCUUAUCAUGUAUCUAUUUAUACUUUGUUGUUUCCCCAUUUAUGCAAUUUUCAAAGAGGAUGCUGUCGAAAUUUUAUAUAUGAAUGUUAGAUGUGUAGUUUAGUAGCAUUCUAGGGUGUUUGUAGAUCCCGGGGUGUUACAGUAGUGUAGGGGAUCAACCAAACCUCUCAGGAAUCGAUACAGCCUCUUCGCAUCAGUGUUGACGUCUUAGGGUGCAUAGCGAGACAACUGCAGGAAUCUGUCUCGGUACUCACUGACGGACAUGUGUCCCUUCUUCAGUGCCAGGAAAUCCUCCUUCACUAUCAUCAUACCCUCUGAAACAUGAUAUCGAUAGAAAUUUUCUAUUAAUUCCUCCCAAGUGAUAGCUUCAGGAUCGGCAUGGGUGGCGAGGUAGGACUCCCACCAGGACUGUGCUGCUUCCCUUAGCAUACGAGGACCAUAUAGAACCUAGUAUCUGUCAUUGCAUUGUGCGGUGUGCAACUCCUGCUCCAUUGUGCGCAGCUAGUCUUCGGUGUCCAUGGGGUUGGUAGAGUGGGUGAAGAUAGGGGGUGACCUCUAAUGAACUCCACAAGCUUAUCUCUUGGCAUCUUAGGCAUCUACAUUUGUGGUUGAGGUUGAGGUUGUUGUUGUGCUUGCUGCAUGGCUGCUAGAGUCUGCCCAAUUGCUUGCACGGCUUGGGUCUGCAUGAAGAACGUUAUCUAAGCGAGUGCGAACACACAUUCAAUAUUCUUGAAACAGAAAAGAACUAUACACCAUACAAGGGAAAAACAUGUGCCAUACAAAAUAGUGCUCGUUUCUACGGUCACACGAGAAAAAGAAACGCCGAGAUCAAAGCUACGAUUGAGAAGUCAUUGCAUGUACGUUCUACAAAUAUGAAAUGUAACAUUUAAUUCUACAUACUCGUAUUAUUCAAAAUUUAUUAAAUGCAAUUAGAGCUAUCGCUUAGUCUUAAUUAAUCUACUACGCUAACAACCUUCAGUUAGAUGAGUAAUUUAAAUAAUAUUAGUGACUCUAAGCGAGACGAAUUAACGGCGCGAGACGAAAUACGCAACGCGCGAAACAGCACGGCAGCACACUCACGGAGCGUGGGCCAACACGACACGCGAGGAAUAAUAAAUAGAUAGCAUGUUCAAACUAAACAAUUAUUAAUAAAGAAUAUUUCAGUUAAAUUUAACCGUGUUGGUGUUUAUUUAUAAAUACGCAAAUCAAAACCCUAAAUUAGAUUUAAAUUGAAACGUUAUUCUAAUAAUCAUUGGUCAAACAAACAUUUAAAUAAAUUAAAUAAAAGGUGUAACAGCAGAGAGAAAUACUUCUAACAUGUAGAAAAUUUUAAUACAAAUCUAACGCAACUUGAAUGGAAUGAAUCAGAUUUAAAACGCAAAAGUGAGAGAAAGUGACUUAAAGAGUCUAGUACAUACAUGUGGAUUAAUGAGUUCAGUUGCGAGAGGUAGUUUUUAGUACUUCAUCACUAUUAUUGAUGACUUGAGUAGAUGUGGGUAUGUCUACUUAAUGAGGCACAAGUAUGAAUAAUUUGAAAAUUUCAAGGAAUUUUAGGAUGAGGUACAAAAUCAUUUGGGCAAAAUAUUAAGAUUCUACCAUCAGAUCAUAGAGGUACCUUGUCUGUGGUUACCAUUAUUAUAUUACCCAUGCCAUUACAGAACAUUCUUCUUCGGCACAACCUUGCCCAAUGUUUAGUCUUUCCACAAUGGAUGCAAUCAUCCCCAAUAGAAUGUUUGGGAGUGCCUUACUUCAUAUUGGUGUUGGGUGGAGCUUGAAGAUGGGAGCCUGAUUGCUAUGAUGUUGCACCUGGUUCUGCAGACUGGGAUACUGGGGUGCCUGCCCUAGUAACCAAGGCAUUGUUACUAGUGAUUUUGUUGAUCAGAACAUGGUUGAUUGUACUAUUGUUGAGAGUACCGUGUAGAUCUGAUCAUGGGUUGCUCGAGGCCGCUUGACAAAACCCAACCCAACCCAACCAAUGCAAUAGGAAGGUAUGAGCCAUAGUGUUGGGGACUUGUUCUCAAAUGCUAUGAAUUAAGAACAAGGCAACAUAAAAUGUUAAAUGUUAAUGCCCUUCGCCCGCUGAAGCAUUAUUUCCUCAAGGAUUUAAUGAACUUCGGACGAAGGUUAAAACGGUACAAUUACGAAGGUUGAAUCUUCGUAAUUGAACUCUCAAAGAUUAUAUAAAAUAAUGCGAGAUAUAAAGCAUUAAAGACAAGUAAAUUAUAAGUAAACGACAUCAUUUACAUUAUAUAAACUUGAUGUAUUUAAAUAUUAGAUACAUUUAUACCUCUGCCUUGGCAAAGAAUAAUUUCCGAGUGAUGCGAUUGCAAUUACAGGAAUGCGUGAACAGUAAAGGAGUACUGUUCACUAUUUAUAGGCACAGGACACAGCCUGUGAGGAAUUACAAUCAUGCCCCUCAUAAAAGUUUACAACAUUGACUCAGACCUUUAUGGGCUAAAAGGUCAUUCUAUCUUUAAGUCGGUUCGACCCUUCAUCUUCGGAUAUGUUGUAAUACCGAAGCUUCAUGAGUGGUCCCUUCGGCGUUACGUAUGAGUAGCUUCAGCCGAAGCUGUCUCUUUCUGCAGGACCUUCGGCGACGAAGCAUGGUCCCAACAGUAGCCCCUUCGCGGUGCUAGAUCGUUUUUUGUAACGAGCUUGAUCCGUGAAAAAAGUCUCUUAGGCUUCAGGAAGCCGAAGGUCCGAAAAACACCUUCCCUGAGCUCGUUGUCGAGAAACGAUACAGUUUCCGAGCGCGUAACGGUCCCACCCUGCAGGUUUACUAUUUGGUCUUUGCGGCCCACCGCGCAGCGGGUGCGAGCAGCUGUUUGUCUGGUGUAAAAAUCCUGACGAUUCACCUUCUUACCUGCAGCACUAUAUAAACAGACAGGUAGGUGUGAAGUUACCACAGCAUUCAUUGCUAUUGCACUGUUUUGCUGCCAAAAUUUUUAACCAUAGCCGAAGCUUGACUCUCUCAUUCAGACGAAGCUCCAGUUUAGUUCCUACUUCGUCAAAAGAAAAGCUUCGGGAGAAGAAGUUAUUUAGUUCCCAAGAAAUCUUUCAAGAAAUUCAAAAUUAAAUGGCCAGAGUGCGUUCUACCGCUAGAGUUGAGCGUGAGGGAGGCGAAGCCGAAGGAGCGGAGACUGUUCCCAUCUCCGAAGCAAUGCAACGAUCCGGAUUGGUGACCUCGGAAGGAAUCCCUACUGCCGAGACAGAACAGACUGUUGCCGAUACAGAACAAGCUGCUGCCGAAGCGGAGGAAGGAGAUAUUGAGGAAGCUGAUUCCGAUGAUGAUUACCAUAUCGCCGUACCGAGCAAGCCCAGCCAUUUGGACUUCGGAAAGUCGACGAUCUCCAAGGCUGAUUUCUCCAAAAUGGUGAAGUCAGGCUAUUUCAGUGAAAAUGAGAAGAAGCUGCUUCGCUUCGGGGGGAGGAAACUACCCCGAAGCCAGAAAAGGAUGAAAUAGUUAUUUUCAAGAGUUUUCUGAAAGCUGGGUUGAGAUUCCCUUUAAAUAGAAUGAUCUCAGAUGUGCUACAAAAGUUUGGUAUCUAUUUUCACCAACUGACUCCUAACGCCAUUGUCAGGCUUAGCGUUUACAUCUGGGCUCUCCGAAGCCAGGCGGUGGAGCCGUUCGCCGACAGCUUCUGUCGAGUUCAUGAGCUGCAUUACCAGACUAAGGCCAGAAAAGAUGGAUUGCACGAAAAUUUUGGUUGUUAUAAUUUUGCCUAUCGGAAAACCACAAAGUUUCCUGUGAUCAGCUACCGAAGCAAAUGGCCGGCAGGCUGGAAGUCAGAAUGGUUUUAUGUCAAAGUUGACGAAGACAAAGAGAAGCUGGUACAGAGCCCUCUUGAACUGAUCUUCGGAGAAACAAGACCCCGAUGCAAAAUGGCAGUAGAAGGUCCAACUUGGGCUGCACUGGCUGAAUUCAAAAUUAUUGCAGAACAUAUUGGCACUAGAGAUUUAGUGCAGGAAUUUCUGGCCUUCAGAGUAUUUCCAACUAUGAAGGAGUGGACUAUGCCGAAGCUUAAAGGAGAAAAGAAAGAAGGGAAGCUUGUCCGACUACCUUAUUAUUAUAAGUUUAAAAAAUAUUUUAAAGCACCCUGCUAAGAAUGGCUCAAUACAAUUGAAAUAAUGAGUAAUGAAAUUCUUGGAAAUUACUCCAAAAAAGAGGACCAGCUGAUGACAGCAGCCUUCGGCACUCGGCCGAAGCGAAGGCUGAACAGGGUGCUUGAUGCUAUAGGAUUUGAAUAUGCUGAUUAUGGUAGACUGGGCGGAGAUGCUGGAGGUCCGAAGCGAAAAAGAAUUGCCAGCGCUACUGACGAAGAGGUCGCCAAGGUAGCUAAAAAGAAAAAGAAAGAAUCUGAAAAAGUUAGCCCUGAAGAGUUAAACCCUGAGCCGAAAGUGGCCACUACAAGAAAGAGAAAAAGUGUAUCUCCAGAGCCGGAAACGCUGGUUCGAGAAGAAGAUACUCCUGCUACUCCUUCUGUUGUUGAAGUAGAAGAGAUUAUGAAGGUAAUGACUGAACCCUUGCCUAUCAGGCUAAGUCCGCUGGCACUGGAACUGACGAAGUUUUUUCAGAAGGACAAGGCAGCUUCGGCAGACGAAGGCCCUGCGCUGCCGAAAAAAUGAAGGAUUAUUCAAAUAGCAGAUGUAAUUCAUGGGACACCGUCACCAACACCUGCAUCAAAAAUUGUCAUUGAUCAAACUGCCGAAACUGCCGAAGCUAAAGGCGCCGCAGCCGAAGCCACCAGAGCGGAAAUCUUCGAAGCUGAUACUGACGCAGCCGAAGCUACCGGGGCUGAAAUCGGGGCCACAGAAGAUCCGAACCUAGAAGAGACACUUGAAGUUAUCGAUAACAUACUCUUAAAAAUGACUGAGGAAGAAUCUGUUGUGGCUGCGGCAAGCACAGCUACUGAAAAGGGGAAAAAACAAGCUGAAGACAUUUCGGAGGAAGAAGAUUUUGAAUUUCAAGAUUUACUUGGGCAAGGACUGACAGACGCUGAAGAGGCAGAACUUAAAAAAUGUGCCAUAGCCUGCGGAUAUAAGCCAGGGGCUAUACUAUUCGGUGGGGUUAACGAAGGAAAACUGAGGUGCCUUCGGAACCGCAGCGAAGCUAAAAUUGUUAGAACUCUCUGCAAGAACAUUGGCUUGCCGAAGCUAGAAGCGGACCUCUGCCAUUACCAACGACACCAUAUCGCUGGAAGCUUGCUUUAAGCUAAUUUCAAGGUAACAAAUAUUUUUGUUAUUUUAUUACUAUUACUAUUAUCUUUUAGGUCAUUUUCUGACGAAGAUCGUUUCGACAGAGCAUAUUAUUAAGUAAGGUUCUAAAAAUGCAACAAGAUCUCGAAGAAGAGAAGAACAAGGCCGUCAUUCAAGAUUUGGCUGAAAAAGUUGAAAAUUACGAAGCUAAUCUGAAAAAGAAAGACUUCACAAUCCAAGACCUUGAAAUCAUGGUUAAAGAGCACGAAGGUGCAUUAGAAAAGAAAGAUUUUGUUAUUCAGACCAUGGAGGGUUCUUUGGCUGAAGUCCAAACUGAGAAUAACAAGUUAAAGAAUGAAUUGCUCCAACAGUCAGAAAAAUUUGAGCAAGAAAAGAAAUAUCGUGAAGCAAGCCUGAAAACUGAAGUGGAUAAAAAUUCAAAUUUGCAGAAAUUCUUUAAAGAACUUCAAGAGAAAUGCUUAAGCUUCGGCAGCCGAUGCGUGCAGCGGCUGAAGGAUGUGUUUCACUCUGUCGGAGCCAGUUCUGCGAAAUUUACACCUUCAGCUGAAAAUCUGCCCAGCACAUUAGAAUAGAUUGAAGGCGAAUUUGAUGCCCUUGACGAAGUUAUUGGUGGGCACGCCGACUUCUGCGCCCUGGUAGCUUCUCGGGGCACAGCUACUACUUUUUUGAAGGUUGGCUGCACGCAUGGAAAUAUUGUGAACAGACCAAACUUCAGCUUGUCAGCAUCAGAUCUGAUAGAUAUCCCAAGCCUAGCCCAAAGCAUUGGAAAUAGAUUUAUGACCCAGAUCUGGGUAAGUGGCGGGAGGAAAAUGGCAGGUGACGAAGCUCGAAGUCAUCUUAAGCCGGUAAGAAACUUAUGUUUGUUACUUUUACCUUCUCUUUUGAAAUUUGCACCUUUCUUAUUCUGCUGUUUGGUAUACACAGGAUGACGAAGCUGAGGAAUGACGAAGCUGAUGACGAAACCUAGGCUGAAGCUUAAAGUUGCUUACAAUAUGCUCUCCUGCAAAAAUUCUGGAGAAAUUCUUGUAAUAUAGCUAUGGAACAACUCAUGUAAAUUUGUACAUACCUUGUAAUAUAUUCUGUCUCCCUUAUUCGCAUACAGUCUGCUUUGCUGUGGACGAAACUUCUCUUUUGAGCCGAAGGCGAAAAACACCUUCCCUUCUUUUCGUACACAACGAAGCAUAAAAUUUUUCCUUCGAAGUUUUUCCUUAUUUCUGAAGCACCUGUCUUCUUUGUGUAGCAUGAUGAUGAUUCUAUAUAUGUCUAAAUGAAUGUUUAUGAAUGCAAAUGACAUGAUGAAAUAUACUGUGCAAAUGAAUAUUGGGACACAUGUUCAAAAACCAUAAGCACAGCCAUUCAUCCCCUUAGGAAUGAUACAAAUCUUUUUGCCGUUUACUUUUCUGCUUCACCGUUUACUUUUCGGUGUAUCAGCGUUGACUUUUCGUUGUAAGCCUCCCUUGGGAGGUUCUUCGCCUUUUACUUUCAGCGGAAUCAGCGUUUAUUUUUCGCUGUAAGCCUCCCUUAGGAGCUUCUUCGCCUUUUACUUUCAGCGGAAUCAGCGUUUAUUUUUCGCUGUAGGCUUUGCAUUCCCUUAGGAACGACUUUUGAGCUUCUCCCUGUUUCCUUUUCUUUUUUCCUUUGCGUUUACAUUUACAUUUUUUGGGGGAUGUCAUUCUCAUAGAAUUGAAAUAAGGAAAAUUACAUGUUGUGGCCCCAUUAAAAACCUUUCUCCCCCUUUGGAAAGGAAAAGGGUGCCACAAAAAAGAAUAUAAAAAAUUACAUCAAACUAAACAUAAUAUCGCCGAAGCUCAUCCGCAUUCCACGAUCUAGGAGUGUCGUUGCCGUUCAUAUCCUUCAAUCUGUAGGAAUCGGGUCUUGACGAAGAUACUACUAAAAAGGGGCCUUCCCACUUCAGCUGUAAUUUGCCUACUGUCUCAGGAUUGGCUAUUCUUUGAAGUACCAAGUGUCCUGGUUCAAUGUUCUUCAGCUUGACCUUUCUGUCACGCCAUUUUAUUGUUUCAGCUUGAUAUUUAUUGAUGUUUUCCACAGCUUGAAGUCUGAUCCCUUCAAUAGCAUCUUUUUCUACAGAGCAAUCAGCUUCGUUUUCGCCUUCUGUCGAAGCUACUGUCCUUAUUGAUCCUGUUUUGGCCUCUUCUGGGGUUAUUGCUUCAUCACCGAACAAUAGUUUAAAGGGUGUAAAGCCUGUUGACCUUGACAUGGUUGUGUUGUGGCUCCACACCACUUUUAUUAACUCAUCUGGCCACUUUCCCCUGGGCUGAUUGAAGAUUGACUUCAUUAUUCCUGUCAUUAUGAUCCCAUUGGCUCUUUCGACAAGUCCAUUUGACUCUGGGUGUCGGACUGAUGCAAAAUGGAUCUUCGUGCCGAUUUGAUCACAAAAUUCUCUGAAAGCUUCAGAAUCAAACUGUGUCCCAUUAUCCAUAGUAAUAGCCUUCGGCACUCCGAAGCGACAAACAAUGUUUUGCCAGAAAAACUUUUGAAUAGUAAAUGAAGUUAUUGUGGCUAAGGGCUUUGCCUCAAUCCAUUUGGAAAAAUAUUCCACUGCCACUACUACAUAUCUUAAGUUCCCCUGUGCUGGUGGUAAUGGACCUAGCAAAUCAAGACCCCACCUUUGCAACGACCAAGUGGGUUGUAUUAAUUGAGUUAAAGACGAAGGUUGUUUUUGAUCUCUUGCACAUUUCUGACAACCUUCGCACUUUUGAACUAAAUCCGCUGCAUCCGAAGCUGCCUUUGGCCAAUAAAAUCCUUGGCGAAAAACCUUCCCAAGCAAGGGCCUAGAUCCAAUGUGAGAUCCACACAGGCCUGCAUGUAUUUCCUUCAUUAAUUCUAUACCUUCGGAUCUGGAUAAACACUUGAGCAAUGGGGAACAGACCCCACGCUUGUAUAACUCCCCUUCUAUUAUAACAUAUGGUCGAGCUCUUGCUUCUAUUCUUCUGUUAUAAGCUUCGUCGUCUGAAAGAAAAUUACCCUGAAGAAAAGAGAUGAUCUCAGUUCUCCAAUCUUCACUAUAAAUAGGGGAUAUGUUAAGGAUUGCUCUUUCAAGAAGCUCGACCGAAGGUGCUUUUAUUGUUUCAAAAAAUACUUCCGAAGGUAUAGGCAGCCCCUGGGCUGCUGACUUAGCCAAUAGAUCAGCGUAUUCAUUUUCUCCACGAGGAAUAUUUUUGACAGAGAAACCUUCGAAGGAAGCCUCAAUCCUUCGGACUGUAUCUAGAUAUUUUUCAAGCUUCGGGUCUCUUGCUUUAUAGCUCUUGUCGACAUGACCAGAAAUAACUUGAGAAUCAGUUUUAAGAAUGGCCCUUCUGAUUCCCAUUGCCUUUAAUUUUCGAAGACCCAAGAGCAGAGCUUCAUACUCAGCGAUGUUAUUUGUGCAACUAAAAUCAAGUCUUGCCGCAUAACAAGUUUUAACUUUGGAAGGUGAAACCAACACAGCAGCCGCUCCUGCUCCGAAGGUUCCCCAAGACUCAUCGCAAAACACUGUCCAUGCUUUGGCAUCUUUAUUUGUUUCUUCCUCUUGAGCCCCUGGCGUCCAGUCAGCAAUGAAGUCUGCUAACGCCUGGGACUGAAUCGAAGAUCUAUGAACAUAAUCAAUACAAAAUUCAUUGAGCUCUGCAACCCAUUUUCCAAUCCUUCCAGUAGCUUCUCGGUUUCUCAUAAUAUCCUUCAGAGGUUGUGAAGAAGGAACAAUUAUGUUGUAAGCUUGAAAAUAGUGUCGAAGCUUCCUGGAGGCCAUCAAAACAGCAUACAGUACCUUCUCCAAUUCCGUAUAAUUUUUCUUUGAUAAACUAAGAACCACGGAUACGAAAUAUAUUGGGGCCUGCCUCUUAACUUGGCCUUCAAGCUUCUCCUGGACAAGUGCUGCACUUACCGCUGAGUGCGAAGCUGCCACAUAUAAUAACAAAGGAGCCCCUGGCGUAGGUGGAGUUAAUGUUGUUAGAUCUAUCAAAUACUGCUUCAGCUCUUGGAAGGCUUUCUGCUGGAUUGGCCCCCAUUGAAAGACUUCGGCUGACUUUAGUACUUCGAAGAAUGGUAAGUUUCUCUCUGCUGAUCUGGAUAUGAAUCUGUUGAGAGAUGCCAGCCUUCCUGUCAAUCUUUGAGCCCCUUUUUUGUACUUGGUGGUUCCAUUCGAAGUAUAGCUUCGAUUUUACUUGGGUUGGCCUCAAUUCCCUUUGUUGAAACUAGGCAACCAAGAAAUUUCCCCUUCUUUACUCCAAAGACACAUUUUUCUGGAUUCAGCUUUAGACCAGCCUGUCUGAAAUUAGCGAAGGUCUCCUGUAAAUCAGCAAUGUGGUUAUCUUGCUUCGUGCUUUUUACAAUGAUAUCAUCAACAUAGGUUAGUACAUUCCUGCCUAUCUGAGAAUGGAGAACCUUCGCUGUCAUUCUGUUGAAGCUUCCUCCAGCAUUUUUAAGCCCCUCGGGCAUCCGAAGGUAGCAAUAUGUCCCACUAGGGGUUAUGAAGCUGGUUUUCGGUUCAUCCUCCUUCUUCAUCCAGAUUUGAUGAUAGCCUGAAUAGCAAUCCAGCAAACUCAUAAGCUCUGAUGAAGCUGUUGCAUCGACUAAAGAAUCUAUCCUUGGCAAUGGAAACUCGUCCUUCGGACAGGCCUUAUUGAGGUCAGUAAAAUCGAUACACAUUCUCCAUUUACCAUUGGCCUUCUUCACCAUAACAGUGUUAGCCAACCAUUCUGGGUAUUUUACCUCUCUAAUAACUCCGGCACUGAGGAGUCUUUUCACUUCAUUCCGAGCGCCUUCGGCCUUGUCAUCAGACAUCUUCCGAAGCCUUUGUUUCCUGGGUCUGAAGGAUGGAUCAACAUUGAGCGAGUGCUCAAUAACAUCCCUGUUAACUCCACAAAGAUCAUUAGCUGACCAAGCAAAAACAUCUUUAUUGUUGAACAAAAACCUUAUCAAGGUUUUCUCCUGCUCUUCGGACAAUUGGGAUCCCAAUAGCACCUUCUGCUCUGCUAUAUCCUCACAUAAGAGCAUGGGUUUCGGCUGGUCAGCCGAAGCAGCUUUUUCCCUUCUGAACUUGUAUUGCUCACAAGCUUCAGUUCCAUCUAUAUUAUGGAUUGCUUUUGAGUCUGUCCAAUUUCCUUCGACCCUUCUGGCAGCUUCUUGACUUCCAUGAAUAGCAAUGGGCCCUUGGUCCGAAGGUAUCUUCAUGCAAAGAUAAGCUGGAUGCAGAAUUGCUUCGAAGGCAUUAAGAGUACCACGACCAAUGAUUGCAUUGUAAGGGUAUUCCAUGUCAACAAUAUCAAACACAACUUGUUCAGUCCUUGUGUUGUUGAUAAAUCCGAAGGCCACUGACAUUGAGAUUUUGCCAAGUGCUACAAUCUGCCUUCCUUUGAAGCCGCAAAGAGGAUGUGUGGCAUCAAGAAUUUUAUCUUCAGGCUCUUGCAUCUGUCUGAAGGCCUUAGCAAAUAUGAUAUCAGCUGCACUGCUUGUAUCAACCAAAACAUUGUGGACCAGAAAUCCUUUGAUAACACAAGAGAUAACCAUAGCAUCGUUGUGUGGGUAAUCCUUGAGUUGAAGGUCCUCUUGGGAGAAGGUAAUAGGAAUGUGAGACCAUCUUGACUUGAUAAAGGGUCCUUGCACCCCAACAUGUUGUACCCUUCUCUGUGCCUCCUUCUUCUGCUUCUUGUUGACUGGCUCUGAACAUGAACCGCCUGUUAUCGGGAGUACCAGCUUCGGAGCCGAAGCAGCUCCAGCUUGAAUGUUGAAUGAAGCCAUCAGCUCAGAAGAGUGGAAGUGAGUUCACCGGAGGUGGGCGCCAAUGUUGGGGACUUGUUCUCAAAUGCUAUGAAUUAAGAACAAGGCAACAUAAAAUGUUAAUGCCCUUCGCCCGCUGAAGCAUUAUUUCCUCAAGGAUUUAAUGAACUUCGGACGAAGGUUAAAACGGUACAAUUACGAAGGUUGAAUCUUCGUAAUUGAACUCUCAAAGAUUAUAUAAAAUAAUGCGAGAUAUAAAGAAUUAAAGACAAGUAAAUUAUAAGUAAACGACAUCAUUUACAUUAUAUAAACUUGAUGUAUUUAAAUAUUAGAUACAUUUAUACCUCUGCCUUGGCAAAGAAUAAUUUCCGAGUGAUGUGAUUGCAAUUACAGGAAUGUGUGAACAGUAAAGGAGUAUUGUUCACUAUUUAUAGGCACAGGACACAGCCUGUGAGGAAUUACAAUCAUGCCCCUCAUAAAAGUUUACAACAUUGAUUCAGACCUUUAUGGGCUAAAAGGUCAUUCUAUCUUUAAGUCGGUUCGACCCUUCAUCUUCGGAUAUGUUGUAAUACCGAAGCUUCAUGAGUGGUCCCUUCGGCGUUACGUACGAGUAGCUUCAGCCGAAGCUGUCUCUUUCUGCAGGACCUUCGGCGACGAAGCAUGGUCCCAACACAUAGUUUUUGGCCCACGACAAUGUACGGGUCAGACACAAGCCAUAUUUUUUGUCCCAAACCCAACCCAACCCAAAAAACCUGACCCAACUUGAAAAAACCUGACCCAACACGCCUAACAGGGAAGCGCAGGCUGACCCAACCUGACCUAACACUUGGCAUGGGUUGGGUACAGGCCAUGUCAAACGACCCAUGACCCGACCAAAACUCGACCAGACCCGACAUUUGAACAGGUCUAGCAGCGGGGAUGAUUGUCAAUAAUAGACUAAUUUGCAUUUGUCUUGCACUUCUUCUCAUCAAUGUCCUAACACAUGUUCUUAGUCAUGAAGGCAUGAUCAACUAGAACCUAGAAGGGGGAAAUGUGUGGUUCAUUAGCUAGUACCUCAAGGGACCAAUGAAACCUUGGAAGAAGUGAUUCUAUUUCUUCAAUCAAUGGCUAACUCCUUAGAAUCAUAACAUGACAACUGAAUGAACUUAUAACAGUACUUAGUCACGAACAUGGAGCUCUACUUCAUUGCCAAGAACUCCUUUAGUGUCGUUAGUGCUUCUUGAACAUACUAAGUCCUAAAGCUAACCUUGAACUCCUCCUAAGUGAUAGAAUCUAGGUUAUCAUGAGCAUACAUGUAAGACUUCCACUAUUCAUGAGCAUGACCUUGCAGCUACUGUUACCCAUAGAGAACCAUCUCCCUAUCAUUUCAUUGAGCAACAUGUAGCUCUUGCUCCAUUGUAUGAUGCCAAUCAUCUGUUUGCAUGGGAUCAAAGGCAUAAGAGAGUAUAGCUAAAUGUCUCUUCAGUUUGUCAUAAGUGCAUGAUGUUAUGUGGAACCUAUUGUUGAGCAAGAGCAAUUACAUCCAUAGUCUGACGAAGUCCUUUUAGAAUUUGUGUUUGUAUAACCAUCAUAUAUUCCAUUGUCAUCAGGUUGUUGUGGUGGUGGUAUUGGUAUAUCCUAGCACUCCUGCCUCUACCACGGACUAUGCCAUGACCACCACAUGCGGACAUUUGUAGCAAUCACAUCAUCGUAUAAGCAUGCCAUCUCAUAUUAUUGUCAUUGUAUAAUAGUGAACAUGUUUGCAAGAUAUGUAGUGAAAACAUAAGAUUUAACUGAAUUGCCUUAUCUUAUUGCAGAAAGGAUGCACACUAAUAAUAAAGAUAGGGAGAAAGAAGUAUAAAGGUUUUUACCCACUAUCUAACAACGUUAUAUAGCAACUAUUGAUUGAAAUGUAGAUAUCCCCACAACUCAACUGCAAUCAUAACGAAGUACCAAAACAAUCAUAGAUCACAAAUGUAAGCACACAUACACACUUUAAAAGAACCUAGCUACAUGAACAAACUAAUCGAAUUAAGCUUCUAUGGAGUAAAUAUAGGCAUGGCUAAUAGUUAUAUCACUAUAUGUACAUUAUAGUGCUAGAGAAUUCCAAGCCAUAAUGGGUCCUUUGGCACAACAAUGACUUGGAGACCUACUCCACCUCCUCCUUCAGGGUGGGAGGUGCACCAGUGGCAGCUCUCAAAUCACUCAACUCUCAUUGAGACCUAGAAUCUGUCCUUGAUUGUGAUCACUCUCAUCUAGCAAGUGGUCUAGCUCAUGUUCAGCACCACCACAAGGUUCAUGGUCGAGUCUAGGGUAGUGUUGUCUUAGUGAAGAGUGGUGGCAACAAUGCAACAUAUAUUUCCAUUAGUUUGGCAAGGAGUACUUGGUGUACUUUUUGCUGAUAAUUUCGUCAUAGUACCACCCCUUGUAGAGGCCAAGCACAUUUUGCGUGGUAUCAUGUAUUGUGGUACUCAUGUCCUCCCUAGGGUAGUUGACAAGUGCUCUAAUAGUACCUUAGCACCCUAUAUCUAAGAGUUAGACAUCGUGAGUACCCACAUAGUCUUCCAAGUUUUAGGGAAUCAAUUGGUCAUAUGCUAGCAAACAAAGAGUUUGUACUCCACUACUGUACAUAAAUUGGACCAAAAAUUGAGCAAAUUGCCAUCUGUAGCUCUUUGUGAAAGUGUUGAACUAUUUGUCAAGGUGAAUAUCCCUGGUGAUCUAGUACUCAGGUGGUGAUUCAUCGCCCUCUGAGUUUAAGCCAUCUGAGUCAUCACUGUCAUCAUCGCCAUCAUCAGAUUCACCAGUGUUGUUAGGAGCUCCUCCACAUAGGGCAUUCUAGGCUAGUAAUUGUAGCUCUUCUAACAGAGUAGAUGGCUACUAUGAAGUUGGGCUAUAACCUUCAUGCUUGCCGUGGAAGUAGUAGGUCCCUCGAGGUCCAUAGUUUGGUGGUCAAAUAGCUCCCUUCCAUUUGCCUUAGUUCUCAAAACAAUUAGAGAAUGGAUUAUGUGAUAACCAUCUAAGUGGGGUAGUUGCCUAUCCCUCCUAAAGCGUUUGGUCUCUCCUAUGCUUCUUGAUCUUUGUUGCCAGUGCAAUCCAAACACCACUCUCUUCAAAGUAGGUUCAACUAGACAGGCUCCAAGAUAACUGAUGGAAGACUUGCAUGUGGUCUACCUAGUAUGAGCCAUUUACACAAAGUAGACAGAAAAGGCAUGAUAAAAGAUUUGAACGAAGAUAACUAUAAAAUUAAGCCACAUAAUUUUUUAUCAUGGAGUGAAGAGUCAAGCCAAAAUAGAUAAAAUAUUUUUUAACAAAAGAAAGGAUGAUGUAAAUAACAACUCAAAAACCAUAAUAACGACCAUUCUACACUAUGUCUGAUUCUUAUAGUCAGUACGAGCUUUGAUACUACUUCUGUUACACUCAGUUCCACGAAGACAACCAAACACAAAAUCAUGUAUAUGUUAGGAUCAAUUUUACAUACAGAUUGACAUCGUCGGUGAAAGUAUCAUCCCAUAUUACUUGAAAUAAAUUAUUACUGACCCAAGUCAUAACGUAAGCAAAUUAAUAUUAAUGAAUAACGAUUAUAACUAUAAAACCUAAAACUCCAUUGGCAUCUAACUGGUGGUCCUCUCGCCUAAUAAUUGUCAUACUUCUAGAACUCCUCCAUAUACCCAUGGUCUCUAUCAUCUUUAUCCGAGCAAUAGUUGCAUUUGGUUCAACAUAGUUGUUAUAAAAUAUAGCAAGGGUGAGCACUGGUCAUACUCAGCAAGUGAAACUAAAGCAAUGCACAUAUGAAGGCCUAUAGUGGACUAUCUCAGCAUCAGCAUUUUUGUUGAUCAAGUUGUCACAAUUUUUAUUAAGGUGAAAGGAUAACCUCCCAAAAUUGCCAUGAACAUAAAUUAAAUGUAUAUGAAAACAUGUAUAUGCCCCAACCAUAUUAUGAGAAACUCAAAUUUGUGAGCAAAACCUCAAGUUUUCCUUAACCAUGAGUACUAUUGAUAUCAGAUUCUAACAACUCUCAAGAGGUUUGUACAGUUUACCUGCAGGACAUGAUUUUUUUCUUUGUCUGGGUUGUAUCGACCCUUACACACUUCUAAGGUAUGGGCAUGUACUUUGACUGUAAUAUUGUUUCUUACGGUCACCCAGAUAUUUUCAGUCCCCUACAGGAUUCCACCAAGUUUGUCUAUAUAAACUCCCAUUUGAAUGGGUGACUGACCAAUCAUGCACCGUACUUAGCAUCAUAAGGUCUAAACCUCAAACCCUCGCUUGUACCACGUCGGGUAAGUAUCCACCCAUCCGAGAUCUUAAGUCUACAUGGCCAAGGCAUUGCUCAUGUUAGACCUUGUAGUUGCAUAAUAAAAUCUUGGUGAUUACUUAACGAUCCAUUCCCUAGGGUGAGGCACAUUGCAUUUGACAACCCUAUCCACAAGCCCCUCAUUGCCAUAUUGCUAAAAAGAAAGUUUUAAUUGUCAUAUUGCAUAAAAGUCAUAAUCAAGAUUAACCAAUACUAUCAUAAUUAUAUUAUUAAAGGUAGAGCACUAGCAGAAGACAAACAUACCUACCCAAGGUUUUAUAUUAGGAUAAAACAUAGUUAGUCAUCCUUAAUAGGAGCGAUUAAAUUACUGCAAUGAAGUAGAUGUAUAUAACUCAUGGGAUAGCUCUAAUUACAGAUGUCCAAUAAGCACGAGGCCCGCGAGCCCAGCACGAAGCCCGCUGUUUGGGCCCGGUCCGAGCCCGGCACGACCCGCUUCUAUGCGGGCCUGGGCCGGCCCGGCACGAACAAGCGGGCUGGGCUCGGACAGGAAACUAGGCACGGUGGGCUAGCCUGGCACGGCCCGUUUAACUCUAAGCCCGCUUUUUUUACACUAAAACGUGUUUACCGGCCCGUAUAGCCCGCUUUUCGGCCCGCUUUUUUCGUGCUAAACGGACGGGCCCGGGCCGUUUAGGCCCGCUGCGGGCCGGGCUCGGACAGAAAAUUGAGCCCGCGUGCUUAGACGGCCCGGCCCGGUUUUCUAACCGUGCCUGGCGGGCCGGGCCAAAAACAGGUCGGGCUUCACCGGGCCCGGGCCGGGCCGGGCGGCCCAUUUGGCCAUCUCUAGCUCUAAUGCCACUAGCCUUGCUCAUUAAAUAUUAGCUCUUCUCCUUUCCAAGCUUGCUCUUCAUCUAACAUGGAUGACUCCUCUACUAAACAUUACACCACAUCAGGAAAUAAGCACAAGAAAAGACAAAACAAUACAUCAAACAUAUAUAAAAGAUAAAUAUUAAAAAGAAAUUCAAAAUAAUCUACAUUUUUUAUGAAAUUAUGAAGGGAAGAACUGCUGGAAACAAUUAAAUGGCAAAGAUAUGAUGGUUCCAUGGUGAGCCAUUUAGUGGAUUUUAUAAAUAUGCAUGUAGAUUAAAUUGUUCCAUGGAACUAAGAUUAAAGGUGUAGAUAGAUUAUUGUAAAAUGGUGUAUGGGUAAAAAUGGCUCUCAAGACAAAUGAAACAACUAGCAUGGAAAAGAAAGAACGGAAGAAGAAUUAUAUGUAGAAAUUUGCAUGGCAUGCACUAUUUUUAUACACAUAAUAUUGUGCAUGUUAUUUGCAUGGCACUGUCCUAUUCAGGAUUGUAGCACAUGGGGAAUAAGUGCUACCAACUUGCUCUAGCUCAUGCUUUCUUGGGUCGGGGGUAGGGUCAUCUUUAUAUGCACCCUAGUUGAGACCUCACAAGAAAUCAGCACACACGCGAACAAAAAUAGGACAACUCUAUGGCUAGUUUGGAAACUCAAAUCCCCUAGAGGAUUGGAGGGGGGGAAGUGAACUAAUUUCCCCAUGGAUCCCCUCCAAUACUCAUAGGGAUUUGAGCUUCCAAACUAGCCUGAACAAAACCUAUCCAAAGCACUGAACCUACAGGAGAGAGAGAGAAGGGGGAAGAAAAGGAGAGGAUACAAAUAGAUACUUGCAUACUGGCAUGUAAACAAUACCCCUAGUACAUGAUUAGUGUUGUGAACAAUGUCCCUAUUAGUUCCAUUAUGACUAGCCACUCCUCCCGAUACUGCUCCUAAAUGUGGCCAAUGUCAUACCCCGUAUAUGUUAUUUAUAGGUAGCCAUAUCCUGUUGCAGUGAUCAAGUUCCAGUACAUUCAUGGAAAUUAUAAUGCAUCCACUCGUAGGUGUGAGUGGCCCCCUCCAACCUUAGUGGCGAGGGUCUUCUCAUGCAAGAUCCAUAGGAUGGGGAACCUCUAGUAGGGGUCCUCUAGUUCCUAUAACUCAUCUAGAUCCUCCUCUCUAAAGUCUUCAGACUAGUUUAACUCCUCGAGUGACUGAUACUCCUCAAAGCCAUCAUCCUCUUCUAAGUCUUCUAAGUUAACUAAGUCUUGUACCAUCCAUGACUCAUCUGAAUCCUCAGGCUCAUCUAGGUAGUCAACCUCAUCCCAAUAUUCUAGCUCCUCAAACUCUACUAUGUCGUAUUACAUAACCCCCAUAGGCUCAUCCUACAUGAACUCCUCUAUAGGUUCAUCCUCCUCCACAGGAUCUAGAAACUAGUCGCAAUUUCUGCACCCUCUAGAUUAUCCUCAAUUAUCUUCCUUACUGGCUCAUAUUUCACCUUGGGCUCAAAGGGUGGCAGAAACUUGGGCUGCCUAGGGACAAAUCUAACAUGACCUCUUGUGUGCAUGCAAAUAGUCUGCUUGAUAUGGGCCAUCUAUGGAGCUAGAAGAUAUAAGACAUGCAGGGAGAUAUUCUAAUUCAAUAGAUUAGUAGGGAUGGAUAAUGACAACCUUUUGGCAAAAAGGUAGAUUUAGGUGAAAAUAUAUUUUCUAGCAACCAGUUCUACCCUAGGCUUGUGUCCUAUAGUCAUCAUGGCUUCGAUAUCACUUCUGUCAUAUCUGAUUUUAAGCAAAAAAUUGAAUGCUCGCUAUACAUGUACCAGAAUUAUAAUCACAUGCCUACCUAUAUCAUAUAAUGGAAAUAUAAAAAGAAUAGUACAUUAUUAAUAUCGAAUAAUAAUGAUUAUAUAAUCCACAACAUUGAUGAAACAAGUAAUUUAAACAACUUUUGUUUAUGACUCUUGUAGACAACUGGAACAAAAGACGAGCAUGAACUCCACAAGAACACUGACUAGUUGACCACAUGCCUAGAACUUGUCAAAGUCUUGGAACUCUUGGGUCCAAUCUCUAGCUUCACCUUCUUCUGAGGAGUAGUUGCAUCGAUUGCCACAUAGAUGUUAUAGAAAUAGAAAGGUUGAUUACUUUUUGCGCUCAACAAGUAUCCUAUUUUGGGAAAAGUGGAGUGGCUUUAUAGUGAGCUAGCUAAAGUAGUUAUUUUUAGUUGGUAAAGUUUUAAUUUAAUAAAAGGAAAAACAAAUUCCAACUUAUCAUAAAUUGUAUAUAACCAUAAACUGGUAACCAUAAUGUAGAAAUCAUUUGUGUUUUCAUUUAAAACAAUAAUUUGUGAGGAUCCAAGUUGGGCAUAACCGUGGGUACGACUGGCAUAUCAGUUUUUAACAUUCUCUGCAGAGAUUGUACAGUUUGCUCACAAGUCAUGAUUCCCAUAUGCUAAGGGUCAUGAAUCACAUAUCACCUCUUCCAAGGAAGUGUUGCACGGUUGAGAUAUUUACAAUAACUCCAUAGAGAGUGGCUACCCAUUCUAGGUUUAUCCUAUCAUCAACCACUAAAGUCUUCCUAAUGGGGGACUAACAAAAUACCAAAUAAACCAAAUUACACCCACUAAGCAACGAAUCAAAUACCCAUUUAAAAGUAUCCCCUUACACCAUCUUUGAGGUAAGCAAGCCAGAACCCUAGUUCAUUUAAUUAUUCAGUCAAGCCUAGUGUCCAUAUAAGUCUCAUUGUUGCAAUGCUAUCCCAUGGUGUCACUUGGCAAACCAAUCCUUAAGGUGCGGUAGCUUGAGCAAAUAGAACUCGAACUCAUGUUAAAGCCCCUAGUUCCACGUUGCUAAAAAACUUCUUUUAAACAAUAGUUCAAUGAGCCUUUAAUCAUCAUUAAAUAUUUGUGGUGUUGAGCACUAGCAUCAUGCUAAACAAAAAUCCAUUCCUUGGUUAUCAAGAACAUGUCAUGAAAGAAACUAGUAGACUUAGAUAGGACCAAUAAAUUUGAAUAAACAAUAUGUUGUAUUAUGGUGAUUAAGAGACAACUCAAUACUUGCCUUACUCACACUGCUUACAGCUCUCCCAAAUAGGGCCUUAUGGACAUGUACACUCCUUUAGGUCUAUAUGUAGCAAGCAUUCGAGCAAUAAGUGCACAACAAAACAAUACAUAUUCAAUAAAAAUAUAGAACAAUCAGGUUUUCAGAAUAUUCUACUUGAUAAGAUGAUUCCAAAUUGACUAAAAUCAUCGAAAUCAAGUUUAAAAUGAUUAAGUUACACAUUAUAUAUAAACCAAGGGCUAUUCUACAAUUAUCUAUUAAAGCUGGUGAAAAAGAUAAAAACAUGGUGCCUGGAUUGAGCUACGAUGGACUAUGGGUUAUUUCUGUGAAAACUGAGGGUCUCCUUUGCAAAAGUAACAACACUCGUUCUGGUUGAUUGGUAUUGUUUGGGCUUGGGUUAUUAGUCUACAUUGGAUCUCAAUCCGAUGAUCCAAGUAAGACCAUGCAACUAUGGGUGACGAUAUUGCCAUCAACAACCAAUUCCACAGUAGCACGUCACUUGAGCUACGUGGAGUUCACAAUACCAGGGCCUCCAGCAACCGGAUCUACAUAGAAAACUUAAAUGUGUGAUGGCAAACCCUAAGAUGAUGAAUUGGUAAUGACAAGAGGUGACUAGGUGAUAGCUCACAGUGGUGGGGUUCCACAGCCAUGGUUGAGAAUGACGGUGAGCAAUUGCUCGAAUAAAAAAACAACAAUUUGAGUCAAGAAUUGGUAAUAUAGAACAUAUACCUCUUUGUGAAGCUCAUGGGCUGAACGUUGGCUGCAUGGAACAAACAGUCAAGGCUAGCGAUGGUCGAGAAGCACGACAGGUCGAUGUUCUCUGUGGACAUAUCAUUGAGUUACUCCACAAGGUUAAAGAACAUGCAGUUUAGGUGUUCUCAACUUUGGUGAAGCUUGGCAAGCCAAGCUCGGUCACAAGGUUCCAUAGAUAUGGUAGAACACCAAUUUUGCGUUGUCUAGGCGACGACGACUUGGGAACUUAGGGUGGCUCUAGGGUUCAACCUAUUGCAGUUUGAUGGGACGAACGAAUGCUCCUCUGAUGCCUUUAUAGUGUUGAGACCUGAGUUCUCUUGAAGGGGUUAAGACAUGGCAGCGCAAAAUAGGAAACUACUGCGAAUCCAAGUUCGACCUAGACUUAGUCUACGCAGACAUGAAAAUGGAAAUUAAGAUAAACUGAGGAAGGGCCUGACCCUGCUGAUCGAACUUGUGUUCAAGGUGGACUCAAUCGAUUGAGUCAUGCCAGAGUAGGAUUUGGAAGGGUGGCAUCACUACCGGAAUCCGGGCCUUUGCCAAGUGCCGGACUCUUUGCCGAGUGCUUUUUCUCGGGCACUCGGUAAAGCAGCCUUUGCCGAGAGCCGCACUCGGCAAAGUCCUACUCUCGGUAACGAGCUGGUUUACCGAGUGCAGGACACUCGGCAUAGAAAAACUUUCGGCAAAGACACGUUUGCCGAUUGGCAAACACUCGGCAAAGGGCCGUCAGCGGCUGUUCUAAAGCUGACAGCCGUCAGCCUUUGCCGAGGGCCACAGGCGGCACUCGGCAAAGACCUCUUUACCGAGUGUCUUCCCUGGACACUCGGCAAAGCACAUUUUUAUUUUUUUAAUUUUGGCAACCAAACUUUUUGUGGUUUGUUCCUACACUAUGUAGACCUACAUGUACCAUUUUGGGACAAUUAUAACAGAGUUUUCAAUAGGUAGUAGAUUUAGUUCGUUUAUUUAAAUUUCUUCGAAAAAUUUAGAUUUGAAUUGCAGGUCACUCGAAACUUAAAAAACCGUGCAUGCAAAAAUGAUAUCCAUGCUACUUGGCACAAGUUACGACCGAUUUCAGGAGCGGACCGGAAACUUCGAGCAACAUGCUCACUAAACAUGAUCGUGAACUUGCCAUCACUACCGGAAUUCGCGCCUUUGCCGAGUGCCGGUGGCUUUGCCGAGUGCUUUUUAUCGGGCACUCGGCAAAUCCGGCUUUGCCGAGUGCCGCACUCGGCAACGUCCUGCGCUCGGUAAAGAGCUAGUUUACCGAGUGUAGGACACUCGGCACAGCCGAGCACUCGGCAAAGACUUCUUUGCCGAGGGUCAAGCACUCGGCAAACAAGGCACUCGACAAAGGGCCGUUAGCGGCCGUCUACAACUGACGGCCGUCAGUCUUUGCCGAGUGUCAAAUAUCUGGCACUCGGCAAACAUAGUCUUUGCCGAGUGUCCUUUUUAGACACUCGGCAAAGCAUAUUUUAAUUUUUUUUAUUUUGGUCACCAAAAUUUUUGUGGUAUGUUUGUACACUAUGUAGACCUACAUGUACCAUUUUGGGACAAUUAUAACAGUUUUUUCUAUAGCUAGUACAUUUAGUUUGUUUAUUUGAAUUUCUUCGGAAAAUUCAGAUUUGAACUGCAGGUCACUCGAAACUUGGAAAACCGUGAAUGCAAAAAUGAUAUCCAUGCUACAUAGCACAAGUUACGACCGAUUUCAGGAGCGAACCGGAAACUUCGAGCACCAUGCUCACUCAACAUGACCGUAAACUUGCCAUCCAGGUGUUUAAAAAUUGUAUAAAACAGAAACAAAGUCAGAAAAUCAUGAACCCUGUCCACGUGUCAUGAUAUCAUAUGUAGAGGCUGUGAUAAAAAUUUGAAAAAGUUUCGAGAAAGCUGUAACGCACUAUGUGUACAAACCUAAGAGAUCCACAUUGAAACUCUAUGAUUUCAUGUGUGGUUCUCUUAGGUUUCUACACAUAGUGUCUCACAACUUUCUCCAAACAUUCUAAAUUUUUUAUCACAGACUCUACAUAUGAUAUCAUGACAUGUGGACAAGUUUCAUGAUUUUCUAAGUUUGUUUGUGUUUUAUAAUUUUUUUAAACAGUUGUAUGGCAAGUUCACGGCCAUGUUGAGUGAGCAUGGUGCUCGAAGUUUCCGGUCCGCUCCUGAAAUCGGUCGUAACUUGUGCUAUGUAGCAUGGAUAUCAUUUUUGCAUUCACGGUUUUCUAAGUUUCGAGUGACCUGCAGUUCAAAUCUGAAUUUUCCGAAGAAAUUCAAAUAAACAAACUAAAUGUACUAGCUAUAGAAAACACUGUUAUAAUUGUUCCAAAAUGGUACAUGUAGGUCUACAUAGUGUAGGAACAUACCACAAAAAUUUUGGUUAGCAAAAUAAAAAAAAUAAAAAUGUACUUUGCCGAGUGUCCAAGGAAGACACUCGGCAAAGACUUCUUUGCCGAGUGUCUACCAUCUGACACUCGGCAAAUAUUACCUUACACUUCUUUGCCGAGUGCCCCUCAGGGUGGCACUCGGCAAAGAUGUGUAAGGUAAUAUUUGCCGAGUGUCAGAUGGUAGACACUCGGCAAAGGAUCCUUUACCGAGUGCCACCGAUCUGGCACUCGGCAAAGUUUAUUUUAAAAAUUAAAAAAAACUUUGUCGAGUGCCAGAUCACGGGCACUCGGCAAAGAAGGCGAAUAUACUCGCCCGCGGCUUCCUUCUUUCUCCUUUCUUCUUUCUUCUUUCUCCUUUCUGCUUCUUUCUCCCUGCGCGCCCGCCCACGCCCGCCGCCAGCGCCCGCCCGCCGUGCCCGCCAGCGCCCGUCGCGGCCGCCGCCCGCCGUGCCCGCCGCGGCCGCCCUCGCCAGCGCCCGCGCCCGCCGCGGCCUCCCUCGCCGGCGCCCGCGCCCUCGCCGGCGCCCGCCCGUCCGCCCGCCCGUCCGCCCGCGUCCUGGUAAGCUUUAUUUGAUUGUGAAUCUCUUGUUAUAUGUGGUAGGACCAAAAUAAUUCAUGUGGGCCACAAGAUGAUAGGACCAAAAUAAAAUAAUUGUAUGUUUGUAUAUCGUACCUAUCCAAUUUAAAUGACAUGUAGCAUCUCAAACAUAUACAUAUGCUAAGGAGGUAAGCAGAUAGGACAUGCAUGCUGAACUAAUAACUCCACUAUAUUGAUCGUCAAAGUUGACAAGGCUUAUUGAUCACAACACAAGAAUCCUAAUCGUAUAUGCAAUUGAACAAAGCAUUAACAACCCACAUUUAUCAGUAGAUGAGAUAAGAGUAAUCUAACGAGUAAUAUUGUUACACAAACUAAACUGUCUCUUUUUUAAUUUCUUGAUCGUUUGAUGUAUGCUUGCAUGGUUAUAGAUUGGCUAAGUGUGGAUUAAUAUACCACACUAGUUGUUAGACCCUGGUUUAGUUUCCAUCUUUUAUCACAUGACAGACAUGCUAAUAGUGCAACACAAUGCCUUGGUUGGACAUUACAUACCUCUACAUGACCUUGCUCGAAUGAACUAGAGCGAGUGCUUGUAGUGUUUUAUUAGGAUUUUGUAUUGUAUUAACCGCUUGAUUGUAUAGUGACCUUGCUCGAAUGAACUAGAGCGAGCGCUUGAUUUUGUAUUGUAUUAACCGCUUGAUCGAGUGCCGGUGAUGUGAAUUUUUUGUUGACAGACAUGUAUUUUUUGCAGAGGUCUUCCUAGCCGCUGCGGGUCUGCCUGCACCGCGUCGCGUCGCCACUGCACCGACCCGCCACAGCCCCACUAGCCUGACUCCACCGCCACCCUAGGUAUAACCUCUAUUUCCGCAUCAUGGUCGUAGAUCACGUAACCCAGUUAGGCGUCUCCCGUUCGAAAGAGAUACGGUGUAGAUAUGCAGAUCUUUGCAUAUCUACAAAUGUAUCAGUUUCGAAUUGUCCACGUUUUUUGGACAGCCCGCGGUUGCGUAGAUGGUGUUAGUUUCCAUGCUCUACUCCGGUCCGAGAAAGAGUUUCGGCGUCACCUCCCUGUUGUUCUCCGGACAGUACACUCUCCCUGCCAGGACGUGUAUCCGGAGAACAGCGGGGAGGUGCUGCCGAAAUUCUAUCUCGGAUCGGAGUAGAGCAUGGAAACUAACUCCAUCUACGCAACCGCGGGUGGGAUUAGGACCUAUCCUCACCUAUUAGAAGGUAGGAACGUAGUGUACAUGCAUUACAUGUCUAUAUUAAACUAUACUCGGUUAUAUAUGUUAGAGGAUGGAGGACCGUGAGUGGAUGUACACGGGCCGCGUUCGACGUAAUGAUGUCACCCCAGAAUGGAUUAGGAAGACCGAUGCUUUCGUGGAACGGGCAUAUGGCGAAGCUGCUAAAGGAGCUAGCCUAGUCCCUUGUCCGUGCAGCAAAUGUGACAACCGGAAAAGAAAACCAAAGAAGGCCAUGGUACAACAUAUUUGGAAGAAUGGAUUUACGCCGGACUAUACUCGGUGGAUCUUCCAUGGUGAAGCGCAUCGCACGAGAGAGGAGGUGGUGAGACAACGCGUCGAGGAUUACGAUGCUGAUGCCGGGGUAGGAGACAUGUUGAACGACUAUCAUGAGGCACAGUUCGCCGAAGGACGUACGGAGGACGAGCCAGAGGCGACCGCAAAGACAUUCUACGACAUGUUUGACGCGGCACAGAAACCCCUUCACGGCAAGACAAAGGUUUCUCAACUGGAUGCCAUUGGGCGUAUAAUGGCGUUCAAGUCGCAGUAUAGCAUGAGUCGAGACGCAUUCGAUGGUUUGUUGACAGUUAUUGGCAGCCUGCUUCCGGAGGAUCACGUUCUGCCAAAGAGCAUGUACGAGGCACAGAAACUCCUUCGUGCACUCAAGAUGACGUAUGAGCAGAUACAUGCUUGUCCGAAGGGCUGCGUCCUAUUUAGGAAAGAACACAAUGAGGCAAAGUACUGUCCGAAGUGUAAAUCAUCUAGGUUCAUGGAGGUAGACUCUGGUGAUGGACAGAAGAGGCAGCUCGACAUCCCCGUGACAAUCCUACGCCACCUUCCGUUCAUACCGAGGAUCCAGCGUCUAUACAUGACAGAGGAAUCCGCGAAACAGAUGACAUGGCACAAAAAAGGCAAACGAUACAAUCCUGACAAGAUGGUUCACGCAUCCGAUGGUGAAGCAUGGACCCACUUUGAUGCCAUUCACCAUGAGAAAGCCAAAGAGGCUCGUAAUGUUCGUGUUGCGCUGGCCACAGAUGGGUUCAAUCCCUAUGGAAUGACCGCUGCCCCAUACACAUGUUGGCCCGUGUUCGUUAUCCCCAUCAAUCUCCCCCCCCCCGACGUAUGCUUUCAAAGACAGAACAUAUUCGUGUCGUUGAUAAUUCCUGGACACCCGGGGAAUAAAAUGGGCGUGUACAUGGAGCCUUUGAUUGAUGAAUUGGUCCGUGCUUGGGAGGAAGGGGUAUGGACGUACGACCGAGCUACGAAGACAAACUUCAAAAUGCAUGUUUGGUACCAGUACUCCAUGCAUGACUUUCCGGCGUACGGGCUAUUUUGCGCCUGGUGUGUUCACGGUAAGUUCCCAUGCCCAGUUUGCAAGGAAGCUCUUAGGUUCAUUUGGUUGAAGAAGGGUGGCAAAUAUUCGUCAUUCGAUAAACAUCGACAAUUUCUCCCUCCUGACCAUGCAUUCCGACUAGACAUCAAGAACUUUACGAAAGGUGUCGUGGUGACAGACCGCCCACCUGCAAUGAUGACUGGUGCCGAAGUUCGUGAACAGAUAGAUGGUCUCGUGGCCAACCCAGAAGGUGGUUUUGUGGGAUAUGGUGAGCAACAUAUGUGGACACAUAAGUCGGGCUUGACUCGGCUCCCCUAUUAUGAUGACCUGCUCCUUCCACACAACAUUGACGUGAUGCACACUGAAAAGAAUGUCGCCGAGGCACUUUGGGCGACAAUUAUGGAGAUUCCUGAUAAGUCAAAGGAUAACGUAAAGGCAAGAGUGGAUCUGGCAGAGUUAUGUGAUAGACCAAACCAAGAGAUGAAGCCGCCUAGUGGUGGUAAGACAUGGAGAAGGCCUAAGGCCGAUUUCGUCCUGAGCAGGGCCCAGAGGAAGGAAGUACUAGAGUGGAUCAAGAUGUUAAUGUUCCCUGAUGGGUAUGCAGCUAACCUUAGUAGGGGGGUGAACUUAUCUACCCUGCGAGUCUUAGGGAUGAAGAGUCAUGACUUCCACAUAUGGAUUGAACGAAUUCUUCCGGCGAUGGUUCGAGGCUAUGUCCCUGAGCAUGUCUGGCUAGCGCUUGCAGAGUUGAGCUAUUUCUUCCGCCAGCUUUGUGCAAAAGAGUUAGCUCGGACCAUGAUUGCAGACUUGGAAAGGAUGGCACCCGUGUUACUGUGUAAGCUGGAGAAGAUCUUUCCACCCGGCUUCUUCAAUCCGAUGCAGCAUUUGAUUAUUCAUCUCCCGUAUGAGGCACGAAUGGGGGGGCCCGUGCAGGGACGUUGGUGCUAUCCAAUCGAGAGAUGUCUAAAGAGUAUCCGAAAGAAAUGUAGAAAUAAAUGCAAAAUCGAGGCUUCCAUUGCAGAGGCAUACAUACUGGAGGAGGUGUCAAACUUCACAACAACUUACUAUGGUGACAAACUGCCAAGUGUGCAUAAUCCACCCCCUCGUUACAAUGAUGGCGGCAAUGAAUCGAACCUCAGCAUUUUUCGAGGGCAACUCGGAAGCGCGAGUGGUUCGACCACCAAGACCCUGAGACAUGAAGAGUGGCGCCAUAUCAUGCUAUAUGUAUUGACCAACCUUGAAGAGGUGACGCCAUACAUGGAGCAAUUUCUUCAUGAAUUCUGGCGUCGAUCAAGGGACCCAACUCCACAGGAAUAUGAUACCCUUCUUAGAAAGGGUGCGGGAAAUGGAUUGCCCGAUUUCAUUUCCUGGUUUAAACAUAAGGUACGUGCUUAGUUUGUUAUUCCAAGUUGCUCUUACGUGCGAAUAAUAUAACAAUCUAGCGUGUUUGAACUUGCAGGGCCAAAGAGAGCCGUCUAUGAGUGCCGAGUUGAGACAAGUAGCCAAUGGCUUUGCCUAUAGGGUCAGGAAAUUUUCUGGGUAUGACGUCAAUGGAUACCGUUUUCGCACAACAAGCUACGACCAAAGUCGGCCCAAUCGAAAAACCACGUGUUCUGGAGUCUUUACGCCCGGGCUUGACGAGGUCGAGUAUUAUGGAAGAAUUGAAGAAAUAUAUGAACUCAAUUUUUAUGGUUCCAAACCUCUUACUCCAGUGAUAUUCAAAUGUCAUUGGUUUGACCCUGAAGUUACGAGACGGACACAUUCUAAUCUUGGGCUAGUCGAAAUUCGACAGGAUUCCACCUUACCAGGAGACGAUGUCUAUAUUGUGGCCCAACAGGCCACACAAGUGUAUUAUCUUCCAUAUGCGUGCCAAACGAAACAACAUCUUAAGGGUUGGGAUGUUGUGUAUAAGGUAUCACCGCACGCUAAAUUACCUGUUCCAAACGAUGAAGAUUAUAACUUAGACCCGGACACAUAUGACGGAGAGUUCUUCCAAGAAGAUGGGCUCGAAGGGCAAUUUGAGAUAGACUUAACCGAAGCGAUCGGAAUGGAAGUAGAUAUUGAAAUGGUUGUUGAUGACGAGGAUGAUGAGGUGCAAAAUGAGAAUGACUUAGAAAUACUUGAAGGCAAUGCCAAUGACGAAAUUGCGCCUUCAGAUGAUGUUGACUAUGAAAUGGUUCAUAGUGAUGAUGACACUUAUGAUCCGGCUAACCCGGACACAUAUGAAGAUUAUUUUUAAUCGAUGUAAUGCUACAUUUCAUUUAUUUUGCAUAUGUUUCUAAAUACAUAUUUUUUUAUCUGUGCUUAAUUGUUUACUCUUAAUUGCAGGUUGUUGGACAAAGAUGGUGGGCGGUGGGACGAGGACGAGGAGGGGGAGGGGGAGGGGGAGGAGGAGCACCCGUAGGACGGAGGAGGAGGCGCAGCAGGACGACGACGUACAGCAGCAGGUGGAGCAGCAAGCCGCUGUCGAUGUGGCACAGCAGGACGACGACGAUGCGGCGCAGCAGGACGACGACGACGACGCCGCUCAGCAGGACAUCUCAGGUUCUGGCUCCUCAGGUUCGAGGAGUAUCUACCUGCGAGGUCCCGCGAGCCUACCUAAGCGACCCAUACUUCGUGACAGACGUCCGCUGAUACGACCCGAUGGAGAGAGGUAGGUAACUUUAGAUGUUGUUGCUGCUUUUUCAUAUUAUAUGUUCAAAUUAAUAAUAGAAACUAAUACUUCAUCUUAAUCACUGCGACAGGUCUUGGAUGGUUUUGGAGACUGCAGGGGGUCACGGCCGCAACCCCAAUGGCAUCCUCGGCCUUCUAUGCCGGGAACACUUUCCUGGACUUGUCGAGUACGCCGGAGUGACGAGCCCAGCAUACACCUUCGACCACUACGCCGUCGCCCCCGAUGCAGUAGAUCGGGACGGCAGACAAUUCAACAACAAGGCGGAGCGGGUGAAGCAAGAGCUGUGGGUAAGUCUUCCUCGCACUAUAUUGUUUAAUAAGUCGCAUUUGUUGCAUAUUCUUGAAAUAAUGUAUGGAUACAUCGUCUUUGUAUGUAGGAUUUCUUCAGGUGCGAUGCUGGAUACGAGGCCAGGGCGGAUGUGGUGUCUACGACGUGCUGUAAGAAGCUCGUCGUGGACAUGCACUACGAGGCGCGCAUCCAGGCCAUCGUCACUUACCACGGCUCCGUCCUUGGGGAGAAGGUGAACAAGAAGGACGCCCGAACCAUGUCAUUGACUGCGGACCAGUACUUGCAGGUAAAUACAAAACUUUAUUAUUGGUACUAAAUAUGCUUAUUCUUAUCUUCUGAUAUGCGGUGUACUUAUAUUUUUUUAGAUGAUUCCUCAUUGGUGCGCCGCGCAUCCUGAGUGCUGGGAGAAGAUGGUGCAGAGGUGGUGCUCGGCUGAGUGGGAUGAGGCGCACAACGCUAGCCGGGAACGGCGUUUGCUGAUGCAAGGUCCCUCCCACCAUCAAGGCAGCCGCAGCCUGGGCAAAUACGCGGAAGCAUGGGUACGCGCUCUUUUUUAUUUAGGUAUAUAACUUUCGAUUAGACAUGAUUUCUAACCAUCUCGUUGGUUUUCUCGCAGUCGGCGGCACAUGGUGGCGCGCCUUGCUCCACGUUCUCGGCAUAUGCCAUGGCCCACAAGGGGAAGGCGACGUCCGACGUCACCUACAACCCGGAUGACGGGCCCGAGGCGUACACCAACCCCGCCAUCCACAGCCGACUCAGUGAGUACACCGCCAUGGCCAAGGAGGUCCAUGGGCCAGAUUACGAUCCGAGGACCGAGGACAUCGACGGAGAUGUCCUCAUGAGGGUCGGAGGAGGCAAGAGGCAUGGGCGGUACUGGAUUGCCGAUGGGGCAAUCGACUCGUCCUCCACUCCCACUCUCUCUCAGGUGCGAGCAAGGAGCACGAGCGCGAGCCCAGCCAUACGACCUCGGCAGGACACCUCACAGCAUCGUAUCCAGCAACUCCAGGUUAUUCCUUAUCUAUUCAUCGUUCAUUGAUUUUUAUAUAUCUUCUCUUUGCAUUAUCGUAACAUUAGGGCGAAAUAUUACAGACUCAACUAGAUGAUGAGAGGAGGCAACGUGAGGAGCUAGAGAAGAGGAUGGCGGAGAUGUUCGCGUACAUGCAGAGCCUUGGCGCCGCACAGGGUCAUGCUCCACCACCUCCGUUGUUCCCUGCAGCUGACCCUACAGAGUUCACUACUCCUGUGAGUAUCAAAAUUUUAGUACUGCAUGAUAUAUAUUCAUAUGUUCUCACACAUACAAUCUGUUCUCUGUGCAGGGUCAAUCGGCGGCGUCGAACAACCCUCAUGCUUCGUCCAGCCCUUCGCCGAACCAGUCCAGAUGCCCACCUCGUUGAUGAUGUGUUUUGUGAUGAUCGAGACUUACCUUUAUGAGUGUUGGUGAUGUUUGUUACACUUUAUCUUGUGAGAUACUUGGUGAUGUUAGUGAUGAUGCAGACUUGUAUCUGUUUUGUGAUGAUCCUGACUUUAGUGAGACUUGUGAUCUGUUUUGUGAGACUUUGUGAUAUAUAUGGUGUUGAUGAUAAAUGUGUUCAUUCUGUGAUGUGCUUGAUAUAUAAUGUGAUGUGAAUGAUAUAUAUCUUUUGUUUGUUUGGAUGGAACAACAAAAGCAAAUAAAAAAGGGACAUUCUGGUCACUUUGCCGAGUGUAACACUCGGCAAAGGGUUGCUUUGCCGAGUGCUAUGCCCAUAGCACUCGGCAAAGAAGGAAACCUGGGAACCGGUAAAGACAUCUUUGCUGAGUGCUGACAGUGGCACUCGGCAAAGAAGGAAACCUGGGAACCGGCAAAGAUGUCUUUGCCGAGUGCUUUUGCCAAGGCACUCGGCAAAGAUACUGGCAAAGGGGCCCACUGGAGGGUUCUUUGCCGAGUGCCAGUCCACCAGACACUCGGCAAAGAAACCUCCUUUGCCGAGUGCCUACUAGGGCUCUCGGCACAGGGACUGGCUGUGGGGUCCACUGGACCAGUCUUUGCCGAGUGUCGCCGUAGGCACUCGGCAAAGGAUCCGUCACCGUCACUUGGCGCCGUGACGGUGACUUUUCUUUGCCGAGUGCCAAAUGGCACUCGGCAAAGUCUUUGCCGAGUGCCCGACAAAAAGUACUCGGCAAAGAGGCUGUUGCCGAUGUACAGUUCGCCGAGCGUUCUUUGCCGAGUGUUACACUCGGCAAAACCUUUGCCGAGUGCAAAAUAGCCUUUGCCGUGUGUUUAGAACACACGGCAAAGAAGCUGAUUCCGGUAGUGCAUCCACGUGUUUAAAAAUUGUAUAAAACACAAACAAAGUCAGAAAAUCAUGAAACUUGUCCACGUGUCAUGAUAUCAUGUAUAGAGGCUGUGAUAAAAAUUUGAGAAAGUUUCAAGAAAGUUGUGACACACUAUGUGUAGAAACCUAAGAGAUCAUGUGUGGAUCUAUAGCUGCCUUCAUGACUACACCGCCAUGGCGCUGGAGGUCCAUGGCCCAGAAUAUGAUCCGAGCACCGAGCAGAUCGACUCCGAUGUACUCAUGAGGGUCGGAGGAGGCAAGAGACAUGGGCGGUACUAGAUUGUCGACGGGGCAAUCGACUCAUCCUCCACUCCCACUCUGUCUUAGGUGCGAGCAAGGAGCACGAGAUCGAGUCCAGCCAUACGACCUCGGCACGACAGCUCACAGCAUCGCAUACAGCAACUCGAGGUUAGUGCUUCUGUAACUUGUCCUUCCUUGAGUUAUAUACCUUCUCUUUGAGUUACUAUAACAUUGGCUUGUAAUAUUACGGACCCAACUAAAAGAAGAGAGGAGGGAACGUCAAGAGAUGGAGGCGAGGAUGGUGGCGGAGCGGGAGGCUCGCCUAGCAGAUCAUUAGAGGAUGGCAGAGAUGCAUGUUCCAGUACAUGCAGAGCCUUGGCGCCACACAAGGUUUCGCUCCGCCACCUCCAUUGUUCCCUGCAGUUCACCCUGCUCUGUUCCAUACUCCUGUGAGUAUCAAAAUUGUACUUAGAUGUUGGUAAUGCAUCUGGUAUAACACAUGCAAUCUCUUCUCUGUGCAGGGCCAAUCUGGGGCGGCAUCCAACAACCCUCAUGAAGGAUACAGCCCAACGCAGCACCAGUCCAACCGCCUACCUCCAUGAGAGUUAUGUUUUUAGUGUUUCGACUACAAAACUUAUGUUGAAUACUUAUGUCAGAGCUUGUGAACUUGUGUUGAUACUUCUGAACUUGUGUUAAUACUGUUUGUGUUGAGAACCUCUGAACUUAUGUUGAAUACUUAUGUCAGAAUUUGUGUUAAUACUGUUUGUCUUGGCUAUAUAUGUAUGUGAUGAUCUGUGAUGUAUAUAUGUGAUAUCUAUGAAAUAUCUUUUGUUUGUUUGGAUAGAAUAGGAAAAACAAAUAAAAAAGGUGUGUACUGGUCUCUUUGCCGAGUGUGACACUCGACAAAGAGGUGCUUUGCCGAGUGUCGGGACCAUAGCACUCGGCAAAGAACCAAGACCUGGGCACCGGUACAGGUUCUUUGCCAAGUGUAGUGGCCCUGACACUCGGCAAAGAAGCACGCUUUGCCGAGUGCCAUACAGAGGCACUCGGCAAAGAACCUGACAUGGGGACCCCGCUGGCGGAUUCUUUGCCGAGUGCUGGCCGGCAGACACUCGGCAAAGGUAACUCCUUUGCCGAGUGCCACCUGCGACACUCGGCAAAGACGCUGUCUCCGUCACCCGGCGCCGUGACGGCUGCUUUUCUUUGCCGAGUACUUCCUGGCACUCGGCAAAGUCUUUGUCGAGUGCCCGAGAAAAAGUACUCGGCAAAGAAGGCUUUGUCGAUGCACUGUGUGCCGAGCACUCUUUGCCGAGUGCGACACUCAGCAAAGAGUUUGCCGAGUGUUUUUAAGGCUUUGCUGAAUGCUUUAGGCACUCGGCAAAGCCGUCGAUUCCGGUAGUGCAUCUGGGUCGAUCACACUCACUCAAUGUUGCCAGGGUAGGGCGAAUGAUGGUGAUGACAUGUGGGAGUAGGAUGACAGUCGUUGUGGUGAUGGGUUGUGCUAUGAUGUGAUGCUGAGAUGUGGAAUCUAACUAGGAGCGACUUAGAGGAAGAGGGAUGUGAUGUGACUUGUCUGCUAAUAGUCGAAAGCCUAUGGACCACACCUGAUUCAUUGUUCACUAUUUUUUUAAAAAAAUCUGAAUUGUAUUUGGAAAAGAAAUAUAAUAAUCAAAUUUGAAUUCAAAGCAAACAAAUUUGAAUAUACUCAAACAAAACAAUUCAAUGGCAUGAAUGCAUAACCCAAGUUUUUAAAACUAUAUUUUACAAAUUUUGAAUACGGAAAUAAUUUAUGCCAUGCUCUACAAAUUUAAAAUAACUUUUUCAUUCCAAAACUAUGGUGUUACAAAUCUACCCUUAAAAGAAAUGUUGUCUCGAUAUUUUAGGUUUGUCUAGCAAAGAGAUCGGGGUAUGUGGCUUUAAGGUUAUUCUCUCUUUACCUAGUAGCCUGAUAUGUGGUGUGGUUACUCCACCUAAUUUUGCAUAUUUUUGCCACUCUUAGUUGUACCCAAAAUUUCCAUUGGGCUUAGUACAUGUCACAUCAUCAUAAACAUUUAGAUCUUCAUUUGCAACUAUUCCUCUAGCACCCUCAACCACCACUUGAAUUAUUACACAUGAAAUACGUCAUGUACAUCUGCUAACCUCUCAUGCAACUUCAACUGGUAUGCUACUUCAUUUUUUCAUUCUAAGAUUGUGAACGUACUAACGUACUCUGGUGAUAUUUUUUCCUUUACUUCAAUCCUGCGUAAGCCUUAGAUAGGUGACACCUUAAGAUAUACAAAUUCUCCUACCUCAAAAGCUAAAUCUCUUCUCCUAUUAUCGGUAUAACUCUUUUAUCGUGACUGUACGCAAUCCUUAAAUUAUCCUUGACCAUUUGCAUCCGGUUCUCUUCUUCCUGUAUAAUUUAUGUACGAAAUAUUUGCCUCCCGUGUGUAUGACUCUCAUGCAAAGAUGUCCUGCAUCGUUUGUCUUAUAAUGCUUCAAACAGGAUAAUUAAUGCACACCCUUUUUACACCAAGAACAAAGCAGAGGUGAAAACCAAGAACAGCUCACACACAACUCCUAAUACUCUCUCUGUCCCAAAUUUAAAUAAAAUUCGUAUUAGAUAAUUAAUGGAUUCAUACAAUACUUGAUGUAUGUGUUUUAUAUAUGUCUCUAGAUUCAUUAUCAUCCAUUUGAAUAUAGAUAAAAAAACUAACACCUAAAACGAAUAUUUCGUCCCGAUCCAAAAUAUAAUUCAUUUUAAACUAAUCAUGCAUUCAUUAAGUAAUAUAUGAAUGCAGUUUGUAUGUAUAUGUCUAUAUUCAUUAUCAUUUGAAUGAAUGUGGGUGAAAAGAGUAGACUAGAAAGAACUAUAUUUUAGAAUGGGUGGAGUACUAUUUUAUGAGGGCAGGAGUAAUAUACAAAGUCAUGAAUGAAUACAUGCCGUUUUGACGCCAUGAAUCAAGAUAUCAUUGAAAUGAGCUGUCCAAACGUCAACCAUUUAUAGCUGAAAACAUCCUUUGCUGAUGCUGCAUCAAUGAUCAUUUUAAUUAACCACUCUAGUUUGAUUCCAACAAUCGUGAUUAGGAAGAGGAACGUACGUGGAACACUCUCUCUCCUCUCGCAUUCGUCAAGCUACAUGAAAAAACUUGGGCACAGCUAGCGCUUUAAACUUCCGCUUUGACCAUACUUUUACAAUAUGUGUUCCUAUAAUCUACAUAAAUUGUAUUCAUUCUAUAAAUAUUUUUACUUGAUUAACUGUAUCAUGGCCUUUUGACGGUAUUUUACUGUGAGAAAAGGACAAUUUUAUGAAAAAUAUAUGUAAACAUUAAAGAAAAAGUUUUUUUUUCACACGACACCAUAAAUAAUUAGUAUCACAUGUAUGUUACUUAGGAGCACGCGUAAACUUUAAUAUGUUUAAUUAUAUAUGCUUAGUGUUCUAAUCAUUGAAUUGAUUUGAAACGACGCAAUAUAGAAAAAUAAAAGCUGGCAUAAAGCUAUGUAUGUCCACUAACCGCAGCGACGUGAGGAAAGUAGAAUUAGAGAAGCAAAGGCAUUCCGAAUGAUCUAUACAUGCCGACGAAGAUCUACUGUUGUUGAGUCGCAGUUACUGGUGCCGUGUACAACCAUAUUUGAUGCUAUAUUAUUCAUUUGAAGCAACACAUGGGGUGUUUUUAAGCUGCAAAAAAUAUUUCAUGGUGAAAAACUCGGUAAUACACAUAACAAUGUUUAACCAGUGGUUAGAACAACUUAAUUUUCAUGUUUAAUUACAUGACCAAAAAGAAUAUUCUAAUUUAUCAUUAGGUUCUACUCAGGAGCAAAAUCACAAUCAAAUUAAGAAUGUUAUCUUGCUGUUGUUAGAAGAUUUAACCUAUUACAGUAGAAAGGGCCAUCAAUACCGAUUGAAAAUCGGCUAUUGUAUUGUAUUCAUAUUUGGUACUAGACAACUAGGACUAAAGACAUAAAUCUUUAGUUUUAAUUUCAUGGCUGAGUGGUCUUUAGUACAUGUGUUUGUGGAUCGAGUACUAAAGGGGAGGGGGGUUAGGCUAUCCACAACCGUUACCUCUAAAUUUUUUCCUCUAUAUCACUUUUUCCCCCUAUUUUCCCCCUAUUUUUUCAUCUCCCGCAGCGGUUCCCGCUAAAUACUCCCCCUAUACCCCACUACAACUAGAAAAUAUCAUUUUCUAUAUCAACUAUCAAUUUUUUAUCUACUAACAAUUACUCGUAGACCUACAUCAUAUCAUAGUGUUUAGAGGGAUGAAUAGUGACACGCUAGAUCUGGGGGGAGAGAAGGGGGCCGACGUGUAGGGGGCGCUGUAGGGGGCACCGCUGCGGCCGUAGAGUGCCCCCUACAGGCCGCAUGCAAGGGGAGGGGGCUGCGUAGGGGCUGUCGUUGCAGUUAGUCUUAGUGUGCGCUCCUAUUGGGACCUUUUAGUACUGGUUCAAGGCACAUUAUAGUGUCUAGGGAACUUUUAUUAUGUACAUUUAAAAAAUAUUAAUUGAUAAACAUUUAAUAUAUAUGCUUUAAUUAAUAUAUGUACAUUAAUAUUUACAAAUUUAUUAAUAGUCCUAGUUCAUGAAUAUUAAUAUUAAAUGUAUACAUAUGUAACAACAAAUAAUAUGAUGUUUACUGAGUAUUAAAUAUUUAUUCGUUUCUAUAUUCUCAAUAUUCAUCAUCUUCGCCUUCUCAUUUGACCAAAAGAUUUCGUCCAUCAUAAUAGAACUCUUCGUUUUUCGAUACGAUCUUAUUAUAUAUAAACCAUAUUAGUUGUCCUUGAAUUGUUUCAAUCUUUUCCUAAGGAACUUCCUUCGUUUUCAUAAACUAUGAUUUAUCAAAAAAUUAAUAAUAAUUUUAAAUUCAAAGCUAAGACACUUUAUUAUCAUAAAAUCAACAUUAAUAUUGUAGACUUUGCUAAGGAGGAGUCUAUUGGUGCUUCCUUCAUAGAUAAUUUCUUCUUGAAAUGUUCCUUUAACUCGGCGCUGACGGCAACAUUCAAUUAUGUGUUCUUUCUUAUUGUUCGAUUUGUAUAUAUGGCAAUGUUCCAUUACCUCGGUGUUGAUGACAACGUUCAAAAACAAAGAUGUGCAAGGAGACAUUGUUGCAGCAACAUACCUUAUGGAUAAAGUUUCCCUUAGUAUAAGAAAUAAAAAGGUGCAUCCAACUUAGGCAUCACUCAUAGCCCUAAGGGCUAGAUUACUGUAACAUCACUCAUAGUUCGAAAGGCUAGUUUAAUGGAACAACACAUGUAGCCCUAAGGGCUAGUUUCCUGCUUAUGGGUUCGUUCAUGAUUUAACUUCUCCAUUAUUUGGCGAUCCAUCUUAGCAUGAUUCCUAUGAAAAAUAUGUCGAUGUUUAGUCCCGAUAGCGCACUACGGGGUUGCCCACGCAGUGCUUUUGGGAGGACGGUGACGUCGAUCGCGGCUCGAUGGUAUGUACAGGAGCAUGCCAGAACACAGGAAGUUUAUACAAGUACGGGCCACGUGAAUGUGUAAUACCCUACGUCAUGUGUGGUGAUGAGUAUUGAAUUGCCUUGAGUUCACAAAUUACAGGUGGUUUAGGGGCGGAAGAUAAGGUCUCCAAUCAAUCUAAUGGUGAACGAGAGUGAGAGAGAGAGUUUUUGGUAGGGGUAUCUCUACUGCCUUAUAUAGUCGACUGGAGAGUUAUACCUGUAAAUUUCAUCGAGCUUAUCUAAAUCUACUUUCUAUUGCUAUGAGUAUGCCUGUUUUUCCGGUGCUUGGUUGGCUUCUCUGGUUUAUCAUCCGAGUUAUCAAGUACCUAGCCGCGUGAGAAACGUGUCUUCAGAAAUUUGGUAAUUCUUAUGCGAUAUACGUGCACGGAUGGUAUGUUGGUGCAGUGUUCUUCGAGAUCUCCUCGUAUCCAGUGCUCCGUUGCUGCAUUUGACUUUUAUUUCGUCAGGACGAGGCCCAUCAGUACGCCCCACCGGACGUCUUAUUAGGGUCCUCUCCCAUGGCCCAAGGAGUACAUUUAUGCCUUGGCGACCCAUAGGAUAUCUAUCUCCCACAAAAUAUAUAGAACUAAAAAUAGGGUUUAAGGUUGAGCUCAAGAAUGAAUGUCCUUUUUAAAAUAACAUUAUAUCGAACUACUUCGAAUCACGACUUUCUUGAUAAUGUAUUAUGUUCAUUGGAGAAAUGUGGCUCUAUAUACGCAUUGUGGGCAUUAUGGUCCAAAAGAAAAAAGAGAGAGAAACAACAAUUUCUAUACAUCAAGCUUGCAAGUGAUCGUGGAAAAGGGAAACUAUAUAGCAAAGGCACAUAAGAAUCUUCUAUAGCAAAGACACACAAUAAUCUUUCCAUGAGUUUAAUACACCAUGAUUAUAUAUAAUUAUAAAGAUAGAUAGAUAUAUUGCAAUGAUAUAACAAAGCUUCGGUUUCUAAUGUGCUCAUUGUAGGGUUAGGGAGUCACUUCUAUGGCGAUGGUGCAGGGUCGAUGGGAGAAGUGGUGGCGCGAGGAGGGCCCUUGCAUGUAUGCUCGACAUGGGAAAUGGUGGUGUGGGGAGAGGGCUCGACGAGCUCACCAAGAAAGGUGCUAGAAGAAGAGAAGAAGAAGGGCAUAACGAAGGCUGAAGUUAUAUUGGGCACUUAUCGAUUCUUGCAAAGAACCAGUACUAAAGACCUCUGACCAAGAACUGGAAAGGGGCCAUUAAUACCAGUUCUUACAAAGAACCAAUGCUAAAGACCUUCAGGAUGGAAUUGAAAAAGAACCUUUAGUACCGUUCGUGUAAGAACCAAUACUAAAGAGUUCUUUAGAGAGAUGGCAAACUAAACUACGAGCGUUCAUUAGAGCGAUGGUAGACAAAACAAAGCAAGUUACAAUCUCUACUUGAAGCUUAUUACACUAAGCUCCUCUUUGUUCCUAACGCCAGCUCGGGGAGCGAGGGUUGGAGGUUAUAAAGCAGGUACAUUAACACUAGUUGAAAACACCAAUCGAUAAUAAUGUUAUGUCAUCAAAUUCCAGUUAAAAACACCAAUCGGUACUAAUAGAAUUAUAUUAGUACCAAUUGGUGUCGUCAACCGAUAGUGAUAAGUUAAUAUUAGUUCCGGUUAGAGACAUUAAUCAGUAUUAAUGCCCUAGCUCUACGAGGACGCAUUAGUUAAAACCGGUGCUGACGAAUUGAGUGAGUACCGAUUUUAAUGCAAUAAUAGGUACUAAUUUGAUUUAAUUUACUUUAGUGCACAACAAUUUGUAUAGUGUACAAAAGUUCCUUUACCAGAGACGGCCCUUACCACAGAGUCCAAAGCAGGUCGGAGAUCGAGAACCCCACGCGGUGCACAACAAUUUGUAGUGUACGACUCUGGCACUGACCGAUGUAUAAUUGACUAAAAAGCAUGCACGCAAAGCAGCUCCCGCUUUUUUCGAAAAUGUAGAAGAUUAUCUCAAUCAAUUAAUGUAACAAUUUAUACACUCUGGUUAUAUAUAUACAUGGCCAGAAAAAAAUGUCAUCUAUUAUAAAGCUGCUAUAUAUAUACAUGCAUUGAAAAGGAUCUUUGCGUCUAUAUAUAAUUUCACAAAAAAAAGUGUUAAUAUCAUAUGUGUGUGAUUGAAGAGCCCUGAGCUUGCUUGUACACGAUGACACAACACAUGUACACCAAAUCAUGCGUGCAUGUGCCACCUCGCGUGCCUAUAUAAAGCCACCCACAGCCCUGCCUAUCAUUGCAAGAGUUUGAGCCAACACACACAGAGAGAGGACAACUCCUCACAACUCUCCCUUCCCUCCUGUAGGGGCCAAAAGGGUUAGAGAGUAGGAGAAGUAGUUCCCUAGCCCAACACAAGAAAAACAAGCUCGAUCUCCUCAUCACCCUAAUCCAAGCAACUGCUUUGUGUGUUGGGAAAUUCUUGUGACCCCUGUUAUAUUAUUAUCCGUGUAGCUACUAGCUUCAUUCCCCCCUUUGUACCCAUCAAAUGGCUGGCAUGUCUCUGCAACACCCCUGGGCGUUUGCUUUCGGUCUACUAGGUACAUACUACACCUUCACUAAUAGCUAAACAAGCGCCCGCCGCAAAGCUAUGAAUUAAGGGCAGGCAUGUUUGGUUUGCUACCUAUUUUACCAUACUUUGUCUAACUUUUCUGUCUAAGGUUAUAGUUCUUCAAUUCGAACGAUUAAUCUUAGCCAAAGUGUGACAUGGUUAGCCACGAACUAAGCAGGCCCUUAAUUAUUGCGCAUGUAUAUAUUAUAUAUUUAUCUUUCUAUUCUGUUUAAUUUGUUUUCUCUUUACAUAUAUAUACUACUAUGUAAGUAUAUAUUAUAUGCACAACAAGCAGGCCUCCUUCGUGCACAUAUGCAUAGAAUCAAUCUAUACCCUUCAUAGAAGCCACUUUGAGAUAUACCUUCCAAAACAAUCCCAAAAACAAGACGCUCGAUCUUGCGCUCACAAUCACUUAGUUUUGCACCAGAUUAAGCAUGCACCACUAGAUUUUAUGUACUGUAUUACCUCUGCCAUCCAUGGUCGAUCCUUUAGUUUAUCCUAUUCAUUUCCGUCAUGAACUACCUGUCGAGCUAGCAAUCGGUCCUUUAUUUAGAGUGUUCAGAUAGGCAUCUGUCUUUAUACAAACAAUAAAGCCUCACGAAUCUUUAGUCACAAAACAAGGCAAAUUAGACAGGCCACGGAGGUGUAAAGUGUCAGCUCUGCUUAUCACAACUUAUCUCUGCUUUAUUUGGGCACACUUUUGCCAUACAAAUGGCUGAUCUUGGCGCCUUUUUUUUCUCCUUGCUUUGCAGGUAACGUCAUCUCCUUCAUGACCUUCCUGGCCCCGAUGUAAGUGACAUAUAUAUAUAUAUAUAUUGCUUAAUUAAUUAUCACUGCUUCUUCAGAUAUAUAUUCAUCGGUUAUUUUAAUUAAUUAUGUGGAUAUGUAUGCAUCGUAUAACAGACCGACGUUCUACCGCAUCUACAAGAGCAAGUCGACGGAAGGCUUCCAGUCGGUUCCCUACGUGGUUGCCCUGUUCAGCGCCAUGCUGUGGAUCUUCUACGCACUGAUCAAGUCCAACGAGACCUUCCUCAUCACCAUCAACGCCGCCGGCUGCGUCAUCGAGACCAUCUACGUCGUCAUGUACUUCGUCUACGCGCCCAAGAAAGCCAAGCUGUUCACGGCCAAGAUCAUGGUCCUCCUCAAUGGCGGCGUCUUUGGGGUCAUCCUCCUGCUCACCCUUCUCCUCUUCAA
Molecule: long non-coding RNA, 234928 nt
Filed under: Zea mays
Lineage: Eukaryota; Viridiplantae; Streptophyta; Magnoliopsida; Poales; Poaceae
Description: long non-coding RNA (ZMAY_LNC000259)
Source: RNAcentral